GAUAAGUUAACGAAUAGGUGAUAAUAAAAUAAUAGAUUAUAAGGCAAUAAUAAUAAUAGAAGCAUAAAUAAAACAGAACAUAGUAAAUAAAUAUAUGGAAGGAUUAAAAAUAAAUAAAAUGACAAUAUAUGAAUAAGAAAGUAAAUGUUUAAACAAAUAAAAUAAAAGAAUAAUGAAUAACUAAUCAAAUAAGUAAAUAAAUGGACAAAUACAUCAAAUAAAAAGGCUUGACUAAAAGUUUAAAGGAAUUUAAAGAACGAGAAAAAAAUAUAAUGAAGCAGGGGACCAAACUGUAACGCGCAAGUGAAACAGAGGGUUCGAAAGGGAAAAUAUCCUUAUGCUCUUAAAUGCCAUGUUUUAUGCGGGACUAAAAUGGGAUACCAGCAGAUUUCUGAGCCAAAAUUAAAAGAAAAAGAAGGGACAAAAAAGAGGGGCCAAUCGAAGCAGAUCAAAAGAGUGGAAGGACCAUUUGCAAAAUUUAUCCCAAAAGCAGAAAUAUACUUAUCCUGGGGGUUGUGACGCCGUUUCACUAGUUAUUAAGACUAAAAAAAAUAAAAAAAAUCACUUGAAUGGCCAUCUGCCAUUUUCUACAAAAAUCAAAACAAAUCCCUAACCCCCAUUCUUUAUCCCUCAUUUGAAAGCCAGGCAUCCUUAGCCUACAAUUGGAAGAAGAAGGUUUUCCCUUUAUUAUUUUUUGGGCUCGGUUUCGGCGAUGGAGAAGGAGACUCCGGCGACGUGACCGUGAGGUGAUUCAGGUAAGUUUUUCUCUUCUUCUUCCUUUUAUUUUCAUAUUUUUAUUUAAAAUAGAUUUAUAGGAAAAUGAAAAGAAAAACAAGAAAAUGAAGAGACAAAAGAUUAAAACGAAACCUUUUCUUUCUAUUUUGCUUUUUUGAUUUUUCAGAUCUGCCCGUAUUACAGUGUUUUUUUGUAUUCAAAAAAAGAAAAACCCCUAUUUACAAUUGUUUUUCUCUUUUGAAAUAUAAAAAAUCCUCCCCCUCUUACAAAUGAUAGAUUUCGGUUUUUAAAGCCAAUGUUUUUCUUGUUCCCUUUGUUUAUUAUUUCUUCUCUGUUGUUCACGUGCCUUAUUUGUUCCUUUUCUGUCCUCUUUUGUUUGUUUGCAGGGAUAGCAGAGAUGGUUGAAGGCAGAAGGUAUGGGCGAUGGUAUGGGACACCUGUCUCGGGCGUUGUGCACGUUGAGGCCAGCACAUGGAGGCAGCAGCGCAAGGGUUAGGGGCUAGGGUUGAUUACUGAAAAUUUUGAUGGUUUAAUGGGCUAUUAUUUGGGCUAGGGUUUGAUGUAAAUUGGGUUUGGGUAUUUUGGUUUUGGGCCGGGCAUAAUUGGGCCUGUACACAUAUAUUGAGAAGAUGUUUCCCAACCAUGUCAGGCUUGUUAAACGAGAGAGGUUUCAAGAAUUUUUGAGCUUACGUAUUCAUGAUCAAUUGUAUGCAAAUCUUUUCAAUCCCUCAUAUUUUGCAGUGGAUGGGAUAUGGUGUUUGGAAUUCUUAGUUGGAGCUUGAGGAAUGAGAUGAAUAGUAGGAUACUGAAUGAGGCAUUCUUUGCAUGGGAGAACAUCCUUGAAAGAGGAAGUCGAUUGUGGAAUGAGGUGAUCAAAGCAAGGUCAGAUUUGCAAGCAAAACUUGGCAGGGUCGUACUAGGGAAUGGGAGAGAAACCACCUCUCGGUUGGUAUAAGAUUAAAUACUGAUAAUGGUAGAAGCAGUACAACCGGCUUUGUUGCCACGGGUGGGGUAUUAUGGGGGUCGUUGGUUUAGGGGAUUUGCGCAUAACCUUGGUUGUUGCUCAGUCACUGAAGUAGAAAUGUGGGGGGCGUAUGAUGAUUUUUAUAACAUGCUUGGAACAUGGGGGCGAGAAGGAGGAGCGCCUUGCAGUGGUCUAGCUACUUCGCAAUGAAAUAGAAAUGCAGAGCAGCAAUGCAGUCUAUCCUUCAAAUUGAAGUAUGUUGGAAAUGGGUCCGAACGUUAAUAUUAUAUGAGUCUACAUGGAAGGAAACGGUCUUCCUUCCCACUUCACGUUUCAUUUACUAAACCAAUAACUGGCUUGAUCAUUCUUGUCUUCAUGGAAGAAGGAAACUGCAAAAGAUAGGAUAAAAACCGCCCCCCCUCCCCUCCCCACCCAAAAAAAUUACUAACAUUGUGGGGAGGGAUAACUACAAACUCAAACAUGGACAAUAAAACAAACAUAAAAAAUACCAAAUGUAUAUAUAAUUAUCGAUAUCUAAACAAUCCGGUAUGUUGGUAUUAUGAAUUUAUUGUAUUCUAAAAUCUCGUUUUAAAUAUAUAUUUUCUUAAAGAGAGACUCUGAGAGAGAGAAGACAUGUAGAAGAACAUUAGGAGGAUUCUUCUCAAAAUUGCCAACACAGUCACUUACACUUUCAUAAUAUCAACUUACAAUUAACUUAAAAAGAAGAGACAAGUAACAAAUUUGAGGUCUUAUAAACAAGACGUAUGUCAAAAUGCUUAUGCAAUUAACUACUACUUCAUAUUUACUAAACCAUUCGGCUUGGUCUUUUUGUCUUCAUGGAGGAACUUGCAAAAGAUAGGGAUGAAACCAUCAUACACCCCCCCAAAAAAAAAACAAACCAAUGCAAUCAACCUUACAACAUAGAUAUAAUUACUAACCUUGGAUGAUAUUGUGGGGAGAGAUAACCACGAUUUUCUUAGAGAGAGAGAGAGAUGACAUGUGGAAGAGCAUUAAGAGGAUUCUUUUCAAAAUUUCUAAGAGAGUCACUUACACUUUUUUAAUAUUGACUUAUAAUUAACUUAAAAAGAAGAGACAAAUAUAUAGCAAUUUUGGAGUCUUAUAAACAAGCAAGACGUAUGUUAAAAUGCUUAUGCAAUUAACAACUACUGGACAUUUACUAAACCAAUUGGCUUGGUAUUUUGUCUUCAUGAAACUUGGUAAAGAGAGUGAUGAAACCAUCAUACACCCCAGAAAAUGACAGAUAAAAUCACUAACCUUGAACGACAUUGUUGAAAGAGGCAGUUACAAACUUAAAUAUGGACAGCAAAAAUGAUAUCUAAACAAUCCGUUAUGUUGGUAUUAUGAAUUUAUUGUAUUUCAAAAAUUUAUAUUUUCUUAGAGAGAGAGAGGGAGAUAUGGAGAGAGGGAGAGGGAGAGAGAGAGAAGGAGAGAGAAAGGGAGAGAGGGGGAGAGAGGGAGGGAGGGAGGGAGGGAGGAAGGGAGGGAGGGAGGGAGAAGGAGCAUUAGGAGGAUUCUUCUCAAAACUACUAAGAGAGUUACUUAUACUUUCAUAAUAAUGACUUACAAUUUGCUUAAAAAGAAAAGACAAGUAACAAAUUUGGAGUCGUAUAAACAAACAAGACUUCUGUUAAAAUGCUUAUACAAUUAACCACUACACAUUUACUAAUCCAAUUGGCUUGGUCUUCAUGUCUUCAUGGCGGAAUCUGCAAAAGAUAAGGAUGAAACCAUCAUAUACCCCCCCCAAAAAAACCAAUUCAAUCAACCCUAUGUUACAUAAUUACUAACAUUGAACGAUAUUGUAAGGGAGAGGUAACCACGAUUUUCUUAGAGAGAGAGAAAUGAUAUGUGGAAGAGCAUUAGGAGGAUUCUUUUGAAAAUUGCUAAGAGAGUUACUUACACUUUCUUAACUUACAAUUAACUUAAAAAAAAGAAAGAAAAAUAACAAUUUUGGAGUCUUAUAAACAAGCAAGUCGUGUGUUAAAACGCUUAUGCAAUUAACCACUACUUCACAUUUACUAAACCAAUCGACUUGGUCUUCUUUUUUUUCAUUGCAGAUCCUGCAAAAGAGAGGGAUGAAACCAUCAUACACCCCCCCAAAAAAUGACAGAUAUAAUUACUAAUCUUGAACGACAUUGUUGGGAGGGACAGUUACGAAAUUAAACAUUGACAGUACAAUGAACAUGAAAAAUACCAAAUAUAUAUAAUCAUCGAUUUCUAAACAAUCUGGUAUGUUGGUGUUAUGAAUUUAGUGUAUUUCAAUAUAUAUAUUUUGUUAAAGAGGGAGAGAGAGAGAGAGAGAGAGCAUUAGGAGGAUUUUUCUCAAAAUUGCCAAGAGAGUCACUUACACUUUCAUAAUACCGACUUACAAUUAACUUAAAAAGAAAAACAAAUAACAAUUUUAAAGUUUUAUAAAUAAACAAGACGUGUCUUAAAACACUUACGCUAUUAACCACCAUUUCACAUUUACUAAACCAAUUAGCUUGGUCUUCUUCAUGGAGAAACUCCCAAAAGUGAUGCAACCUAUCCACGAUGAUAGUGAUGAAACCAUUAUACAACCCCCUCCCCUAAAAAAAAAAAACAUUUUAAUCAACCUUACAUGAUGGAUAAAAUUAUUUACUUUGAACAAUAUUAUUGAAAGGGGAAACUAUAAACUUAAACAUAAAUAGUAAAAUGGAUAUGAAAAAUACCAAAUAUAUAUAAUUACUGAUAUUUAAACAAUUUUGUAGGUUGGUAUUAUAAAUUUAGUGUAUUUCAAAAUCUCGUUUUAAAUAUAAAUUAGAGAGAUUCUUCUCAAAAGUCACUUACACUUUCAUAAUAUUGACUUAAAACGAAAAGAUAAGUAACAAGUUUAGAUUCUUAUAAACAAGUUAUGUGAUAAAAUGCUUAUGAAAUUAACCACUACUGCCCCCUAAUAUUUCACCUACGCACUCUAAAUUACUUCGUUUAUCUAAUGUUUUGUGCGUUCCGACUAUAAGGAAAAAUCUCCUAUCUGUAUCUCAGUUUGCCAUUGACAAUGGUGUGUUUUUUGAAUUUCACCCAACGUAUUAUGUUAUUAAGGAUAGCAUGACUCGGGAAAUAUUGCUGAAGGGCCACAUUCGUGAUGGGCUCUAUCAUUUUUCUCUGUUGGUUGCAUCUGCUCAGUUUGCUGUAGCUUCUUCUACUACCCACAUUGGACUUCAGAAUCAGUCUGACGACUAUGCUAUAUUUUCUGUGGCACAAACGCCUUGGUCAUCCUUCUACUUCUGUUGUUAAAUCUGUUUUAAAUAAAUUUAGUAUUACUUCAAAUAAAGCCUCUUUUGAUAAUGUUUGUACCGCUUGUCAAAAAGGGAAAUCCCAUAAAUUGCCCUUUCCUGAUUCGACUACUGAAUACAAUAAUCCGUUUGCCUUGGUUGUCUCUGAUCUCUGGGGUCCUGCAUCAGUUGCCUGUGGUAAUAAUUGGUAUUAUGUAUCUUUUAUUGACAUGUGCACUCAUCUUACUUGGAUUUAUCUUCUUUGACGAAAGUCUCAGGUCGUAGAUUGCUUUGUUCAGUUUCAGUAAUUAGUCAAAACUCAGUUUGGGAAAACUAUCAAACAAUUUCAAAGUGAUUGAGGCGACGAAUAUCGAGCCUUCACUUCUGUUCUUGCAACUCAAGGGAUAAUUCAUCAGUUGUCUUGUCUGCAUACCUCUGAACAGAAUGGAGUGGCUAAACGCAAACAUCGGCAUAUUGUUGACAUGGGCGUCACACUUUUGGCUCAAGCGAAUCUCUCUAUAGAAUUUUGGGCCUAUAUUUUUUUUGUGUUGUUCAUCUCAUGAACCGUCUUUCUACCUUGGUUCUGAAAGGACAGAUUCCGUAUCACGUUCUUCAUGGACAAGAUCCCACAUAUGAUCAUCUACGCGUAUUUGGGUGUUGCUAUUUUCCAUAUUUACGUUUGUCUCAACGUCAUAAAUUGGAUUUUUGAUCUCAACCCUGUACAAUCUUGGGAUAUAGUUCUGAACACAAAGGAUAUCAGUGUCUUCUACCGGAUGGUAAGAUUAUCCUUUCUCGUCAUGUUGUGUUCGAUAAACAAUGAUUUUUGUCUUCUUUGUCUGCUACGCAGGGUUCCAUGUCUUCAUCUGGUUCCAUAACGAUGUUUGUUCCUAUUGUAAAGACUAUCCCUUCUCGGCCCGUGGAGCUCUCAUCUCCUCUACCGUCAUCUUUUUCUCCUAUUUGCUACCCCUCACCUACUGUUUUUAAGGUUCCUCAAGCUGAGGUGGGCUCUGGCCGUGAGACUCAUAGUUCUACCUCAUUACCCAAUGGUGAUGUUGAUUCUAGCUCUACCAUGUCUCCUACUACUGUUUAGUCCUCCCUUUUGGUUCAAGAAUCUUCUUGGCCUUUGAAAAAUACUCAUUCGAUGGUUAUUCGGUCUAAGGCUGGCAUUUUUAAGCCCAAGGCUUUGUCUUUUGAGGCUAUUGAGCCCCACACCAUUGAGGAGGCUUUUUCUACCACCGAAUGAUGUACUGCAGCUCAAGCAGAAUUUCAUGCUCUUAUUCAUAAUUCCACAUGGGAUUUUGUUUCGUUACACCUAAUCGCAAGGUAAUCAGGUGUAAAUGGCUUUUCAAGGUCAAGAAAAAUACUGAUGGCAUUAUCACCCGUUGCAAGGCUCGGUUGAUUGCUAAAGGAUGUUCUCAGGCCCUUGGAUCUGAUUUCAAGGAAAUGUUCUGUCCAGUGAUCAAACUUGCCACUUUUUGAGUCAUUCUAUCAGUUGCUGUCUCCAACGAAUGGCAGCUCCGUCAAGUUGAUGUGAAUAAUGCUUUUUGAAUGGUGACCUUGCUGACGAAGUGUUCAUACAACAACUUCCGAGGUAUGUUCAGUAUGGUUCGAAUGGAAAAUCAUUAGUCUAUCGUCUGAAGAAAGCUUUAUAUGGGCUUCGUCAGGCCCCACGUGCUUGGUUUGAUAAAUUGAAGACUUUUCUCGUUUCUGUUGGCUUUGUUAUAUCCAAAUCUGAUGUAUCUCUGUUUUUUCGAAUUACAACUAACUCUACUCUUUAUGUGUUUGUGUAUGUGGAUGACAUUAUCAUUACUGGAAGUAUACCUACUUGUAUAACUAGCUCUGUUCAGCAGUUGAACGACAAGUUCUCACUUAAAGAUACGGGCUAUCUCCUCUAUUUUCUCAGGAUUGGGGUUACUCGUUCCUUCACAGGGUGUUAUCAUCAUUGCCAAAGAAAGUACAUCCGUGAUCUACUCGACAAGAGUUCUAUGACUCAAGCAAAGAGUGUCCAUACUCCAAUGAUUAGCUCAUCUACUCUGCCCAAGGAUGAAGGGGACCGUCUCAGUUAUACUACUGAGUACAGAAGUCUUGUAGGUGCUUUACAGUAUGUGGUUUUGACUCAUUCAGAUAUUGCAAUGCGGUAAAUCAUAUAUGCCAGUUCAUGCAUACACCCAUUACUGUUCAUCUUGUCGCCUUAAAAAGAAUCCUGUGAUAUUUAUGUGGUACACUUAAUUAUGGGAUUUUUUUUCGUCCAUCCGUCUGACUUUCUUUAGUUGGUUAUGCAGACGCUAACUAGGCGCUAAAUUUUGACGAACGUCGCUCUACGAUAGGCUAUUGUGUAUAUUUUGGUCACACACAUGUCUCUUGGUAUUCCAAUAAGCAGCAAGUGGUUUUGCAAUUUACGACUGAGGUUGAAUAUUGAAGUCUUUUUGUAGCUACUAGUGAUAUUACUUGGUUGGUCUCGUUACUAAAGGAGUUGCAACUUCAAAAUGUUGAUCCACAUACUAUUUGGUGUAACAACUCUUAUGCAGUUGCCGUAGCUACCAAUCUUAUUUUACAUUCCAAAUUCAAACAUGUCAAGCUUGAUCUAUUUUUUGUAUGCGAAAAAGUCACCGACAACUCCAUUGUUGUUGGUGAGGUUCCUGCGUGUGAUCAAGUCGCCAACAUUCUCACCAAUCCACUCACUGUAUCUUCCUUUGCUAGAUUUCGAAAUCUUCUUCGAGUCUUACCUCUCAAGAAGAUGGAUGAAGGUUAAGAGUAUAGUUGACUCUGUUAUUGAGGUAGCCUAUUAGCUGUUAGUCUGUCAAUCAAGUAGAAAAGCUGUUAGCAAUAAUAGUUACUCUUGUAUUCUAUAAAUACUAUCACUAUAAUAUACAAUUCAACAUAUACUAGUCCAGAUACAAAGAUUUCUUUCAAAUACUCAACAUAUUUCUAGUCUAUCUUUUCAAUACGUAGUAGUGCUUUCAUUCAUUCAAUUAUCAAUAUAUUAGUUAUUCACCAUAAAUGUUAACAAUAUGGAUUAGGAACAACAUUGAAAGUCGGGGAGGGACAUUAAUGAUUGGAAGAGAGAGAGAGAGAGAGAGAGCCAUAGAAAGGUUUGAAAUCACAUUGAACGCCUUAUUGCAAGAUGUUGGCCCGUGACUUUUGAAAGUUGUUUAUUAUAAAACCAUGACUUUUUUUUUGAUUAGUGGUUUAUAAUGAAACCAAUAAGCAGCUGGGCAGUUAAUCUUAUUGCAAAAUGGAAAAAGGAAAAGAAUAAAUUACUUUAAAAGUUUGGCCCUCGAGAAAACAAUUUCUAUUCGUAUUUUUUGAAAAUUGAAAAUGAAAAUCUAUUUCUCAAAAAAAAUAUAUGUACUAUUAUGAAAUUAUUUUCAUAAUUGAAACAUGAGAUAUAAUUACUAAAUAGUAAUUAAUAGUGUAGGUUUUAAUUAAAUGUGUUAUUAAUAUAAAAUAAAAUUAAUUUAUAUAAAAAGUGGUUCUAGACUUCUAGUAUUCGUGGCCAUCUCUCUGGGGCUGUGGUUUAUAUGGAUUCUCUUACUAAAAUAUUUCGAAUAUAAUGGAGGUGUCUGCGAAUUUGUUUCACAAUAUUUGGAAUUGGUCAAUUUGAGAAAUGGAUUAAUCAAAAUCUUCUUUUCUUAAUCUAAAAGAUUGAGUUUCUUAAGACAAUUCAAUAGUUUUGUACGGUCUUGUAAAAAAUUGUUACCAAAAGGAACAAAAAAUUAAGACCAUUCAUACUAACUUGGGCAGUUCUUAAGCAAUCAACCUUUGAUCUUCCUGUUGGAAGAUGCAUCGUUGAUAAUAUUAUUAUUGUAUAAAAAUGAUUCAUAUAAUAUGUAAGAGGUCAGGCAAGUAAGAGCGGGUGGUGACUAAAAUUAAUCUCGAGAAAACUUAUGAUAUAUUGGAUUGGAAUUUUAUAGAGGAUGUACUUGUUGAUAUUGAGCAACAUAGUUAAUUACAUAAUUUUGUAUUGUGUCAUAAAUUGCUUUCUAUGCAGAUUGUUUGGAAUUAUAAUUUAUUUGAACAUUAUUUAUUUGUAGCCGAAUCAAUUACUCAAGCCGUGAGUAUGGGUAGAUGGGAACUAAUUAAGCUAACAAGGGGUGAUUCGAGUGUUAAGAUGGCUUAAUUUUGUUUACAGAAGCUUCGAUUGAGCAAAUGAAACUUGUUAGGGAUAAAUUGGAUGCCUUUUGUUAUUGCUUCAUAAGCGAGUAAUUAAAGCUACGUAUCAAUAUUACUAAUAUGAGAUAAAAAAUGUCUAAGUGCAAGGUAAAACUCUUUUGCUAUCAGAAGAAUAACUCUCACCGAGGCAUGUUGGUCGUCGUUCUUAUAUAUGCAAUACAAUGGACAUUUCUACAGAAAGGAAUAAGCUCGAUAAUAGGGAAAAUCAUACAAAACCUUGUUGGGGGCACAUAGAAGACUAAAUUUUUUUUUUGACAACAAGACCUAAAGAGAUCAACCUUCAAUUAAUAGCAUCAUCAAUUACAAUAUUAUGGAUCACCGUAGGGUUAUCCAUACCAAAAACCAAAUGACCCUCGUGAGUAAUGGCAUAAUUGCAUAAAAGGUCUGCCACCUUAUUACAUUUGCAAUUGACCAAUUAACAGCCACAUUAUUGAACACAUCCAUAGUUUUAAAGCAUUCAUUAAUGCGGUAACCCGUGAUAGUAAUAUCCUCCCUACGCUUCUUAAUUCUGUUUGUGAGGAUGGCAAGAAGAUAAAGAUUUGAUUUAGUGAAAAAGGGUGAUAUUUGUCAACUGACGUCUCAAGGUGGCCUUGGAAUUAAAGGGUUGGAUUGACAGAAUGCUGCAUUGGGUUUUAUCUGGUGCUUUAAGAUUGAUCAACUUCGGUUCAACUACUACGAACUAAGUAUAAGUGAGGAGUUAGGCGUUGAAUCAUAUGGAACAUUGGGGAUGUUGUGAGGUGGAUUUUGGGCGCGACUCUUGGGUAAAAAACUAUAGCCUUUGAUGAACAGUAGUAUCCGACUAGACCUUGCGCGUUCUAAUAGUGUGCCUAUAUGUAAUAUGAUGGAUCAUAUUGGGGAUUGGAAUUGGAUACAAUUCAAACACUUACUGACUGAAUCGAUAGCUUUAAAAAUUAGUGCCUUGUGGCCUCUUUUGCAGUCGAAUAUCCCUGACUUCUCUGGGUGGCGUUGGGAGAGAAGACAUGUUUUUAUCACUAAGUCAGCUUAUUAUUAUGCAAUGGAUAACCAAAAUAGCUUGGAGCCUGAUAAACUUUGGCGAUGUUUUUGGAGUUACGAGGGCCAUCAUAGAGUCAAUUUGGGGCACGUUGCAGGUAAUUCGGUGUACAGCUAUCGUGAAGACGACAUAUCAUAUAUUGGGAAGAUGUUUCUUAACCAUGUCAGGCUUGUUAACGAGAGAGGCUUAGAGAAUUUUAAAGCUUACGUAUUCAUGAUCAAUUGUAUGCAAAUCUUUUCAAUCCCUCAUGUUUUGCAGUGGAUGGGAUAUGGUGUUUGGAAUUCUUAGUUGGAGCUUGAGGAAUAAGAUGAAUAGUUGGAUACUGAAUGGGGCAUUCUUUACAUGGGAGAACAUCCUUGAAAGAGGAGGCCGAUUAUGGAAUGAGGUGACCAAAGCAAGGUCAGAUUUUGUUGGGUUUUUGAACAAUUUAUCUGGAGGAAGUAUGAAGCUUAGUGUAAAACUUGAGCAACAACGUAAUAAAUCUGGAUAAAGAAUAAAGGAAGAUUGAGCUUCAAAAGGCUCAAUAUUUUCAGGAUAAACAAACAGAAUUUUACUUGGGAAAAGAACGCAAAAAUUGAGAGAGUAUUUUUCUUGAAUGACUUCUAUGAAAAUUCAUUGAUAAAAAAGAUUGCAUAAUGCCAAUACAUAUACCAGUCAUAAGCUGGUCAGCUUUGACAGGUUUCACUUACUAUUUUUAGGCUUUAUUGCAACUUGCAAAGCACAAUUUGCGUAAUUAGGUAAGCUGAUCUAUCAAUCUUAUUAGCACCGAAUGAAUUAAAUACAUUACCUACUUGGUUCAAAUUAAACUAAGUUACAAAAUAUUACUUAAAGUAACAAAAUGAAACCGAAAUUGAACAGUAACAUCAACUUCAGUAGCUGCAUGUACUUUUUCUGCAAAUACUAUAGCAGCUUGAUCUUUAUUUUUCACCCACAUAACUUGGACUGCAUGUACUUCAUCCGCAUAACUUAUGUUGCAUUCUCUGCUUCUUGGCUGCUUCAUGUGCUGCAUGCAGGCCAACUUCAACACUCCUCAUUGGCUUGCAUGCUACAAACUCCCAUUUUGGUUAUUAAAUCUUCAAAUCUUAACACAUUAAGGGGCUUUGUUAAGAUAUCAGCAAGUUGUUCUUUAGAACUGCAACGAAUCAGCUUCACUUCUUGAGCUUGCUCCAUCUCUCUAACAAAGUGAAAUUUGAUCUUGAAAUGUUUCGUUCUCCUAUAAAACACUGGAUUUUUUGCAAUUGCAACAGCAGAUUGGUUGUCACAAUUGAUCUCUGUUGCUUCCCUUUGGUGUAGAUUCAAAGCAACCAUGAGUUUUCUCAGCCACAUGGCUUUAUUUACAACACUAGUAGCUACUACAUAUUCUACUUCAGCAGUUGAUUGAUCAACAAUAUUUUGCUUCUUCGAACUCUAGCAAAAAAUGGUUGAACCAAGGGUGAAUAGAUACCUUGAGGUACUCUUCAUAUCAUCUAUUGAUCCAGCCCAAUCACUAUCAGCAUAGCGAAUUAAUUUCAUGUUUUCAACUUUGCUAAACAACAUUCCAUAGCUUUGUGUACCUUUGAUGUACCUGACCACUCUUUUGGCAGCUUAAAAGUGCUUUUCAAUGCAGCAAUGCAUGAAUCUUGAAAGCAAACUUACAGCAGACAUAAUGUAUGGUCUAGUGGCAGUUAAAUAGAGUAAACAUCCAGCUAGACUUCUGUAGGUUGAUUCACUAACCUUUUCAAAAUCACCUUGGCUUGAUAGUUUCUCUCCAAUAGCAACUGAUGUACUUGUUGCCUUGCAAUUUUGCAUGGAGAAUUUGCUCAGAAUUUUAGAGACAAAAGCUUUCUGGCUUAGGAAGAUCCAUGAUGUGUUUGUGAUACUUCCAUGCCAAGAAAGUAAGACAGUUGUCCCAAAUCUAACAUCUCAAACACUUGUUGCAUUUUGCAUUUGAAGUCUGUCAGCAUUGCUUGGUCUCCUCCUGUCACUAACAGAUCAUCAACAUAUAGAGGCACUAUCAGUUGAGUUUUACUACCUUGCUUUUUCAUAUACAAGGUAGGUUCACUAAUGCUUCUUUCAAAUCCAAGGCUAGCUAGAUAGCCAUCGAUCUUGCUAUACCGGGCUCUUGGAGCUUGUUUCAAGCCAUAUAAGGCUUUCUUCAGUUUGUACACCUUAUCCUCUUCAACAACAAUUUUGAAGCCUUCAGGCUGCUCAACAUAUAUUUCUUCUUCAAGAAAACCAUUGAGAAUGGCUGACUUCACAUCGAUCUGAUGGAUUUUCCAUUGCAUUUGUGCUACUAAGGCAAUUAGCAGCCUUAUGGUAUCAAGCCUAGCUGUAGCAGCCCAAAUUUGACCGGGCCUUAAAACCAAAAUAGAAAUACAAAAAUAAAUAAAUAAAUAAAUAAAUAAAUGUUUAUUUAUUUAAACAGUCCAUGUACAAGAGCCCAAACACAAGCCCAAAUACCUAAACCUAUGUACCCAAUUAUAGCUAACCCAACUAAACACGGCAGUUUUAACCCAUCUACCAGGCUAGCCCAAAUUUAAAACAGCCCAAAAGGCCCAAAGGACUUAAGGGAAACAAGAAACCCUAGGAUUUCCUAAACACUGUGGCGCCGCAAUAGGUUCUAGAGGAUUCGGGGAGCGUCUGUUCAGUCCCCGAAAUCGAGGCCGCCAUUAAUGCGUUGUCCCAAGGGCCUUCAAUGCCCACCAGGGCCCCGGUCACAGUUCGUCCCUCUAUUCGGCCCCAAAUCUCGUCACAAACAGCACGACCAUCACCGAAAUCUUCGGGGUACCUGCAAGAAAAGGAAAGAAAUCAAAGCAAGAUUGCAGUAAAUAGAUUAGAACAGAGUUUGGAAAGAAAUCUUUCGAUUUCUUUCCAAAAUAGGCAGUAGACUAAGGCUAUAAAGCUUUUUUUCAAAUCUGUAAAAAACACAUGGACAUAGAGAGAAACAGACCAAAAAGAUUGUACACCAAAUAUUUUUGCAAUAAUAUAUCAGAAGGAUUUCGAGACAAACGAAGGUGAUCUAUUGUUUCCACAUUUAUUUUAUUUCUUUAUUGUAAACAACUUGUAUAUAAUACAUUAAAAUAGAAGAGAGGAAAAUACCUUCUAGAUUCGCUGAGAAAAGAGAAGCUUUUCGGAUCCCGACCGUCGUGUGUGGAGGAGUUGGUGACGGCGCGUGAGGCUGAGCACGGAGGUCCGAUGAACGGAGCAGACCGGCCUAGGGCCGGAGCUCAGAGGGCUAGGGAAUUUUCAGAGGAUUUCUCUCGUUUUUUUCUAAACCAGGGGCUAAAUGAUUUUUUAGGUUAAAACUUGGCUUAUAUAGCCUAAAAGGAACGGUGCCGUUUUGGCUUAAGUCAAUAAGCCUAAAAACGACAUCGUUUUAAGGUCCCAGGAUCCGCGCGUUGACCCGAUUACCCGGGGAGGAUCCGCGUGUUUUUGAAGAAUGGGUUAAUUACUCAACUGGUCCUUUUGCGAUUUUAAUAUUUAUAAUUCCAUUUUAUUUAUUUUAAAUUUAGCUCUAAUGUUUUAAUGAUGUUUCAAUUUAGUCCUCUCGGUGAUUUUAAAACAGUAUUUGGGAAACAGUGUCGUUUUGUGAUUAGGGCAAAUUGCCCAGUGAGUCCCUUGUUGUUUUUUUCUUUCAAAUCAGGCCAAAAUCUUUGUUUAGUUUGAAAUUAACCCUAAAGUUUUUUUAAUUAAUUUUAAUUUUUGUCCUUAUUACUUUAAUUUAACUAAGAUACUUUAUAUAUUAUUUAUUUUUAUAAAUAUUAGUUAUAUAUUAUCUAUUAUAUUAUUUUUAUCUUAUCUAUAAAUUAUUUUAUUUUGUUAUAUAUAUUUCCUUAUAUUUUUAUUAUUAUUUAUUAAAUUUGUAAAUUGUAAAUUUUUUUUAUAAUAGUAUUCAUAUUUCAUUUUUUAUAUAUUACAUUCCCUCUUUUAUUAUUCCCUCUUUUAUUAUACAUUUUUAUUACGUAUGUAUAUUAUUUAUUUUAUUAUAUAAAAAUUACUUAUAUCCUAUUUAUUAUUUUAUAUUUUACCUAUAAUAUAGGCUAUAUAUAUUGCAUGUUCAAAGAUUUUUAUUACAUGAUAUAUUUUCAUUUCAUUAUUUAUUUUACUAUAUGGAAAAUAUUUGUUACAUUAGUAUCAUUAUACACCAUAUUAUAUUUCAUUAUAAUUAUUUAUGUAUUUCUAUUACAUACUAUGUUUCUAUUAUUUAGUAUUCCUUAUAAUAUUUAUCUUUCUUAUAUAUAUUUUUUAUAUAUAUCUAUUUUGUUUUUUUAUGUGUUAUAUAUUAUAUAGGCAAAAUACUUAUUAUAUAUUUAUUAUCAUUUUUAUAUUAUAUUUCCUUAUAUUUUAUUCAUAUCGCAUUAUUAUUUAUAACUUAUUUCACAUUUUUUAAAAUUUAUAUUUUUUUAUCGAUAAUUACUCACUUUAUGUUACAUUUUAAUAUACAUUAAUUCUUUUUAUGUUGAACAUAUCAUGUAUAUAUUGAAUAUUGUUUUAUGAUUAUUAAAGGUUGUAUUUAGAAUUGACAUGUAUGUUAAUAUUAUUUUGGGCAUGAUUAUGUUAAAUUGUAUGCCAUGCAUCAUCUUUUGUUUAUUAAUUUAUUAAAACGUAUAUAGAGUUAUACCUUAUAGGUUCAUAUGCUUACUUAUUCAUUUUUAAUGUAUGUAGUAUGUUUUUGUACGUAUGUUUUACAUGUUUUGAGGUUGCCAUGUUUAUUGUUUAAUUUUUUUUUAAAUUCAUGCUUUAUUUACCUAUUAUUAUAACAUGUUAUCUCGUUUGUUAUGUUAAUAUGCUCCUUCAUGCAUCGAUUCUAAAAACAAGACUCUAAAGUUUUCAAAAAAUAAAGGCAAUGCUUGACGUUUGGAAAUUUCAAGAAAAGUAGUGCCCUAACUUAUUGGGUUGCAAUUUUUCUCGUUGAGUUCGAAUAGUCAAGCACCCUUCUAAGUUUUAAGGUUGUCAUAGUGCAAGCGACUGUCUCGGAAUUUCAAGGCGAUGUGUCCUAACUUACUGGAUAUGGCGUUUUGCUGUUUCGAGAUGGGGAUUUUCAAAAAGGCUAACUUAGUGUCAAUAUUUUGAUACAAGUGAACCCCAAUUUUCAAAAUCAAAAUAUUUUAAAGAGGAUUGCAUCUUAAAAUUUUUAAAUUUCCGACCUUAAAGACAUUUGAUAAUUAAUUAGGUACCAAUUUUUGGGCGUUACGAGGGUGCUAAUCCUUCCUCGUACGUAAUCUACUCCAGAACCCGUUCUUUUAUUUCGUAGACCAAAACCAAUGAUUUAUUGGUGAUCCAAUCACACCUAAAAAAGAUUGGUGGCGACUCCCGUUUUCGUUUUUCUUAAAGUCAAUUCCCAUUUUCAAAAAAAUCGAUUUAGAAAAUGGUUUCGACAUUAGCCACUGGUGCAAAGGUUUCAAAAUAGUCAAUGCCAUACAUUUGGCUGAACCCUUUUACAACCAGCCUUGCUUUCAGUUUGUUCAAGCUUCUAUCAGCAUUGUGCUUGGAUCUAAACACCCACUUCACUGUAAUGACUUUUCUGUUGAGUGGUCUUUCAACUAGCUGUUAGGUCUGAUUCUUCUCAAUCAUACUAAUUUCAUCAGCCAUUACCUGUUUCCAGCCUUGAUGAGCUUCAGCUUCUUUAAAGCAGCUUGGUUCAAUAGUAGCCACAUGAGCUUUUUUAUAAAUCUCAGCCAAUGGUCUAAUGCCUCUAACUGGUUCAUCAUCAAUGUCUAUUUCAGGACCAUUUUGAUCAGCUUCAGUCUAAUUUGUCACCAAAUCUUCAGCAUCAGUUUCUGGUUUGUUUUUAUCUUAGUUCCAGCUUGCCUUCGCAUCGAAUACAACAUCUUUGCUCUUAGAGACCUUGUUUAUCAAAGGAUCAAGUAUCCUAUAACCCUUCUUGUUACUAUUGUAGCCCACCAGAAUACCAGGUUGAGCUUUUUUAGCAAGCUUGUCUCUUUUUGCUGCAGGAACAUGAGCAUAACAAAUGUAGCCAAAGACUCUUAGGUGAGCCAAUGAUGGUUUGAACCCGAACUAGGCCUCGAAUGGAGUUUUCCGAGCAAAAGGCUUGGUUGGGAGCCUAUUUUGAAGGUAAACAGUAGUGUUAACUGCUUCUGCCCAAAAUGUCUUAGGAAAAUUUCUUUCAAACAUUAGGCACCUGGCCAUAUCCAUCAAGCUUCUGUUCUUUCUUUCACUUACACCAUUUUGUUAAGGUGUAUAAGUGUUGGUGAGCUGGUGUUUGAUGUCUGCUUCAUCACAAAACAUAUGUAACUCGAAUGAAGUAUUCUCAGUCCCAUUAUCUGACCUCAAUGUCUUCAACUUGUAACUUGUUUCAGUCUCUGCUGCAACUUUGAACUUCAAAAAUACUGAAGCCACUUCUGAUUUUUGUUUAAAAAAAGAAAUCCAGCAAUAUCUUGAGUAAUCAUUAAUGAAUAAGAUGAAAUACCUGUUGCCAUUCAGAGAUUGAGUCUUCAUUGGACCACACACAUCAGUGUGUACAAGUUGAAGUCUUUCAGAAGCUCUCCAGGCUUUGUUUGUAGGAAAUGGAAGUCUAGCUUGUUUUCCUAGCUGACAUAUUUCACAAACAUUUUCUUUUUCAACUGAGUUAGUGAAGUUUUUAGCCGAAUCUACUUUGGUUAGCUAAGUCAUUGAGUUGUAGAUGACAUGGCUAAGUUUUUUGUACCACAGCUUGGAUUCAUCCUGAGGAGCUGUGUAGGCAUUGUUUGCGCCCUUGUUCCAGUCCACCACAAAGCUUUUGUUAGCCAUGGUCACUGAUAUGAGCUUGGAUCCAUUUGGAUCAUUGAUUAGGCACUCUUUGCCUUUGAACACCACAAAGUAUCCCUUUUCUAGCAACUAAGCUAUACUGAGCAGGUUUCUAUCUAUUUCGGGCACCAAAAGUACAUUUGAAACAAGUUUGGUAACUGUAGGAGUGUCAAUCAGCGCAUCUCCUUUGCCUUCUGCUUUGAUGAAGUGUCUAUUUCCAGCCUUCACCCUUGUUUUGAAGCUUUUGUCUAUUGACUUGAAGAUAGUAGCAUCUGGAGUCAUGUGGUUAGUACAUCCACUGUCAAUCAACCAUCCUUUUGUGGCUUUUCUUUUGGUAGUUGAGCAAGAAACUGCAAAGACUUGCUCUUCUUUGUCACUACCUUCUUCUGCUACUUGAGCUUUAGCUCUUGGCUGUUGAGGUUGAUUUGACCUCUGUUUGCCUUUUUUUUUACAAACUUUGUCUGCAUGGCCCAUCUUUUUGCAGAUUUUGCACUGCACAUCAGGCCUAAACCAACAUACUUCACCUGGAUGACUUAGCCUUUUGCAGUGUGGGCAAGGUGGAUAUUUUCUUGUACCAUCUGUUCUAGGUUUAUCUUUCCAAGUUUUUUUCCCCUCAUAGGUAGAAGAGUUUGUGGCUAGUCUGGUUUUGGCUUCGAAGGCACAUUCUUGAUUCUCCUCCAGUCUAUUUGCUCUCCUUUGCUCUUGAGCAUAAAGAGCAUUGAUCAGCUCUGUCAAUAAAAUAUUGGUCAGGUCCCUCGAGUCUUCAAGAGAUGAGAUCUUUGCCUCAUACCUUUUAGGUAAGGUUGAGAUCACCUUUUCCACAAUUCUUGCUUCACUAAAUUGUUCUCCAAGUAGCCUUAUGCUGUUUACUACAACCAUGAUUCUAUCUGAGUAUUACUUCACUGUUUCUUCCUCUUUCAUCUUAAAGUUUUUAAAGUUUUUUCUUAAAUUCAGUAGCUGUUGCUACUUUGUUCUUUCAGUCCCUUGGAACUCCUCCUUUAACUUAUCCCAGGCCUGCUUUGGUGACUCACAAGCCAUGAUUCAUGUGAAAAUCACAUCAGAUACACUGUUCUGGAUGCAAGACAUGGCUUUAUGCCUUUUGGUUCCUUCAUCAGAAUGAUGUCUUAUCUGAGCCACUGUUAGGUUGGCUCUAAGAGGUGCUGGUUCAACAUCUGAGUUGAAAACCUCCCACAAAUCGAAUGCCUGCAGGUAGGUCUUCAUUUUCAUUACCUAAAUGUGGUAGCCCUCUCCAUUGAAGACUGAUGGUGGCACUAGUGAGAAUCCUGAGGAAGACAUGGUUUUAAGGAUUGAAAUAUGACAGGUCCACUAAGAAUUUGGCUCUAGAUACCAAUUGUUGGAUUUUGAACAAUUUAUCCGGAGAAAGUAUGAAGCUCAGUGUAAAACUUGAUCAACAAUGUAAUAAAUCCGAAUAAAGAAUGAGGAAAGAUUGAGCUUCAAAAGGCUCGAUAUUUGUAGGAUAAACAAAUAGAAUUUUACUUGGUAAAAGAAAGCAAAAAUUGAAAGAGUAUUUUUCUUGAAUGACUUCUAUUAAAAUUCAUUGAUAAAAAAGAUGGCAUAAUGCCAAUACAUAUACCAGUCAUAAACUGGUCAGCUUUGAUAAGUUUCACUUACUAUUUUUAGGCUUCAUUUCAACUUGCACAACUUGCACAUUGCAACUUGCAAAUCACAACUUGCACAAUUAGGUAAGCUAAUCUAUCAAUCUUAUCAGCACCGAAUGCAUUAAAUACAUUAUCUACUUGGUUCAAAUUAAACUAAGUUACAAAAUAUUACUUAAAGUAACAAAAUGAAACUGAAAUUGAACAGUAGCAUCAACUUCAGUAGCUGCACGUGCUUUAUCUGGGAAUACCACAGCAGCUUGAUCUUCAUACUUCAUCUACAUAACUUGGACUACAUUUACUUCAUCUGCAUAACUUAUGUGGCAUUGUCUGCUCCUUAGCUGCUUCAUGUGCUGCAUGCAAGCCAACUUCAAUAGAUUUGCAAACAAAACUUGGCAGGGUUGUAUUAGGGAAUGGAAGAGAAACCACCUCUCGGUUGGUAUAAGAUUUAAUACUGAUGAUGGUAGAAACAGUACAACCGACUUUGCUGCCAUAGGUGGUGUAUCAUGGGGGUUAUUGGUUUAGAAAAUUUGCGCAUAACCUUAAUUGUUGCUCAAUCAUUGAAGCAGAAAUGUAGGAGGCGUAUGAUGGUUUUUAUAACAUGCUUGGAACAUGAGGGUGAAGAGGAGAGCCUUGCAGUGGUCCAGCUACUUCGCAAUAAAAUGGAAAUGCAGAGCAGCAAUGCAAUCUAUCCUUCAAAUAGAAGUAUGUUGGAAAUGGGUCUAAACGUUAAUAUUAUAUAAGUCUACAUAGAAGGAAAGGGUCUUCCUUCCUACUUCACGUUUCAUUUACUAAACCAAUAAUUGGCUUGAUCAUUCUUGUCUUCAUGGAAGAAGGAAACUGCAAAAGAUAGGAUAAAACUGCCCUCAAAAAAAAAAUUACUAACCUUGAACAACAUUGUGAGGAGGGAUAACUACAAAUUCAAACAUGGACAAUAAAACAAACAUAAAAAAUACCUAAUGGAGUCUUAUAAAUAAGGAAAUUGCAUGUUAAAACGCUUAUGCAAUUAACAAUUACUACACAUUUACUAAGCCAAUUGGCUUGGUCUUUUUGUCUUCAUGGAACUUGGUAAAGAGAGUGAUGAAACCAUCAUACACCCCACAAAAUGACAGAUAAAAUUACUAACCUUGAACGACAUUGUUGAGAGGGACAGUUGCAAACUUAAAUAUGGACAGUAAAAUGAACAUGAAAAGUACUAAAUAUAUAUAAUUAACGAUAUAUAAAUAAUCUAGUAUGUUGGUAUUAUAAAUUUACUGUAUUUCAAAAUAUAUAUUCUCUUAGAGAGAGAGAGAGAGAGAGAGAGAGAGAGAGAGAGAAGAGGGAGGGAGGGAGGGAGAAGGAGCAUUAGGAGGAUUCUUCUACCAAGAGAGUGACUUAUACUUUCAUAAUAACAGCUUACAAUUUGCUUAAAAAGAAGAGACAAGUGACAAUUUUUGAGUCUUAUGAAAAAGUAAGACUUGUGUUAAAAUGCUUAUACAAUUAACCACUACAUCACAUUUACUAAACCAAUUGGCUUGGUCUUCUUGUUUUCAUGGAAGAACCUGCAAAAGAUAAGGAUGAAACCAUCAUAUACCCCCUUAAAAAAAAACUAAUUCAAUCAACCCGAUGUUACAUAAUUACUAACAUUUAACCAUAUUGUGGGGGAGAGGUAACCAGGAUUUUCUUAGAGAGAGAGAGAGGACAUGUGCAAGAGCAUUAGGAGGAUUCUUCUCAAAAUUGCCAAGACAGUCACUUACACUUUCUUAAUACUGACUUACAAUUAACUUAAAAAAAAGAAGACAAAUAAAAAUUUUGCAGUCUAAUAAACAAGCAAGUCCGUGUGUUAAAAUGCUUAUGCAAUUAACCACUACUUCACAUUUACUAAACCAAUUGGCUUGGUCUUCUUUUUUUCAUUGCGGAACCUGUAAAAGAAAGGGAUGAAACCAUCAUACACACCCUCGAAAAAAAUGACAUAGAUAUAAUUACUAACUUUGAACGACAUUAUUGGGAGGGACAGUUGCGAGCUUAAACAUGGACAGUAAAAUGAACAUGAAAAAUGACAAAUAUAUAUAUAAUCAUCGAUUUCUAAACAAUCCAGUAUGUUGGUGUUAUAAAUGUAGUGUAUUUCAAUAUAUAUUUUGUUAGAGAGGGGGAGAGAGAGAGAGAGAGAGCAUUAGGAGAAUUUUUCUCAAAAUUGUCAAGAAAGUCACUUACACUUUCAUAAUUCCGACUUACAAUUAACUUAAAAAGAAAAACAAAUAACAACUUUAGAGUUUUAUAAAUAAACAAGAAGUGUCUUAAAACACUUACGCUAUUAACCACUACUUAACAUUUGCUAAACCAAUUGGCUUGGUCUUCUUCAUGGAGGAACUUGCAAAAGUGAUGCAACCUAUCCGAGAUGAUAGUGAUGAAACCAUCAUACAACCCCCUCCCCUCCAAAAAAAAAAAAAACAAAAACAUUUUAAUCAACCUUACAUUAUGGAUAAAAUUAUUUACUUUAAACAACAUUAUUGAGAGGGGCAGCUAUAAACUCAAACAUAAAUAGUAAAAUAUAUAUUUUCUUAGAGAGAGAGGACAAGUGGAAGAGCAUUAGAGAGAUUCUUCUCAAAAGUCACUUAUGAAAUUGUUAAGAGAGUCACUUACACUUUCAUAAUACUGACUUAAAACGAAGAGGUAAGUAACAAUUUUAGAUUCUUAUAAACAAGACAGACGUGAUAAAAUGCUUAUGAAAUUAACCACUACUGCCCUCCUACCGUUUAAACAAUGGACACAAAUCCUAAAUAUUGAUGUAUGCUUACUGCAAUUGAACCUAUUCGAAAUUCGAUAACUUUGAAGCUACUUGAACCACUAAUUAGUCAAAAUACCUACAUAUAUUACCAGAAGUAACUGCAGUUGAAGGAAUCUUACACCUGAAACAGUCAAGCUACACUUAUCGAAAUGUAAAACAUUAAUCUAACAAGACAAACACUGACUAGUAUUUUCUUUUUCCUACUUAAGAAGCUUAAAUACUAGUAAAGCCACAGUCUUCCAUGACUGAACAUAUAAAUCAAGAGUGACAGCAAAUCUACUGGAUGUUUCACAUCCUAACUUUCUCUAGAUAAAUAGAACAAUUUUCUUGUUUUGCCUUGACUCUAAAAUCUCUUAUAACCCUAAGCAAUAUCGCAGAUUGUGACCAUUAAUAUCGAAUGGGUUUUAUUCCCACUAACCUUGUUAAUGCUUUACAACACCAAUGAAUUCUAUGCAAUCUUAAAAUUGAGGAGCUCCACAAGUGAAAUCAUGACAGCAAUAACAAUAUUUUUAUAGUAAUUUCUCAAAGAUUCAUCAACUUUCAGUUUAGUAUCUCUGCAAAUCUUUGAUGAUUCUCCAAUUAUACAGACUAGACUUCAAUAAAGCAUUCAUUAUUAUGAUACUCUUGAUUCAGGUUCAUUAAACAAACGGUUUGAAGAACACACACCUGCUAGCCAUUUUGCACCGAAAUAUGCUAAGAGAGAUGUUAGUCACAGUCUUAAAUUAUUGACGGACCCAUGGUUUCAAUAAACCUUUCCAUACCUUCAAAGAAGUAAGUUUUCAAUGGUAAGGACUUGCAAUCGAACUGUAAUGGCCAAUUUUGACCCAGGCACAAGAAUAAAACAAUAAAUAACCAAUUAAUAAAACCUAGUGCCGCCCCUAACCUCUGCCACCAGCUGCCAUGGCAGCACCACCACCUGCUCCCGUUCCAUCGCCUGCAAACAGAGAAAAAGAAGCACGCAACAGAGAACCAAAACCCACACGCAACAAUAAAGGAACAAGCAGGAACGACAAAAAAAAUAGGAGUAAACAAGUCUUGUGAAUCUUAUAAAAACCCGAAAUUUACCUUUGCAUUUUUUUUAGCCACAAACAAAAGGCAGAAACUAUUAAUCUAAAAGAGAUUUUAAGGUGAUUUUUGGUUUUUACAAUAGUUUCUUUCAUCUAGUUCUUGGUUUUGAUUUCAUUUUUUUUCGUGUUUUAGUUCUUUUUUCUUUUUCAUGUACGAAAAUAAACGAAAAGGUAAAGAGAAAGGUAACCUCACCUUGAUCUUCCCACGGACUCAUCGCUGGAGAUCUCUUCUCCAAUGGCCAAAGUCGAAUCGGGGAGAGGGGGGACCUUUCUUUCGAUUUCUUGAGGGUUGAGAAGGCAUGGCCUUCGAAUGUGCCUCAAAACGAGGCUAAGAAGCCCAUCUCCGCACUUUCUGUUCUUUUUAAAAUUGGGGGCUGGAAAUGAAAUUAGAAAAGAAAGGUUUUUUUGUUGUAUAAAUGAUGAUGAUGGAAGGGCGCCGUUUGGUGGAGUGGGGGGUGUGCAUUCUCCCUAAAUGGGGAAUCUGCGAGAUUGGUCCUUCUCCUUUGCAACUUCAUUCGAUCAGGCCCCAGCUUCUGUUUUCUUUUGUUUUUUUAAUUUAGCUCUUAGAUUUCGCUUGGGUUACAUUCGGGUCCUUUGAAACACUGCACAUAGGGGUUGAGAAUAUUUUCCCAAUCAGUCCCUCGUUCUUUAUGCGUAUUUCAUUUCGGUCCUUAGUGGCCCCUUUUCUUUUUUUUAUUUACAAUUUGCACCUUAAAUCUUAAUUAAAUUUCAGCUUAGUCCUAAUAUAUUUAAUUUGUUCAUUUAUUUAUUAUUUCAAUUUUUUUAGGAGCUAUUUUACUGUUAGUUAUUUUAAAUUUGUUUAUCUUACAUUAUUUAUAUUAGACCAUUUUAUUAUUAAUUAUUGUAAAUUGUUAUUGGUUUUAAAUAUUUUUUACAUAUAUUAUUUGUUUUAACCCCUAUACAUAUUACUUAUUUUGAAAUAUUUUAUACGUUAUUUGUUUUAAACUAUUAUAUAUGUAUUUUCCAUUUUGAGUUUCUUUUCAUACUUUAUUUAGUUACACUAUUCUAAUCGUUUAAAAUUCAUCUUUUUUUAAUUUCCCAUAUAUUAUUUAUUUUAAUAUAUUCUUUACUUUAGAUUAUUUUAUAUAUGUCCUAUUCUAAAUUUUCAUGUGUAAUAUUUAAUUUAAACUGUUUUAUAUGUUAUUUACUUUAAAUUUUUAUAUAUUAUUUAAUUUAAAUUUCUUUUUACAUAUUAUUAUUUUGAGCUCUUAAUAUUUAUUUUAAAUUUCUUUAUAUAUUAUUCUAAACUUGUCUUUACGUAUAUUUAUUUAAAAUUGUCUUAUACAACUUAUUUUAAACUCUCUUAUUUGUUUAAAAUUGUUUUAUUAUUGUUCAUUUUGGUUUUUUUUGACAUAGUAUUUAUUAUAUAUAUCAUCUAUUUUAAAUUGAUUUGUAUAUUGUCGAUUUUAAAUCUCUUUUUUUCACAUUAUUUUAAUCCCAUUUAUUGUCAUUUUAAAAUGGUUUUACAUCUUAUUCAUUUUUAUUUGCUUUAUACCUUUUAAAUUAUUAUUAAAUUCAUUUGCCUUUAAUUGUUGAGGUUAACAUUUAAAUAAUGUACCUUGUGUGAUUAUUGCCAUUGUGUGAAUUUUGAUUCGUUUAUUUCGAAAUUUUGCAUUACUGUUUUUCAUUUGUAUAAUGUUGUGUCCAUUUAUAUUUGUCUCAUAUUCAUUACUAUAUUUUCAUAUCAUCACCUCGUGAAUCAAGCCUCGUUGCAUUUAUCCAAUAAAUCGCUUUAUUUUAACCUAAACAAAUAACAUACGUCGUUUAAAUGUCGUAUUCGCUACUAUUCAAAAACAAAAAUUUCAAAAUAAGGCAAUAUUUCGCGUUUUGAAGCAUCGAAGAAUUGUGCCCUAACUUACGGGGUUUUGGUUCUCUCGUUGAUUCUAAAUAGUUAAAUAUCCCUUUGAGUUUAAAAUACACGGAAUUCCAAUUGGAAUUAAAGACAAGCCUGCGCUCGGGAAUUCAUGGUAACGUGUCCUAACUUACGGGAUGUGAUACUCCGAUAUCUCGAGACGAGGAAAUCUUUAACGAUCGUUUUGAGCUAAUUCAAGUGUUUUCUUUUCUUAAAAAUUAUCGCUAAUAAAAAAGGAUCGUAUUUUAAAUUCGUUCUCGAUAUUCAAUUUUUGACAUUAAAACACUAACUAAUCAAUCCGGUACCAAUUUUUGGGCGUGUCGAGGGUGCUAACCCUUCCUCGAGCGUAAUCAACUCCCGAACUUGUUCUCUUGAAUUUAGUAGACCAAAAUGUCGUUUUAAUAAACUAAAUUUUUUUAUCUAAAACAAAGGUGAUUUGAUCACACCAAAUAAAGAUCGGUGGCAACUCUAAUUUUAAUUAUCAUUUUCAAACCAAAGUCGAUUCCUGCGUUUUCAAAAAAAUGGUUUCGACAGCUUGGCGACUCCACUGGGGACUUUGAGAGUCGAGCCAUAAAUUGAUUGAUUUUUGUCCUUUGUCGAAAAUUGAAAACUCGUUUUUAAACUUAUGAUCCCUUUAUUGCAUUUUAUCCGUUUUUUACGGUUUACAUUAUUUUUCCUAUUUUCUUUAUUGCCUCGGGUUUUUCUUAUCAUAUAUCCUCGCACAUUGCAUUGCAUGACCGCUGUGGUCACACCUUUUAAGUGGGAGUGAGAAGCUAUGCCUUCAUGAGGUUUUCACCUCCGCAUGGGCUAGUGGAUCGCUUUCGGGAUACAUCCGUACCUAUGUCUUCGUGAGAUUUUCAUCUCCGUGCAGCCAUAGGGAAAUAUAUUCCCUUGAACUGAACUCUAUCCAUAUGAGCCUAUAACGGGUGAAGAUCGAGGAAUCUGCUGGUUCGGGUACCUUUACUCUAGAACCGAGCCACAUAUAGAGAGACCUAGGAGCUUACCCUAGGUAGAGCUACUCCAAACCCCUAGUGGUCACCCGAAUAGGUGCUUUAUUUGUUAUUUAUUUCUCCUGUACUAACGUGUUUUGUUUUUGUUUUGAUGAUAACUGCAUUGCAUUACAUCAUUAUAGAAAGGAGGUGUUGAUUCAUAUCCGAUUGCUAAAUAGAACAGUUUGUCAUAAGAAAUGAAUUUCUUGAUAAAGUGGAUUUUAACACGGUUGUCUAAAUAUGGUCCAAGUAAACACAAUGAAGGAAGAUUGAUAGUCCAUGAAGAAAUACACGACUUUGCUUCAUCGCCUGAGGAUUUAAGUUAACAAAGAUUAUUCGAGAGCCGUCAUGUCUUAAAGAAGCUAACGAGCAUCGCGGGGAUAAAUAAGCAAUGGGCCGCAAUCUAGAUCGAGCAGAAAGGAAAUAAUAGAGACAUAUUUUGAAAAAUUCACAAGACUCGACGAUAAUAUCCGGAUAUGAAGAGGAAGAUAGGUGUCUUCGCUUGGAAUAUGAGAGAAAUGCCGUAUAUGUAAUCCGUUUUAUGUAAAGGAAUUUGUUUUCUAGAGAAGUUGUUCUAAUGAAAUUGAAUUCAGAAUAAACACAUUCCUUUCUUUUGCAUUCAUUCCAUGCAUUUGCAUUUGCAUUGCAUUAUUUGCAUUGGACUUUCCCUAAAAGAACCCUAAUUAGGUAAAAUUAUUUCAGUUAACCUGGGAACUGAUAAAAGUCAAGCAACUAGGCAUCUUUACAGUACAAGGAAAAGGAAAAAAGAUAUGGAUCAAAUAUUGAAAAGACUGGAAAAACUUCAAAAAGAGAUGCAAGACCAGUUACAACUGCAAAUGCAAGAGCAACUAGCGAAGAUCCAGCAAGAUAUGAGGGACUGAAUGAUAGAGUCCCAAAGGAAUAUGAUGAAUCAGUUGUCCCAAGUACUGACUAAGGGGCUAGGAAAAGAAAAAAACUCGAUGAUCAAUGUUGGAGAGGACAAUGAGGAGCCUCUGUACCCUCUGAGUUUCACCCCGAUAAAUGAUCAGAUAUGUCCGCAAAAUGUACCUGUUGCUAUCAGAUCACAACAACAUCAGGUCGGUACCUCAGCACCCAUGAACUACCCGACGGGCUCAGGUUCCAAUCCAAGGAACAGUCCAACCAAUCAUGAAGUUCCUGAUCUAAACGAAAUGGCAGGAAUAGAAAAAACAAAGGUUGAACUGCCAAGACAACUCGAAGAUCGAUACAAGUGGUUGGAAGAAAAACUUAGAGCGAUGGAGAAUAUUGAUUAACAUCGCGGGGUUAAUGCCAAAGAUCUCAACUUAGUCCCAGAUUUAGUACUCCCGCCAAAAUUCAAGACUCCAGAAUUUGAAAAAUAUAAUGGGACUAGUUGUCCUAAAGCUUACAUCAUGAUGUUCUGCCAAAAAAUGACAGGUUACGUUGAUAACAAUCAACUGUUAAUUCAUUGCUUCCAAGAUAGUCUGAUUGGGUCAGCGGCCAAAUGGUACAACCAACUGAGUCGUGCCAAAAUUCAUUCAUGGAAGGACUUAGCACAAGCUUUCAUGAAGCAAUAUGGCCACGUGACAGACAUGACGCCUGACAGAAUUACACUACAGAAUAUGGAAAAGAAGUAAAGUGAGAGCUUUAGACAAUAUGCCCAAAGAUGGAGAGAGGUAGCGGCGCAAGUCCAACCACCUCUUUUGGAGAAAGAAACUACGAUGUUUUUCGUCAACACUCUGAAAGCCCCAUUCAUUACCCAUAUGUUGGGAAGCGUUACCAUGAGCUUCUCAGAUAUAGUAAUGUUCGGCGAGAUGAUUGAAAACACAAUCAGGAGCUGGAAGAUAGACGCAAGAGAAAGCGCCAAAAGGUCAACCCCAAAUAGAAAUGAAAAUGAAGUGAAUAAUAUGAGCAAAGGGUACCCUAAAUUGAUCAACAUAGGCCAGACGAGGCAGGAAUCCAACUCGAGGCUGAAUACAGAAAGGCUCUAGUUUACACUCAUCCCAAUGUCAUAUGAGGAGUUGUAUCAAAAUCUCUUUGAUGUACAUGUUGUGUCUCUGUUUUACUCAGAACCUGUGCAACCUCUGUUCCCAAAAUGGUAUAAUGAGAAUGCUCAAUGCGAGUACCACGCAGGAAUAACGGGACACUCAAUCGAAAACUACACUACAUUUAAAAAGUUGGUCGAAAGGUUCAUUGAAAUGGGAAUUGUGAAGUUCGACGAUUCCUCAAAGCCUAAUCGUUCUGACAAUACAGUAAAUGUGACAUUUGCAAGUGAGAGCAAAAGAGUUGCGAUGCCUUGAACAAAGCCUGGAAAGAAUAUUGGAGAAUCUGAAUGACUUAUCCGAAGAAGGAAUCGGGUAAUAAAAGUUUCCAAACCCUUGCAUUACUUAGAAGUGUUUUGAACAAUGAGACUGUGGAAGAGAUUCCUUUAUUCUUUGAGCUAAUCUAGAGUAAUAUUCAAAACACGCUUGUUGCUUUAAGCCUAGAAGCAAUUAGACCCCUUUUGUGAAAUAGGCUUGUGUCCUAAGUCUUUAUUUCAAUAAAAUGCAUCUUUUUGAGCAAAUAUUCUUUUAUUUUAUUUCAUAUUGUACAAAUAAUCGUUCUUAGAUUCGUUUGUUCUUUGGACUUUCUUUCAAAUAUUCAUGUAUACUUCAUUCAUGGUCAUACCAUAUAAAUAAUCAUCCUUAGAAUCUGCCUUCAGCGGGUCCCUAGAUAUCAAUGAUGUGAGUAACGCUGUCACUGACUCCGAGUCUCAUUUUGAGCGAAAUAUGGGCCUAAAGGGAUCUUAACACUUUGAAGAUGAUAGAGAUGUAGACAACUCCCUAAUUUGUUAAGGAUGGUAGAGUAAGAUGAAAACAGAUCAUCUCUUACAAAAAGUCAGUGGAUAGUAGGCCUAGGACAAGAGAAAGAUGCAAACAUCAGAGUCUGUAUCACCACAAAGGCAAAGCGAGACAUCAUUGAAUCACUUCCAAGAAUUUAAAGAUUUUUUGCACGAUCGUAUCAAGAUACGCCGGGUUACUAAGACAUGAGGAUGUUGUAAGGUUUUGAAUGACAUAUGCUAAUGGUUUUAUGAUGGCCAGGCUAAUCAUGAGAUUUGGGUUUUGUUGGUCCUCCGUAAAGGGAUUGCAUCAGUAUGCCGUAAGUGCCAAAUUUAUGGAGAGAAAAUUCAUGUUCCCCUUCAUUCUUUCAAUUUUCUCUAUGUGGGGCAUGGAGGUUAUUGGGUUGAUCUCGUUGAAAGCUUCUAACAAGCAUCAAUUACUUCACCUAGAGGGUGAGAGUCGCUUCAUAUGCCAAUCAUCAAAUCCUGAAAAAAAAAAGAUCAUGGAAAAAUGACUGAGACUUGUAAAGAUUGGCAUAAGAAGUCAUCAUGUACCCUCUAUACUCAUCAAACGUUGGCCAAGACCUUCGCCGGGGCAACAUAUUUCAUUAGUCUAUGGGAUAAAAAUGGUUUUGAAGAAGAGUUUCCUUGUCUCUGAAUCUUGAAAAAGUUGAAGUUGGAUAAGGCAAAAUGGAUCUAAUCCCGAUAUGAUCAGUUGAAUUUAAAGAAAAGAGGUUGAAAGCCAUCUGUCAUGGUUCAAUGAAUGAUGUGAGCUUACGAUAGAAAAGUUCCAUGAGGGAAAACUUGAUAUUGAAGAAUAUCCCUCCUAUACAAAAGGACUUCAGAGGAAAGUGGAUGUCAAACUAGGAAAGACCUUAUAUAGUAAAGAAGGCCUGUUCUGGAAGAGCAUUAAUUCUAGUCUAAAUGAAUGGCAAAGAUUUGCCCAAUCCGAUGAAUUUAAAUCCAAUCAAGGAGUAUUCUACCUAAAAAGAAAGAGGCCAAGAUGAAAACCCACAAAGGGCGCAUUAAAAAAAAAAAGAGGCCAAUGUGAAAACUCGCAAAGGGCACCUUGAGACCAAAUGGAUUUUGAAUUGAAAACUCGAAAAGGGCGGCUCAAAUUUGGAUCAAAGUGGGGUAUGCAGCUGUCUUGCUAUGCCUGAAUUAACAAUGAAGAAGUAUGUUACGUCUUGGGGCAUCGACGAAGUACUCCGGAUCCUCUAAACACAUAUUGAGCUCAGAAAGGUCCUCAAGAAGUUGGUACAGAGAAGCUCAAGCUGCGAUAUCUGGGGCACCUAGCUUCCAUUUUGCCCAUUUUUGAAUUUUUUAUCUUUGAUUAUCUUAUUAUUUUCAAGAUAUGUCCCGAUAAAUUUCCUUCUUAUUGCAUUGCUAUAUUUGAUUAACUUAUUCAUUUUGAGUUAAUUUCCUCCUUAUUGCAUUUGCAAUCUUUGAUUAAUUUAUUCAUUUCGAGCUAUGCUCCCAAUCAAUUUCCUUCUUGUCCAUUGUUUUAAUCUUUUUCUAGCAUUUUGCAUUGAAAUAACGAUUAAUGGACCAAUAAUACUUUCACAAAAGAAGUUCUGCAUAUUACUUUGGAAGCUUCUAAAUAGUACAAGAGCCCGAAACAGGACUAUUAUUCAGAACUCACCAAGCCCAAGGGUUGGAAAUAUUUAAGCCCAAAUUGAAAUUAUCUCAUUGGGUUUUCUGUCAAAGAUAUUGGUUGAGCAAAAAGAAAUUACAUUGGUGUUAUAAUCCUGGCAAAGAACGAGCAAUGGGAUUAUUUUCGGGAAAAGAAAAAUGAUACUCUGCAUUUAUACAAAUAUCAGGCGUAUACAUCUGGUCAUUACACUCAGGGAAUAGUGUAACAGAUCAAACUGAUUGAAGAUGAUACAAAUCCUGUACCUUUGAGUUGCAGCAGGAUGGAUGGAAGAAACCAAAUGUUGUUCACCUGAAAUUGCAGUGGGAAGCACAAACUUUAUGUCCCAGAAGGUACAGUGGAAGGGACUUUGAAAUUACAGCGAGGCAAGCUUGCUAAGCAAAAUGUGAUUGUUUCUUUGACUUUUCUGUCAAGAAUACCAGCCGAAUAAGAUGGCAGCAUAAUACGUCAGUGGUAAUGUCUUGAUGAACAACGAGCGAUGAUACCUUAAGCCUUUUUAAAGGGAUCAUUUUCAUUAUAUAUCAUCCAUAACACAUCUAAUUAGGAGCAUUUGAUUCAUUUCGAUCAUAGCAUCCUAAUUAUUUGACACAUUCACAACACAUCUAGUUAGGAGCAUUUGAUUCAUUUCAAUCAUAACAUCCUAAUCAUUUGACAUAAGCAUAGAUAUAUAGAACUGAUUCUACAGGUCAUGUCCCUAGAAUCAGUGACUUCACCAAGCCUUAACCCCCUAAGCAGUAGGCUAAUAGGCUAAAAAUUACGAAUCUAGACUUGCAGUGAGGCAGAUUCAAGCCACCAAGCCUUAACCCCCUAAGCAGUAGGGUAAUAGGCUGAGAAUUACAUAUCUUGUCUCCCUGAAGUUACGGUGGAACAGAUCGAAUCCAGCGAAUCUUAUCUUCCUGAAGUUGUAGUGAAGUAGAUUGAAGUCACUAGUCUUGUCUCCCUGAAGUUGCAGUGGAACAGAUCAAAAACGGUGAGCCUUAAACCCCUAAGCAGUAGGGUAACAGGCUGAAUUUACAGAUCUUAUCACCCUAAGCAGUAGGGAAACAGAUAGAAGACGGUAGAUCUUGUCUCCCUAAAGUUGUAGUGGAGCAGAUCGAAUACAGUGAAUCUUGUCUUCCUGAAGUUGCAGUGAAGCAGAUUGAAGUCACUAGUCUUGUCUCCCUGAAGUUGCAAUGGAACAAAUCGAAGACGGUGAGCCUUAAACCCCUAAGCAGUAGGGUAAAAGGCUGAAUUUACAGAUCUUAUCACCCUAAGUAGUAGGGAAAUAGAUCGAAGAAGGUAGAUCUUGUCUCCCUGAAGUUUCAGUGGAGCAGAUCGAAUACAGCGAAUCUUGUCUUCCUGAAGUUGUAGUGAAGCAGAUUGAAGUCACUAGUCUUAUCUCCCUAAAGUUGCAGUGGAGCAGACUGAAGAUAGUAAAUCUUAUUUCCCUGAAUUUGCAGUGGAACAGAUUGAAGCUAAAUUACAGAUCUUAUCUCUCUGAAGUUGCAGUAGAGCAGAUCAUCACAAAUCUUAUCUCUCUGAAGUUGCAGCGGAGCAGACUAAAGAUAACAAAUCUUAUCUCCCUAAAGUUGCAGUGGAAUAGAUUAAAGCUAAAUUACGGAUCUUAUCUCUCUAAAGUUGCAGUAGAGCAGAUCAAAACAAACCUUAUCUCCCUGUAGUUGCAGUGGAGCAGUGGAUUGGAAUGAGGCUAUUUGAAGAAGAUAACCACCAAAGGAAGUCGAGACUCGGCAAGACCAGUCAAAAUUGGCCCUUUUGAAGUCUUUGCUUCAUUCUUGUUACUCGACAAUGAGCAAAGAGGGGCAGCUGUAAUGGCCAAUUUUGACCCGGGCACAAGAAUAAAACAAUAAAUAACCAAUUAAUAAAACCUAGUGCCGCCCCUAACCUCUGCCACCAGCUGCCAUGGCAGCACCACCACCUGCUCCCGUUCCAUCGCCUGCAAACAGAGAAAAAGAAGCACGCAAUAGAGAACCAAAACCCACAUGCAACAAUAAAGGAACAAGCAGAAACGACAAAAAAAAUAGGAGUAAACAAGUCUUGUGAAUCGGUUAUAAAAACCCGAAAUUUACCUUUGUAUUUUUUUUAGCCACAAACAAAAGGCAGAAACUAUUAAUCUAAAAGAGAUUUUAAGGUGAUUUUUGGUUUUUACAAUAGUUUCUUUCAUCUAGUUCUUGGUUUUGAUUUCAUUUUUUUUUCGUGUUUUAGUUCUUUUUUCUUUUUCAUGUACGAAAAUAAAUGAAAAGGUAAAGAGAAAGGUAACCUCACCUUGAUCUUUCUACGGACUCAUCGCUGGAGAUCUCUUCUCCAAUCGCCGAAGUCGAACCGGGGAGAGGGGGGACCUUUCUUUCGAUUUCUUUGGGGUUGAGAAGUCAUGGCCUUCGAAUGUGCCUCAAAACGAGGCUAAGAAGCCCAUCUCCGCGCUUCGUCGGCCACCGGGUACGGUGGUGGUACAGCGGGCGGUGGAGAACAUGAUUGACGGAGAGAAAUAGGGGAGGGAGAGAAAGCAAACAGCUUUCUGUUCUUUUUAAAAUUGGGGGCUGGAAAUGAAAUUAGAAAAGAAAGGUUUUUUUGUUGUUUAAAUGAUGAUGAUGAUGAUGAAAGGGCGCCGUUUGGUGGAGUGGGGGUGUGCAUUCUCCCUAAAUGGGGAAUUUGCGAGAUUGCUCCUUCUCCUUUGCAACUUCAUUUGAUCAGGCCCCAGUUUCUGUUUUCUUUUGUUUUUUUAAUUUAGCUCUUAGAUUUCGCUUGGGUUACAUUCGGGUCCUUUGAAACACUGCGCAUAGGGGUUAGGAAUAUUUUCCCAAUCAGUCCCUCGUUCUUUAUGCGUAUUUCACUUCGGUCCUUAGUGGCCCAUUUUCUUUUUUUUUAUUUACAAUUUGCACCUUAAAUCUUAAUUAAAUUUCAGCUUAGUCCUAAUAUAUUUAAUUUGUUCAUUUAUUUAUUAUUUCAAUUUUUUUAGGAGCUAUUUUACUGUUAGUUAUUUUAAGUUUGUUUAUCUUACAUUAUUUAUAUUAGACCAUUUUAUUAUUAAUUAUUGUAAUCCUUUUUACGUCUUAUGUAUUCUAAAUUGUUAUUGGUUUUAAAUAUUUUUUACAUAUAUUAUUUGUUUUAACCCCUAUACAUAUUACUUAUUUUGAAAUACUUUAUACGUUAUUUGUUUUAAACUAUUAUAUAUGUAUUUUCCAUUUUGAGUUUCUUUUCAUACUUUAUUUAGUUACACUAUUCUAAUCGUUUAAAAUUCAUCUUUUUUUAAUUUCCCAUAUAUUAUUUAUUUUAAUAUAUUCUUUACUUUAGAUUAUUUUAUAUAUGUCCUAUUCUAAAUUUUCAUGUGUAAUAUUUAAUUUAAACUGUUUUAUAUGUUAUUUACUUUAAAUUUUUAUAUAUUAUUUAAUUUAAAUUUCUUUUUACAUAUUAUUAUUUUGAGCUCUUAAUAUUUAUUUUAAAUUUCUUUAUAUAUUAUUCUAAACUUGUCUUUACAUAUAUUUAUUUAAAAUUGUCUUAUACAACUUAUUUUAAACUCUCUUAUUUGUUUAAAAUUGUUUUAUUAUUGUUCAUUUUGGUUUUUUUUUGACAUAGUAUUAUAUAUAUAAUAUCAUCUAUUUUAAAUUGAUUUGUAUAUUGUCGAUUUUAAAUCUCUUUUUUCACAUUAUUUUAAUCCCAUUUAUUGUCAUUUUAAAAUGGUUUUACAUCUUAUUCAUUUUUAUUUGCUUUAUACCUUUUAAAUUAUUAUUAAAUUCAUUUGCCUUUAAUUGUUGUGGUGAACAUUUAAAUAAUGUACCUUGUGUGAUUAUUGCCAUUGUGUGAAUUUUGAUUCAUUUAUUUCGAAAUUUUGCAUUACUGUUAUUCAUUUGUAUAAUGUUAUGUCCAUUUAUAUUUGUCUCAUAUUCAUUACUAUAUUUUCAUAUCAUCACCUCGUGAAUCAAGCCUCGUUGCAUUUAUCCAAUAAAUCGCUUUAUUUUAACCUAAACAAAUAACAUACGUCAUUUAAAUGUCGUAUUCGCUACUAUUCAAAAACAAAAAUUUCAAAAUAAGGCAAUAUUUUGCGUUUUGGAACAUCAAAGAAUUGUGCCCUAACUUACGGGGUUUUGGUUCUCUCGUUGAUUCUAAAUAGCUAAAUAUCCUUUUGAGUUUAAAAUACACGGAAUUCCAAUUGGAAUUAAAGACAAACUUGCGCUCGGGAAUUCAUGGUAACGUGUCCUAACUUACGGGAUGUGUACUCUGAUAUCUCGAGACGAGGAAAUCUUCAACGAUCGUUUUGAGCUAAUUCAAGUAUUUUUUUUCUUAAAAAUCAACGCUAAUAAAAAAGGAUCGUAUUUUAAAUUCGUUCUCGAUCUUCAAUUUUCGACAUUAAGACACUAACUAAUCAAUCCGGUACCAAUUUUUGGGCGUGUCGAGGGUGCUAACCCUUCCUCGCACGUAACCGAUUUCCGAACUUGUUCAAUUGAAUUUCAUAGACCAAAAUGUCGUUUUUAUGACUUAGUGUAUUUCAAAAUGCCGUUUUAAAUAUAUAUUUUCUUAGAAAGAGAGAACAAGUGGAAGAGGAUUAGAGAGAUUCUUCUCAAAAGUCACUUACACUUUCGUAAUACUGACAUAAGUAACAAUUUUAGAUUCUUAUAAACAAGACAGACGUGUGAUAAAAUGCUUAUGAAAUUAACCACUACUGCCCCCCUACUGUUUUAACAAUGAACACAAAUCCUAAAUAUUGAUGUAUGCUUACUGCAAUUGAAACCUAUUCGAAAUGCGAUAACUUUGCAGCUACUUGAACCACUAAUCAGUCAAAAUACCUACAUAUAUUACCAGAAGUAACUGCAGUUGAAGGAAUCUUACACCUGAAACAGUCAAGCUACACUUAUCGAAAUGUAUAACAUUAAUCCAACAAAACAAACACUGACUAGUAUUUUAUUUUUCCUACUUAAGAAGCUUAAAUACUAGUAAAGCCACAGUCUUCCAUGACUGAACAUAUAAAUCAAGAGUGACAGCAAAUCUACUGGAUAUUCCACAUCCUAACUUUCUCUAGAUAAAUAGAACAAUUUUCUUGUUUUGCCUUGACUCUAAAAUCUCUUAUAACCCUAAGCAAUAUCGCAGAUUGUGACCAUUAAUAUCGAAUGGGUUUUAUUCCCACUAACCUUGUUAAUGCUUUACAACACCAAUGAAUGCUAUGCAAUCUUAAAAUUGAGGAGCUCCACAAGUGCAAUCAUGACAGCAAUAACAAUAUUUUUAUAGCAAUUUCUCAAAGAUUCAUCAACUUUCAGUUUAGUAUCUCUGCAAAUCUUUGAUGAUUCUCCAAUUAUACAGACUAGACUUCAAUAAAGCAUUCAUUAUUAUGAUACUCUUGAUUCAGGUUAAUUAAACAAAGGGUUUGAAGAACACACACCUGCUAGCCAUUUCGCACCGAAAUAUGCUAAGAGAGAUGUUAGUCACAGUCUUAAAUUAUGGACGGGCCCAUGGUUUCAAUAAACCUUUCCAUACCUUCAAAGAAGUAAGUUUUCAAUGGUAAGGACUUGCAAUCGAACUAAAUAUGUAAAUCUAAUGCUUCUAAUCCUAAUGUCAUGACCUAAGGACAAAAUUUAGAGACAGAAAGAACAGAAUUUACACCAAGUAGAACCAGUUGGCUAUAUCUAAAUUUCAAUCAGGCUCGGAUCUAACUCAGAUGAACAGUACUAAGUAACCUUAUAAUGAAAAUAAUUUCUUAUGGUCUCUCAAGUUAGCACUCUAGAAGAAAGGAUUGAAAUGAUCAGCAUCAGGAAAUUAAAUUAAGCAGAUAAUUCAACUUCAUAUUAUAAAAUACUUGAAUCUAAGAAAACAUGUAUAAAAGUAAUUAUACAGCUGUUUGCAGUAUUGCAUUUGUACCUAAAGAUAACUCUCUAAGACUGACACACACACAAACAAGAACAACAACAAUAACAUUGAUAAACUAAAACAUAGAUAAUCCUUAAAGACUAACAACAACAAGAAUAGGCAAUCUUCCAAGGCUUUUUGGUUUCAUGGUUUAAAUUCCCAUAGAUCACCACUCCAAACAGACUCCUGGCUGGGAUCUCUCACGGGUGUCCAAAAAUCACCAUUCAUGGACUCCCAACAGGAAUACCAUCCAGAGUCAUACCUAACUUUGGACCACGGCCAUUCGUCGUCAAACCUAAAUGUAAUUGGCCAGUCAUCCAAGGUCAACUCCUCCACACCAUCUCCCUUAUUCUCCACCACAGCCACCUCGUUGGCAGGCGGCAGCGGCUGCGGCUGUGGCUCCUGCUCCUGCUCCUGCUCCUGCUCCUGCUCCUGCACCAGCUCCAUAGGUUUGUUAUCAUCAUUCUUCUCCUCUUCCCUAAUCUCAAUAAUCUGAACCUCGUACAACGUUUCUUCAUCUUCCUGCUCCAUUAUUUUCAUCGCCAUCGACCUUGUUACAAUCGUUCGGCUAUUGGGAAUGUUUGAUAGAGCUUUGGUAGCCCUAACCCCGUUUGUUCUUCCCUUUUCAGUCAUGAUCGUACUCUUUGAUGAGUUCCCGCUCUCUUCUACUCUUUCUUUGCAUCUCUUUCUUCCUCUCCCUCCAUACACGGAGUUAAUCUUAGCUUUCUUCAUUGAAAAAGAGAGGGGAAAUGAAAGGCUUUCUCAGCAAAGGAACAAGAAACCAAGAGAGAGAGAUAGAGAGAGAGAACGAGUGUUUAACGAGAAUAGAAGUACAAAUGUCGGUGACUAUAUAUAGGACCUUGUAAGGGUAGUAAAACGUAAACGUUGCUUGUUUGUCCAGCGAGAAAAUUUGUUGUCAAGGGUUUCCAUUUUCUCGAGAAAAUCAUCCUACUCAUACACUCAUAAUAACCUUACCAAGUCAAGAAACUAGCCAAAAAGUUGAUAUUUCCUGAGACAAUGAAUUAUGAAAAGGUGGAGCGUUUCUAAUUCUUAAAUUUACGUGGUCAUGCAGGAAGGCCACGUGGAAAUAUUAGCCCAUGCAAAUUAGGGGACCCAUCAACGGACAAUUUUGUGAGAGUGGGUUUUUUAAAAUUUUUCUAUUCGAUUUAUAAAAAAAUUUCUUUUCGAUGGAAAAUUUGGAAGUUUGUUUUGUUUCUUAAAAUCUUUUCUGGCAUUACAAAUCUCAUUUAAUGACUUUAAGUAGGGUUUUAAUGAUAGAGAUACCCUUAUGACGUAACAACAUGAGGAAGUUACUUUUUCUUUAUCGUUUUCUUAACUCCAUGCUUUUUCCUUCUUCCAGCAGUUUAUUCCUUUCAUACCAAACCAAACCCUAAAAGAUUCCACCGCUUUGAAUUGAAAGCCAAAAUGAGUCAAUAUAACGAUGUAUGGUUUGAUCAAAUUAUUUGAUUUAUCAUUUUAAAUUGAAAUAUAAAAAAUGACAUAUGAUCCUUAAACAAGCAGCGAUAUUUAAAAAGAAAAAGCAAUGGUGUAUGAUAAAAUAUCCACCUCAGAAUGAGUUAAAACUUUAUGACAAGUUACCAUAUUUGUCAUUUUUAUACAUUCAAGUUUUUCAUUCAUCUCAUUUUUCAAUUCCAAAAUACAAUGAUGAAAAUUGCUCUCCAUAAAUGGUCUCAAACCUGUCUAUACACAUAGAUUUGGAUUUUUAUUGAAGUGCGUAAAUAAAAUUCAAGAAAAUCUAAAUUAUGCAAAAACAAAUCUUUACAACAUUAAAAUAGGGAUUUCAAACCAUAAAUCUUUGCAGGGGUGAAGGUAUAUUUAUAAUUUUUAAAGUACUAAAUUAAAUUUUUAUUAAUUUUAGGGGUAAGGUGUAAUUUUACUUUUACUAAUUUAAAGGGUCAAAAUGGUAAAAUUUUUAUUUUAGGAGGCAAGGGAGAGCCAAAAGAGUAACCUAUUGAUAGUGUCGUGACACCAAGGAGUUGAUGUCACAACGACUUUGACGAGGCCAAAAUACUAAAGGGUAUUUUGUAGUCCAACAAGACUUAAGUUAGAUUUUAAGUGGGUGCAUAAUUGUCUUUGUUAGGUUAAAUGUUAUUAGACUAUAAAAACUACUUUAUAAGCUUUUGUUAGAGAGUAGAGUAGGAUAGAAUAUUUUUUAUUUUUCAUCUUUUUAGAUCAGAUUUUCAUUCUAUUUUAUUUUCUCUUUAGAAUAGAUUUUGGUUGUUGAUUUCUUUUCUUUUGUCGCAAAUUCUGCUAAUGGAGAUGAUCAAGUUUGUGGGCUUCAUCCACUUGUAGUCUAUUAAUGAGCAUUUUCUCAAACUCUUCUUUUUUUAUAUUUUAUGCAUACCAUGUGUUUAUUAAAAUGCUUAUGUGGGAUUUAAGUUUGAUCAUAUGUUGAAUCAUCUUAUUGGUUGAUUGACGAGUGAGUUACUUAACUAAGUUAUUAUCUAUGAUUUGAUAUUUAUUUGUUCAAUUGUAUUGGAUCAUAUAUUCACUAGAAUUGACAUCUCUAGUGGAAGAUUUAGAUAGAUGAGAUCGAAAGGAUACUUUAUCAUGUAGGACUUAAUAUAUUUGUAUCGAAUAGUGAGAUCGAGAGGAGAUUUAAAUGCCUAAGGGAGGCCGGAAGGAGAGCUUAGGUGGUAUCGUUUAGUUUAGAGUGAGACUAGAAGAAUAUUUCUAACUAAGACCGACAAAUGAUAUAAUAAGCAUAGGUUUCUUAUCUUAGUUAGUAAUUAAUGAAUCAUUUGAUCAUCAUUUUAAUCCAUUUGCAUUGUUUCUAGUAAAGAGGAAGAAAGUUUGUUAGAAAUUUUCAUUUGUUAGUCCAGAAUUUAGCUUUAAUAUAUUUUCAUAUUUUUUCUGUGCUACUAAUUUUUGGCUCAACUAGAUUAGUAGUUGAUUAGCUUGUAAUUAACUAAACAAACACAUUAACCAAUUGACAAUCCCUUGGGUUCGAUAUUGGAAUACUCUAUGUGUUCCAUUGGAACACUUAGAAAUAUUACAAUUGACUUUUCACAUUUGCAGUAAGAGCCACUUUUUAAUUAUCAAUAUUUUGUGCUCAUUUCUCUGUGCAGUGUUCGUACAUCGUGGCAUCCAAUCACAUGCACCUUUGAUAAGUACAUUCAUGCAUCUGGAUUUCUUAAAUUUAUCCAUUCUAAACAUAUCGAUUAAAUUCACACAUUGGUGACAUGACAUUAUUCAACACAUCUAAGUUGAAGAAUAUCAUGUCAUUCGACCAAAAGUAUUAGAAGAAAAAAUUUACGUGCAUGUGCAUAUACACAUGGUUGCAUGCAUGCAUACGUUGAUAGCAUUAUAUGCAAGUACGGUGAAAAUAAAUUCUUAUAAAAUCCCACGAUCACUAAAAGUCAAAACCAAAUGUCAACAUGUUGUAUACUAAGGGGAAAUAUUCAUAUUAAACCAGAGACUUUAAUCCAAAGUAUUAACGAACACGUCAUCCAAUAAAAAUUAAAAUAUGUCUGAUAGAAAUCUAUAUUGUAACUAACGUAACUACUUAUUGAUGGACCAAAAAACAAGAAAAGUGUCUAUUUAGAUUUUUCGGUACUUAAAUUUGCUACUAGAUCAUAAAUAAAUAUGAUAUCCUUGUCUUCCCCACUUUCUUCAUAUUGAUAUUACAAAAAUAGAAAUAUAAAAAAUGAUAUGAUGUGACAAAUUUAAUAAAUAAACCCCAAAAGAGGAAACCACUAAAUCCCAUAUGCCUUACCAUAAAAGUUUCCUCAAAAUAUUCCCACAAGUUUCUUGGUUAUACUAAAGUAAGAUUCGAAUCAUUUUAUAAUCUGAACAUCAAUGAUUAUCACAUGUUUGGUACAUUUUAUUUGAAAAAGGAAAAGAAACAAUCAUGCAUGAUAAUUAGUACUUCAAGGAGUUCAAGUUAUGUUGAACUCAUAUUCCACAUUGGUGGGAAGGUUAACAACAAAAUAAUAGAAUAACAACUGAAUUUGUUCACACGUGGAGAGGUAUAGGCCCUAGAAAUUAAAACCAUAAGAAAUAUGUGAGUCACCAUGAAGAGAUACUAAUACCUUUAGAAAGGAUAUGGCUACUAGCACAAUCUCUAUUUGCAAAUUCAUUUGGAAAAAGGAAAAAGAAGAGGAACUAUUAGUUUCCAAUCUAAUUUUAAGCUUUUUUUUUCUCUUCAUCUUCUUGCCUAUUCAUUUUCAUUUUCACAAGACUCUCUCUAACGACAAUGAAAAGAAUAAUUUGGCUCAAUCAUUUUUCAUAAAGUAUCUUGUCCAUCCAUUAUAAAGGGAUUCCUACAUUUCUCAUUUCCUUUUUCUGCACCUCUUUAUUUUUAGUGUCACAACCUAAACAUAUCUUAGUUGCAUUAACGCAAUUGAUAUUUGGUAUAUCUCAUUUUAAAUAUUAUCAAAUAAUGUUUUCCUAGUUCAAGUAAUAAAUUGGUUUACCUCCUUACUUGCUCAAUAGGAAACUUUAUUACAAAUAAACAAGAUAGAUAAUACUUGGGGACCCGAAUUAGGAUAAAAGGAAUAUAUACCUAUUGGUGAGAAUACUUUGCCUAGAAAACAACCUCGCACACUCUAAAUUAACCCCUUUUUAUGUUCUUCAAUGAAGUUCCACAACUAAAAUGCCCCUUUCAUUAAAUCAUGCAGCAAUUAAUGACACGCGUUUUAAAAAUUUGUGUGUAUAAGUACUUAUCAAUACGCUAUUCUAGUGUCAAUAAAGCAUAUGAUAUUUGAUAUAAUUAUUGACUUAUAUCCACUUGUAUUAUAGCAUUAAAUGCAUGUCUUAGUGUCAGUAUUUUUUGGAUCAAAGUCGUUAUGUCAGCACUGAUUACUCAGCCACUCUCAUCAAUGAUUCUGCAUACAUAAAGAGGUUUACAAUAUACAUGCACGACACCUAUAUCUACAUGAACCAAUUACAUGUAGACUGAAGCAGUUUCAAUUUAUAAAGAUUUAUCCUUACCAGAACAAAUAAAUUUUUCCUUAAAUAGAUGUAUUAUUUAUUAAAAAAAAAACAACAACUUCCAUAUGCAUGACUUCUUUUGUCUCAUAACCAUCCAAUAUGUAAUAUGUCUAAUAUUCAACUUUAAAUUCAUUGAAAGCAUUAAUUUUUUCAUCACCACUAGAGUUCCUAUAGUAUUAGGAAUCUUUUCUAGUAUCUCCUAAUCAAAAUUGGAAAUGUUUUCUAAAUUUGUUACUAAUAAGUAAUAGAAAUACAACAUUCAUCAGAUAUAAUUAAAAAUAAAUUUUUUAACUAAUAAUAAUUGACUUUUGUCAACUUCCAUCCUAGCAUUAAAUGCAUACCUUUGUGAGUAUUACUCCGUCAUUCUCAUUGGAUCCUAAACAUGUAAAUGAAAUUAUACAAUGUAUAUAUACGACACAUUUACCUACACAUAGAGUGAGCAAUGCCAACCUGUAAAGUUUUACCCUUUCGCCAAAAGAGAUAAUUUUUUUCCUUAAACAGAUGUAUCGUUCAUCAAAAUAAACUACAAGAUCUACCUUUAUGAUCCUUUUUGUCUCAUAAAUUGUCCUAGAUAUAUUAUGUCUAUGAUAAGCUAUAAAAGUAACAUAUUUUAAUUUCAUUAUUAAUGUUUUGGAUGAUUAAUUAUGCAAAUUAGUGAAUUUAAUGCUCAUAAUCCUUUCAAUUCAUGAUUCUAUACUUAGGAGAGCAUUUGGGAUGAAAGGAGAGAAAAACGAGCCAAAAUCAGACAAAUAGAGCUAUUUUCAGGAUCCAUACGGCCUGGGCAUUUUCGCACGGACUAGCAACACGCCCAUGUGCCAGCCCGUGUCGAUUUCACACCUUACUUCCCAAAUACACGGAAAAACCCAAUUUUUAGGCUUCCUGAGCAGUCUAAAGUCUGUAAAUAACCUAGGGGGUAAUUAGAGAAGAUUAAAGAAAACACUAAAAAAAUGUCAUUAGAAUCAACUCAAAAGCGGAUCUCCAUCAAGAUCGAAUAUCUCUUUUUAAUUUCUUUCGAAGUUUUAUUGAUUUUCUUAAUGUCUUGUGGUUAUCCUAACUUUGAGAUGUUUCUAUUCAGGAUUAUGAAUUAAAUUCCCUAGAUACCUAGGGAAGAUGAAACCUAUGAUGAAUCUUAUUAUUUGAUUUCUAAUUUACGCGAUAAAUACUUGAUUCUUGUUCUAAAUUAUGUAUGUUUAUUUCUUGUUUUAAUAUUUUUGGGAUAUUAAUUCAUGUUUAAUGUGCUUAUUUCAAUGGAGCAAAAGGCCCUAUUUAAGAGUAAAUCUAGUAUAAUUGAGUGGAGUUGCAUGCAAUCCUAGAAAUAGGAUAACAUAAAUCUACCGGAUUAGAGUCAAAUCUAAUAGGAGAAUCCAUAGAUCGAGUUAAUGAGACGAUAGAGGUUUUAAUUAGAAAGAGAUUUCAAUUAAUCAACUUAAAGUCAGUUGUUCUUACUAUCGAAAGAGAUAUUAACAUAAUUUAGGGAUUUCUACGGAUCAAAACGCAAGUGAAUAAAUCAUUUAAUUCAACGGCAUCAUAUCGAAGAUAAAUAAGAUCGUGGAUGAGAGAUACCAAGACAUCUGUUGAACAACUAAUAUUCAAGUAAUAUGUACUAGAUGACAAAUGGUUAUAUGAAUUGGUUAUACAAAAUGGUUGUGUGAAAUGUUUACAGGAAAAUAGUUGCAUGAAAUAAUUAUGAUGAUAGAUAAAUGAAAUAAGUAUAAGUCCAAGGAAUAUAAUUUAUGUUAAGUUUGAUAUGAACUAUUACCGAAAUAAAUAUACAUAAAAUAUAUGGAAAUGAUGGUGCAUGAAAUAUUGAUAUAAUGAAAUGAACGAUAUAUACUUAUGAAGAAACGGUAAGUAUUUAAUUGAAAUUUUUGUUAAAUGAUAUGUAAAUCCUAGUAAUGCCUCGUAACCUAUUCCGGCAACGGAUACAGAUAAGAGGACUAUGUGAUUCUGGUGUGUUUGGUGGGAUUACAUGAUUAUUCUGGUGUGUUUUGGUUGGAUAUUACUGGUGUGUUUGGGUUGGAAUCCGUGUAUCCGUCAAAGUCCGGGUUUGUUAAUAGGGUGAAUAACUGAAACGAGAAAAUUAAAUAAAUUUUAUUGAUCGUACUGAAUAUAUAUAUAUAAAAAAGAAAUUAUGAAUUGAAAUUGAGAUAUCAAAAUAAGAAGUGAAAAUAAAAUGAAUUGGAAAUAAUGAAAUAGUGUAUGAGUUAAUUGAAUAUAAACUUAUGAAUUAAUUAUAAUUAUUUUUAUUGAAAAAUGUUGGUUUAAAUAAGUAUUGAAAGAUUAAUGUCAUAAGGUUUUAGAUAUGAAAUAAAAUAAGUUAUUGAAUUGGUAUUUAGAAAUGAAAUAUAUGAAAUAAUAAUUUUAUAAAAUGCUUAUUGAUAAAAUGCAUGAAAUGAAUAUUGAUAUAGUAAGAAGGCAUAUAAAUUAAAAUGAAGAAAAGCUAUUUAAUAUACAUACUAUUAAGAAAAUUUAAAGUUUUAAAUACAUGAAAGAUUUAUUGAAAAUAAAAUAGUGGUAAGAUUAGGUACAGAAAUUUUGAAGAGUUGUAUUUGAGGUUACGAGCUUCCAUCUCAUCACAUCUCUAGGUAAUAAGAGGGUACGUUUAAAUUUUUUGAAUAGAAUGACAUGUACUUAAGAAAAAUUAAGUAUGUUUCAAGUAGUAGUAAGGACUAAAUUAUAAAUUAUUUAAAAUUUUCCAUUUAUGUUCUAGUAUAUUAGUGAUUGACCAAGAAUUACUUUAGAACCAAAUGUAAUAUUCCUAUAUCAAUUUCCUUGAAACAAACACGAUAUAAGGGUGUUACAUGGUAUAUGAGAUUGAAAGCUUGAACCAAAAGUUCAUGAUUUGAUUAAAGAUAAUAUAGAUGAUAUAUGAUGUCAUUUGAUAAAAGACUAUUGUUGAGAUAUGAAAUUAAAGCAUAAAUUAACACAUAUAACUUAUAUUGUUACAUGUUUGAUGUCUAUUAUUUAUUAUAGUUUUUAUAAUUUGAAUUAUGGUAAUUGUAAACGGGUCAAUUUGCUCGGGUCCACAUCAAAACCAAAAUACAAAACGAUAAUAAAUAAAACCAAAUAAAAGUCCAAAGUGCAUUUAGUCCCUUCCUUUCGCGUUGGUGUUUGAUUAGGCCUAGUCCAGAUUUCUUUGUUUUUUAAUUCGCCCUGUAAUUUGCGCAUGUUUGCAAGUGGAUCCGUGCCUCAGCACGGCGUUUUAAGACCUGGAUUAUUUCCGGUUCUAGUCCCUACGCAUUUGCGCGCAUUGCAUAUUAUUAUUAUUUUAUUUUCAAAUUAUCCCUUUUGUUUUAGUUUAAUUCUAAUUAAGUCUUUUUAUUUUAUAGCCUUUUAUUCUUGAUUACUUAUUUGUGCAUUUUGAACUACCUUGGUAAUUGUUUCUUUAUUAUUGUAAAUUUGUUUUUGUCAUAUCAUCAUCACAUUUUGUAUAUUUUAUCUAUAUAAAUGUUUUUAUACAUCAUUAUAUUUAUAUAUAUACUUUAUAAUAAAGUUAACUUUAUUCUAUGUAUAUUAUUAAUGUCAUAUUAUUUCAUACAUGUAACUGUUUUUGAAUUUAUUCACAUAUUUUAAUAUAUAUAGUUGUCGUUUAAGAGGAAAUCACAUGUUUUAUACAUUAUUUAAAUUAUUAUUAUACAUAUACGUAAGCAUUGGUACAUAAAUUCAAUCUAUGUACGCUACCAAAUCCAUGUAUUUUAUACCUAUAGUUUUCUUUGUGCGUAUAAGUAUAUUUUUAAGUCUAUUAUAUAUAUAAUUUAUAAUAAAAUUAAUUUAAUCUUAAAUGCAUUAUUAAGUGCAUGUUCUUCUUACAAAUAAUUAUUUCUAAAUCUAUUUAUGCAUAUGUAUGCUUUUGUGAGCCUAUUGUGUGUAUUUCCUAAGAUUAUAUUUUAUUAUGUCUUCUUGCCAUUCUUUUAUAUUUUAUAUAUUAUUCAAAUUUUCCUUUAUUGAAUGUAUUUUAGUAAAUGUUUUUAACAUCUUAUAUAUUAUGUAUUUCAAAAAUAUAUUCAUUUUAUAAUACAUAUUUUAAUGAUUGCAUGUAUAUCUCUAGUUUGUUUUUUUACAAAUAGUUUCUAAUUUAUCAAUUCAUCAAUGCAUAUAUUAUGUUCAUCAUUAUUUUAAAUUUUUCUUAUACCAUAGUAUUUUUUUUAAAUUAUUAUUUUGUUUUGGAUAUUUUGUAUUGAUUGUAAUGUACUAGGCUAUAUAUAUUAUCGUUGUGCUAUUUUUUUCGUUUUCUUUAUUGUUAUCUCGAUUGUUCUCCAUACAUGUUUAGAAAGUUGGUUACAUCUUGCUUAAAUUAGUCAAAUUUAAUUGUUUGAUUAGAUUGAUUAAGUAAGGUUAUGUUAUCUUCAUUCAUCAAUUAUUGUAUUUUACGCAUGCAUGUUAUCCUAUGUUUUCAUUUUUUUGUUGAUUUACAAAUGUCGCUUUAUAAUUUCUAACUCUUAAAAAUCAAUUAUUUCAUUCUAUUUCAAGUAAAAUUAAUGCGUUUUAAGCUGGUUUUACAAUUAUUCGUUGGAAAAUUCCCUAAAACGAAGGUAAUAUUUGAUGUUUGGAAAUUCGGGGAAUCGUGCCCUAUCGUGCUAGGUUUUGAUUUCCCGUUUGUUCAAAAUAAUCGAAUAUUCCUUUAGAAUUUCACUCGUGUUUUCCAAGUUUUAAAACAAGGCAAUGUUCAAUGUUUGGAAACUCGAGGAAUCGUGCCCUACCGUGCUGGGUUCCGGUUUUUCAUUAGACUAAAUAAUUGGACAUCCUUUUGUAAUUUUCAACAUAUAAACUUUUGGAAGUCAAAAAUUUAUCGCGUUUUCGAGUGUAUAAAGGAUCGUGUCCUAUCGUGCUGGAUGUGAUGCUGUAUCCCUUUGAAAUAAGAGAAUUUUGACAACCAACUUGAGCCAUUCAAAUAUUUCAAAAGGAAUCGUAUUUCAAAAAUAGCUUUGAAACUUAGACAUAAGGACAAUACUUAAUCAAUUUGGUACCAAUUUUGGGCGUAGUGAGGGUGCUAAUCCUUCCUCAUACGUAACCGGCUCCCGAACCCAUUUUUCUCAAAUUUACGUAGGCCAAAAUUGAUUUCAAUGGAAUGAAACAUUUUAUUAGGUGAUCCAAUCUCACCUAAACAAAAAGGAUUGGUGGUGACUCCACACUUUGUUUUAAAAGUCGAUCCCUGUAUAUUUCAAAAAUAAAAAAAAAGGUUUCGACAGCUUGGCGACUCCACUGGGGACCGAACAAGAGAGUCAAGCCAUAAAAUUGAUUAUUUCCUAUCUUUUUGUCAAAGAAUUAAAAAUUUGUUUUGGAAAUCAUGAUUCUUUCGAUUGCAUUUAAUUGUAUGACCGUUAUGGUUCGAGUCUUGUAGAAUAAUAUUGCAUUGCAUCGCAUGACCGCUCUGGUCACACCUUCUAAGUGGGAGUAAGAAACUAUGCUUUCGUGAGGUUUUCACCUCCGCAUGGGCUAGUGGAUUGCUUUCGGGGUACAUCUGUACCUAUGAUUUCGUGAGAUUUUCAUCUUCGCGUGGUCAUAGGGAAAUGUAUCCCCCUGAACCGAACUCGAUCCAUCUAAGCCUAUAAUGGAUGAGGAUCGAGGAAUCUGCUAGUUCAGGUACCUUCUCUCUAGAACCAAACUACAUAUAGUGAACCUUAAGAGCUACCCUCAGGUAGAGCUGUGUUAAGUCUUAGUGGUUGCCAAUAUCUAUGUUCUGAUUAUUUCUGGUUUUUGCUUGUAUCUUAUUACUUAUAUUUGAUACUAACUUGUGUUUUGUUUUGAUUGUGUUUUGCAUGACAUUGCAUACUAAAGGAGGUGUUGAUUCGUAUUCGAUUACUAAGUUAGAAGAUUUAACAUGGAGAAUGAAUUUCUUAAUAAAGUUGAGGAUAAUCCGGCCGUCCGCUCAUGGUCAGAGAAGUUACAAUCGGAGAAAGGGGAUAGCCUAGCAGAAGGAUAUACAUCAGAGUUGCAGGAAUUCACUCGCGUCAAUGUAGCACAAAAUGAGUUGCAAGAGUUGAGAGAUAUAUGGGCUCGUUGGGAUGAAAGAGCCAAACAGUUGUUCUAUCAAAGCUAUGGUGAUAUAUCCUACUUGCUAGAUAUUAGGUUGAACAAGCAUCUGUUCCGUGGUUCAAUUUUGGAAUUCUGCUUACAAGCGUUUCACGUUUGGGGAAGUGGAUUUAGUGCCUACAAUGGAGGAAUAUACUACCCUGCUCAGGUGUCCAAAAGUUCAAGUUAGAAGAGCUUAUGCCAAGGUUUUUAAUGGUCAAACUUUUGCGAAGAAAUUGAUAAAUAUUUCAGGGAUGAACAACCCUUGGGUCACUGCUCGAAUUCAAAAAAAGGGGAUAGUAAAUGUAUUCCUUGGGAGAAUUUGAGAGAUUUGGUUUUAACACAUCCGGAUGAAAGAAAGAGGGUCGAUAUCUUCGCUUUAAGCACCUAUGGAUUGAUGAUUUUUCCUAAGGCAUUAAGGCAUGUGGAUGAGGCAGUCACUGAUUUAUUCGACCGUCUUGAGAAGAGAAUCACACCUGUACCUGUAAUAUUGGCUGAGACGUUCAGAUCCUUGAGCAUAUGUCGGAAGACAGGCGGGGGCGGUUUAUUGGGUGUGCACAACUGCUGAUGGUGUGGUUUCAUGGGUAUUUUUAGAAAGUAGACAAGGUUUCUUACUGGGUUUUUUUAAGGUUAUUCCCCGUUAAAGGAGGAGGCAGCCAUGCAAAGGAGAGAGGAUAUCUCAAAAGAGAAGUGGAUGGAAAUUCUUCAAAACCUCAAGGAGGGGGAUAUAGAGCGGAGAGCAUUUUGGAUGGUUCCUGAUGAGAUCCUGUAUCAAUGUGGGAACUUUGAUUGGGUACCGUUGUCAGAUAUUUGGGGAGCCACUGGGUAUACUCCUUUAUUGGCAUUAAGGCAGUAUAAAUCGAGGCAGUUUGUACCCACGACUUACGAGCUGGCUCAGUGUGAAUUCUAGUAUAACGGUGACCACUAUAAGAAGAAGGUUCGAGAACUGUCUGAUGCUUGGAAGCAAACUCGCUGGAUGAAGAGGUUGGCUGUCAGUUCCAUGGUGACACCUGAAUACAAUAGAUGGUUUAGGAAAAUGGUCAAUAAUAAUAUUCCUAGGCCAAGUUUAGAAGAUACUCGACCUGUGGAGGAACAAUUACAAGUUGCCCCGUCAGAGUUGGAAAUUAUAAUGCAGGAUUUUGAAAAGAAAAGUUUUGAGCUUGGAAAGAAGAUCGAAUAGUUGGAGGAAGAAAAAAUGCAUCUGAGAUUAGACGUAGACGUUCAGAGGUUGGAGGCUGAGAAGUGGAGAAAAGGGAAAAGUAAGGCCGAAGAGGAUCUGGACAGUUUGAAGACAGAUUAUAAGAAGUUACACCUGUCUAUGAAGACUGCUGGGUUAGGUAAAAAUUCAAAGCAAUGGCGCCAUGAAAUUCAAGAGGAAAAGACCACAGCCGACCAAUGGGAAAGGAAAUUCCGAGAGGCUCAGGCAUGAAAUGAGGAUUUAGAGAAGAGUCUGUCAGAAAGCAGAAAUGAACGAGGUGAAUUAAGCGCUAGAGUGGUAGAACUCGAGAAGUCUCUUCAUCAGUACCGAAGCCGUAAUACCGCAAUGGAGUUGAGAGCAAGCUUGAGUAAGGUAGAAGAAAUGAAAGGAAAAGUAGAAUAAUUAGAAGCGUCACUACAAAGCUGUGAGAUGUGGAUUCAGUUUUUCGAAGCAAGUGAGGAGCGUUGGAAGGAACAGCUCCACUAUGCGCAAGACCAAGUCAGAAACAGGGAUUACAUUAUGGGAGAAGACGUAACCCAGAUUCGGGAGGUAGCUGAUUACUUACAAGCUUUAGCGGUACAAGCGGACAUACUGACCGUGAAGUGCGAGUUGGAGUCAAAUCGGGGGCAGGAGCUAGCCUCGUUGCUUAGGAAGAUUAAGGCUCUGAGUAUUAGGGCGAAGUUUUAUUUGUAACUCAGUUUUACGUAAAGAAUUUUAUUUUCUAGUAAAGUUUUCUAAAUGGAAUUGAAUCAAAAUUGAUGCCUCCUUUGCAUUCAUGCAUUUGCAUUACAUUACAUCAUAUGCACUAAAAACCAUAAAAAGAUUCUAAUUAAUUAAAAAUUAUUUCAGUAAUCUGGAAACCAAAGAAAACCAACCAAGUAUGCACCCCUAUAACACGAGGAAAAAAACCAAGUCAAUGGACAAAAGACUUGAGAAAUUGUAGCAAAUGCAAAAGGACAUGCAGGAACAAAUAUAGUCACAGAUGCAAGAGCAGCUAGCCAAGAUUCAGCAAGAGAUGAAAGAUCAAAUGAUGGAAUCCCAAAGAGAAAUGAUGAGUCAGUUGUCCCAAUUGCUGAUGGGAAGAACGAAUAAGGGAAAAAGUCCUAUGGAUAAUGUUAGGGAAAAUAAUGAAGACCCUCAAUACCCUCCUGACUUCACCCUAACAAAUGUACCAACACAACCUGAAAUUAAUCUACAGAGACCAUCUGUUACGAUCAGGCCUCAGCAGAUCCAUGCCAGAGCUUUGAUAUUAGUGAAUUUCCAAGCCGGCUCAGGCUCUAACCCUGUUAGUAACUCGAAUUAUCCGCUUGUUCCUGAUUUGGAUGAAGUGGAAGAAGAGGAAAAGGCAAGGAUGGAAUCAUAGAAACAAUUAGAAGAAUGGUGUAAAUGGCUGGAAGAAAAAUUUCGGGCAAUGAAAAAUGCCGAUAGUCAUCACGAAAUUGAUGCUAAGGACCUGAGUUUGGUCCCAGACCUGGUCCUACCCCCCAAGUUCAAAAUGCCAGAAUUCAAGAAGUACAAUGGAACGAGCUACCCUGAAGCUGGAUAUGUUAACAACGAUCAACUACUGAUUAAUUGCUUCCAAGACAGUUUAGUGGGGGCAAUAUCUAAGUGGUACAACCAGCUGAGUCGUACCAAGAUUAAUUUGUGGAAAGAUUUGUCCGAAGCAUUCAUGAAGCAGUACAGCCAUGUGACGGAUAUGACUCCUGACAGGAUUACUUUGCAGAAUACGAAGAAGAAACCAAAUGAAGGUUUCAGACAAUAUGCGUAAAGAUGGAGAGAAGUUUCCAUUCAAGUUCAGCCGUCGCUUUUAGAAAAAGAAACCACGAUGCCCUUUAUCAACACUUUGAAGGCCCUGUUCAUUACACACAUGCUAGGAAGUGCCACAAAAAGCUUCUCAGACGUGGUAAUGACUGGAGAAAUGAUUGAGAAUGCAAUAAGAAGUGGAAGGAUAUAGGUAGGGGAAAAUACUAAAAGGUCAGCCUCGUAAAAAAAGGAUAACGAGGUGAACAAUACGAAUAUAGAGUACUUAAAAUCGUUUACCGUUAAUCAGCCAAGAACAACGACUACUGGAAGUCAAGGGUCUGGCACAAAGGAAAAUACUGAGAAACUUCAGUUUACGCCUAUCACAAUGUCAUAUAAGGAGUUGUACCAAAGUUUAUUCGAUACACAUGUGGUAGCUCCUUUUUACCUAAAGCCAUUACAACCCCCAUACCCCAAGUGGUAUGACGCAAACGCCCAAUGUGACUACCAUGCAGGAAUUCUGGGGCAUUCAAUAGAAAACUGCACUGCCUUUAAGAAAGUAGUUGAAAGACUUAUUAAAGUAGGCAUUGUGAAGUUUGAUUAUGCACCCAGUGCAGAAAAUCUGUUACCUAAUCACGCCGAUGGCGGGGUAAACGUGAUAAGUGGAAAUGUAGGGAAAAAGGUUAAGGCAGAUAUUACAGAAGUGAAAACUCCUUUGAAAUGGGUUGGAAGGAGAUGGUAAAAAGGGGAUUAGUUACUUCGGAUCUAGAAAGGAGCUAUGAAGGGAUAGAGAGCUACAGCGAAUUCCAUCAUGAAGAAGGGCACGGAAUUCAAGAAUGUAAAGAGUUCAGAGCUCUGAUUCAGAACCGGAUGGACAACAAGGAGAUACAUUUUUAUGAAGAGGUCAAAGAGGAGGGGUGUAUAUGCAUGUCAGAGUCAACGUCGAAGGGCCCAAAGGUCAAUUAUCCUGUGGUCAUCAUCUCACGCCCAAAAAAUGAAGCGGGAAUUCAAAUGGCACUAAAGGUUAUAAUUCAGAAACCUACAGUUUUCUUUUACGAGGACAAAAAAGGGUCCCAUGGAGUUAUGAUUAUAAUAUGACAAUCCCGGCGAAGGAGAGUCUAGCUAAGGAGGAUCAAGAUAUAGGUUCUCACACGCGUAGUGGAAGAUGCUAUGAUUUGGUGAAUACCCGAACAGAACCUGUAAAAGGAAAAGCUCCGAUAGCAGAACAAAAGAAAGAAAAAGCUAUUGAGUUUGAGCUGCCUGUUAAUGAACCAGUGAAAGAGGAGGAAGCUAAGGAAUUCCUAAAAUUUCUAAAACAUAGUGAAUAUAGCGUGGUGGAACAGUUGCAUAAAUAGCCUGGUUGCAUAUCUAUACUAGCUUUGCUCCUAAGUUCAGAGGUCCACCGAAAUGCAUUGAUGAAAGUUCUAAAUCAAAAGUACGUGACUAAUGUUAUCUCUGUCAAUAAGUUGGAUCGGCUGGUUAAUAACAUAAGCACUGAUAAUUUCAUCUUCUUCAACGAUGACGAAAUACCACGGGAGUUAUGGGGUCCACUAAAGCCCUGCACAUCACUACCAGAUGCAAAGGAUACACAUUGUCGGGAGUCUUGAUAGACAAUGGGUCAGCAUUGAAUGUAUUGCCCUUGUCUACAUUAAAUAGACUACCUCUGGAUAGCUCGCACAUGAAGGGGUGUCAGAAUAUAGUACGGGCGUUCGAUGGCACAGAAAGAAGAGUCAUGGGUAGAAUAGAAAUACCUUUGUUGAUUGGCCCGACUACAUAUGAGGUGGACUUUUUGGUUAUGGAUAUCAAACCCUCAUACAACUGCCUCUUAGGAAGACCUUGGAUACAUUCAGCGGGGGCAGUGCCUUUAUCAUUGCAUCAGAAGUUGAAGUUAGUAUCAGAGGGUCGGUUGAUAACGAUAAAUGCUGAAGAGGAUAUCACUGUAGCUGUAAGUAGUGAUGCACCAUAUUUGGAGACAGAUGACGAAGCAAUCGAAUGUUUAUUUUGGUCUUUGGAGUUUGUAAAUGCAACAUUCAUCACUGAAGGGAAUAAGAUUCCGACACCAAAAUUAUCCAAAACUACAAGAAUGAGUCUACAGUUGAGGGUUGGAAGAGGAGCUUUACCAGGAAAGGGACUUGGGAGGAAUCUUCAGGGAAGAGUUGAGGUGCCUAUGCUGAAAGAAAAAUGUGACCGUUUUGGUUUGGGGUUCAAGCCAGAUGCAAGACAAAGGAAGAAAGAAUUAGAAAAAAGGCAAGAGAGAAGAAGGGCACGUGUGAGUGGUGAAGAAAUCAAGUGGAAACCCAUGGCGAUCCUUCACAUAUCGAAGAAUUUUGUGUCGGGAGGGGUUAUUCAUCCUGAACGAAGGACGUCGGAGAAAAAAGACAUCGAAGAAAUGUUGAAAGAUAUUCACAUCAAUGCCAUAUUGGAAGAAGUGACUGAAGAGGAGACCUUGUCAGAUAUUCAUCCUUAUGAACCUAGGAGUGUUCUAGACAACUGGAUUGCAGAAGAUAUUCCUGUAGUAUUUAGAACUUACUCAGAGUAAUGUUCGAAACAAUCUUGUUGCUUUAAGCCUAGAGGCAAUGAGAAUUUCUUUGUGAAAUAGGCUCAUGUUCAAACAUCGUUAUUUCGAUGAAGUAAAUUUUCGCUAUCAUUUGAGCAAAUAUUCUUUCAUUCUUUCCACUAGUAAUUGUUUUAUUAUUUUCGUCGGAAUAAUUAUCUUGGUAUUUUUAGACUUUCUUCAAUCAUUCCUUCAUAAUCAUACUAUGCAAACAAUAAUUCUUAAAUUCAUUCAUUUUUUGCAUAUUUUUUGUACCUACCCCAAGAUAUCAAUGUUAUGAGUGACGCUGCUACUGAAGGAGAUUUAUAUGCCUAAGGGAGGCCGGAAGGAGAGCUUAGGUGGUAUCGUUUAGUUUAGAGUGAGACUAGAAGAAUAUUUCUAACUAAGACCGACAAAUGAUAUAAUAAGCAUAGGUUUCUUAUCUUAGUUAGUAAUUAAUGAAUCAUUUGAUCAUCAUUUUAAUCCAUUUGCAUUGUUUCUAGUAAAGAGGAAGAAAGUUUGUUAGAAAUUUUCAUUUGUUAGUCUAGAAUUUAGCUUUAAUAUAUUUUCAUAUUUUUUCUGUGCUACUAAUUUUUGGCUCAACUAGAUUAGUAGUUGAUUAGCUUGUAAUUAACUAAACAAACACGUUAACCAAUUGACAAUCCCUUGGGUUCGAUCAUUGGAAUACUCUAUGUGUUCCAUUGGAACACUUAGAAAUAUUACAAUUGACUUUUCACAUUUGCAGUAAGAGCCACUUUUUAAUUAUCAAUAUUUUGUGCUCAUUUCUCUGUGCAAUGUUCGUACAUCGUGGCAUCCAAUCACAUGCACCUUUGAUAAGUACAUUCAUGCAUCUGGAUUUCUUAAAUUUAUCCAUUCUAAACAUAUCGAUUAAAUUCACACAUUGGUGACAUGACAUUAUUCAACACAUCCAAGUUGAAGAAUAUCAUGUCAUUUGACCAAAAGUAUUAGAAGAAAAAAUUUACGUGCAUGUGCAUAUACACAUGGUUGCAUGCAUGCAUACGUUGAUAGCAUUAUAUGCAAGUACGGUGAAAAUAAAUUCUUAUAAAAUCCCACGAUCACUAAAAGUCAAAACCAAAUGUCAACAUGUUGUAUACUAAGGGGAAAUAUUCAUAUUAAACCAGAGACUUUAAUACAAAGUAUUAACGAACACGUCAUCCAAUAAAAAUUAAAAUAUGUCUGAUAGAAAUCUAUAUUGUAACUAACGUAACUACUUAUUGAUGGACCAAAAAACAAGAAAAGUGUCUAUUUAGAUUUUUCGGUACUCAAAUUUGCUACUAGAUCAUAAAUAAAUAUGAUAUCCUUGUCUUCCCCACUUUCUUCAUAUUGAUAUUACAAAAAUAGAAAUAUAUAAAAUGAUAUGAUGUGACAAAUUUAAUAAAUAAACCCCAAAAGAGGAAACCACUAAAUCCCAUAUGCCUUACCAUAAAAGUUUCCUCAAAAUAUUCCCACAAGUUUCUUGGUUAUACUAAAGUAAGAUUCGAAUCAUUUUAUAAUCUGAACAUCAAUGAUUAUCACAUGUUUGGUACAUUUUAUUUGAAAAAGGAAAAGAAACAAUCAUGCAUGAUAAUUAGUACUUCAAGGAGUUCCGGUUAUGUUGAACUCAUAUUCCACAUUGGUGGGAAGGUUAACAACAAAAUAAUAGAAUAACAACUGAAUUUGUUCACAUGUGGAGAGGUAUAGACCCAAGAAACUAAAACCAUAAGAAACAUGUGAGUCACCUUGAAGAGAUACUAAUACCUUUAGAAAGGAUAUGGCUACUAGCACAAUCUCCAUUUGCAAAUUCAUUUGGAAAAAGGAAAAAGAAGAGGAACUAAUUAGUUUCCAAUCUAAUUUUAAGCUUUUUUUUCUCUUCAUCUUCUUGCUUAUUCAUUUUCAUUUUCACAAGACUCUCUCUAACGACAAUGAAAAGAAUAAUUUGGCUCAAUCAUUUUUCAUAAAGUAUCUUGUCCAUCCAUUAUAAAGGGAUUCCUACAUUUCUUAUUUCCUUUUUCUGCACCUCUUUAUUUUUAGUGUCACAACCUAAACAUAUCUUAGUUGUAUUAAUGCAAUUGAUAUUUGGUAUAUCUCAUUUUAAAUAUUAUCAAAUAAUGUUUUCCUAGUUCAAGUAAUAAAUUGGUUUACCUCCUUACUUGCUCAAUAGGAAACUUUAUUACAAAUAAACAAGAUAGAUAAUACUUGGGGACCCGAAUUAGGAUAAAAGGAAUAUAUACCUAUUGGUGAGAAUACUUUGCCUAGAAAACAACCCUACACACUAUAAAUUAACCCCUUUUUAUGUUCUUCAAUGAAGUUCCACAACUAAAAUGCCCCUUUCAUUAAAUCAUGCAGCAUUUAAUGACACGCGUUUUAAAAAUUUGUGUGUAUAACUACUUAUCAAUACGCUAUUCUAGUGUCAAUAAAGCAUAUGAUAUUUGAUAUAAUUAUUGACUUAUAUCCACUUGUAUUAUAGCAUUAAAUGCAUGUCUUAGUGUCAGUAUUUUUUGGAUCAAAGUCGUUAUGUCAGCACUGAUUACUCAGCCACUCUCAUCAAUGAUUCUGCAUACAUAAAGAGGUUUACAAUAUACAUGCACGACACCUAUAUCGACAUGAACUAAUUACAUGUAGACUGAAGCAGUUUCAAUUUAUAAAGAUUUAUCCUUACCAGAAAAAAUAAAUUUUUCCUUAAAUAGAUGUAUUAUUUAUUAAAAAAAAAACAACUUCCAUAUGCAUGACUUCUUUUGUCUCAUAACCAUCCAAUAUGUAAUAUUUCUAAUAUUCAACUUUAAAUUCAUUGAAAUCAUUAAGUUUUUCAUCACCACUAGAGUUCUUACAGUAUUAGGAAUCUUUUCUAGUAUCUCCUAAUCAAAAUUGGAAAUAUUGUCUAAAUUUGUUACUAAUAAGUAAUAGAAAUACAACAUUCAUCAGAUAUAAUUAAAAAUAAAAUUUCUUACUAAUAAUAAUUGACUUAUGUCAACUUCCAUCCUAGCAUUAAAUGCAUACCUAUGUGAGUAUUACUCCGUCAUUCUCAUCGGAUCCUAAACAUGUAAAUGAAAUUAUACAAUGUAUAUAUACGACACAUUUACCUACACAUAGAGUGAGCAAUGCCAACCUGUAAAGUUUUACCCUUUCGCUAAAAGAGAUAAUUUUUUUCCUUAAACAGAUGUAUCGUUCAUCAAAAUAAACUACAAGAUCUAACUUUAUGAUCCUUUUUGUCUCAUAAAUUGUCCUAGAUAUAUUAUGUCUAGGAUAAGCUAUAAAAGUAACAUAUUUUAAUUUCAUUAUUAAUGUUUUGGAUGAUUAAUUAUGCGAAUUAGUGAAUUUAAUGCUUAUAAUCCUUUCAAUUCAUGAUUCUAUACUUAGGAGAGCAUUUGGGAUGAAAGGAGAGAAAAACAAGCCAAAAUCAGACAAAUAGAGCUAUUUUCAGGAUCCAUACGGCCUGGGCAUUUUCGCACGGACUAGCCACACGCCCAUGUGCCAGCCCGUGUCGAUUUCGUACCUUACUUCCCAAAUACAUGGAAAAACUAAAUUUUUAGGCUUUCUGAGCAGUCUAAAGUCUAUAAAUAACCUAGGGGGUAAUCAGAGAAGAUUAAAAAAAACACUCAAAAAAUGCCAUUAGAAUCAACUCAAAAGCGGAUCUCCAUCAAGAUCGAAUAUCUCCUAUUAAUUUCUUUCGAAGUUUUAUUGAUUUUGUUAAUGUCUUGUGGUUAUCCUAACUUUGAGAUGUUUCUAUUCAGGAUUAUGAAUUAAAUUCCCUAGAUACCUAGGGAGGAUGAAACCUAUGAUGAAUCUUAUUAUUUGAUUUCUGAUUUACGCGAUAAAUACUUGAUUCUUGUUCUAAAUUAUGUAUGUUUAUUUCUUGUUUUAAUAUUAUUGGGAUAUUAAUUCAUGUUUAAUGUGCUUAUUUCAAUGGAGCAAAAGGCCCUAUUUAUGAGUAAAUCUACUAUAAUUGAGUGGAGUUGCAUGCAAUCCUAGAAAUAAGACAACAUAAAUCUACCGGAUUAGAGUCAAAUCUAAUAAGAGAAUCCAUAGAUCGAGUUAAUGAGAUGAUAGAGGUUUUAUUUAGAAAGAGAUUUCAAUUAAUCAACUUAAAGUCAGUUGUUCUUACUAUCGAAAGAGAUAUUAACUUAAUUUAGGGAUUUCUACGGAUCAAAACACAAGUGAAUAAAUCGUUUAAUUCAAAUUCAUAAUAAUAGGUAAAGACCAGGUGGAUUCUUUCCUGGGUAUUGUCUAUCUCAUUGGUUAUCUUCAAUUAUUUUCCUAUUUCACUCUCUGUUGCGUUAUUAGUUAAGCUAGUUUAGUAAUUUUAGAUUAAAACACAAUCACUCCAAUUUGCAGGCUAAAUAAUAAGAAGACGGUAAUUACUAGUACUUUUAGUACUCGUGGAUACGACAUUCCCUACUCACCGUAGCUAUACUAUUGUUCGAUAGGUGUGCUUGCAUUUGUCGUAUUUAUAGUUAGUUUAGUGACUAUCAAGUUUUUGGCGCCAUUGUCGGGGACUAAAAUAUUAGGAACACUCAAUUUUUAUUAAUUAUCCAUUUUUUAUUGCAUUUUAUUUUUUAUUUUUAGUUUCAUUUUUACAUUCUAAUUUUUUUUAAUUUGCUUUUGGCAAGUUCUUGUAAUUUAUGACAAAAAGAAACCUAUUGGGACCAUUAUUAUUUGACAGUGAAAUUGAAAGUACAACUUGCAGAAAUUGUAGAGAAGCAAAGCAAUGUCGACGGAAUAUAGUAGACGAGCAAGAGGGCAUUAUUAUUACUAAGGAGAUGGUGAUAAUCAGACUAAUCAGCUACCUCCUGCAAUUGCUACAAAUCUUGCAAAUCCAAAUCAUGUUCCUCAUACUAUGUACGAUUAUGCCAAGCCCACUCUAACUGGGGCUGAAUUGAGUAUUGUGUGACCCACUAUUGCUGCAAAUAGUUUCAAACUGAAUCUGAACACAAUUCAGAUGAUACAACAGUUUGUUCAGUUCGAUGGUUUACAGGACGAAUAUCCAAAUACUCAUUUGGCUAAUUUUCUGGAAAUCUAUGAUACUUUCAAGAUUAAUGGCAUUUUUGACGACGUCAUUCACCUCUAGCUAUUCCCUUUCUCGUUGAGGUUCUAUCACUACAUGGGAUCAAAUGACUGAGAAAUUCCUACUAAUGUACUUCCCACCAGCUAAGACAGCCAAGUUGAGGAAUGAUAUCUCUUCCUUCGUUCAGAUUGACUUAGAGACUUUAUAUGAUGCAUGGGAGAGAUAUAAGGAUUUAUUAAGAAGGUGACCUCACCAUGGGUUACCUUUAUGGUGUCAGGUUCAAACCUUCUACAACGGUUUGAAUCCCUCAACUAGGCAGUUGAUUGAUAUAGUAUCCAUAGAAAUUUGAAUAAUAAAAUACUCAAAGUGGCUUAUGGAUUUAUUGAGGAGAUGUCACUGAAUAAUUAUUAGUGGCAAGUAAUGAGAACGAAGCCGAUGAAAGCAGCCGGUGUUUUCAACUUAGAUGCAUUCACCAUGCUAUUAAAUCAGGUAGAAUAAUUAAAUAAGAAAAUGGAUAGUUUAUAUGUUUCUACGCAGGUACAUCUGGUGAUGCAAUAUGAUAUAAAUUAAGGUGGAAUGAACAAUCUAAAAUGCUUACCCUUCGCUCCUAGCACAGAGAAUAACCCCCUCCAGGUAAUAAUUCUAGGCCUCAAAAUAACCCUUAUAGUAACCAUUAUAAUGCAGGUUGGAGGAAUCAUCCCAAUUUCUCUUGGGGUGGUCAAGGAAAUCAACGAGCAUAACCCCCUCCAGGCUUCCAACAACAAUCUUACCAGCAAGAGAAGAAGACAAAUCUCGAGGAGAUGUUGACAAAGUUUAUCUCGGUGUCAAAAAUUAGCUUUCAAAACACUAAAGUAGCACUUAAAAAUCAAUAAGCAUCGAUUUAAGGGCUUGAGAACCAAAUCGGUCAACUUGCUAAACUAAUCUCAAAAAGACUAAAAGGUAGUUUGCCUAAUAAUACUAAAACUAACCUAAGGGAACACCUUCAUACAAUUACUGUGUGAGAUAAAGAAGGGUUAGUUGAAUCUAAACCAGAACUAAGGCAAGAAAUUGUGGUAAAUAAUGAUGAGGUUGAGGUAAGCCAAAAAGAGCAAAAGCCGGUUGUUAAGUAAUAUAAACUUUAAGUGCCAUACCCUAAUGCGACGAAGAGAAACCAUAUGAAUGAACAAUUCGGUAAAUUUCUUAAACUUAUAAAAAAUUACAUAUUAACUUACUAUUUUUUGAAGCUCUUUCACAGAUGCCCAAUUACGUAAAAUUUUUAAAGGAGCUUUUGGCAAACAAAAGAAAGUUAGAUGAUUUUUUGACUAUUGAGCUAAAUGCAAUUUGCUGGCAUAUAUUACAAAAUAAUCUACCUAACAAAUUAAAAGAUUCAGGGAGUUUUACUAUUCCCUGCUUAAUUGGUAGUUUGAAUAUUGAUAAUGCUUUCGCUGAUUUAGGGGCUAGUAUUAAUGUCAUGCCUUAUAAAAUGUUUAAGCAAUUAGGUCUUGGGAAACCCAAACAAAAUAGGAUGAGUAUUCAAUUACCAAAUAGAACCAUUAGAUAUUCUAGGGUUGUUAUUGAAGAUGUGCUUGUUAAAAUUGAUAAAUUUAUAUUUCCCAUUGACUUUGUUAUAUUAGACAUAGAUGAGGGUAGUAAGGUACCUCUAAUUUUAGGGCGACCCUUUUUAGCAAUUGCUAGAACUAUAAUUGACGUUGGUACUAGUGAGUUAGUAAUUCGUGUAGGUGACGAAUCGAUUAUUCUUCAAGCUCGUGAUUCUGUUAGAGCAUCUAGUGAUCGAGAUGAUUUUAAAUAUUCUAUUAAUGUUAGAGACCAUGUGGCUCAAACCCUAGAAAAAACAUAACGGAUCCAUGUUCCAGUCAAUACGACAGAAACAGAAUGAUUUAUAAUGAACAAAUGUUACAAAUUGAUGAACUAGAUGAAUAGCAGAUGUAUGUCAAGAAGAAACCAAGAAAGCAGGAUGAAGAGCCAAAGCGGCGCCACGAUGAACACAUGAGCAACCAAUUUAAAGUUGGUAACAAGGUAUUGCUAGACAAAAUGGACCCACAAAUUGCCCCUUUGAAGCUUGAUGGAAAUGGAUUAAACCCAUUUACGGUACAGAAUGUCUUCCCAUAAGGUACAGUCGAGGUAACUCAUUCUGAAUUUGGCACAUUUAAGGUAAAUAGUACUCAACUUAAACCUUAUUUUGAUAAUAGAAUUGAAAAUACGAGCCAAUACUUCGAGAACUCGCGAUUAUAUAAAGAAGUGACAAAGCGACACCAUGAUGCUCGUUUGAAGCAGCCCAAACAAUUCACAGCUAGAGAUCGUCCUUUUAUAUAAUUAUGCUAAUGGAGAUGAUCAAAUUUGUGGGCUUCAUCGGCCUGUAGUCUAUUAAUGAGCAUUUUCUCAAACUCUUCUUUUUUAUAUUUUAUGCAUACCAUGUGUUUAUUAAAAUGCUUAUGUGGGAUUUAAGUUUGAUCAUAUGUUGAAUCAUCUUAUUGGUUGAUUGACGAGUGAGUUACUUAACUAAGUUAUUAUCUAUGAUUUGAUAUUUAUUUGUUCAAUUGUAUUGGAUCAUAUAUUCACUAGAAUUGACGUCUCUAGUGGAAGAUUUAGAUAGAUGAGAUCGAAAGGAUACUUUAUCAUGUAGGACUUAAUAUAUUUGUAUCGAAUAGUGAGAUCGAGAGGAGAUUUAUAUGCCUAAGGGAGGUCGGAAGGAGAGCUUAGGUGGUAUCGUUUAGUUUAGGGUGAGACUAGAAGAAUAUUUCUAACUAAGACUGACAAAUGAUAUAAUAAGCAUAGGUUUCUUAUCUUAGUUAGUAAUUAAUGAAUCAUUUGAUCAUCAUUUUAAUCCAUUUUCAUUGUUUCUAGUAAAGAGGAAGAAAGUUUGUUAGAAAUUUUCAAUUGUUAGUCUAGAAUAUAGCUUUAAUAUAUUUUCAUAUUUUUUCUGUGCUACUAAUUUUGGGCUCAACUAGAUUAGUAGUUGAUUAGCUUGUAAUUAACUAAACAAACACGUUAACCAAUUGACAAUCCCUUGGGUUCAAUCAUUGAAAUACUCUAUGUGUUCCAUUGGAACACUUAGAAAUAUUACAAUUGACUUUUCACAUUUGCAGUAAGAGCCACUUUUUAAGUAAAUCGUGGCAUCCAAUCACAUGCACCUUUGAUAAGUACAUUCAUGCAUCUGGAUUUCUUAAAUUUAUCCAUUCUAAACAUAUCGAUUAAAUUCACACAUUGGUGACAUGGCAUUAUUCAACACAUCCAAGUUGAAGAAUAUCAUGUCAUUCGACCAAAAGUAUUAGAAGAAAAAAUUUACGUGCAUGUGCAUAUACACAUGCUUGCAUGCAUGCAUACGUUGAUGGUAUUAUAUGCAAGUACGGUGAAAAUAAAUUCAUAUAAAAUCCCACGAUCACUAAAAGUCAAAACCAAAUGUCAACAUGUUGUAUACUAAGGGGAAAUAUUCAUAUUAAACCAGAGACUUUAAUACAAAGUAUUAACGAACACGCCAUCCAAUAAAAAUUAAAAUAUGUCUGAUAGAAAUCUGUAUUGUAACUGGCGUAACUACUUAUUGAUGGACCAAAAAACAAGAAAAGUGUCUAUUUAGAUUUUUCGGUACUCAACUUUGCUACUAGAUCAUAAAUAAAUAUGAUAUCAUUGUCUUCCCCACUUUAUUCAUAUUGAUAGUACAAAAAUAGAAAUAAAAAAAAUGAUAUGAUGUGACAAAUUUAAUAAAUAAACCCCAAAAGAGGAAACCAUUAAAUCCCAUAUGCCUUACCAUAAAAGUUUCCACAAAAUAUUCCCACAAGUUUCUUGGUUAUACUAAAGUAAGAUUCGAAUCAUUUUAUGAUCUGAACAUCAAUGAUUAUCACAUGUUUGGUACAUUUUAUUCGAAAAAGGAAAAGAAACAAUCAUGCAUGAUAAUUAGUACUUCAAGGAGUUCAGGUUAUGUUGAACUCAUAUUCCACAUUGGUGGGAAGGUUAACAACAAAAUAAUAGAAUAACAACUGAAUUUGUUCACACGUGGAGAGGUAUAGACCCUAGAAACUAAAACCAUAAGAAACAUGUGAGUCACCUUGAAGAGAUACUAAUACCUUUAGAAAGGAUAUGGCUACUAGCACAAUCUCCAUUUCCAAAUUCAUUUGGAAAAAGGAAAAAGAAGAGGAACUAAUUAGUUUCCAAUCUAAUUUUAAGCUUUUUUUUCUCUUCAUUUUCUUGCCUAUUCAUUUUCAUUUUCACAAGACUCUCUCUAACGACAAUGAAAAGAAUAAUUUGGCUCAAUCAUUUUUCAUAAAGUAUCUUGUCCAUCCAUUAUAAAGGGAUUCCUACAUUUCUUAUUUCCUUUUUCUGCACCUCUUUAUUUUUAGUGUCACAACCUAAACAUAUCUCAGUUGCAUUAACGCAAUUGAUAUUUGGUAUAUCUCAUUUUAAAUAUGAUCAAAUAAUGUUUUCCUAGUUCAAGUAAUAAAUUGGUUUACCUCCUUACUUGAUCAAUAGGAAACUUUAUUACAAAUAAACAAGAUAGAUAAUACUUGGGGACCCUAAUUAGGAUAAAAAGAAUAUAUACCUAUUGGUGAGAAUAAUUUUCCUAGAAAGCAACCCCGCAUACUAUAAAUUAACCCCUUUUUAUGGUCUUCAAUGAAGUUCCAUAACUAAAAUGUCCCUUUCAUUAAAUCAUGCAGCAAUUAAUGACGCGCGUUUUAAAAAAUUGUGUGUAUAACUAUUUAUCAAUACGCUAUUCUAGUGUCAAUAAAGCAUAUGAUAUUUGAUAUAAUUAUUGACUUAUAUCCACCUAUAUUAUAGCAUUAAAUGCAUGUCUUAGUGUCAGUAUUUUUUGGAUCAAAGUCGUUAUGUCAGCACUGAUUACUCAGCCACUCUCAUCAAUGAUUCUGCAUACAUAAAGAGGUUUACAAUAUACAUGCACGACACCUAUAUCUACAUGAACUAAUUACAGUUAGACUGAAGCAGUUUCAAUUUAUAAAGAUUUAUCCUUACCAGAACAAAUAAAUUUUUCCUUAAAUAGAUGUAUUAUUUAUUAAAAAAAAACUACAACUUCCAUAUGCAUGACCUCUUUUGUAUCAUAACCAUCCAAUAUGUAAUAUAUCUAAUAUUCAACUUUAAAUUCAUUGAAAGCAUUAAUUUUUUCAUCACCACUAGAGUUCCUACAGUAUUAGGAAUCUUUUCUAGUAUCUCCUAAUCAAAAUUGGAAAUAUUGUCUAAAUUUGUUACUAAUAAGUAAUAGAAAUACAACAUUCAUCAGAUAUAAUUAAAAAUAAAUUUUCUAACUAAUAAUAAUUGACUUAUGUCAACUUCCAUCCUAGCAUUAAUUGCAUACCUAUGUGAGUAUUACUCCGUCAUUCUCAUCGGAUCCUAAACAUGUAAAUGAAAUUAUACAAUGUAUAUAUACGACACAUUUACCUACACAUAGAGUGAGCAAUGCCAACCUAUAAAGUUUUACCCUUUUGCCAAAAGAGAUAAUUUUUUUCCUUAAACAGAUGUAUCGUUCAUCAAAAUAAACUACAAGAUCUACCUUCAUGAUCCUUUUUGUCUCAUAAAUUGUCCUAGAUAUAUUAUGCCUAUGGUAAGCUAUAAAAGUAACAUAUUUUAAUUUCAUUAUUAAUGUUUUGGAUGAUUAAUUAUGCAAAUUAGUGAAUUUAAUGCUCAUAAUCCUUUAAAUUCAUGUUUCUAUACUUAGGAGAGAAUUUGGGAUGAAAGGAGAGAAAAACGAGCCAAAAUCAGACAAAUAGAGCUAUUUCAGGAUCCCUACGGCUUGGGCAUUGUUGUACGGGCUAGUCACACACCCAUGUGCCAGCCUGUGUCAAUUUCGUACCUUACUUCCCAAAUACACGGAAAAACCCAAUUUUUAGGCUUUCUGAGCAGUCUAAAGUCUAUAAAUACCAAUUAUAAGAAGACCUAGGGGGUAAUCAGAGAAGAUCAAAGAAAGCACUAAAAAAAUGCCAUCAGAAUCAACUCAAAAGUGGAUCUCCAUCAAGAUCAAAUAUCUCCUUUUAAUUUCUUUCGAAGUUUUAUUGAUUUUGUUAAUGUCUUGUGGUUAUCCUAACUUUGAGAUGUUUCUAUUCAGGAUUAUGAAUUAAAUUCCCUAGAUACCUAGGAAAGAUGAAACCUAUGAUGAAUCUUAUUAUUUGAUUUCUGAUUUACGCGAUAAAUACUUGAUUCUUGUUCUAAAUUAUGUAUGCUUAUUUCUUGUUUUCAUAUUUCCGGGAUAUUAAUUAAUUUUUAAUGUGAUUAUUUCAAUGGAGCAAAAGGCCCUGUUUAAGAGUAAAUCUAGUAUAAUUGAGUUGAGUUGCAUGCAAUCCUAGAAAUAGGACAACAUAAAUCUACCGGAUUAGAGGCAAAUCUGAUAGUAGAAUCCAUAGAUCGAGUUAAUGAGACGAUAGGGGUUUUAAUGAGAAAGAGAUUUCAAUUAAUCAACCUAAAGUCAGUUGUUCUUACUAUUGAAAGAGAUAUUAACAUAAUUUAGGGAUUUCUACGGAUCAAGACCUAAGUGAAUAAAUCGUUUAAUUCAAAUUCAUAAUACUAGGUAAAGAGUAGGUGGAUUCUUUCUUGGGCAUUGUCUAUCUCAUUGGUUAUCUUCGAUUAUUUUCCUAUUUCACUCUCUGUUGCGUUCUUAGUUAAGCUAGUUUAGUAAUUUUAGAUUAAAACACAAUCACUCUAAUUUACUGGUGAUAAACCAUAAUUUAUACAUAUUUUUAUCCUAUGCUUAGCAUAUUUUUUGGAUGAUUUAUCUUUAGAUUUGGUGGAUUCGAUGCUCCUAAUCCUUUAAUUUCAUAUUUUAUACUUAGGUGAGUAUAGGAGAGUAAAAAUAGCGAGAAACGGGUCGAAAACAGAGAAAAUGAACUAAAAUGUGAAAUCAACACGGCCCGGAAUUUCGUACACAGGAAGACCACAUGCCUGUAUCCAUUCAAUAGACUCGAUCAUGAUUUGAGGUAAUCAAACACGGGUGUGUCCUUGUUGGGCUCAAGUUUAGUUCUAUUCGGAAAAGGCCACUCUUGAGGGCUUUUAGGCAUUCUAAAGCUUAUUUAAACACCUGAGGAGGCACUUAGAAGGCACACACGGAGUAGGAGGCAAGGAAUUACUCAAGGGAAGCUGAUUGAUCCAUCUCAGAAGACGGGUUCAUUGUCAAGACUGAAGAUCUCCCUUCAAUUUCCUUCAGGAGUUUUGGAUUUUCUUUAUGUUUUGUUAUCUUUAUUCUUUUGGGAUGUUUUCUUUUAUAAAUAUGAACUAAAUCCUCUGAAUACCUAAGGGGAAUGAAAUCUAAGACGGAUCUUGUUAUUAUUAUUUGAAUUGGAUGAUAAAUAUUCGACUUGUUCUUAAUUAUGAAUUUUUCUUGUUUUAAUAUUCCAGGAUAUUGAUUCAAGUUCUGAUGUGCUUAUUCAGAGGAGCAAAAGUCCCUGUCUAAGAGUAGAUCUAACAUAAUUAAACAGAGUUGAUUGCAUGCCUAGAGAUAGAGUGACAAGAUUUUGUCGGAUUAGGGUGAAACCUAAUAAGAGAAUCCAUAGAUUGAGUUAAUGCAACAGUAGGGAGUUAAUUAGAAAGAGAUUUCAAUUAAUCAACCUAGGGUUAGAUGUUGUUAGUCUCGAGAGAGAUAAUAACAUAAAUUAGGGAUUUCUACGGAUCAAGUCAAAUGAAUAAAUCGUCUGAUCUAGAGUCAAAUAACAAGUGAAGUCUAGGUGGAAUUUUCCUUGGGUAUUGUCUUAAUCAAUCAGUUUUCUCAAAAGUUUUUCUCAAUUUUCUUUCUGUGCAUUCUUAGUUUAGUAAUUAGUUUAGAUAAACAAAACCCUUAAUUUUCUAGGCUAGAUAAUAAAAGGAAAGUUAAUACUAGUACUUUUAGUUUCUUUGGGAUUCUACAAUCCGGUCUUGCUAAAGAUAUACUACUGUUCGAUAGGUGCGUUUGCCUUCAUCGUGAUAGUUAGUUUUCAAGAGCGAUCCAUUAUAAAUUAUAAAACUUAUUGAACGUAUCAUAUGUCACAUCAUAUCACGAUCAAAUUUUUGGCGCUGUUGCCGGGGAACUAAGAUAUUAGGAACACUCGAUUUUUAUUACUUUAGCCAUUUUACUUUUAUUGCAAUUUAAAUUUUUAUUUCUAAUUUUUCGUUUAUUCACUUCUGGUAGGUUUUUAUAGUGCAUGACUAGAAGAAACCUGUCAGGACCAUUACUCUUUGAUAGUGAGAUCGAUCGUACAACUCGUAGAAACCGAAGAGAAAUAAGGCGGAGCUUAAGAUACACAGAGGAAGAGCAAGGGGACGAUAUUUCCACCACAACCGAGGAGAUGGCUAAAAAUCAGGAAAACCCGCUACCUCCUGCGAUAGCUGCUGACCCAGUAAAUCAGAAUCCUACUCCACGCACUAUGUAUGAUUAUGCUAAACCUAUUUUAACAGGAACUGAGUCAAGUAUAGUUAGGCCUACUGUUGCUGCAAAUAGUUUUGAACAGAAACUUAACACAAUUCAAAUGAUCCAACAGUUUGUUCAGUUUGAUGGUUUGUAGGACGAGGACCCAAACGCUCAUUUGGCGAAUUUCUUAGAGUUUUGUGACACUUUUAAAAUCAAUGGCAUUUCUAAUGAUGUCAUUCGCCUUCAGUUGUUUCCCUUUUUGUUGAGGAACAAAGCUAAACAAUGGUUGAACUCGUUACCACGAAGGUCAAUCACUACUUGGGAACAAAUGACCGAAAAAUUUUUACUUAAAUAUUUUUCGCCAGCUAAAAUGGCUAAGUUAAGGAAUGACAUCUCUUCUUUUGUGCAGAUGGAUCUAGAGACACUCUAUGAUGCAUGGAAGAGAUACAAGGACCAAUUGAGAAGGUGCCCUCACCAUGGGUUACCUUUAUGGUUGCAGGUUGAAACGUUUUACAACGGCAUGAACGCUUUAACAAGGCAUCGACACAGCUGCUGGUGGGACUAUCAAUAACAAAACACCUGAAGUGGCUUACAAAUUUAUUGAAGAGAUGUCACUAAAUAACUAUCAGUGGCAAGUCAUGAGAACAAAGCCGAUGAAGGUAGCCGGUGUUUUCAACCUCGAUGCGGUUACUAUGCUAUCUAACCAGGCAGAACUCUUAAAUAAAAAGAUUGGCGGUUUGUGUGGUUCUACUCAGGUACAUCCAGUGAUGAGGUGCAAUUCAAAUGGAGGAGGAGCAUACACAGAAUAUCAACCCGUCAACCCUAACAUUGAGGAGGAACAAGUUCAAUAUAUGGGUAAUAAUAAUUCUAGAUCUCAAAAUAACCCAUAUAGUAACACAUAUAAUACAGGUUGGAGGAACCAUCCUAACUUCUCGUGGGGUAGUAAGGGGAAUCAAAGGCCACAACAUUCUCUGGGUUUUCAACAACCACCUUACCAACAGGAAAAGAAGCCGAGCCUUGAGGAGAUGCUAACAAAGUUUAUCUCGGUGUUAGAAACUAGCUUUCAGAAUACCAAAACAACACUUAAGAAUCAACAAGCGUCGAUCCAAAGGCUCAAAACUCAGAUAGGCUAACUCGCCAAAUUAAUUUUUGAAUGACCAUAAGGUAGCUUGCCAAGUAACACUGAAUCUAACCCAAGGGAACAACUCAAUGCAAUUACCAUUCAAAACGAGUAAGGGCUAAUCGAACCAAAACCAAAACCGAGGCAAGGAAUUGUGGUGAGUAAAAGCAAAGGUGAGGUAGACCACAGUGAGUAAACAUCGGUAAAUAAAGAGUAUAAACCUCGUGUUCCACCCAAUGCGACAAGGAAAGACUGCAAAGACGAAUAAUUCGGUAAAUUCUUUAAAUUAUUAAAAAAAUUACAGAUCAACUUACCAUUUAUUGAAGCUCUUUCGUAGAUGCCAAACGCAGCCAAAUUCUUAAAGGAGCUUUUAACAAAUAAGCGGAAGUUGGAUGAGGCGUCGCAUGUGGAGUUAAAUGCAGUUUGCUCAACCAUACUACAGAAUAAGCUGGCUAACAAAUUAAAAGAUCUAGGGAGUUUUACGAUUUCUUGUGUAGUUGGUAGCUUAGAUGUUAAUAAUGCUUUGGCUGAUUUAGGGGCUAGUAUCAAUUUCAUGCCUUAUAAAAUGUUUAAACAACUAGGUCUUAGGAAACCCAAACAAACUAGGAUGAGCAUUCAGUUAGCAGACAAAAUAAUCAGAUUUCCUAGGGGUAUUAUUAAAGAUGUACUCUUUAAAAUGGACAAAUUCAUAGUCCCAGUUGAUUUUAUUGUUCUAGAUAUAGAGAAGGAUAGUGGCGUGCCUCUAAUUUUAGGAAGGCCCUUUUUAGCAUCUGCUAGAACUAUAAUUGAUGCUGGUACAGGUGAACUCACACUUUGUGUGGGUGAUGAAACAAUCACUCUUCAAGCUCGUAAUUCAAGUAACACAUCAAAUAUCAAGGGUGAUUGUAUAAAUCGUGCUACUAAUACUGAUCAUGUGGUGAAACCUUCUUUUCAGGAAACACAUUCAAAGAACAUACUUGAGCCAUGUUCGAGUAACAAAAAAGGACCCAUCUAUAAAGAACGAAGGCUACAGGUCGAUGAACUAGAUGAAUGGCAGACAUAGAAACUGAGAGCACACGAUAGACCAAAACCACGCCAUGACGAGCUCAAUAUUUCACCAAAUCAAUUUAAGGUUGGAGACAAAGUACUAUUAGAUGCAGCAGACCCUUGGAUUGCCACCUCUGAACCUAAUAAAGAAAUCCCUCUUACGGUACUUAGCAUUUUUCGAUACAGCACAGUCGAGGUAAUUCAUCCCAAAUUUGGUAUGUUUAAGGUAAAUAGUACUUGUCUAAAACCUUAUUUUGAUAAAAUUAAUAGCAGGGAUGAGGAGUGUAAACUCCCCGCACCACCAUGACCAUGCAACAGAGAGAUAAGUCGAGCUUAGACUAUAAAUAAGCGCUUCUCGGGAGGCAACCCAAGUACUAACAGUGUUAACUUCCUUAAAUUUUAGUUUUUAACAUUUAAUUCACUAACUAAGACAUUGAAAACAGGUUUUCCAGAACCAUACAGCCAGGCACACGGUCAUGCCUUAGGCCGUACCCACACCACGGAAGGUAACACGGCCGUUCGAUACUGCCGUGUAAAAAUAGGGAAAAAUUUUUCCCAACAAAGGAGUCGAUAAGUUGGCACGACUGUUCGACAUGAUCGUGGGUAAAUCUGUAAAAAAAAAACGGGCGUGCGACAUGCCCGUGUCUAGAGGCCAUGGUUGAAACUGAGAAAACAACACGGGCGUGCGACACACUCGUGCCCAUUACCCAUGGUCAAGAUUGACAAAAUAACACGGGCGUGGACAUCCAUACACGGGCGUGGGAGAAGCGAAAGAAGCAAAACACGACCGUGCGACACGGUCGUGUGCAUCAACACGCCUAAAGAACAAGGGCGUGGGCCAAAUUUUAGACGCGCCUAAAUUUGAAAAUCAGGAUUCACACGGGCUAAAAUUAGGGCACAGGGGCAUGUCCCACGGCAGUGUGCCCCAAUUUCUAUAUAAACCCCUUACUAUUCAUCAUCCCCUUCUCCAAAAACCCUACUUAACCGUCACAAUCCCUUCACACCCCCUCACUCCCACUCCGUGGCUGGCCGAUAGCUCUCCUCAGAUGACUAACUCCUCCUUCCAGCAAGGACUAUUGUAUUUGUGUAAUCUUUCCUCCCUAUUACCUUCCUUUCUUUCACUAAUUUUAUGCUAUUUCUUUAUUUAUUUGGCUGAUUUUUUGAUUAAUAUUCAUAGUUCUCACUAUAGUCAUGCUUAUGCUUGUCAUUCUUUGCCAUUUUAGUCAAUACAUUGUGAUACAUUCAUUCUUUCUUGUGUUUCCAUAGAUUUCAUGCCACAUUCCAUAUUCCCAUAUGCAUUCACUAGGUAUUUAGUUGACACUAUUCUAGUAUUCCUAAUGAUAAUAAUGCUUUGAUAUAUCUAUUAGGACUUGGUUGUUUUUCCCUUUAGUCAGAAAACUCCCAUGAAAUAUUGGUAUUUAGUUUUAACAUACUUGCAUGUUUUCCCAUUCGUGCGGAUUAUUCUUAUAACUCCAUGUUUUCAUCGCAGAUACUAUGUCAAAUCCACGCGCAAGAAAACUGCUGUACCUGCCUCGAAGAAGAGGAAAUGAGCAUCGUCUUCCUCGGGUCCUGUAACGACCCGAAUUUUAAAGUAAUCAGAAAAGUGAGUUUUCGGGUCUUUGAUAUUAAAAAUUUGAUUUGUAAAUAUUUAUUAGUAAUAUUUACGAAGUUAAAUGAGAGGUUAAUUAGAUUUUAAUUUAGUAAAUUUAGCUUAAUUAAGGUUAAUUUAGUAUAUGGACUAAAUUGAAUAAAGUGUGAAAGUUUAAUUAUAAACUAUAGAAUAGUCAAGGGAUUAAGUUAGUAAAUAAGCCUUAUGUGACAAGUGUGUGGUAUGUAUAAGUGCAUUUGCGUUAUUGUGAUUGGUACAAAUGUAUGUAUAAAUAUGUAUUUACUUAUUAAAUAAGAAAUAAUAUUUAUAAUUUAAAACAUAAUAAUAAUGAUAUAUUAUAAUAAUAAAAGAAUAAAGAAAUAAAAUAAAGAAAAAUGAAAGAAAGAAGGACGGAACAGAACAGGGAAAGAAAGAAAGAAAAAAGGGAAAGAAAAAGAAAGGAAAAAUAGGGUUUUAAGGUUCAAGCUUUAAGUGGUAAGUCAAUUUAAUCCUUUUUCUUGUAAUUUUGGUGUCUAUGGAAUCUUAGGAAGAAAUAAUACUUGAGUUAUGUUGAAAUUUAGAAAGUUAAUGAAUUUUUAGAUAUUGAUUAAGUUGUAUGAAUUGAUGAAUUAUUGGUUUAAUUGAUAAAAAUUCAAGUUAAAAGUGAAAAGGAUUGAUUUGUUAAGAGAGAUAUAAGUUUUGUUAUAGUAGGGACUAAAUUGUUUAAAUUGUAGAGUUGAUGUUUUAUAUUGAAGAUUAAGAGUUGAAACUUGUUAAAAGUAGGUAUAAAAUGAAAUUUGUAAGGUUAUUUGAAGAAAAAGAAUGGUUAUGGUGGUAGGACCUAAUUGGAAAUAUAGUAAAAGUUACAUGGAAAUUAAAGAGUAUGUUAUUAAAUAACAUAUAUUGAAAAUUUUAAAUGUUAAAUUUUAUGUAGCCAACGUAGCACUAGAAACGUCAUCGAAAAAUGGAAAGAAGAAAGUGAACGAGGAUAUCGAAUAAACCUGAGAAUUUCGGUUUGUAUUUCUAUAAACUAUGCUUAGUAAUUUAAUACAAUGUAAUUGUUUUUUUAAUAGUUAGAAUGUAUGAUGAAUGGUAUGGUGGAAACUGUUACUACUUCUGUAUUGAAAUGAAACGAUUUGAAUACCCUAUUAACAGUGUCGGGCUAGUCGGAUACAAUUGGCAUGCCAUAGGAUUGGAAGUGUUCAGGGAUAUUCCGACUGUGUGUUGAUGAGACACUAUAUUUCUCGACUACUGUGACUGUUCUGGAUUCGUUCCGAAGAGGUACUUCGUACCUGGCUAUGACUGUUACUAUUACUGUUACUGUUACCCUACGGUGUAUUCCGGUUUUGACUGAUGAAACACUGUAUAUUAUCCCCGUUGUGUGGGUUGGAUCCGCAUAUUUGUUUAGGUCCGAGUUAUGUUAAUAGGGGUAAAUGAAAGUGCUGAAGACAAAUAUUGACUGCUAUUGAUUAUGUGACUGUGACUGUUAUAUGAUUAUUAAAAGGUAUCGAACGAUAUGAAAUAUAUAUAAAGAAUUGCUUAAUUACAUUUAAGAGCUAUAAGAUGAAGACAAGAGAUUAAGCUAUUAAGAUUAUGAAACUAAAUGUCUCGAGUUACAAUAUAUAUGUACGGCUUAUUAUUGUUAUAAGUAUUAGUUUAUAGAAAUACCACUGAGUGUAUACUCAACAUACGGUAUGUUUCCGUGCACAGGAUUAGGUACGAAAGAAAGCUAGGCUCAACAUCCAAGCCAAUCCCGGACUCAAAGUGGUGAAUACUUUUCUUUUGGUGAAAUGACAUGUAUCUAGGUUGUUAAGGUGUUAUUUUGUACAUGAUAGUGAAUAAACAUGAAAGUUGUUGAAGCAUGGUAUGAAAUAUGCAUAUUUUGGAAGUUAAACUUACAUGAGUUUGACUAAGUAUGAUAAUGUAAUAUAAUUUCGAUAUGAAUUGUAGUGCAUAAUCUUUAAGAGAUAUAGAAGUGAAUGAAUGAAUGUUUGCUAAGUUUGAAUGGCAUAAAGAAUGAUAAUUGAUUUAAGAACUGUUAAUAAAUGUUUGGGUGUAAAUUAGAUGUGUUUAGCAUGUGAAAAUAGCUUAAAAAUGGUCAAAAAUAAUGUUUUCACACGGCCAAGUCACACGGGCGUGUGCUCUGGCCGUGUGGCUCUCUGUUUAUGUCACACAGGCUAUUUGCACGUCUGUGUGAGCAAGUCAGAUCUACCCACAGGCUGGCCCCACGGCCAUGGAGCCCCACCGGCUGGCCACACGGCCAUGUCCUAGGCCACAUGGGCGUGUACCCCUAUCUUUAAGGUAAAAUUUCUAAAGUUGCCAGUUUAGUUUCAAAUCACUUUUAAAGCAUGUAUUGAGCCCCGUAGGCCCAUAUUAGGGACUUUAUGGUGAAAUUGGAAAGGUUUUGAAUUGGAAUGCAAAUUUAUGACUUGGUUUUGUAUAAAUGUUAGCGUAUAAGUCUAGUAAUGCCUCGUAACCCUAUUUCGAUGACGGUUUGGGAUUAGGGUGUGUUACAUUUAGUGGUAUCAGAGCUACUCAAGUUUAGUUGAUUUUAGGACUAAAUCGAGCUCAAAAUUAAGUCAAGAGGUACAUGCCAUUCUUAUGUUAACUGUGAGUCAGGAUUGGAUGCUGAUUUAUAUACUGAUAAACUAACUCUGUUUUAUAGUGAGUAAAAGAUGUCUAACGAAAGUAUUGAGGGUACCAAUCAGGAAAUAUACAGUAGAGAUGAAUCACGUGAUGUUAAUGAAUUUGAAUCUGCAACCCCAAGUGUAAACCCGGUAGGUAACCAACCACCGAAUACUAGAACGGAUAAUACAGAAAUAUUUAGAAUGAUUGCUGAAGCUCUUCAAAGAGCGGUAGGAAGUAUGCCUGCAACUAUUUUUACCCCUGCUACCCGACGAGCUCCUAUUAUGGAACUGCGAAAGUAUGGAGCUACAGAAUUUCUGGGAUUAAAGGGAACUGAUUCAAUAAUAGCUGAAAAUUGGUUAGAGACUACCAAGAGAAUUUUGAAGCAAUUAGAAUGCACGCCACAGGAAAGUUUGGCAUGUGUUGUUUCUCUGUUACAAGAAGAGGCUUACAUAUGGUGGGCACCAGUGAUUCAGAAUAUACAAGAAGAACAGGUAAAUUGGGAAUUCUUUCAACGAGAAUUUCAGAAGAAGUAUUUGGGAGAGACAUAUAUGGAAGACCGUAAACAAGAGUUUUUGAUGCUGAAAUAGAGGGAUAUGUCCGUAGUGGAUUAUGAACGAAAAUUUCUGAGACUGAGUAGAUAUGCAAUCGAAUUUGUACCUACUGAAGCUGAUAGACGUAAGAGAUUUCUAAAAGGACUGCGAGAUGAAUUCCAACUGCAAUUGAUGCCUUUAUGGGUUACAGAGUUUGCAGACUUAAUAGAAAGAGCUAAAAUGAUUGAACAAGUAUUGGGGGAAAGUAAAAAGUCUGAACUGUCCGUUUAGCUGGAAAAUGUCCUGGAACUACUAGUUCAAGUCUGUAAUUCAAACGAUCGAGGGAAUCUCGUGGUAAUGGAAGAUACAGUUCAAGAUUAGAAAGAGGAGACAGAAGUCGAAAGAGACAAACUACUGUAUCUACUAGCAGUAUCAAAAGCCCAGCCCAGAGCACUAAAAUUCCAAAAUGUGAAUAUUGUAGAAAAAGACAUAGGGAAGAAUUUAGAAAGUUAACUGGGGGGUUUUCGUUGUGGAUCCACUGAUCAUUUUGUAAAGGACUACCCGAAGUUUAAUAAAGCAGCACCAAUGGUUUCUCAUAGAUCGGAAGCUAUUUCCAGAGGCUGAGGUUCAUGCCGAAGUGGUUCGGUUGCUAGAGGUGGAAUUAGAAAAGCUAGUGAAAAUGCUACACAGCAAUCUAAAGUAAGAGCUUCGGCCCGAGCAUAUAUUGUAAGAACUCGAUACGAGGAGGAUGCUCAUGAUGUAGUGACAGGUAUAUUCUUAUUACAUUCAGAACCUGUUUAUGUUUUAAUAGAUUUAGGAUCGUCACAUUCCUAUGUUAAUACAAAACUAGUUGAGACGAGAAAUUUAAAACCUGAAUUGUCAAAAGCAACGACAAAAGUGUCUAGUCCAUUGGGGAAAACUAUGUUAGUGAAUCAGAUAUGUCAAAGAUGUCCAUUAAUGAUUUAGGAUAAUAUUUUUUCUGUUGAUCUGUUGAUUAUGCCAUUUGGCGAUUUUGAUAUUAUACUGGGCAUGGACUGGUUAUCAGAACAUGGAGUAAUUUUGGACUAUUAUAAAAAGAAAUCUACUAUUCAGAAUAAAAUUGGUGAUCAGAUUGAAGUAAAUGGUAUUUGGACCAGUAGGACUGUUCGUGUUAUUUCAGCAAUUAAAGCUAGUAAGCUUCUUUAUCAAGGAUGUGCUAUUUUCUUAGCAUAUGUUAUUAAUUAUGAUUUAGUUGAGAAUCAGUACAGUAAAAUUUGAACUGUAUGUGAAUUUCCUGAUAUGUUUCCUGAGGAGUUGCCUGGAUUACCUCCUGAUCGGGAAGUUGAAUUUGCGAUUGAAGUAUACUUGGGUACAGAUACAGUGUCAAUACCUCCAUAUCGAAUGUCACCUACUGAGUUCAACGAAUUGAAGAUACAAUUGCAAGACUUAUUGGAUCGGGGGUUUAUACGACCUAGUACAUCACCGUGGGGAGCUCUAGUGUUAUUCGUUAAGAAGAAAGAUGGUUCGAUGCGGUUGUGUAUUGAUUAUCGACAGUUGAAUAAGGUGACUAUCAAGAAUAUAUACCCGUGACCUCUCAUUGAUGAUUUAUUUGAUCAACUAAAAGGAGUUUCUAUAUUUUCAAAAAUUUAUUUGAGGUUGGGAUAUUAUCAGUUGAAGGUAAAGAAGAGUGAUGUACCGAGGAUGGCAUUCCGUACACGGUAUAGGCAUUAUGAAUUGUUGGUAAUGCCAUUUGGGUUAACAAAUUCCCCGGCUGCUUUUAUGGAUCUUAUGAAUCAGAUUUUUCAACCGUACUUGGAUCAAUUUGCAGUAGUUUUUAUUGAUGAUAUUUUAGUAUAUUCGAAGUUUGAAACUAAACAUGAGCAACAUCUUCGAAUUGUUUUGCAAAUAUUGUGAGGAAAACAAUUAUAUGGGAAAUUGAGUAAUUGUGAGUUUUGGUUAACGGAGGUUGUAUUCCUUGGUCAUGUAGUAUCAGCAGAGGGGAUAAGAAUAGAUCCAAAGAAGAUUGAAGCCAUACUUCAGUGGAAAGUUCCCAGAAAUGUGUUAGACGUACGUAGUUUUCUUGGGUUGGCCGGAUAUUAUCGAAGGUUUGUAAAUGGAUUUUCAAAAAUAGCUUUACUGAUGACAAAGUUAUUGCAAAAGAAUGUUCCAUUUGUUUGGAGUGAGCAGUGUCAGAAAAGUUUUGAAAUGUUGAAGCAAAUGUUGACAGAGGGACCAGUAUUAACUUUACCAGAGUUGGGAAAAGAUUUUUUCGUGUACAUUGAUGCUUCUUUAAAUGGUCUCGGGUGUGUACUGAUGCAAAACAGAAAGGUAAUUGCUUACGCUUCACAGAAAUUGAAACCGCAUGAACGCAAUUAUCCGACACAUGAUCUAGAAUUAGUAGCAGUGAUAUUUUCCUUGAAGAUUUGGAAACAUUACCUAUACAGAGAAAAGUGUUAUAUUUACACUGAUCAUAAAAGUCUCAAGUAUCUUCUGUCACAGAAAGAAUUAAAUUUGAGACAGCGUCGGUGGACAGAAAUUUUAAAAGAUUAUGAUUGUGUUAUUGACUAUCAUCCGGGUAAAGCUAAUGUGGUAGCUGAUGCGUUAAGUAGGAAGGCUACAACUGAGUUGAGAGCAAUGUUUGCAUAGCUUAGUAUUGUUGAUGAAGGAAGCAUUCUAGUUGAAUUGAGAGUAAAACCAAUAAUGUUUGAUCAAAUCAGAAUAGCACAGUUAGAAGACAAAAAGUUAAUGAAGAAAAGGGAGACAGUACAGAACGGUAUAGCAGAGAACUUUAGUAUUGAUGAAAAUGAUUGUCUGAGAUUUUAGAAUCGACUUUGUAUUCCAACUACUUCAGAGUUGAAAGAGUUAAUACUUCGAGAAGCACAUGACAGUUCUUUUGCAUUACAUCCCAGAGGAACGAAGUUGUACCGUGAUUUACGGGAACUGUAUUGGUGGCCAGGUAUGAAAAGAGAUAUAGUGGAAUAUGUGGCUAAAUUUUUAACAUGUCAGCGAGUUAAAGCUGAACAUCAAGUUCCGACUGGAUUACUUCAGCUUAUUAAUAUUCCUGAAUGAAAAUGGGACUGCAUCACGAUGAACUUUAUAACCGGGUUACCACUGUCAGCAAGUAAGAAAAAUGCUAUUUGGGUGAUUGUUGAUUAGCUUACAAAGUCAGCUCAUUUUAUAUCAGUCAGAACAGAUUGGUCACUUCAAAAGUUGGCAGAAACUUAUAUCCGGGAAAUUGUAAGACUACAUGGUAUUCCUGUAUCAAUAAUUUCUGCCCGGGAUCCAUGGUUUACAUUAAGGUUCUGGAAACAGUUGCAUGAGUCUUUCGGUACUCGACUUCAUUUUAGUACAGCUUUUCAUCCACAGACUGAUGGAUAGUCAGAACGAGUUAUUCAGAUUUUAAAAGACAUGUUCUGAGCUUGUAUCAUUGAUUUUUAAUCAAGUUGGGAACGUUAUUUACCGUUAGCUGAGUUUGUAUAUAACAAUAGUUAUCAAUUAAGUAUUCAAAUGGCACCGUAUGAAGAUUUGUAUGGUCGGAGAUGUCGAUAACCAGUGUGUUGGACGAAACUGAAUGAAAGAAAAGUGGUUGGUCCAGAGUUAAUUCAAGAAACAAAAAACACUAUUAGAAAGAUUCGAGAACGAUUGAAAGUAGUUUUCGAAAGGCAGAAAUCGUACGCAGAUUUUAAAUGACGGGACAUUGAGUACUCAGUUGGAGACAAAGUAUUUCUUAAAGUCUCUCAUUGGAAGAAAAAUUUGAGAUUCGGUCGGAAGGGUAAAUUGAGUCCACGAUAUAUUGGACCGUAUGAGAUUAUAGAAAGAAUUGGACCAGUGGCAUAUCGUUUAGCUCUUCCUCCUGAAUUACAGAAGAUUCAUGAUGUUUUCCAUGUUUCUAUGUUAUGAAGAUACCGAUCAGAUCCAUCUCAUGUGAUUUCAACUGAAGAUAUAGAGAUUCGACCCGAUUUAUCAUAAGAAGAAGAACCGGUUAAGAUACUAGCACGAGAAGUAAAUGAAUUACGUAAUAAAUGAGUUCCCUUAGUAAAAGUGUUAUGGAGAAGUCAUAAUAUUGAAGAAGCAACGUGGGAACCAGAAGAUACAAUGAGAUUACAGUACCCCCAUCUCUUUUCAGGUAAAUUUCGAGGACGAAAUUUAUUAAGGGGGAGAAAUAUAACGACCCGAAUUUUAAGGUCAUUAGAAAAGUGAGUUUUCGGGUCUUUGAUAUUAAAAAUUUGAUUCGUAAAUAUUUAUUAGAAAUAUUUACAAAGUUAAAUGAGAGGUUAAUUAGAUUUUAAUUUAGUAAAUUUAGCUUAAUUAAGGUUAAUUUAGUAUAUGGACUAACUUGAAUAAAGUGUGAAAGUUUAAUUAUGAACUAUAGAAUAGUCAAGGGAUUAAAUUAGUAAAUAAGCCUUAUGUGACAAGUGUGUGGUAUGUAUAAGUGCAUUUGCGUUAUUAUGAUUGGUACAAAUGUAUGUAUAAAUAUGUAUUUACUAAUUAAAUAAGAAAUAAUAUUUAUAAUUUAAAACAUAAUAAUAAUAAUAAUAAUAACAAUAAUAAUAUAUUAUAAUAAUAAUAAAAUAAUAAAGAAAUAAAAUAAAGAAAAACGAAAGAAAUAAGGGCAAAACAGAACAGGGAAAGAAAGAAAGAAAAAGGGAAAGAAAAAGAAAGGAAAAAUAGGGUUUUAAGGUUCAAGCUUUAAGUGGUAAGUCAAUUUAAUCCCUUUUCUUGUAAUUUUGGUGUCUAUGGAAUCCUAGGAAGAAAUAAUACUUAAGUUAUGCUGAAAUUUAGAAGUUAAUGAAUUUUUAGAUGUUGAUUAAGUUGUAUGAAUUGAUGAAUUAUUGGUUUAAUUGAUAAAAAUUCAAGUUAAAAGUGGGAAAAUGAUUGAUUUGUUAAGAGAGAUAUAAGUUUUGUUAUAGUAGGGAUUAAAUUGUUUAAAUUGUAGAAUUGAUGUUUUAUAUUGAAUAUUAAGAGUUGAAACUUGUUAAAAGUAGAUAUAAAAUGAAAAUUGUAAGGUUAUUUGAAGAAAAAGAAUAGUUAUGGUGGUAGGACCUAAUUGGAAAUAUAGUAAAAGUUACAGGAAAAUUAAAGAGUAUGUUAUCAAAUAACAUAAUUGAUAAUUUAAAUGUUAAAUUUUAUGUAGCCAACGUAACACUGGAAACGUCAUCGAACAAGGGAAAGGAGAAAGUGAACGAGGAUAUCGAAUAAACCUGAGAAUUUCGGUUUGUAUUUCUAUAAACUGUGCUUAGUGAUUUAAUACAAUGUAAUUGUUAUUUUAAUAGUUAGAAUGUUUGAUGAAUGGUAUGGUGGAAACUGUUACUACUUCCGUAUUGAAAUGAAACGAUUUGAAUACCCUAUUAACAGUGUCGGGCUAGUUGGAUACAAUUGGCAUGCCAUAGGAUUGGAAGUGUUCAGGGAUAUUCCGACUGUGUGUCGAUGAGACACUAUAUGUGUUGACUACUAUCACUGUUCCGGAUUCAUUUCGAAGUGAUACUUCAUACCUGACUAUGACUGUUACUGUUACUGUUAUUGUUACCCUACGGUGUAUUUCGGUUUUGACUGAUGAGACACUGUAUAUUAUCCCCGGUGUGUGGGUUGGAUCCGUGUAUCCGUUUAGGUCUGAGUUAUGUUAAUAGGGGUAAAUGAAAGUACUGAAGACAAAUAUUGACUGCUAUUGAUUAUGGGACUGUGACUGUUAUAUGAUUAUUAAAAGGUAUCGAAUGAUAUGAAAUAUAUAUAAAGAAUUCCUUAAUUACAUUUAAGAGCUAUAAGAUGAAAGUUGUUGAAGCAUGGUAUGAAAUAUGCAUAUUUUGGAAGUUAACCUUACAUGAGUUUGACUAAGUAUGAUAAUGUAAUAUAAUUUCAAUAUGAAUUGCAUAAUCUUUAAGGGAUAUAGAAGUAAAUGAAUGAAUGUUUGCUAAGUUUGAAUGGCACAAAGAAUGAUAAUUGAUUUAAGAACUGUUAGUAAAUGUUUGGGUGUAAAUUAGAUGUGUUUAGCAUGUGAAAAUAGCUUAAAAUGGUCAAAAAUCAUGUUUUCACACGGCCAAGUCACACGGGCGUGUGCUCUGGCUGUGUGGCUCUCUGUUUAUGUCACACGCACUGUUCCCACGGCUGUGUGAGCAAGUCAGAUCUGCCCACGGCCUGGCCCCACGUCCAUGGGUGUCCCAAAGGCUGGCCACAUGGCCAUGUCCCAGGCCACACGGGCGUGUGCCCCUAUCUUCAAGGUAAAAUUUUCAAAGUUGCCAGUUUAGUCCCGAAUCACUUGUAAAGCAUGUAUUGAGCCUCGUAGUCCCAUAUUAGGGACUUUAUGGUGAAAUUUGAAAGGUUCUGAAUUGGAAUGAAAGUUUAUGACUCAGUUUUGUAUAAAUGUUAGUGUAUAAGUCUAGUAAUGCCUAGUAACCCUAUUCUGGUGACUGUUUGGGAUUAGGGGGUGUUACAGGUCCCACUGCCGAGAUCAGACACCCGUUCCUCCAAUUUCUAUCGAGACUGUAGGAAAAACUAUUUCAAAUACUACGGGCCUGACCCCUAGGUGUAGGACGUUGCAUUGACUGGGCCGCACUUGAAAAAAUCCAGCUGGCUGAAGCGGUCCGAGCCCUUCUGAUGACUGACCCAUAAGGGCUCUUUUUUGAGAUCAUCGAGUCGACGUACCUCGAGUUCACACUCGAACUCUACUUGACCUUUCAUCUUCAAGUAGUUAUGAUAGAGUUCGAUGAUCCCGGAAUAAUCUAGUUCUGUUUUGGCGGUUUAGUCCGCCAGUUGAGCGUACCUGAGUUCGGCGUCACCUUAGGGCUCUAUACGGAGGAGUUCAUGGACGACGAUGAUUUUGACACCCUCCAUCGCCACAUCCACUUGUCUGCCUCCAACAACUAGAGGGCCCUCGUUCCUGCUUCGGCCACCAAUAACCCUAGUCGCUCUAAGGCAUCGGUCCUCACCUUAUCCCUGAGGUACUUACACGUCAUCUUGGCCCACACUGACAGGGCGGCGAUAGAGCACCGCUGUCGUUAACACUCACAAUUCCUACUUUUUAUAGAGUAUGGCGAAUGGGCACAUCUUCGACUUUGCCUAUUUCAUUGCCCUUGCCAUUCGCCAUCAGACGGAGCGACGUACGAGAGGAGUCAUCUCCAUUGGCCCCUAUAUGACUCGACUGGCACGGUACUUCGGUCUCCUAAACACAGUAGCACAAUCAUCCUCCCUCACUCUCUUUGGUCAGAUGUCUCCACAGGGCAUCUCGAGUAUGUUACAUAUGAGGACGAUCGAGUGAGAAUGUGGAACUGACCCUCCUCAGUACCACCUCAUCCAGUCCACCGAGGAGGUAGACCCAGAGGAUAUUACUGAUGAUGUCCCUCCACGUCAUGAGGACCUACCGUCUCAGCCACCACCCAUCCAUCGUCCAGUUCAUGCAGCGGCUUCAUACUCUGACAUCUUUGAGUGCCUUACUCGAUUUGACCAGUAGUAUUUUCAGCACUCUGAUCAAAUUGAUUCUACUCUACAUCAGAUUUGUCAGCACCUCUACAUCUCAUCGCCACCACCACCUCGCGAACCAUCCGGCAAUGACGAUGUUUAAAGACUUUUUAUUUUUUAUUUUUACUUUUAUCUUUAUUUAUCUUCUUUAAGUACUUUUUAUUUCAUUUUACUUUAAUAUUAUUUCAUUUUUAGGUUUUAUAAUUUUUAUUGAACAAUUUAUAGUUUCUGCCACUUCAUUACGAGUAAUUACGCUUCUCUAUAUUUCCUAAAGAGUUCUUGAUUUUAUCACAGUUAUAAAGAGCUCCAAAGCUCAUCACCAUUUAGCAAGUUGAAUCCACUAGAAAGGGUUCUCCACGACUGCCAUGUCUUGCCCGACCACCAUAAUAACCUCUUCGCUGGACACUGUGGUUGUGGAACCCAACCUCUACCACCACCGGAGUAUCCUCCUCCAAUCUUAUCAUUGCCUUGGCCGACUUACCUGUGAUAAACCGUAAUUUAUACAUAUUUUUAUCCCAUGCUUUGCAUAUUUUUUGGAUGAUUUAUCCUUAGAUUUGGUGAAUUUGAUGCUCCUAAUCCUUUAAUUUCAUAUUUUAUACUUAGGUGAGCAUAAGAGAGUAAAAAGAGUGAAAAACCGGCCAAAAACGGAGAUGACCAACAUGUGAAACCAACACGGCCUGGACUUUCGUACACAGGUAGACCAUACGCCCGUGUCCAUUCAACAAACUCAAACACGGUUUGAAGUAAUCGAACACGGGCGUGUCCCUGUCAAGCCCAAGUUUAGUUCUAUUCGGAAAAUGCCACUCUUGAAGGCUUUUAGGCAUUCUAAAGCUUAUUUAAACACCUGAGGAGGCACUUAGAAGGUACACACGGAAUAGGAGGCAAGAAAUUACUCAAAGAAAGCCGAUUGAUCCAUCUCAGAAGACGGAUUCAUCGUCAAGACUGAAGAUCUCCCUUCAAUUUCCUUUAGGAGUUUUGGGUUUUCUUUAUGUUUUGCUAUCUUUAUUCUUUUGGGAUGUUUUCUUUUAUAAAUAUGAACUAAAUCCCCUAAAUACCUAAGGGGAAUGAAACCUAAGACGAAUCUUGUUAUUAUUAUUUGAAUUGUAUGAUAAAUAUUUGACUUGUUCUUAAUUAUGAAUUAUUCUUGUUUUAAUAUUCCAGGAUAUUGAUUCAAGUUCUGAUGUGCUUAUUCAGAAGAGAAAAAGUCCCUGUCUAAGAGUAUAUCUAACAUAAUUAAGCGGAGUUGAUUGCAUGCCUAGAGAUAGGGUGACAAGCUUUUGCCAGAUUAGGGUGAAACCUAAUAAGGGAAUCCAUAGAUCGAGUUAAUAGAACAUGAGUGAGUUAAUUAGAAAGAGAUUUCAAUUAAUCAACCUAGGGUUAGACGUUGUUAGUCUCAAGAGAGAUAAUAAUAUAAAUUAGGGAUUUCUACGGAUCAAGUCAAAUGAAUAAAUCGUCUAAUUCAGAGUCAAAUAACAAGUGAAGUCUAGGUGGAAUUUUCCUUGGGUAUUGUCUUAAUCAAUCAGUUUUCUCAAAAUUUUUUCCCAAUUUUCAUUCUGUGCAUUCUUAGUGUAGUAAUUAAUUUAGAUAAACAAAACCCUUAAUCUUUUAGGCUAGAUAAUAAAAAAAAAGUUAAUAUUAGUACUUUUAGUUUAUUUGGGGUUCGACAAUCUGGUCUUGCUAAAGCUAUACUACUGUUCGACAAGUGUGCUUACCUUCGUCGUGAUAGUUAGUUUUCAAGAGCGAUCCAUUGUAAAUUAUAAAACUUAUGGAACGUAUCAUAUAUCACAUCAUUUCACGAUCAACCGGCUAAAUAAUAAGAAGACGGUAAUUACUAGUACAUUUAGUACUCGUGGAUACGACAUUCCCUACUCACCGUAGCUAUACUAUUGUUCGAUAGGUGUGCUUGCAUUUGUCGUAUUUAUAGUUAGUUUAGUGACUAUCAAGUUUUUGGCGCCGUUGUCGGGGACUAAAAUAUUAGGAACACUCAAUUUUUAUUAAUUGUCCUUUUUUUAUUGCAUUUUAUUUUUGUUUUUAGUUUUAUUUUUACAUUCUAAUUUUUAUUUAAUUUGGUUUUGGCAGGUUCUUCUAAUUUAUGACAAGAAGAAACCAAUAGGGACCAUUUUUAUUUGACAGUGAAAUUGAAUGCACAACUUGCAAAAAUUGUAAAAAAGAAAAGCAAUGUCAACGGAAUAUAGUAGACGAGAAAGAGGGCAUUAUUAUUACUGAGGAGAUGGGUGGUAAUCAGAAUAAUCAGCUACCUCCUACAGUUGCUACAAAUCCUGCAAAUAGAAAUUAUGUUCCUCAUACUAUGUACGAUUAUGCCAAGCCUACUCUAACUGGGGCUGAAUCGAGUAUUGUGUGACCCACUAUAGCUGUAAAUAGUUUCUAACUGAAGCUGAACACUAUUCAGAUGAUACAACAGUUUGUUCAGUUUGAUGGUUUACAAGAUGAUUAUCCAAAUACUCAUUUGGCUAAUUUUCUGGAAAUCUGCAAUACUUUCAAGAUUAAUGGCAUUUUUGACGAUGUCAUUCACCUCCAGUUAUUCCUUUUCUUGUUAAGGAACAAAGUUAAAUAGUGGUUGAAUUUUUUACCAUGAGGUUUUCUCACUACAUGGGAUCAAAUGACCGAGAAAUUCCUACUAAUGUACUUCCGACCGGGUAAGACAACCAAGUUGAGGAAUGAUAUCUCUUCCUUCGUUCAGAUCAACUUAGAGACCUUAUAUGAUGCAUGGGAGAGAUAUUAGGAUUUAUUAAGAAUGUGCCCUCACCAUGGGUUACCUUUAUUGUUUUAGGUUCAAACCUUCUACAACGGUUUGAAUUCCUCAACUAGGUAGUUAAUUGAUGCAGUAGCCGUGGAACUUUGAAUAAUAAAAUACUCAAAGUGGCUUAUGAAUUUAUUGAGGAGAUGUAACUGAAUAAUUAUUAGUGGCUGAUCCCGAUAUUCGUGUGACAGUUUUAAAUAUUUAUAAAGAGUCAUUCUUAAAACUAACUAUUAUCACGAUGUAGGCAAGUGUACCUAUCGAACAGUAGUAUAGUUUUAGAAAGAUCGGAUUGUCGAACCCAAAGGAACUAAAAAUACUAGUAAUGACUGUCUUUUUAUUAUCUAGCCUAAGAAUAAGAAGGUUUUGUUUUAACUAACUAAUUAUCUAAACUAAGAACUCACAGAAAAUAGAAUUGGAGAAUUACUUUUGGAAAACGAUUGAAUUAAGACAAUACCUAAGGAAAAAUCCACCUAGACUUCACUUGUUAUUCUUGCUCCGAAUCGGAAGAUUUAUUCAUUUAACUUGUUCCGUAGAGAUCCCUAAGUUAUGCUAUUAUCCCUAAUCUGACAAAAUCUUGUCACCCUAUCUCUAGGCGCGCAAUCAACUCCGCUUAAUUAUGACAAAUGUACUCUUAGACAGGGUCUAUUCCUCCUCUGAAUAAGAGCUUAUCUUGAAUCAGUAUCCUGGGAUAUCAAUCGGCUUCCCUUGAGUAUUUCCCUGCCUCCUUCUCUCUGUUUGUGUUUCCUUCCUCCUCUAGGGUGAAUUUAUAGGCUUUGGAAUGCCUAAGAACCCUUGAAAUUAGCCUUUUUCGAAUUGGACUCAACUUGGGCUCGGCUGAGACACGCCCGUGUGAUUCAUGCUUUGAUUCUGCCAAAUUGACACGGCCGUGUGGUCUGCCCGUGUGAGGAAGCCCAGGCCGUGUUGAUUUUGUACUUUGGCCCAUUUUCUCCAUUUUUGGCUCGUUUCUCGUUCCUUUAGCUCUCCUAUGCUCUCCUAAGUAUAAAACAUGAAAUUAAGGCAUUAGGAGCAUCGAAUUCACCAAUUCUAAGGGAAAAUCAUUCAUAAAAUGUGUUAAGCAUGGGGUAAAAAUAUGUAUAAAUUACGGUUAUCAAAUACCCCCACACUUAAGCAUUUGCUUAUCUUCAAGCAAAAUUUUUAACUCAUAAUCAAAAUAAAUUCUUCUCAACUUAUAAUUUCUAUCGAAAAUAUCUCAAAAUAAUCCACAGGUAAUCAUACAUUGAGAAUUCAACUAAAAGAACAUCAAAGUUUCAAACAUUCCAAGUUGAGCAUUUUAUUCUGAAAACAUAGGUGUCUCCCCUCGUCUAAGUAAUUAUCUUCGAUUCAAAAUGUCACAGAGUUUCACAUCCUCACUAAAGAUUCACUCAAAUCACUCGAGGUGUUUAAGGACAACAAAUGAAGCACUUAAUAGUCAAUAAUGAAAAGUCAUUACCAUAGGCUUGCAUGAAAAUCAAAUCUCCACCACUAUAAAUUGAGAUGAUACAUCAAUCAAAAGGUCUUUAGAGGGUUGUAAUGAGGCUUGGUUAGGGGGUGUCGUCACAAGCUGAAAGAAAAAGUUAGAAUCGAGAUUGAAUUGAAAAAUCACUUAACUCGAAAAAAAAUUUAAUCAUCACUUGCGUACAACAGAGCUUCUUCUCAGAACAUGAAAUUUAACUUCCUUGGCUCAAAAGAUUACUACUACUAAUACGUAUAGAUACAUUUUUUUAUUAAGAACAAGGUAACUUACAAAAUAGAAUAAAACAUAGUUAAGCAACUAUUUCAAUUCAAAUCUCGAAAAAAAUGGGGAUCAAAUUAAUUUAGGGGAUUUCAACAAUAAUGGGUUAAGGGUUAAUAUUAAGGGUAAUACAAGAAAUGGCUUGUUAGCUCAACGGGGUUUACUAAGGGUUAAUUGGGGAGGUAGAUUUUUCAUGGCAUGAGUGGGUUAAUCCUAAGUGCCUUAAUCAUUUUGACAUAUCAAAUCAAAUGGUGUGGUCUUGACAUGCACAAUCAAGCAAGUUCUAGAAUGACAGCUCAAUAUUGACGCACUCAAAGCAAUUAUAAAAGUGAGCAUGAAAGAAUUAAUAGAUGCUCAAAAGGAUAAGAAAUCUCACAAAAAUUAUGGUUUUUUGAUAUUUAAAACUUGUGAAUUCCAACUCAAAGUAAUACCUAAACAUUGGGGAAACAACCUAAAAUUUGAAAUUCUUAAAAAAAAAUCAACUUAUCAUGCUUGAUUCCUUAAUGUCUUAAAGUUUAAAAAAUCAAUGCAUAAAUGCCUAUGUUUUAAUUCAGGAUAUAUCAAUCAAAAUCAUAAAUUAAUCAAAAUUUAUCCUAAAUAUGAUAUGAGAGCUUUUUAAGAGAACAAGACAAUCAUUCAGGGAUUUUUCUGAUAGUGAAAUGAAUACCCCCCACACUUAAGAUGUACACUGUCCUCAAUGUACAAAGAUAGAUAUUUUGACAAUUGUAAGUGUAAGUUCAUAAGAUAGGGAGAAAAGUGAAACUUUCUGAGUGAAAAAUGGAUGAAAUUCCUGGAUUAGUGAGAGCGAGUUGUUAGAAAUAAAGUUGGAGGACAAACAUGAUUCUGAAGGACCAAAGGAGAAUUGGGGGACUAAUAUUUGAUAGUAAUCAUAAAGAUAAGCUGUGUUUAAAAACAAAAGAAUCUUCAAAAAUUAAUAAAAGAAAAAUAAAAUAAGAUAGAUAAUUCAAUUUUUCAAGUGGCACGACCGGUUCACACGCCCGUGUGGAUCGUGUCUCGCCCGUGUUUGUUGCAAAGUGAAAUGUCGUCACACGACCUUAGGGCAUGCUCGUGUAUCUAGGCCAUGUGGCUACAUGAUCAUGUUACACGACUGUGUGUGAUGUGGUUCACUUCUUCCACGGCCGUGUAGCUCUGUACACGCCCGUGUUAUUUUAACAGUGUUGUCCAUGGGUGCUAUACAUGGGUGUGUCGCACACCCAUUUUCAUUUGGCAGAUUUCACCACGAUGAGGUUGCACGCCCGUGGCCACUUAUCGCAUCCCGUGUUAGGGAAGAUAACUUUUACCCUAUUUUCGCACGGCUGUAUCACACGGCCGUGUUUCCAUCCAUGGUUGUCACACGGGAUGAAGCACAACCUUGUGAUAGGCCGUGUGGAGUUGGGAACCUAUGGUCAAAGACUCUGUUAGUGAUCGAGAUGUUUAAAAAUUUAAAUUUAAAUAAUUUAAAACCGUUUGUACUCGGGUUACCUCCUUAGAAGCGCUUGUUUAUAGUCUAAGCUCGACUGUUACCUUGUUGGUUUAUUCAGGGCGGUUUGUGGAGUCGUAGCUCCUCUCUAUCGUCUUUAAAAUUCUCACCAUUAUAAAGUUUAAAACGAUGUCCAUUUACUUUGAAAGUACCGUGUGAAGGGUGACUUACCUCUAUUAUGCCAUAUGGAAGAAUAGAUUGAAUUACGAAGGUCCUGACCAUCGUGAUUUAAGUUUCCCAGGAAACAAUUUGAGUCUUGAGUUGUAUAGUAGGACAAGAUCUCCAACUUUAAAUUGUUUUUGUUGCUUCAAACGAGUGUCAUGGCACCGCUUUGUUGCUUCCUUGUAUAGGUGUGAGUUUUCAUAUGCAUCGACUCACCACUCAUCAAGUUCGUUCAGCUGCAUCAACCUAUUUUUUCCUGCAAGUUCGGGAUCAAGGUUUAAAAAUUUAAUAGCCCAAAAAGCUUUAUGCUCUAGUUCGAAUGGUAGAUAGUAACUUUUUCCAUAAACAAGUCUGUAAGGUGAUGUCCCUAUGGGGGUCUUAAAAGCAGUUCUGUAAGCCCAUAAGGCAUCAGCUACUUUCAUUGGCUAAUCUUUUCUGUUUGAUUCUACUAUUUUUCCAAGGAUCCGUUUGAUCUCUCGGUUUGCCACUUCAACUUGUCCAUUAGUUUGAGGAUGGUAUGGGGUGGUUGUUCUAUGAUGAACUCCGUAUUUCUUAAGAGUUUUUUCAUUGGGAAUUACAAAAAUGAGUGCCCCUGUCACUGAUAAUUGCUCUAGGUGUUCCGAAUCUUAAGAAGAGUUUCUUAAGGAAACGUACUACCACUCUAGCAUCAUUAGUAGGUAGAGCUUGGGCUUCCACCCAUUUGGACAUAUAAUCAAUUGCUACUAAGAUAUAUUUAUUCCCAAAUGAACUGGGGAAUGGACCCAUGAAAUCGAUACCCCAAACGUCAAAUAUUUCACAUGAAAGUAUAUAGUUUUGAGGCAUUUCAUCACGUUUAGAUAUGUUACCUGUCCGUUGGCAUUUUUCACAUGAAGUAACGUACCUGUUAGCAUUUUUGAAUAACGAGAGCCAAUAAAAACCUGAUUCAAGUAUUUUAUGUGCGGUCUUAGUUCCACUAUAGUGUCCUGCAGUUGGCUCUGAGUGGUAAUGUUCCAAUAUUUUUGAUGUUUUUGAUCUUGUAAUGCAUCUUCUAAUAACUUGAUCUGCACAUCUGCAAAAAAGAAAGGGGUCGUCCCAAAAAUUAGUUUUUCACAUCAUUAAAGAAUCGCUUCUUUUGCUAGUGUGUUAACCCUUUUGGGAUAAUGUUAGCGGCUAAAAAAUUUGCCAUGUCUGUAAACCAAGGUACCUCAGAGUUUCAACUUUAUCUAGUUCUUUGGUAUUGCAGUUCUCAAGCCUGGACAGAUGAUCAGCCGCGAGAUUUUCAGCUCUUUUCUUAUCUUGAAUUUCCAAGUCAAAUUCUUGCAAUAGGAGAAUCCAUCGAAUGAGUCGAGGUUUUGCAUCAGUUUUAGUUAAAAUGUAGCGAAGGGCGGAAUGGUCAGUGUAAACAACAACUUUUGACAAUAUGAGAUAUGAUUGAAAUUUAUCAAAUGCAAAAACAACAGCUAGCGAUUCUUUUUUCGUAGUAGUAUAAUUCUCUUGUGCAGCUGUCAAAGUUUUGCUAGCAUAAUAGAUAGGUUGAAAAUGCUUGUCUCUUCGCUGUCCCAAUACUGCACCUACUGCAAAAUCACUCGCAUCACACAUUAAUUCAAAUGGUAAGUUCCAAUCAGGUGCAAUUAUGAUUGGAGCAUUAAUUAAUUUAUCCUUUAAAGUAUUAAAUGCUUCUAAACACUCCUGAUUGAAAUUAAAAGGUAUAUCUUUUUCUAGUAAUUUAGUCAAAGGCUUAGCUAUUUUAGAAAAAUCCUGAAUAAAUCUUCUAUAAAAACAAGCAUAUCCUAAAAAGCUUCUAAUAGCCUUAACCAAACUAGGAGGGGGUAAUUUUUCAACUGUUUCUAUUUUAGAUUUAUCCACUUCAAUCCCUUUACUAGAAAUUUUAUGCCCUAAUACAAUACCUUCUUGAACCAUAAAGUGACAUUUCUCCCAGUUAAGCACAAGGUUCAUUUCCUCACAUCUUAUUAAAACUUGUUUUAAAAUUUUAAGGCAGAGAUGGAAAGAGUUACCGAAUACCGAGAAAUCAUCCAUAAAUACUUCCAUGAUAUCUUCCACGAGUUCGUCAAAGAUGGCUAUCAUACAGUGCUGAAAAGUGGUAGGAGUAUUACAUAAUCCAAAAGGCAUUCUACGAUAAGCGAAUGUACCAUAUGGGCUUAUGAAUGUCGUCUUUUCUUGAUCUUCAGGAGCUAUUGGGAUUUGGAAGUAGCCAGAGAGUCUGUCUAAAAAGCAGUAGUACAUGUGCCCGGAUAAUCUUUCCAACAUUUGGUCAAUGAAUGGCAAGGGGAAGUGAUCCUUUCUUGUGGCAUCAUUCAGUUACCUAUAGUCAAUUCAAACUCUCAAUCCUAUGACUAUCCUUAUUGGGAUUAAUUCAUUCUUCUCGUUGGUCACAACCGUCAUGCCUCCUUUCUUAGGGACAACCUACACUGGACUUACCCAAGAACUAUCAAAAAUAGGAUAAAUAAUUCCAUCAUCUAGAAGUUUAAUUACCUCGGCUUUAACUACUUCCUUCAUGUUUGGGUUCAGUCGUCUUUGAGCUUGCACAUACGGUUUGUAUUCAUCUUCUAUCAAAAUUUUGUGGGUGCAAAAAGAAGGGUUGAUUCCUUUAAUGUUAGAAAUUUUCCAAGCUAUGGCCUUUUUAUGUCCUUUUAAUUCUUGGAUCAAUUCCUCUUUCUCCUUGGGUUGCAAGUUAGAAGUAAUAAUAACUGGUAAUGUAGAAUUAUUUCCAAGGAAUGCGUACUCCAAGUGGUUUGGUAAUUGUUUAAGAUCUAGUUUCGGAGGCUCUUCAAUAGAGGGUUUUUGCUUAAGUUCAUCGUUUACCUUAAUGCCCUCAUAUUCUAUUUGUCUUGAAGAAUGCUCAUUAGGUUCGUCAUCUGUCUCCUCUUCUUGAGCUAGAUACAGUUUCGUCAUGUAUUUCUGUAUAAUUUCCUAAAAAGAGUCUUGAGUAGUAUGAUCAAUAAAGUCAAUAAAAUAACAUGAAUCAUUCUGUUCUCUAGAAAACCUCAUAGCAUUAUAAAUUUUAAAGAUAAUCUCCUCGUCACCUACUCUAAGUACCAAUUUACCGUCACCUACAUCAAUUACAGCCCUAGCAGUGGCUAAAAAUGGGCGCUCUAAAAUUAAGGGCACUUCCACAUCUUCAUCCAUGUCAAGCACAACAAAGUUAGCAGGAAAUAUGAAUUUAUCUAUUUUCACAAGUACGUCUUCUAUAAUACCCCUAGGAUAUUUAACAGUUCUAUUGACUAAUUGAAUACUUAUCCUAGUGGGUUUAGGUUCCCCAAGACCAAGUUGUUUGAACAUUUUAUAUGGCAUCAAAUUAAUGCUAGCGCCUAAAUCAACUAGUGCUUUCUCAACAUUUAGACUACCAAUUAAACAAGGGAUAGUAAAACUUCCUAGAUCUUUUAGUUUGGUUGGCAGUUUCUUUUGGAGUAUGGCUGAGCACUCCUCGUUGAGUUCUACUGUAGAUACGUCAUCAAACUUCCUUUUAUUUGUUAGAAGUUCCUUAAAAAAUUUUGCGUAUCUAGGCAUUUGUGAGAUGACUUCAACAAAAGGUAAGUUGAUAUGUAAUUGCUUAAAAAGUUCAAGAAACUUACCGAAUUGUGCAUCAAUACGGUCUUUUUUCAAUUUUUCUGGGUAUGGAAUUGGUGGUUUAUAUUCAUUCAGCACUGGUUUGUCACUAUUUUCCAGUUUUUCUUCCCCCUUUUCACUCAUCACGGCUUCUUAUGUUAGCUUCUUUUUAGAUUCUGCUAACACUUUUCCACUCCUUACUGUAACUGCUUUUACAUGCUCUUUUGAUUUGGUGUUACUAGGUAAACUUCCUAGUGGUCUUUACGAAAUUAGUUUGGACAACUAGCCUAUCUGAGUUUCGAGCCCUUGGAUCGACGCUUGUUGAUUUUUAAGUGCUAUCUCGGUGUUCUGGAAAUUGGUUUUUGACAUUGAGAUAAAUUUAGACAGCAUCUCUUCAAGUUUCGGUUUCUUUUCCUGUUGAUAGGGUGGUUGUUGAAAACCCGGAGAAUGUUGUGGUCUUUGAUUUCCUUGACCGCCCCACGAGAAAUUGGGAUGGUUCGUCCAACCUAUAUUAUAAGUAUUGCUAUAUGCAUUAUUUUAGGGUCUAGAGUUAUUGUUACCCAUAUAUUGGACUUGUUCCUCUUCGAUUCUAGGGUUGAAAGGUUGAUACUCUAUGCAUGCUCCUCCUCCAUUCAUCUCGAACCUCAUUACUGGAUGUACCUGAGUAGAACCAACUAAACCAUCAAUCUUUUUCUUUAGAAGUUCUACCUGGUUUGACAGCAUAGUAACCGAAUCGACGAUAUAAACGCCUGCUGUUAUUUAGUGACAUCUCUUCGAUAAACUCAUAAGCAUUUUCAGGUGUUUUAUUAUUGAUGGUUCCGCCAGCAGCUGCAUCAACCGUUUGUCGAGUCGAAGGAUUCAAACCAUUAUGGAAUGUUUGAACCUGUAGCCAAAGCGGUAACCCAUGGUGAGGGCACCUUCUCAGUAAGUCCUUGUAUCUCUCACAUGCAUCGUAAAGUGUUUCUAAGUCCAUCUGCGCAAACGAAGAGAUAUCAUUACAUAAUUUGAUCGUUUUAGCCAGCGAAAAAUAUUUUAAUAGAAAUUUUUCGGUCAUUUGUUCCCAAGUAGUGAUUGACCCUCGUGGUAACGAGUUCAACCACUGUUUAGCUUUGUUCCUCAAUGAAAAAGGGAAUAACUAAAGACGAAUGGCAUCGUCAAAAAUGCCAUUAAUUUUAAAUGUAUCACAGAAUUCCAGGAAAUUUGCCAAGUGAGUGUUUGGAUCCUCAUCCUGCAAACCAUCAAACUAAACAAAUUGCUGUAUCAUUUGAAUAGUGUUAGGUUUCAGUUCAAAAUUAUUUGCAGCAAUAGCAGGCCUAACUAUACUUUACUCAGUUCCUGUUAAAGUAGGUUUAGCAUAAUCAUACAUAGUACGAGGAGCAGAUUCUGAUUUGCUAGUUCAACAUGUAUCGCAGGAGGUAGCUGAUUGUCUUGGUUUUCAGCCAUCUCUUCGGUUGGGGUUUGAGUAUUGUCCUCUUGCUCGUUCUUUGUGUAUCUUAAGCUUCACCUCAUUUCUCUUUGGUUUUUGCGAACUGUACGAUCGAUUUCUUGUCAAAAAGUAGUGGUCCUAAUGGGUUUCUUCUAGUCAUAAACUAUAAAAACCUGCCAAGAGAAAGAAAAAGUAAAUUAAUAAAUAAAAAUAAAAUAAAAUAAAAUAAAAUUGUAAGAAAAAUAAAUGGCUAAAGUAAUAAAAAUUGAGCAUUCCUAAUAUCUUAGUUCCCCGGCAACGGCGCCAAAAACUUGAUCGCGAUAUUCGUGUGACAGGUUUUAAAUAUUUAUAAAGAAUCAUUCUUGAAACUAACUAUUAUCACGAUGUAGGCAAGUGUACUUAUCGAACAGUAGUAUAGUUUUAGCAAGACUGGAUUGUCAAACCCUAAGGAACUAAAAGUACUAGUAAUGACAGUAUUUUUAUUAUCUAGCCUAAGAAUAAGAAGGUUUUGUUUUAACUAACUAAUUAUCUAAACUAAGAACUCACAGAAAAUAGAAUUGGAGAAUUACUUUUGGAAAACGAUUGAAUUAAGACAAUACCUAAGGAAAAAUCCACCUAGACUUCACUUGUUAUUCUUGCUCCGAAUUGGAAGAUUUAUUCAUUUAACUUGUUCCGUAGAGAUCCCUAAGUUAUGCUACUAUCCCUAUUUAAGACCAAUAAUGUCUAAUCCCUAGAUUGAAUAAUUGAGACUUUUCUAUAAUUAACACCUUAGGGUUCCAUUAACUCGAUCUAUGGAUCCCCUUAUUAGGUUUUACCCUAAUUCGAAAAAAUCUUGUCACCCUAUCUCUAGGCGCGCAAUCAACUCCGUUUAAUUAUGACAAAUGUACUCUUAGACAGUGUCUAUUCCUCAUCUGAAAAAGAGCUUAUCUUGAAGCAGUCUCCUGGGAUAUCGAAACAAGAAUUAAGAACACAUAAUUAAGAACAAGUUAAAUAUUUAUCAUACAAUUCAGAAAAUAAUAACAAGAUUCGUCUUAGGUUUCAUUCCCCUCAGGUAUUUAGGGUAAUUAGUUCAUAACUAAAAAGGAAAACAUCUCAGAAGAAUAAUGAAUACAAAACAUAAAGAAAACCCAAAACUCCUGAAGGGAAAUUGAAGGGAGAUCUUCAGUCUUGAUGGUGAAUCCAGCUUCUGAGAUGGAUCAAUCGGCUUCCCUUGAGCAGUUCCCUGCCUCCUUCUCUCUGUCUGUGUUUCCUUCCUCCUCUAGGGUGUAUUUAUAGGCUUUGGAAUGCCUAAGAACCCUUGAAAUUAGCAUUUCCAAAUUGGACUCAAUUUGGGCUCGACAGGGACACGCCCGUGUGAGUCGUGCUUUGAUUCUGCCAAAUUGGCACGGUCGUAUGGUCUACCCGUGCGAGGAAGUCCAGGCCGUGUUGAUUUUGUACUUUGGCCCAUUUUUUCCCUUUUUGGCCCGUUUCUCGUUCCUUUUGCUCUCCUAUGUUCUCCUAAGUAUAAAACAUGAAACUAAGGCAUUAGGAGCAUCGAAUUCACCAAUUCUAAGGGAAAAUCAUCCAUAAAAUGUGUUAAGCAUAGGGUUCAAAUAUGUAUAAAUUACGAUUUAUCAGUGGCAAGUAAUGAGAACGAAGCCGAUGAAAGCAGCCGAUGUUUUCAACUUAGAUGCAGUCACCAUGCUAUCAAAUCAGGUAGAACAAUUAAAUAAGAAAAUGGAUGGUUUAUAUGUUUCUACGCAGGUACAUUUGGUGAUGCAAUGUAAUACAAAUUGAGGUGGAAUGAACAAUCCAAAAUGCUUACCCUUCGCUCCAUGCACAAAGAACGAACAAAUCAAUUAUAUGGGUAAUAAUUCUAGGCCUCAAAAUAACCCUUAUAGUAACCACUAUAAUGCAGGUUGGAGGAAUCAUCCCAAUUUCUCUUGGGGUGGUCAAGGAAAUCAAUGAGCAUAACCCCCUCUAGGCUUCCAACAACAACCUUACCAGCAAGAGAAGAAGACAAAUCUAGAGGAGAUGUUGACAAAGUUUUUCUCGGUGUCAAAAACUCACUUUCAAAGCACUGAAGCAGCACUUAAAAAUCAACAAGCAUCGAUUUAAGGGCUUGAGAGCCAAAUCGGUCAACUUCCUAAACAAAUCUCAAAAAGACCACAAGGUAGUUUGCCUAAUAAUACUGAAACUAACCUAAGGGAACAACUUCAUACAAUUACUGUAUGAGAUGAAGAAGGGUUAGUUGAAUCUGAACCAGAACCAAAGCAAGAAAUUGUGGUAAAUAAUGAUAAGGUUAAGGUAAGCCAGAAAGAGCAAAAGUCGGUUAUUAAGGAAUAUAAACUUCGAGUGCCAUACCCUAAUGCGACAAAGAGAAGCCAUCUGAAUGAACAAUUCGGUAAAUUUCUUAAACUUAUAAAAAAAUUACAUAUUAACUUACUAUUUUUUGAAGCUUUUUCACUGAUGCCCAAUUACGUAAAAUUUUUAAAGGAGCUUUUGGAAAACAAAAGGAAAUUAGAUGAUUUGUUGACUAUGGAGCUAAAUGCAAUUUACUGGCCUAUAUUGCAAAAUAAACUACCUAACAAAUUGAAAGAUUUGGGGAGUUUUACUAUUCCCUGUUUAAUUGGUUGUUUUAAUAUUGAUAAUGCUUUCGUUGAUUUAGGGGCUAGUAUUAAUGUCAUGCCUUAUAAAAUGUUUAAGCAAUUAGGUCUUUGGAAACCCAAACAAAAUAGGAUAAGUAUUGAAUUAACCAUUAGAUAUCCUAGGGGUGUUAUUAAAGAUGUGCUUGUUAAAAUCGAUAAAUUUAUAUUUCCCAUUGACUUUGUUAUAUUAGACAUAGAUGAAGGUAGUAAGGUACCUCUAAUUUUAGGGCGACCCUUUUUAGCAAUUGCUAGAACUAUAAUUGAUGUUGGUACUAGUGAGUUAGUAAUUCGUGUAGGUGGCGAAUCGAUUACCCUUCAACCUCGUGAUUUUGUUAGAGCAUCUAGUGAUCGAGAUGAUUUUAAACAUUCUGUUAAUGUUGGUGACCAUGUGGCUCAACCUUCUUUGCAGGAAAACCCUAGAAAAAAUGUAAUGGAUCAAUGUUCCAGUCAAUACGAUAGAAACAAAACAAUUUACAAUGAACAGAUGUUACAAAUUGAUGAACUAGAUGAAUAGCGGACACAUGUCAAGAAGAAACCAAGAAAGCAGGAUGAAGAGCCAAAGCGACGCCAUGAUGAACACAUGAGCAACCAAUUUAAAGUUGGUGACAAGGUACUGCUAGACAAAAUAGACCCACAAAUUGCCCCUUCAGAGCUUGAUGAUAAUGGAUCCAACCCAUUUACGGUACUGAAUGUCUUCCCGUAUGGUACAGUCGAGGUACCUCAUUUUGAAUUUGGCACAUUUAAGGUAAAUAGUACUUAACUUAAACCUUAUUUUGAUAAUAGAAUUGACAAUGCGAGCCAAUGCUUACGAGAACUGGAGAUUAUAUAAAGAAGCGACAAAGCGACGCCAUGAUGCUCGUUUGAAGCAGCCCAAACAAUUCACAGCUAGAGAUCGUCCUUUUAUAUAAUUCAAAGCUCCACUUGUUUCCCAGAAAGCUGAAAUCAAGAUGGUCAGGUCCAUUCAUAGUACAAACCGUUUUCCCAUAUGGUACGAUAAAGGUAACUCAUCUAGGAUAUGGCACAUUCAAGGUAAACAGUCAUCGACUUAAACUUUAUAGUGGUGAGGAUUUUAGAAAAGAUAGAGAGGAGAUUUAGCUCCAUGAACCUUCGUAAUUGUGCGCACAAGGUAAGUCUAGCUUAAACUUUAAAUAAGCACUUCUCGGGAGGCAACCCGAGUUUUUACAUUGCUAAUUCUCUUAUUUUCAUUUCAUGGUAUUUUUUAAAAAAAUUAAUUAAAUAAAUAAAAAUGUAGGUUUUUUAACCCACACGGCCUGGGUACACGGGCGUGUCCCAGGCCGUAUGUACUAUAAUGGGUUCAACAGUGAGUUACACGGCUUUGCGACAUGGCCACGUAACCCACACGACCGGGACACAUGGGCGUGUCCUCAGCCGUGUGAUCAACACGGCCUAAACACAUGGGUGUAUCCUCGACCGUGUGGAUCCUGGAACUUAGUUUUAAAAUUUUAAGGAAAUUGACAGUGAGUUACACGGCCUUGCGACACGACUGUGUGACCCACACGGCCUAGACACACAGGCGUGCCCUUGGCCGUAUGGAUAUUGGGACUUAAUUUUUCAAAAAUCGACAGAGACACGGGCUUGUCCUAGGUCGUGUGAAACCUGAAGCUAAUUUUUUCAAUUUUAAAAAAAUUUAGAGAGUUACACGGGCAAGGUAGACUGCCGUGUGUGAGACAUGGCCGAGUCACAUAGGCGGUGGGAGAAGCGAAGGGGCUGCACACAGCCAUGCAACACGGUCGUGUGCGCCACAGGGCCUAGACAUAAAGGCAAGUCCAAGGCCGUGUAAAGAUUUGGCUAGUACUUUUGAAUCGCACAUGGGCUAGGAAGAACCACAAGGGCGUGUGACAUGGUCGUGUGGCCCAACACAGGCCCUUAAACGAUCGUGUCACCCAUUUAACCUCAAAACCCUAAGAAUUUUACUUUUCAUCUUCCUUAAAAAAUUCACCUACUUAACCCUAGCCGUCGGUUCGAAAACUUUCCCCUACUCCAGCCACCUUUCGUCGCCACCGACCACGCCAAACAUAGUCUUUUUCCUUUUAUUUUCCUUCUUUCCCCUCCGCCUCUCGAAACCGCCCACGCUGCCCACCCACCCACACGCCCCACUAGCCGACCCCAACAGACGCUACCCCCUCCCUUUUCCCUUACCAGUCCUCACACUUGCACUCCCUUCACUGUCCCUCAGUUUCCUUCUCAUCCUCUCCCUUCGUUUUCACCUAUUUUCUUCCCACCCGACCACUAAACACCCCAUUCCCUUCUUUAUUUUUCCUUUCCUUUCACCCUCGUCAGAUCCAACACUCCUGCGUGUCGACCUUCGUGCUGCCCCCAUCAUUCCCAUACGCUCCACUGUUGCGUGACCCUCCAACCACCACCAUCACCGUCGGUUUCCCUUUUUCCCUAUUUUAUUUUAUUUUAUUUCUUUAUCUUUAUUUUUAUUUUGAUUAUUAUUAUUCGUUUCACUCCUGACUAUUAGUAUUAUUCUUAGUUAUUCUCUUUAAUGUUUUUCUCUUUAGUAUGUUUUAGUGUUGACUUUGCAGUAUUGCUCCUGCUACAUUAACUUUUUGGCUCUAUUAUUGUUCUAGUCUUCUUAUUUUGUUAUGCUCAUGCUUAGGUUUAUUCUAUCAUGACUAUUAUUAUUAUCUAGUUUCUAUCUCUCGUUUGGAUUCAAAUAUUUAGUAGCAUGAUAGAUUUUUUGGAUUUCGUUAAAUUCCAUUGUCAUUUUGUUCUUGAUUGCACUAAUCUAUUAUGUCAAUUCCUACGACAAUAAUAUUCCCACAAGUUUGUUGGUUAUACUAAAGUAAGAUUCGAAUCAUUUUAUGAUCUGAUCCUCAAUGAUUACCACAUGUUUGGUACAUUUUAUUCGUAAAAGGAAAAGAAACAAUCAUGCAUGAUAAUUUGUACUUUAAGGAGUUCAGGUUAUGUUGAAGUCAUAUUCCACAUUGGUGGGAAGGUUAACAACAAAAUAAUAGAAUAACAACUGAAUUUGUUCACACAUGGAGAGGUAAAGACCCUAGAAACCAAAACCAUCCAAAACAUGUGAGUCACCAUGAAGAGAUACUAAUACCUUUAGAAAGGAUAUGGCUUCUAGCACAACCUCUAUUUGCAAAUUCAUUUGGAAAAAGGAAAGAGAAGAGGAACUAAUUAGUUUAUAAUCUAAUUUUAAGCUUUUUUUCUCUUCACCUUCUUGCCAAUUCAUUUUCGUUUUCACAAGACUUUCUCUAAUGGCAAUGAAAAGAAUAAUUUGGCUCAAUCAUUUUUUAGAAAGUAUCUUGUCCAUCCAUUAUAAGGGGAUUCCUACAUUUCCCAUUACCUUUUUCUGCACCUCUUUAUUUUUAGCGUCACAUUCUGAACAUAUCUUAGUUGCAUUAGCACAAUUGAUAUUUGGUAUAUCUCAUUUUAAAUAUUAUCAAAUAAUGUUUUCCUAGUUUAAGUAAUAAAUUGGUUUACCUUCUUAGUUGCUCAAGUGGAGAGACUCUAUUACAAAUAAACAAUGUAACACCUCUCAUCCGUAUCCAAUGUCGGGGCAGGGUUCAAGGCAUUACCAGACUUAAACAUUCACAACAUGCAAAACUGGGCCACAAAAUUUUUGCCAAAAAUUAAAACAUCUCGAACAUCGUCCCUUAUAUAGGCCUUCGAAACCUAUAACAUACAUUGAGGUGGUUCGGGACUAAACCAAGAACUUUGAAAAUCUUUGGGCAACUUAACUAAUUUUCUUGCUUUGGAAAAUCACACGCCUGUGUGGAUUGGGCCCACACACGUCUGUGUGGCUUGGGACACGCUCGUGUCCUCAGCCUGUGUAACUCACUGUUUGUGACAUCAGCAACCGUUUAAGGACACACUACCAAGGCACACGCUCGUGGCGAGAGGCUGUGUCCUCCACACGGUUGAGACACACAGCCGUGUCUCUACCCGUGUGGUCAAAACUUAAGCUAAUUUCCAAGCCUUUUUGUCAUUUUCACAUGUACACACAUACAUUUGACCUUGUCAUCUUAUUAAUCACUUAUAUCAUAUACUUCUCAUACAUAGUGAACGAGUACAAUCACAAGACAAUAACACAUAUCAUGGAUAGAAAAGCUUACAAGCCAAAAUCAGUAUAAGCCACAUCUCAGGGCUAUAAGCAAUAAGUCAUUAUAAGCCAAUACAUUUAUCUAUUCACAAUAAUAUUCAUCAUAGAAAAACUAAGUCCCUAUACAUGCCACUCACUUGAAAACAUUUAACUUACCCAUGUUAAUACUCCAAAGGUAAUGGCUCGAUAGUCUGGUGCUGCCUUCGACGAUCUCCAACCUCGAGCUGACUUGACAAAACUAAAAGUAAUGGAAAGGAUUGAGUAAGCUUUACGCUUAUUAAGCUCACAUGAUAAUAAUAAACAAUGUGAUAACAUGUUAUUUUCAAAUUCUUUCUAUUUAUUCAAAUUCCAGCUAAGCUAUUUUCUCGAGUCACAGUCAUUACAUUAUUUAUAUCUGGAGUUACAAGACACCAAAUCAAGUUCUGUUAAUUUUCCCAGAAACUAGAAUCAUAUCCCUUCCUGCCAUAAAAUUUUCAAAAUUUUUGGUCUAGCCAAUAAGUAUAGUUUAGUAUUUAAAUUCUCCACUGUUUCACUAUUUGACAACUUUGACCUUUCUUCACUAAAAUUUAUUUAUCCCAUAGUAUGAGACUCGGAUAAUGUUCCUGUCUCUUUCUCCAGAAUGUAGACUCAUUAAUGAUUUUAUUCAUAUGAUUUUGAACUCAUAAUUAUUUUUGUAAAAUUUCUAGUGAUUUUCCCAAUUCAGAACAGGGGAUUUUGAACUCAUUCUGACUCUGUCUCACAAGAAUUCAAAUAUCUCAUAAUAAAAAAUUAUUUUUCUUACACCGUUUUAUUUAUCUGAAACUAGACUCAUUAAGAUUUAAUUCCAUAUUUUAUUCAGCCUCUAAAUCAAUUUCCAGUAUUUUUAGUGGAUUUUCAAAGUUAGACCACUACUAUUGUCCUAAUCUGUCUUAGUGCAACAUAAUGAUAACUAUCACAAGUUUGUCAUAGAAAUUAUUCUCAUAAAUAUUACUAAUUCAUUUGCAGUCUUUUCACAAGUCCAUUUCAUUUCACAUGUCAAACAUGUACUCAUGAGUUUUGAGUACGUACCUGUGCUAUCUCUUAGCACAACUACUCAUGCAAACAGGACAAUCAUAUGCAUCAUACUAGUAUCAACUAAGUAUAGAUGAGUUUAUCAUACCAUUUUCCUUUAUAUCACUAUGUAUGCCAUUACCACUGAAUUAUUGAAUUUCUGAUGGAUCUUUUCUUUUCCAAUUGUACACUCGAGGUGUAUGUUUCUUUCUGAGUGGUACACACAAAGUAUACCUUUCAUUUUCAUAUGGUAUACACAAUACCUUUCAUUUUCAUAUGGUAUACACAAAGUAUACCUUUCCUUUUCAAGUGUACACACAAAGUGUACAUAACCUUUUCAUGUGGUAUACACAAAGUAUACCUAACCUUUUUACAUUCGAUAGUCGAAGCUAUCCCUUUUGACAUUCGAUAGUCGAAGCUAUCCCUUUUCACAUGGUACAAAGAAAGUGUACAUUUCCUUUUCAUAAUGAGAUCAAAAGAUUACCCUUUCAAGACAACCUUUACUGCAACAUAUGCAGGACCUCAUUUACACGGUAGCCGCUCAUUUCUUUUAAAUAUCAUAUUCCAUCAAAUUUCUAUUAACAUGAAAUUCAAUAAAAUUAUAACAAGAUAUAUUUCAUGUAUAACAAUAAUAACAUGAAUAAUAGGCUUAUUAAAUCAUGCGAACUUACCUAUUAUCCAGAAAUGACAAUUUACCAUUUUAGUCUAUAACCUUGUAUUUUCCCGAUUUAAGCCCAAAUCUCAAUUUCCUUGAUCUAUAAUAUCACAUUUAGCCUAAUAAUUACUAAAAUUAUUCAUAUGGGUCUAAAAAUCAUAUUUUUAUAAAUUUGCAUUCUGACCCCUAAACUUUCACAUAUUUGCACUUUUUCCUCAAUGCUCGUAAAAUGAUUUUUAUUCAAUUUCCUUACAUUUUAAGUCUAUCUGAAUCGUUUUCAUAACUAUGGAAGCCUCCAGUUCCCACUAAAUCACCCUUUUAUGAUCAAUUUUACAACUUUUACAAAACGGCCCUUUCAGAUGUUUUCAUCGAAAACUGCUUAGUAAAAGUCGUUUAUUUAACACCCAACACUCAUUUCCUACCAUUAAACAUCAAAAUAAAAGCAUGUCACUCAUGGGUAAAUUUUAAAACUAAACCCUAGCUUAAAAUAAUGGUAGAAAUGAGUAAAUCAUGUUACCGGGAUUUCAAAAAUACAUAGAACAUUAAAAACGGAGCUUAGAAUCACUUACAAUUAAGCUUGGAAGCUGGGGCAAAUGCUAACCAUGGCUACUCUUGGUACAUUCUGCUGAAGCAAGAAGAAAGGGACACAUUUGGGGUUUAAAAUUUGUCUUUUAAUUCAUUUUACCCUAAAUGACCAAAAUGCCCUUUUUACUAUUCUUUCAAAUUUUACACAACCAAGGCCAUUUUUGUCCAACAAGUUAUACAAUGGUUUAAUUACCAAUUAGGGACAUCCCAUGUAAAAUUAAAUGACAAUUAGACACCUCUAACAUGUAGAACUCAACUUUUACACUUUUUACAAUUUAGUCCUUUUUACUAAAUUGAGUGCCCAAACGUCAAAAUUUUUGAACGAAAUUUUCACGAAAUCAUUAUGUAAAAUCGUAGACCAUAAAAAUAUAAUAAAAAUGAAAUUUUCCUCAUCAAAUUUGUGGUCUCGAAACCACUAUUCUAACUAAGCCCAAAAUCGGGAUGUUAUAUUUCUCCCCCCUUUAUGGAAUUUUGUCCCCGAAAAUCCCACCAGAAAAGUGGUUUUGGAUUUUUACUUGGAUUCCUCAAUCCUAUAAUCGAUGUCAAAGAACUUUGAUAAACCGUAAUUUAUACAUAUUUUUAUCCCAUGCUUAGCACAUUUAUGGAUGAUUUCUCCUUUGAUUUGGUGAAUUUGAUGCUCCUAAUCCUUUAAUUUCAUGUUUUAUACUUAGGUGAGCAUAGGAGAGUAAAAAGAGUUAGAAACAAGCCAAAAACGGAGAAAAUAGACCCACAUGGGAAAUCAACAUGGCCUAGACUUCCGCACACGGGUAAGCCACACGGUCGUGUCCAUUGGGCAGGAUCGAAGCACGACUUACAUGGGUAGACUACACGCCCGUGCCUAUUUAGCAGCCUUCACCACGGUAUGAAGCAAUCGUACACGGGCGUGUCCCUGUCGAGCCCAAGUAUAGUCCUAUUCGGAAAAGGCCACUUUUGAGGGCUCUUAGGCAUUCUGAAGCCUAUUUAAACACCUGAGGAGGCAUCUAGAAGGGGACACACGGAGUAUGUAACACCCCAAACCUGACCUAGAUGUUACGACCGAAUCUGGCGUGUCACAUUGAAGCGUUAUUAGAGAAGUCAUGUUUUAUCUAAAAUCUUUCUUAGUGUUUAAAGAACAUUUUCGUUUUAAAUUAAAGUGAAUGGAAGCUGCGCACCAGGUAGGAUUCAAGAAAAGAGGAGGUGAGUCAAUUAGACUGCUUAAGUACCUAGCUCUUCCAUGAUCCAAUCCUAGACAUGCAUACAUCCAUUGCCACACUUUAAGCUUAUUACUUAUCCACGAACAACAAAUUAAGUUUAAGUUUAUUUAAAAUAUUUAUUUCCUUUGAAAACAUUUACGUUGUGGAAGCUUUGCUCGGUUAUCGUGAUAUUUUGAAAAUAAGUAACUUUUAUAAAACGCGUCCUAGAGCUAACCAAUUUAAAAACCCAAAAUAAAAAUAAUAGAGCAGCCUUAUUACAACUUUAACCAAAAUAGAAAAGAUAAAAAAUAAAUGCGAAAUUUAAAAGGAAGCUAAUUGAAACUUAUUUAAAAACCAGAAAUUUAAUCUUCGUGGCCACUCUAAAUCCCACCCAGCUCCAAGUCCACCAACUAGGGCUUACCUGUAAGGAUGGAAGAGAAAGAGGGUGAGUUUGGAAAACUCAGUGUGUAUGGAAAACCCAUCCAAAGCCCAAGUCAGCUCAAGCCCAUUGGGCCUAAGCCCUAUUCAGAUAACAGUGGGUACUAGGCUGAAGCCCUUUUCAAAAUACAGUAAACUGGGCCUGAGCCCCUUUUCAGAUAACAGUAUGGCCCAUAGGCCUAUUCCAGAAUAGAACAGACAUAUUCGUGUUUGCAAGCCCAACCCAACCUAUAACCAACCGCUACACUCCACCCGUACCAGCCCUACACUCCAUGUGGGGAAUAGCUCAACCCACGCAGCCCUGCACUCCACAGUUGCAGCAUUGCUGCUCAGAUAUCAGUACGUUGAGGCAAAGCCUCCAGUACGUGGUUAAGCCACUUUCAGUAGUUCUUCCAUCAAUAACCCAGUCCUAUGCAUCAGAUAAUAAUAACAUGGCAUGCAAUAAAUAGUAAUAGUCAAACAUGCAUUCAGGUCAACCUUAACCCUAGGGGUAUAUCAGUAAUUUCGCUCCUUGGGGUAAAUCUGUAAAUUUUCCACCUAUAAAGGUAUUUCAGUAAUUUUAUUAGUUUUAAGGGUUCUCAUGAAUGUUGCGGUCCUUACUAGCCCAAAUGUCAUCGCAAUAAUUUAUUUAUCUUAAUUUCACAAUUUUAGCCAUUGGGCCCUAAAACCCUUAAUGGGCCCUACAGUGUCCAUUAGCAAUUUAAGCCCAUUUAAUUCGAGUUUUAUGACCAGUUUACUGGUUUAAGCAGUUUCGAUUCUACAAUCUAACAGAACAUACUUAUCGCCUAUUUUUUUAUAUUAUAAAUAUUUUUAUUACUACCCGUAUGGGCCCGUAAGCCCAUUGGGCCCAGUUUUAGCCUAUCUAGGCCCAAUUACCGAAGUGCACAAAAUUUCACACACGACUAACUUACCACUUUGAAAUUUCAAAUCUAAUGAUUUCUAAACAUCUUGUGAGCACUCGCACACUCACAAGCCCACGAAAUGCCAGAAUUUCGGCAUUUUGACUUUUGCCGAAUUGAACUACGAGAGGGUGUUCGAUACACACCUGUUUCGCGACGACUGCUACUGAGAUCCCUUACGAUGUCUUACAAUUGAUUACCAUAAUUCUUAGAUUGCAACCCAUAACAACCAAUCCCAAUAUUCACCUACCCAUAUUCGAACCAUUCCCCUAAAGCCUUUAGAAUCUUACCUUUUUGCCGAAAACCGAUGACUAGGUCCAAGUCUAGUUGCUCUAAAGAUCCAAGCCUUCGAUCAAACCUCUAGAAGAUGCUAAUCACCAAAAGAAAUCAUCGGUUAAAGACCCUUAAAGCCCUAUGCCCAAAUCGACAGCCUCCCUAGAUUUUAGGGACUUCGGCUUUUCUAAAUUGUAAAAUAACACUAGAUCUGAGGUGAUGAGCACUUACCACUUAAUCCUAUUUGAUUUCUACGCAGAUCUGAUGCAGAUCUAUCCUCUAAACGAUAGUAGAACUUGAAUCCAGGAGAUCUGAAGUUUCGGCUUUUUAAGUGAUGAAGAAGAUGACGAUUUGAGGCUAUAACUUUGAAGUAAUGUUGCCGACAGAUACUAAGGGUUUAGAGAAGAUGAAAGUUGCUCAAAAAGAGCAAAAAUAACUGAAGGAUUUUUGUUGGAGAAAUCGGCACAAGAAGUGAGUUUUCGAGAUUUCGGCUUUUAUGGCAAUCGGCUAUGGAGGUUUUGUGGAGGAUGGGAUUGACAGAGGAGGUGAGUAAGGUGAUCAGAAGGUUUCGGCUAGAAGAAAAAGCAAAAAGGAAGAAAGAAAAUGGUGGAAAAAGAGAGGAAGAAGAAAUCGGCACCCAGGAGAAGGAAUUUGUGUUUUCGACUUUUAUGAGAACUCAAAAAGGAUGAAUGGCAGUGAAAGCUUUCAGGUAGCUAAAUCUAAUUCUCCGAGACAGAAAAAGAAAAGAACCUAACCCUAAUAUCAACUAAAACAAUUGACCCAACCUCCCUAAAGCCCUUGCCAAAAUUCACUUAAGUGAUCACAUGCCCGGCACAUGCCUAAAAUUAAAAAGUAACCAUAUACCUACCUUGCAACUUGAACCCUGGACCUUUAAUUCCUUCCCAGACACCAUUUUUUUAGGAACUUAAUGGCGCCACCUUGCCACUUUACCAAGGCCUUAUUUGUGUCCUAUUUUACCACCUCAACUUUAAAAGCCCAUAUCGCCAGAACCCUCUCUCCCAAAAUUAAAAUUCAGGAAUUGCCUCGAAUUAAAUUUACUCUUGGGCCUUUUUUUCCCACACCAUUAACCCUUCGUAAUUUAUUUAAUUACUAAACUAAACAUACGAAAUAAUAAUAACAUCCAAAUUAUUCGGGUCAUUUUCCACUCGAACCCAGACUCAAGGCCCAAUACUUCCAGGCCUAAAAAUCGGGGCGUUACAGAGUAGGAGGCAAGGAAUUACUCAAGGGAAGCCGAUUGAUCCAUCUCAGAAGCUGGAUUCAUCGUCAAGACUGAAGAUCUCCCUUUAAUUUCCUUCAGGAGUUUCAGGUUUUCUUUAUGUUUUGUUAUCUUUAUUCUUUUGAGAUGUUUUCUUUCAUAAUUAUGAACUAAACCCCCUAAAUACCUAAGGGGAAUGGAACCUAAGAUGGAUCUUGUUAUUAUUAUCUAAAUUGUAUGAUAAAUAUUUGACUUGUUCUUAAUUAUGUGUUUUUAAUUCUUGUUUUAAUAUCCCAGGAUAUUGAUUCAAGUUAAUGCGCUUAUUCAGAGUAGAAAAAGUCCCUGUCUAAGAGUAAAUUUGUCGUAAUUAAGCAAAGUUGAUUGCAUGCCUAGAGAUAGGGUGACACGAUUUUACCGAAUUAGGGUGAAACCUAAUAAGAGAGUCCAUAGAUCGAGUUAAUGCAACACUAGGGUGUUAAUUAGAAAGAGAUUUCAAUUAAUCAAUCUAGCGUUAGACGUUAUUAGUUUCGAGAGAGAUAAUAAUAUAACUUAGGGAUUUUUAUGUUGUCUGAUUCAGAGUCAAAUAGCAAGUGAAGUCUAGGUGGAUUUUUCCUUCAGUAUUGUCUUCAUCAAUCGAGUUUUUCCCAAAAGCUUUUCCCCAGUUUUCUCUCUGUGCACCCUUAGUUUAGUUAAUUAGUUUAGAUAAACAAAUCCCUUAAUUUUAAGGCUAGAUAAUAAAAAGAAAGUAAUUACUAGUGCUCUUGAUUCCUUUGGGUUUGACAAUCCGGUCUUGCUAAAGCUAUACUACUGUUCGAUAGGUACACUUGCCUUCAUCGUGAUAAUAGUUAGUUUCAAGAAUGAUUAAUUAUAAAUUUUUAAAACCUGUCGCGAAUAUCAUGUAUCAAGUUUUUGGCACCGUUGCCGGGGAACUAAGAUAUUAGGAACACUCAAUUUUUAUUACUUUAGCCAUUUUACUUUUAUUGCAAUUUAAAUUUUUAUUUUAUUUUCUUAUUCUUAUUUUUCGUUUAUUCACUCCUGGUAGGUUUUUAUAGUGUAUGACUAGAGGAAACCCGUCGAGACCAUUAGUUUUUGAUAGUCAGAUCGAUCGAACAGCGUGUAGAAAUCGAAGAGAAAUAAGGCGAAGCCUAAGAUACAUAGAGGAAGAGCAAGAGGACGAUAUUUCCACCAUAAUCGAGGAGAUGACUGAAAAUUAGGAAAAUUCACUACCUCCUGUGAUUGCCGCUGAUCCAGUAAAUUAGAAUCAUGCUCCACACACUAUGUAUGAUUAUGCUAAAACAAAUUUAACAGGAACUGAGUCAAGUAUAGUUAGGCCUACUAUUGCUACAAAUAAUUUUGAACUGAAACCUAACACGAUUCAAAUGAUACAACAAUUUGUUCAGUUUGAUGGUUUGCAGGAUGAGGAUCCAAACAAUCACUUGGUGAAUUUUCUGGAUUUUUGCGAUACAUUUAAAAUCAAUGGCAUUUCUGACGACGCCAUAUGCCUUCGGUUGUUUCCCUUUUCACUAAGGAACAAAGCUAAAAAGUGGUUGAACUCGUUACCACGAGGGUCAAUCACUACUUGGGAACAAAUGACCGAAAAGUUUUUACUAAAAUAUUUUUCGCCGGCUAAAAUAGCUAAAUUAAGGAAUGAUAUCUCAUCUUUUGUACAAAUGGAUUGAGAAACAGUAUAUGAUGCAUGGGAGAUAUAUAAGGACUUGUUGAGAAGGUGCCCUCACCAUGUGUUACCACUCUGGCUACAGGUUCAAACUUUUCACAAUGGCCUGAAUCUUUCAACUAGACAAAUGGUUGACACAGUCGCUGGUGGGACUAUCAAUAAUAAGACACCUGAGGAUGCUUAUGAAUUUAUAGAAGAGAUGUCACUGAAUAAUUAUCAGUGGAAAGUCAUGAUGACAAAGCCAACGAAAGCAGCCAGCGUUUUUAACGUCGAUUCAGUCACCAUGCUUUCUACUCAGGUAGAACUAUUAAAUAAGAAGAUUGACGGGUUUUUUGGUUCUUCACAAGUUCACCCAGUAAUGUAGUGCGAAGUAAGUGGAGGUGGAUCAAGCAAUUUAGAAUACCCACUUUAUGGCCACAACAUGGAAAACGAGCAGUUAAAUUACAUGGGUAAUAAUCCUCGAUCUCAAAAUAAUCCUUAUAGUAAUACUUACAAUGCAGGUUGGAGGAACCACCCAAAUUUUUCAUGGGGAGGCCAAGGAAAUCAAAGACCACCACCACCUCCAAGCUUCAAACAACCACCUUACCAACAAGAUAAAAAGUUGAACCUUGAGGAGAUGCUAACAAAAUUCAUUUCGGUGUCAGAAACUUGUUUCAGAAUACCGAGACAGCACUUAAGAAUCAACAAGCGUCGAUCUAAGGGCUCAAAAUUCAGAUAGGGAAGCUUGCUAAAUUAAUUUCAGAAAGACCACCAGGAAGUCUACCUAAUAACACCAAACCCAAUCCAAAAGAGCAUGUGAAAGCAGUUACACUAAAGAGUGGGAAAGCAUUAGCUGAAUCUGAAAAGAAGCUACCACAAGAAGCUGACAGAAACGAAGGAGAGGAAGUAAAACCCGAAAACAAUCUAAUGCCAAAGGAAUAUAAACCACCAAUCCCAUAUCUUGCAAAGUUGAAGAAAGACCGUAUGGAUGCACAAUUCGGUAAAUUUCUCAAACUUUUCAAACAACUACAUAUUAACUUACCUUUUGUUGAAGCUGUAUCACAGAUACCUACAUAUGCCAAAAUUUUAAAGGAGCUUCUAGUAAACAAAAAGAAAUUUGAAGACCUAUCUACAGUGGAGCUUAAUGAGGAAUGCUCAACCAUACUCCAGAAUAAACUACCAACCAAACUAAAAGAUCCAGGAAGUUUUACUAUUCCCUGGUUAAUUGGUAGUUUGAAUGUUGAUAAGGCACUAGCUAAUUUAGGCACUAACAUUAAUUUGAUGCCAUAUAAAAUCUUUAAACAACUUGGUCUUGGGGAACCUAAACCAACUAGGAUGAGUAUUGAAUUAGCUGAUAGAUCUGUUAAAUAUCCUAGGGGAAUUAUAGAGGAUGUACUUGUAAAAGUCGAUAAAUUCAUACUCCCUAUUGAUUUCGUUGUGCUUGACAUGGAUGAGGAUGUUGAAGUGCCUUUAAUCUUAAGUUGUCCAUUUUUAGCCACUGCUAGGGUUGUUAUUGAUGUGGGUGAUGGUAAAUUGGUACUUAAAGUAGGUGACGAAGAGAUUAUCUUUAAAAUUUAUGAUGCUAUGAGAUUUUCUAGGGAACAGGAUGACUCAUGUUAUUUUAUUGACUCUAUUGAUCAUGCUACUAAAGAUUCUUUUUAGGAAAUCAUACAUAAGGACACGUUGGAACUGUGUAUUGCCCAAGGAGAGGAGGGGGAUGAUAAUUCUGAGAUAGAAACUGAACUGAAUUCCAAUGAACCCUCCCCAAGACUAGCAGAAUAUGAGGGUAUGAAGGUAAACGAUGGACCUAAGCAAAAAUCUUCUAUUGAAGAACCUCCUAAAUUGGAACUUAAACAAUUUUCGAAUCCCUUGGAAUAUGCAUUCUUUGUAAAUAACUCUACAUUACUGGUAAUUAUUGCGUCUAACUUGUAGCCCAAAGAGAAAGAGGAAUUACUAAAAGUCUUAAGAGAGCAUAAAAGGGCCAUAGCUUGGAAAAUUUCUGACAUUAAAGGUAUCAGCCCUUCUUUUUGCACCCACAAAAUUUUAAUGGAAGAUGAAUAUAAGCCAUGCGUGCAAGCCCAAAGACGUCUAAACCCCAACAUGAAGGAAGUUUUUAAAGCUGAGGUAAUUAAACUCCUAGAUGAUGGAAUUAUUUAUCCUAUUUCUGAUAGUUCUUGGGUAAGUCUAGUGCAGGUUGUUCCUAAGAAAGGAGGCAUGACUGUGGUAGCCAAUGAGAAGAAUGAAUUAAUCCCAACAAGGACAGUCACAGGUUGGAGAGUUUGCAUUGAUUAUAUGAAGCUAAACGAUGCCACGAGAAAAGAUCACUUCCCCUGUCCAUUCAUUGACCAAAUGUUGGAAAGAUUGUCGGGGAACAUGUACUACUGCUUUUUAGACGGACUCUCUGGCUAUUUUCAAAUCCCAAUAGCUCCUGAAGAUCAAGAAAAGACGACAUUUACAUGUCAAUACGGUACGUUUGCUUAUCCUAGAAUGCCUUUUGGAUUAUGUAAUGCUCUUGCUACUUUUUAGCACUGCGUGAUGGCCAUUUUUGACAAACUCGUAGAAGACGUCAUGGAGGUAUUUAUGGAUGAUUUCUCGAUUUUUGAUAACUCUUUCCAUCUUUGCCUUAAAAAUUUAAAACGAGUGUUAAUAAGAUGUGGGGAAAUAAACCUUGUGCUUAACUGGGAAAAAUGUCACUUUAUGGUUCAAGAAGGUAUUGUGUUAGGACAUAAAAUUAAAACCAUUGAAAAACUACCUCCCCCUAAUUUGGUUAAGGAUAUUAGAAUCUUUUUAGGACAUGCUGGGUUUUAUAGAAGAUUUAUUAAAGACUUUUCUAAAAUAGCUAAGCCUUUGACUAAAUUACUAGAAAAAGAUGUACCUUUUAAUUUCGAUCAGGAGUGUUUAGAAGCAUUUAAUACUUUAAAGGAUAAACUGACUAAUGCUCCAAUUAUAAUUUCACCUGAUUGGAAUUCACCUUUUGAACUAAUGUGUGAUGCGAGUGAUUUUGCAGUAGGGGUAGUUUUGGGAUAGCAAAGAGAUAAACAUUUUUAAGCUAUCUAUUAUGCUAGCAAAACUUUGACAGCUGCACAAGAAAACUACACCACCGCGGAGAAAGAGCUGCUAGCUGUGGUUUUUUGCAUUCGAUAAAUUUAGGCCAUAUUUAAUAUUGUCUAAAGUUGUCGUUUAUACUGACCAUUCCGCUCUUCGCUACCUUUUGACUAAAACUGAUGCAAAACCUCGACUCAUUUGAUGAAUCUUAUUAUUGUAGGAAUUUAACUUGGAGAUUAAGGAUAAUAAAGGAGCUAAAAAUCUCGUGGCUGACCAUCUCUCCAGGCUUGAAAACUCAAGUACCAAAGAGCCAGAUGACGUUGAAAUAAAUGAUUCAUUCCCUGAAGAACAAUUUUUUGCUAUAUUUGAUUCUGAGGUACCUUGGUUUGCAAAUAUUGCAAAUUUCUUAGCUGCUAACAUUAUCCCAAAAGUGUUGACACAUCAGCAAAAGAAGCGAUUCUUCACUGAUGUGAAAAACUACUUUUGGGAAGGCCUUUUCUUUUCUGUAUAUGUGCAGAUUGAAUCAUUAGGAGAUGCGUUACAAGGACAGAAGAAUUGAAAAUUUUGGAACAUUGCCACUCAGGACCGACUAGAGGACAUUAUGGUGGAAAUAAGAUUGCACAUAAAGUCCUCGAAUCAGGUUUUUAUUGGCCCACUCUAUUCAAAGAAACCAACAGGUAUGUUACUUCUUGUGACAAAUGUCAAAGGACAGGUAAUAUAUCCAAACGUGAUGAAAUGCCUCAAACAUAUAUGCUCUCAUGUGAAAUAUUUGACGUUUGGGGUAUCAACUUCAUGGGUCCAUUCCUCAGUUCAUUCGGGAAUAAAUACAUAUUAGUAGCCGUUGAUUAUACAUUUAAAUGGGUAGAAGCCCAAGCUUUACCUACUAAUUAUGCUAGAGUGGUAGUACGAUUCCUUAAGAAACUCUUCUCUUAAUUUGGAACCCCUAGAGCAAUUAUCAGUGAUAAAGGUACUCAUUUUUGUAACGCCCAAUUUGAUAAGACCCUUAAGAAAUACGGAGUUCACCACAGAACAGCUACCCCUUAUCAUCUUCAAACUAGUGGACAAGUCAAAGUAGCAAACUGAGAGCUCAAACGUAUUCUAGAAAAGAUAGUAGAGUCAAAUAGGAAGGACUGGGCGAUGAAAGUGGAUGAUACUUUAUGGGCUUAUAGAACUGCUUUUAAGACCCCCAUAGGAACAUCCCCUUAUAGACUUGUUUAAGAAAAAAGUUAUCAUUUACCGUUUGAGUUAGAACACAGGGCUAUAAAAUUUCUAAACCUUGACCUCAAACUUGCAGUUGAAAACAGGUUGAUGUAAUUCAAUAAGUUAGAUGAGUGGCGAGCCAAUGCAUAUGAAAAUUCGUGUCUAUACAAGGAAGCAAUGAAGCGCCGCCACGACGCCCGCUUGAAGUAACGAAGGCAAUUUGAAGUUGGAGAUCUUGUCCUGUUAUACAACUCGGGGCUCAAAUUGUUUCCUAGAAAGCUUAAAUCACGAUAGUUAGGUCCUUUCAUAGUUCAAACUGUGUUUCCAUAUGGCACAGUAGAGGUCAGUCAUCCAUCACAAAGAACUUUUAAGGUAAAUGGACAUCGUUUCAAAAUUUAUAACAGUGAGAAUUUCAAAGAUGAUAAAGAGGAGCUACGGCUCCACGAAGUUACCUAAAUAUACCCACAAGGUAGAGUCGAGCUUAGACUAUAAAUAAGCACUUAUCGGGAGGCAACCCGAGCACUAAUGGUGUUAACUUCUUUAAAUUUUAGUUUUUAACAUUUAAUUCACUAACUGAGUCACUGAACACAGGAUUUCCAGAACCACAUGGCUAGGCACACGGGCGUGUCGUAUGCCGUGCCCAUUCCAUGGGAGGCAACAUGACCUUGCGAUACGACUGUGUGAAAACAGAGGAAAAAUGUUUCCCCAACAUAGGAUCUGAUAAGUUGCCACGGCCGUGCGACAUGGCCGUGGGAAAUCUUGCCAAAUUAACACGGCCGUACGACAUGCCCGUGCCCACCGACCGUGGUCGAGCCUGUCAAAAUAACACGGGCGUGCCCCUUCAUACACGGGUGUGGGAGAAGUGAACGAAGAAUGACACGGCCAUGCAACAUGGCCGUGUGCACCAAUACGCCCAAUUUCGAAAACCACGAAACACACGGGCUGAAAUGAGGGCACACGGGCGUGCCUCACGGCCGUGUACCCGAAUUUCUUUAUAAACACCUAUUAUUUAUUUUUAUUUUUCUUUUAUUUUUAUCUUUAUUUAUAUUUUGAAAUUACUUUUUAUUUCCCCUUAAUAAUAUUUUAUCUUGAGAUUUUAUAAUUUUUAUUCAGCUAUUUUUUUAUGAGUAAUUAUACUUCUUUAUAUUUCCUAAAGAGUUCUUGAUUUUAUCAUAGUUAUUAAGAGCUCCAAAGCUUACUAUCUCUUUAGAAAUUGAAACUCCACUGGAAAAGGUUCUCCACGACUGCCAUGUCCUGCCCGACCACCACGAUAACCUGUUCGCUAGACACUGUGGUUGUGGAACCCAACCUCUACCACCACCAGAGUAUCCUCCUCCAAUUUUAUCAUUGCCCUUGGCCGAUUAUUCUCCAUAAAUCCAAUUCAAGGAGUCCAUUCAUCGUUCAGGAAGUUUCUCUUCUCUCCCUAUCUUAUGAUCUUAUAUCCAUAUCGUUGUAAAUCUAACUUUGUACAUUGAGGGCAAUGUACAUCUUAAGUGUGGGGGGUUAAUUUAUAUCCUGUUCAGAAAAAUCCCUGAAUUUUGUCUUAUUCUCAUGUGAUCUUCUCAUAUCAUUACUAGAAUGAAUUUUGAUUAACUUAUGAUUUUUAUUGAUAUAUCUUGAAUUAAAACAUAGGCAUUCAUGCAUUGAUUGUUUAAACUUUAAGACAUUAGAGUAUCAAGCAUGAUAAGUUGAUUUUUGAGAAUUAAAAUUUUUUUAGGUUGUUUCCCCCAAGUUUAGGUAUUAUCUUUGAAAUUCACAGGUUUAACAUCAAAAAGUCAUAAUUUUUGUGAGAUCUUGAACCUUUAAGAGCAUCUAUUAUUUCUUUCACGCUCACUUUUAUUGUUGCUUUGAGUGCGUCAAUUGAAUUGUUAUUCUAGAACUUGCUUAAUGAUGCAUGUCAAGAUCACACCAUUUGAUUUGAUAUGUCGAGAUGAUAAAGGCACUUAGGUUUAACCCACUCACUCCACAAAAGCCUACCUUCACAAUUAACCCUUAGUGAACCCCCUUGAGCCUAACAACCCAUUCAUUGAUUUACCCUCAACAUUAACCCUUAACCCAUUAUUGUUGAAAUCCCCUAAAUUAAUUUAAUCCCUAUUUUUUUUCGAUAUUUGAUUUGAAUAAAUUGCUGAGCUAUGUUUUAUUUUUGAUAGACAGUCUAUGUUAUUUGACUUGUUCUUAAAUUAAAAAAAAUACAAUACAUACAUAUUUAUUAGUAGUAAUUCGUCGUUUUUUGAGCUUAAGUGAUUAAUUCCAUAUUCUGAGAAGAAGCUCAUAUAUAUUCAAUUGAUGAUAAGUUAUUUUUCUAGUUAGGUAAUUUUUUAAUUCAAUCUCGAUUCUAACCUUUUCUUUUAGCUUGUGACCACACCCCCUAACCAAAGCCACGUUACAACCCUCUAAAGACCUUUUGAUUGAUAUUUCAUCUCAAUUUAUAGUGGUGGAGAUUUUAUUUUCAUGCAAGCCUAUGGUAAUAACUUUUCAUAUUGACUGUUGAGUGCUUUAAUUGUUGUCCUUAAACACCUCGAGUGAUUUGAGUGAAUCUUUAGUGAGGAUGUUAAACUCUGUGAUAUUUUGAUCAAAGGUGAUUACUUAAAUGAGGGGGGACACCUAUGUUUUCAGGAUAAAAUGCUCAACUUGGAAUGUUUGAAACUUUGCUGUUCUUCUAGUUGACUUCUCAAUGUAUGAUUACUUAUGAUUUAUUUUGAGAUAUUAUUGAUAGAGAUUAUAGGUUGAGAAGAAUUUAUUUUGAUUGUGAGUUGAGGAUUUUGCUUGAGGGCAAGCAAACGCUUAAGUGUGGGGGUAUUUGAUAAACCGUAAUUUAUACAUACUUUUAUCCCAUGCUUAGCACAUUUAUGGAUGAUUUCUCCUUAGAUUUGGUGAAUUCGAUGCUCCUAAUCCUUUAUUUGCAAUUUAAAUUUUUAUUUUCUUUUCUAAUUUUUCUUUUAUUUGUUCCUGGCAAGUUUUUGUAGUGUAUGACUAGAAGAAACCCGUCGGGACCAUUACUGUUUGAUAGUGAGAUCGAUCACACAGUUUGCAGAAAUCGAAGAGAAAUAAGGUGAAGCUUAAGAUACACAGAGGAAGAGCAAGAGGACGAUACUUCAACCACAACCGAGGAGAUGGCUGAAAACCAAGAAACUCUGCUACCUCUUGCGAUUGCUCCUAAUCAGAAUCUACUCCACGUACUAUGUAUGAUUAUGCUAAACCUUCUUUAACAGGAACUAGAUCAAGCAUAGUUAGGCCUGCUGUUGCUGCAAAUAAUUUUGAACUGAAACCUAACACCAUCCAAAUGAUCCAACAGUUUGUUUAGUUUGAUGGUUUGCAGGAUGAGGAUCCCAAGGCUCACUUGGAAAAUUUCUUAGAGUUUUGCGACACUUCUAAAAUUAAUGGUGUUUCUGAUGAUGCCAUUCACCUUCAGUUAUUCCCUUUUUCAUUGAGAAAUAAGGCUAAACAAUGGUUGAACUCGUUACCACAAGGGUCAACCACUACUUGGGAACAAAUGACCGAAAAUUUUUUAUUAAAAUAUUUUUCGCCGGCUAAAACAACCAAAUUACGUAAUGAUAUCUCUUCUUUUGUGCAAAUGGAUUUAGAAACACUCUACGAUGCAUGAGAGAGAUACAAGGACCUUUUGAGAAGGAGCCCUCACCAUGGGUUACUACUCUGGCUAUAGGUUCAAACGUUUUCAUAAUGGCCUGAAUCCUUCGACUCGACAGAUGAUUGACGCAGCCGCUAGUGGAACUAUUAAUAAUAAGACACCUGAGGAUGCUUAUGAAUUUAUAGAAGAUAUGUCACUGAAUAAUUAUCAGUGGCAAGUCAAGAGGACAAAACCAAAGAAACAGCCGGCAUUUUUAACGUCGAUUCGGUCACAAUGCUCUCUAAUUAGGUAGAACUUUUGAACAGAAAGAUUGACGGUUUUCUUGGUUCUUCACAGGUUCACCCAGUAAUGCAGUGCGAAGCAAGUGGAGAUGGAUCAAGCAAUUCAGAAUACCCACCCUAUGGCUACAACAUGGAGAAUGAGCAGUUAAAUUACAUGGAUAAUAAUCCUCGAUCUCAAAAUAAUCCUUAUAGUAAUACUUACAAUGCAAGUUGGAGGAACCACCUAAAUUUCUCAUGGGGAGGCCAAGGGAAUCAGUGACCACCACCACCUCAAGGCUUCCAACAACCACCUUACCAACAAGAGAAAAAGCCGAACCUUAAGGAGAUGCUAACAAAAUUCAUCUCGAUGUCAGAAACUCAUUUUUAAAAUACCAAGACAACACUUAAAAAUCAACAAGCAUCUAUCCAAGGGCUCGAAACUCAGAUCAGUCAACUCACUAAAUUGAUAUCUGAACGACCACAAGGUAGCCUGCUGAGUAACACUGAAUCUAACCCAAUGGAGCAAAUCAAUGCAAUUACCAUUCAAGAUGAGGAAGGGUUAGUUGCACCUGAACCAAAAUCGAGGCAAGAAAUUAUGGUAAGUAAAGGUAAGGGUGAGGUGGACCACAAUGACUAGAAACCAGUAGGUAAAGAAUACAAACCUCGUGUGCCAUGCCUAAACGUGACAAGGAAAGAUCGCACAGAAAAACAAUUUGGUAAAUCCCUUAAAUUAUUAAAUAAGUUACAUAUUAACUUACUGUUUAUUGAAGCUCUUUCGCAGAUGCCAAACACAGUCAAAUUCUUAAAAGAGCUUUUAACAAAUAGGCGGAAGUUGGAUGAGGCAUUGCAUGUGGACCUAAAUGCGAUUUGCUCAGCCAUACUACAGAAUAAGCUGGCCAACAAAUUAAAAGAUCCAGGGAGUUUUACGAUUCCCUGUUUAAUUGGUAGCCUAGAUGUUAAUAAUUAUUUGGCUGAUUUAGGGGAUAGUAUCAAUGUCAUGCCUUACAAAAUGUUUAAGCAACUAGGUCUUGGGAAACCCAAACAAACUAGGAUGAGUAUUCAAGUAGUCAAUAAAACAAUCAGAUUUUCUAGGGGGAUUAUUAAAGAUGUACUCGUUAAAAUUGAAAAAUUUAUAUUCCCACUUGAUUUCGUUGUUCUAGACAUAGAAGAGGAUAGUAACGUUCCUUUAAUUUUAGGGAGGCCCUUUUUAGCAACUACUAGAACAAUAAUUGAUGUUGGCACAAGUGAACUCACACUUCGUGUGGGAAACGAAACAAUCACCCUUCAAGCUCGUAAUUCGAGUAACACAUUGAAAAUUGAAGGUGGUUGUAUUAAUCAUUCUACUAAAACUGACCAUGUGGUGCAACCUACUUUGCAGGAAAUAAGUUUGAAGAACCUACAUGAGCCAUGUUCAAGCAACAACAAAAGACCUAUCUAUGAAGAACGAAGGCUACAAAUCGAGGAACUAGAUGAAUGGCGGGCACAAAAAUCGAGAACACUCGAUAAACCAAAACUAAGCCAGGACGAGCUCAAUACCUCACCAAAUCAACUUAAGGUUGGAAACAAAGUACUACUAGAUACAGCAGAUCCUCGCAUUACCACUACUGAACCUAACAGAGUAAUCCUUAUUACUGUACUCAAUAUUUUUCCAUAUGGUACAGUCGAGGUAAUUCAUCCCAAAUUCGAUGCUUUUAAGGUAAACAGUACUCGUCUUAAACCUUAUAUUGAUAAAAUUGAUAGCAGGGAUGAGGAGUGUAAACUCCUCGCACCACCAUGACCAUGCACCAAAAAGGUAAGUCGAGCUUAGACUAUAAAUAAGCGCUUCUCGGGAGGCAACUCGAGCACUAACAAUAAUGAUUUAUUUAAAUUCUAGUUUUUCACAUUUAACCUACUAACUGAGUAUUGAAAUACAGGGUUUUCCCAUCCACACGGCUAGGCACACGGGCAUGCCUUAGGCCGUGCUCACACCACAGGAGGAGACACGGCCAUACGAUACGACCGUGUGAAAAUAGGGCAAAAUUUUUCCUUAACACGGGAUGCGAUAAGUCACCACAGCCGUGUGAUAAGGCCGUAGACAAAAUUUUUAAACCAACACGGGUGUGCGACACGCUCGUGUUUUGAAACCGUGGGCUAAACUAUCAAUUUAGCGCGGGCGUGCAACACGCCCGUGCCCAACCCCCGUGUUCAACACUGUUAAACUAACACGGGCAUGGGCUAUCAUACACAGGCAUGGGAGAAGCGAACAAAGUAAGGCACGAUUGUGCGACACGGUCGUGUGUACCCACACGCCAAAAGAACACGGGCGUGGGGCGAAUGUCAGAUGCGUCUAAAUUUAAAAAUCGUGAAAUACACAGGCAAAAAUUAGGGCACAUGGGCGUGCCCCAUGGCCGUGUGCCCCAAAAUCUAUAUAAACCCCUCACUAUUCAUCAUCCCCCUCCCCAAAAAUCCCUAACCCUAGCCGCUGCAACUCCACACGCCCUACCUGCCACGCCCGUGCGCUGCCUACAACACUAUUUCCGACGACCCAAGCUUCUUCCUUUUGCGUUUGUUUACUCUUUUCUCUCUAUUUUCUUUAAAUAUUUUGCCUAUUUCAUGUUUUCUCUGAUCCAUUUGACUAUUUUAUGUGAAUAUUCAUAGUAGAAUAAUAGAAAUACUCAUGCUUAUUAUUAAGAAUUUUGCCAUUUUUUAUAUUACAUUCAUCUAUCUUUCUUGUUUCCAUGGAUUUUAUGCUUACCCACAUGCAUUCAUACAUUAGAUAUUCCCAUAGCAUUAUUCUCAUAGUCCUAUUUUAUUAACUUGAUAUAUUUUCAUUUAGUAAUUUUUAGUUUUGUUUUCUUCAUCUAGUACGUUAGUCUUAUGAAAUAUUCCUAGUUAGUUUUGUUUUUUCAUGCUAUUCUUAGGGCAUAUUGGUUGAACUUCAAUUUUUUUUCACUGCAGACAUACCAUGUCAUCUUCACGUGGAAAGAAAACCAUUGUCCUCGCCUAGAAGAAAAGGAAAGGAGUAGCGUCAUCCUCGGGUCCUAUCGCGGAGAUUAGGUGCCCUUUCCUCGAGUUCCCCUUGGGACCCCAAGAGGAGCUAUUUCAAAUAUUACAGGCCCGACCCUUAGGCGUGGGUGUUGCAUUGACUGGGCCGCACUUGAACAAAUUCAGAUGGCUGAAGCGGUCUGAGCCCUCCUGACGACUAAACCGUGGGGGCUCUUCUUUGAGAUCAUCGAGCCGACAUACCUCGAGCUCAUGAUGGAACUAUGCUCGACCUUCCAUCUCCAAGUUGUCAUGACAAACUUCGACGAUCCUGGAACAGUCCAGUUCUGCCUUGGUGGUCUAGUGCGCUAAUUGAGCGUACUCGAGUUCGGGAUUGCACUAGGGUUGUAUAUGGAGGAGUUCAUGGACGACAAUGAACUCGACACCCUCCACCGCUACAUUCACUACUCUCCCUCAAAGUGUUGGAAGGACCUCGUCCCUGCCUCGGCCUCCUAUGAGCCUAGCCACUCUAAGGCAUCAGCCCUCGCUCUAUCCUUGCGAUACCUACAUGCCAUUUUGGCCUACACUCUGACAGGACAGUGAGAGAGCACCGGCAUCGUCAACACUCACGACGCCUAUUUCUUAUGGAGCAUGGUGAACGGGCACGUCUUCGACCCUACCUACUUUAUCUCCAUCGCCAUCCGCCAUCAAACGGAGCGAUAUAGGAGAGAGGUCAUCUCUAUCAGGCCCUAUGUAACUCGAUUGGCUCGACACUUUGGGCUCCUCAACACAGCAGCACAAUCAUCCUCCCUUACUCUCAUCAACCAUAUGUCCCCACAGGGCAUGUCGAGCAUGGUAAAUAUGAGGAUGAUCAAGAAACGACGUGGCACCUACCCUCCUCAGUACCACCUCAUCCAGUCCACCAAGGAGGAGGACCCAAAGGACAUUACUGAUGAUGUCCCUCUACGUCACGAGGACCCAUCGCCUCAGCCACUACCCAUCCAUCAUCCAGUUUAUGCGGUGGCUUCAUACUCUGACAUCUCUGAGCGCCUUACUUGAUUUGAGUAGCAGUUUUUUAGCAUUUUGAUCACAUUAAUGCUACACUUCACCAGAUUUGUCAGCACCUUCACAUCUCAUCGCCAACACCACCUCGUGAACCAUCCAGCGAUGACGAUGUUUAAAAACUUUUAUUUAUUAGUUUUAUUUUCACUUUUAUCUUUAUUUAUCUUAUUUAAGUACUUUUUAUUUCAUUUUUCUUUAAUAUUAUUUUAAUUUUAGUUUUUAUAAUUUUUAUUAAAUAAUUUAUAGUUUUGGCUAUCUCAUUACCAGUAAUUAUGUUUCAUUAUAUUCCCUAAAAAGUUCUUGAUUCUAUCACAAUUAUAAAGAGCUCCAAAGCUCAUCAUCGCAUAGGAACUAAAAACUCCACUGGGAAAGGUUCUCCACGACUGCCAUGUCCUGCUCGACCAUGACCAGAGCUACCAUCAGAUAUAAUAUUCUUUUGGGGCAGGACUUAUGGACUACUAAACCACUACUACCACCGGAGUAUCCUCCUCCACUCUCAUCAUUUCCUUGGCCGAUUUUUCUCUAUAACUCCAAUUCAAGGAAUUCAUUCAUCAUUCAGGAAGUUUCACUUCUCUCCCUAUUUUAUGAUUAAUUAUCUUUAUGUUUCAAUAUAUCUAUCUUUGUACAUUGAGGGUAAUGUACAUCUUAAGUGUGGGGGGUAUUUUAUAUCAUCAUUAUAAAUCCCUAAAUUUUGUCCUAUUCUCACGUGAAUUACUCAUAUCACUAUUAGAAUGAAUUUUAAUUAAUUUAUGAUUUUUAUUGAUAUGUAUUGAAUUAAAACAUAGGCAUUUAUGCAUCGAUUGUUUAAACUUUAAGAUAUUAGGGAAUCAAGCAUGAUAAGUUGAUUUUUGAAGAAUUAAAAAAAAACUUUUAGGUUGCUUCCCUAAGUUUAGGUAUUAUCUUGAGUUGAAAUUCAGAAGUUUGAACAUCAAAAAACCAUAAUUUUUGUGAGAUCUUGAGCCUUUAGAGCAUAUUUUAUUUCUUUCAUGCUCACUUAGUGAACCCUUAGUGAACCCCUUUGAGCCUAACAAGCCAUUAAUUUAUUUACCCCCAAUAUUAACCCAUAACCCAUUAUUGUUGAAAUCCCUUAAUUUGAUCCCUAUUUUUGUCGAGAUUUGAUUUGAACUAAUUGCUUAGCUAUGUUUUACUCUUCUAACAUUUGACUUGUUCUAAAAAAAGAAAACUUCAACACAUAUUAGUAGUAAUUUGUCGUUUUUGAGCUUGAGUGUUAAUUCCAUAUUCUAAUAAGAAGCUCACUUGUAUUCAACUGAUGACUAGUUAUUUUUAUAGCUAGGUAAUUUUCCAAUUCAAUCUCGAUUCUAGCCUUUUCUUUUAGCUUGUGACAACACCCCCUAACCAAAGCCACAUUACAAUCCUCUAAAAGACCUUUUUGAUUGAUGUAUCAACUCAAUAUAUAGUGGUAGAGAUUUGAUUUUCAAGCAAGCCUAUGGAAAUAGCUUUUCAUAUUGACUAAUGAGUGCUUUAAUUGAUGUCCUUAAACACCUUGAGUAAUUUGAGUGGAUCUUUAGUGAGGAUGUUAAACUCUGUGAUAUUUUAAUCAAAGGUAAUCACUUAGAUAAGGGGAAACACCUAUGUUUUCUUGAUAAAAUACUCAACUUGGAAUGUUUGAAACUUUGAUGUACUUUUAGUUGAAUUUUCAAUGUAUGAAUACUUAUGAAUUAUUUUGAGAUAUUAUUGAUAGGGAUUAUAAAUUGAGAAGAAUUUAUUUUGAUUUUGAGUUGAGGAUUUUGCUUGAGGAUAAGCAAACGCUUAAGUGUGGGAGUAUUUGAUAAACCGUAAUUUAUAUAUAUUUUUAUCCCAUGCUUAGCAUAUUUAUGGAUGAUUUCUCCUUUGAUUUGGUGAAUUCGAUGCUUCUAAUUCUUUAAUUUCAUGUUUUAUACUUAGGUGAGCAUAGGAGAGUAAAAAGAGUGAGAAACAGGCUGAAAACGGAGAAAAUGGACCCACAUGGGAAAUCAACACGGCCUGGACUUCGUCACACGGGCGUGUCACAUGGCCGUGUCCCUUUGGCAGGAUCGAAGCAUGACUUACAUGGGUAGACUACACGUCCGUGCCUAUUCAACAGCCUUGACCACUGGCUGGAGUAAUCGCACAUGGGCGUGUCACUACUGAGCCCAAAUAUAACCCUAUUCAGAAAAGGCCAAUUUUGAGGGCUCUUAGGCAUUCUAAAGCCUAUUUAAACACCUAAAAAGACACUUAGGAGAGGGAUGCAGAGUAGGAGGCAAGGAAUUACUCAAGGGAAGCAGAUUGGUCCAUCUCAAAAGUCGGAUUCAUCAUCAAGACUGAAGAUCUCCCUUCAAUUUUCAUUCAAGGAUUUUGGGUUUUCUUUAUGUUUUGUAUUCAUUAUUAUUUUGAGAUGCUUUCUUCUAUAAUUAUGAAAUAAACCCCCUAAAUUCCUAAAGGGAAUGAAACCUAAGAUAGAUCUUGUUAUUAUUAUCUGAAUUGUAUGAUAAAUAUUUGACUUGUUCUUAAUUAUGUAUUCUUAAUUCUUGUUUUAAUAUUCUAGGAUAUUGAUUCGAGUUAAUGUUCAGAGGAGGAAUAGAUCCUUAAAUUUGUCAUAAUUAAGUGGAGUUGAUUGCACGCCUAGAGAUAAGGUGAUAAGAUUUUGCCGGAUUAGGGUGAAACCUAAUAAGGGGAUCCAUAGAUCGAGUUAAUACAACACUAGGGCGUUAAUUAGAAAGAGAUUUCAAUUAAUCAACCUAGGGUUAGACGUUAUUAGUCUCGAGAGAGAUAAUAAUAUAACUUAGGGAUUUCUACGGAUCAAGUCAAAUGAAUAAAUCGUCUGAUUUAGAGUCAAUAACAAGUGAAGUCUAGGUGGAUUUUUCCUUGGGUAUUGUCUUAAUCAGUCAAAUUUUUCCCAAAAGCUUUAUCUCAAUAUCUCUUUGUGCACUCUUAGUUUAGUUAAUUAGUUUAAAUAAAAAAAUCCUUUAAUUUUUAGGCUAGAUAAUAAAAAGGAAGUAAUUACUAGUAUUCUUGAUUCCUUUGGGUUUGACAAUCCGGUCUUGCUAAAGCUAUACUACUGUUCGAUAGGUAUACUUGCCUUCAUCGUGAUAAUAGUUAGUUUCAAGAACAAUUAAUUAUAAAUUUUUAAAACCUAUCGCGAAUAUCACGAAUCACCCAAGUAUAAUACUAUUCGGAAAGGGCCACUUUUGAGGGCUUUAAGGCAUUCUAAAGCCUAUUUAAACACCCGAGGAGGCACUUAGGAGGGGACACACGGAGUAGGAGGUAAGGAAUUACUCAAGGGAAGCCGAUUGAUCCAUCUCAGAAGCCGGAUUCAUCGUCAAGAUUGAAGAUCUCCCUUCAAUUUCCUUCAAGAGUUUUGGGUUUUCUUUAUGUUUUUUUAUCUUUAUUCUUUUGAGAUGUUUUCUUUCAUAAUUAUGAACUAAAACCCCUAAAUACCUAAGGGGAAUGAAACCUAAGACGGAUCUUGUUAUUCUUAUCUGAAUUGUAUGAUAAAUAUUUGACUUGUUCUUAAUUAUGUGUUCUUAGUUCUUGUUUUAAUAUCCCAGGAUAUUGACUCAAGUUAAUGCGCUUAUUCAGAGGAGCAAAAGUCCCUGUCUAAUAGUAAAUUUGUUGUAAUUAAGUGGAGUUGAUUGCACGCCUAGAGAUAGGGUGACAAGAUUUUGCCAGAUUAGGGUGAAACCUAAUAAGGGAGUCCAUAGAUCGAGUUAAUGCAACGCUAGGGUGUUAAUUAGAAAGAGAUUUCAAUUAAUCAAUCUAGGGUUAGACAUUAUUAGUCUCGAGAGGGAUAAUAAUAUAACUUAGGGAUUUCUACGGAUCAAGUCAAAUGAAUAAAUCGUCUGAUUCAGAGUAAAAAAAAAGUGAAGUCUAGGUGGAUUUUUCCAUGGGUAUUGUCUUCAUCAAUCGAAUUUUUCCCAAAAGCUUUUCCCUAAUUUUCUCUCUGUGCACCCUUAGUUUAGUUAACUAGUUUAGAUAAACAAGUCCCUUAAUUUUUAGGCUAGAUAAUAAAAAGAAAGUAAUUACUAGUGCUCUUGGUUCCUUUGGGUUCUACAAUCCGGUCUUGUUAAAGCUAUAUUACUGUUCGAUAGAUACACUUGCCUUCAUCGUGAUAAUAGUUAGUUUUAAGAACGAUUAAUUAUAAAUUUUUAAAACCUGUCGCGAAUAUCACGUAUCAAACUUUCACUGAGGCUAAACUUUUACUACCUAUCUCUUUAAAUUCACAUACAAAAAUCAUAAGUGGUAUUCACUUUACAAUAUUUUUACUGAAACUUAAUCUCUACUAGAAAGCUCAUGUACUCAAAAGUCUGAUCCAUACCAUCAUGUUACAUAUACAUUCGCACCUGAAUCUUUUCAGAUUCGAAUAGUAAAACUAGUCAGUUCUUCAAACUAGUCAGUUCUUCUCAACCUCAUACUCUUUAUAAUUUCACACAGUCCAACUAUUUGCCAAUUCAACCCUUAGCUACUCUUCAUUUCAAGCCUCUUCUGGUUUUCCAUAGAAAUCAUGAUAUGAAACUCAGAUCUCAAUCCGAUUAGUGGAGAUUAAAAUUCCAUGAUAUCCAAAAUUUAUAAAGACACAAAAUUCUAUAAAUUUGGUGAGCAGACAUUCGGAUAUACCUACAUAAUUUACACAUCUCAUAACGUUUAACAACGCUAUAUAUCACUUUCCUCUUUCAAGGACAGGAAUGAUCCAAACAAGAAAAUCCAUAUUAACUUUUUCUAUUUCCAUUCUAGUGCCCAAACGACAAAAAUAAUUCUGAUGAUUCUUGUUAUACAUCUUUAAAUUUUCAACAUUUCAAGAAUUUGUACUCAAAGAUAAACAAUGAUCAUUUCAGUAUUUUUAAAUACCCAAAUUAUCUUCACACUAUCAAUCUCAGAUCUUCUUAUCACAUUCAAUUUUUCUAGGAAACAUACACUUCUUAAUUAGACUAUUUGUCUUUUUACCCGUGAAGAAAUAAAAUCUUAUUCUCAAGCAUAGACAUCCCAUUAAAUUCUAAACAUAUAUUCUUCACAGAUUGAAAAAUUAAGUUGACCUUAUUCAUUCGUAAUUGAUAUUCUAAAAAAAAUUCUCUCUUCUAGUCAACAGAACGAUUCAACAUGCAUCAUUCCAAAUUCACUCAUCAUGCCAAUCGAAGACCAUAACAAAUGCAUUGGCAUAAGUAAUACUGAUACUUCAACUGAAUAUAUUAACUCUGAUUAACUUACUUGAGAAAGGAAAUCCACCAUACACAUUAGGACUGGAAAUUUCACCACAUUAUCAGAAUCAAUUCAGAGGUAUAGUCAUACUUGUUCUAUAUAUAUUAAUCACAAGCUGGAGGUCAUGCUAUAAAUGCAAGUCAUGAUCAACAAGUUACAAGAUAAAUAUAACAAGAAAAUCCAAGAUAGAGAAAUCCGAGACGGAGAAGCCCAUCAUUUCAACCACUAACAUCAAAUACGAUCGGAACUAUAUGCUAUUCAUAUAUAUAUGUGUGGUAUAAUCAGUCAGAGCAAUGAUCAGUAGAGACAGAAUCAUGGCACCGUACACAAUUUCUCAUCUAUUCUCAAUAGGCAGAAUAUAACAAAAUACCAGAGAAAAACAGAACCAUGCAAAUCAUAACCCAAUCAGAUUGACAACAUAUUUGUCUAACGUUAAGAUCAAGGAACAUUUUCAUAAUAUAAGAAUUCAUCAGGGAUUAGAGAGCCCCAAUAAUAUUUUCGGUAUCAGAUAAUCUUAUACAAUAUAUCAAUAGAGACAGUCACAAACUGUUCACUGUAAUUACCAUGCUUGAACAUUUCAUAUUUCGAACAUUAUUCCUUUAAUUAUUUCUGCCGUUCCAAAUUCCAUAAUAUUCCCUUCACUAAGAGAACCAGUUCAUGAGGGAAUUUCAAUCAAUACAUUUCUCGAUGUCAUACCAGGAUAGAUUUGUUUUACCAAAAUUGACCUUUUUCACUAGCUGCGAGUUACAAAAAUUAAAUAGUCUUUCGGUCAAUCCGAUAUUUUUCUAGCUCAUGUCUGUACUUACCAACCCCUUCUCAAUCUUUAAUCAUUCUUAUAACCAUUAUAUCAUUAAACUCUUUGGUUUCUUGCCCGGUAACUCAUUCAACACAAAUCACAGAAAUUUCACAUUAUAAAACACCACUUUGGUAAGGGGGAGAGGUCGUAGGGCCUCUGACUCGACUCUCAUAUACAUAUACAUGUAACACAGUUUUCAUCAUCAUAGCAAUCAUAUCUCAAUCAUGUCAUUCAUUUUAGGUAACUAACAUUCGUAUUGAUUUAAGGCCCACUUUCCAAUUAUCUCAUUUUAAUGAGUAUACUUAUACAUGCAUUCUAUGUUUUCUGGAUAACUUUACUUAUCUAUUCAUUUAAUCAUAUAAAUCAUGCACAUGAUAUCAUACAUGGGCCAACAAACACAGAUGAGUUUAUCACAAUCUAUACUUUUACCUCGUACACCAUCAUUUAGGCAUAUCGUUACAAACAUAUGAAUUAGUACAAGCAAUUUAACACGUUUACUUAAGCUAUACAAGCUUAUCAACCAUGAUUUUUCAUAUAAGCGUACGUGAAUAUUCAUUCCAUCUAUAUCUUUGGUAAGUUAUCUAAACACAUGUAUUCACUCAAGCAAAUAGACCAUUUACAUCAUAUAAUUAUCUAUUAAUCAUAUAUAAGCUCAUUUCGCCAUGUACACAUUUCAUGAAUCCUCAUUCGUACCUUUCCAAGUUUCAGUUCAUCAUGACUGUGCUUUACUCAAAUAUUUUGGCAUCACAUUCAGUAUGGUCAAUGUAGCUCAGUUGGAGAGUACCUUUGUCUAAACAAAAUAACUCACAUACGAGUCGGGAGACGUCAUACUAUCCCAAAUCAGUGGCGUGUAGUAGACUCUCAUACAUAUGCUAGGUUAGUCUGAGAAACGACUAAACCAUAGCUCUUACACCACUAAAUGUAACACCCCUCACCCGUAUCCAAUGCCGGGACAGGGUUCGAGGCAUUACCGGACUUAAACAUUUACAACAUGCAAAACUGGGCCACAAAAUUUUUGCCAAAAAUUAAAACAUCUCGAACACAUGCAUAUCGUCCCUUAUAUAGGCCUUUGAAACCUAUAACAUACAUUGAGGUGGUUUGGGACUAAACCAUAGCUCUUAUACCACUAAAUGUAACACCUUUCACUCGUAUCCAAUGCUGGGACAGGGUUCGAGGCGUUACCAGACUUAAACAUUUACAACAUGGAAAACUGGGCCACAAAAUUUUUGCCAAAAUUAAAACAUCUCGAACACAUGCAUAUCGUCCCUUAUAUAGGCCUUCGAAAGUUAUAACAUACAUUUAGGUGGUUCGGGACUAAACCAAGAACUUUGAAAAUCUUUGGGCAACUUAACUAAUUUUCUUGCUUUGGAGAGUCACACGCCCGUGUGGAUUAGGCCGUGUGGUCACACACAUCCGUGUGGCUUGGGACACGCACGUGUCCUCAGCCCAUGUAACUCUCUAUUUGUGACAUUAGCAACCGUUUAAGGACACACUACCAAGGCACACGCCCGUGGCGAGAGGCUGUGUCCUCCACACGGCCGUGUCUCUACCCAUGUGGUCAAAACUUAGGCUAAUUUCCAAGCCUUUUUGUCAUUUUCACAUGUACACACAUACAUUUGACCUUUUCAUCUUAUUAAUCACUUAUACCAUAAACUUCUCAUACAUAGUGAACGAGUACAAUCACAAGACAAUAACACAUAUCAUAGAUAGAUAAGCUUACAAACCAAAAUCAUUAUAAGCCACAUCUCUUGGCUAUAAGCAAUAAGUCAAUAUAAGCCAAUACAUUUGGCUAUUCACAACAAUAUUCAUCAUAGAAAAACUAAGUCCCUAUACAUGCCACUCACUUGAAAACAUUUAACUUACGCAUGUCAAUACUCCAAAGGUAAUGGCUUGAUAGUGUGAUGCUGCCUUCGACGUUCUCCAACCCCGAGCUAACCUGAAAAAACUAAAAGUAAUGGAAAGGAGUGAGUAAGCUUUACUCUUAUUAAGCUCACAUGAAAAUAAUAAACAAUGUGAUAACAUGUUAUUUUCAAAUUCUUUCUAUUUAUUCAAAUUCCAACUAAGCUUUUUUCUCGAGUCACAGUCAUUAAAUUAUUUAUAUCUGGAGUUAUGAGACUCCAAAUCAAGUUCCGUUAAUUUUCCCAGAAACUAGACUCAUAUCCCUUCCUGCCAUAAAAUUUUCAAAAUUUUUGGUCUAGCCAAUAAGUACAGUUUAUUAUUUAAAGUCUUCCCUGUUUUGCUGUUUAACAACUUCGACCUUUCUUCACUAAAAUUUAUUUAUCUCAUAGUAUAAGACUCAGAUAAUGUUCCUAUCUCUUUCUCCUGAAAGUAGACUCAUUAAGGAUUUUAUUCAUAUGAUUUCUAACUUAUAAUUAUUUUUUUACAAUUUCUAGUGAUUUUCCCAAGUUAGAAUAGGGGAUUUUGAACUUAUUCUGACUCUGUCUCACAAGAAUUCAAAUAUCUCACAAGAAUUCUUUUGCUUACACCAUUUCAUUUAUGUGAAACUAGACUCAUUAAGCUUUAAUUCCAUAUUUUAUGUAGCCUCUAAAUCAAUUUCAACUAUUUUUAGUGGAUUUUCAAAGUCAGACCACUGCUAUUGUCCUAAUCUGUCUUAGUGCAACAUAAUGAUAACUAUCACAAGCUUGUCAUAGAAAUUAUUCUCAUAAAUAUCACUCAUUCAUUUGCACUCUUUUCACAAGUCCAUUUCAUUUCACAUGUCAAACAUGUACUCAUGAGUUUCGAGUACGUACCUGUGCUAUCUCUUAGCACAACUACUCAUGCAAACAGGACAAUCAUAUGCAUCAUACUAGUAUCAACUAAGUAUAGAUGAGUUUGUCAUACCAUUUUUCUUUAUAUCACUAUGUAUGUCAUUAUCACUGAAUUAUUGAAUUUCCAAUGGACCUUUUCUUUUCCAAUUGUACUCUCGAGGUGUACGUUUCUUUCUAAGUGGUACACAUAAAGUAUACCUUUCUUUUUCAUAUGGUAUACACAAAGUAUACCUUUCCUUUUCAAGCAUACACACAAAGUGUACAUAACCUUUUCAUGUGGUAUACACAAAGUAUACCUAACCUUUUCAUAUUAGAUAGCAGAAGCUAUCCCUUUUCACAUUUGAUAGCGGAAGCUAUCUCUUUUCACAUUCGAUAGCCGGAGCUAUCCCUUUUCACAUGGUACACACAAAGUGUAAAUUUCCUUUUCAUAAUGAGAUUAAAAGAUUACCCUUUCGGGACAACCUUUACUGCAACAUAUGCAGGACCUCAUUUACAUGGUAACCACUCAUUUCUUUUAAAUAUCAUAUUCCAUCAAAUUUCUAUUAACAUGAAAUUCAAUAAAAUUAUAACAAGAUGUAUUUCAUGUAUAACAAUAAUAACAUGAAUAAUAGGCUUAUUAAAUCACGCGAACUUACCUCAGAUCUAGAAAUGGCGAUUUACCAUUUUAGUCCAUAACCUUGUAUUUUCCCGAUUUAAGCCCAAAUCUCGAUUUCCUUGAUCUAUACUAUCACAUUUAGCCUACUAAUUAGUCAAAUUAUUAAAUUGGGUCUAAAAAUCAUAUUUUUACAAAUUUGUAUUUUGACCCCUAAACUUUCACAUAUUUGCACUUUUGCCCCAAUGCUCGUAAAAUGAUUUUUAUUCAAUUUCCUUACAUUUAAGUAUAUCUGAAUCAUUUCAUAACUAUCUGAAUCAUUUUCAUAACUAUGGCAGCCCCCAAUUCCCACUAAAUCACCCUUUUAUGAUCAAUUUUACAACUUUUACAAAACGGUCCUUUCGGAUGUUUUCAUUGAAAACCGCUUAGUAAAAGUCGUUUAUUUAACACCCAACACUCAUUUCCUACCAUUAAACAUCAAAAUACAACCAUGUCACUCAUGGGUAAAUUUUAAAACAUAAACCCUAGCUCAAAAUAAUGGUAGAAAUGAGUAACAUUAAAAACGGAGCUCGGAAUCACUUACAAUUAAGCUUGGAGGCUUGGCCAAAUGCUAACCAUGGAUACUAUUGGUAUAUUCUGCUGAAGCAAGAAGAAAGGGACACAUUUGAGGUUUAAAAUUUGUCUUUUAAUUCAUUUUACCCCUAAAUGACCAAAAUACCCUUUUACUAUUCUUUCAAAUUUUACCCAACCAAGGCCAUUUUCAUCCAAAAAGUUAUACAAUGGUUUAAUUACCAUUUAAGGACCUCCCAUUUAAAAUUUCAUGGCAGUUAGACACCUCUAACAUGUAGAAUUCAACUUUUGCACUUUUUACAAUUUAAUCCUUUUUACUAAAUAGAGUGCCCAAACGUCAAAAUUUUCGAACGAAAUUUUCAUGAAAUCAUUCCGUGAAAUCGUAGACCAUAGAAAUAUAAUAAAAAUAAAAUUUUUCUCAUCGGAUUUGUGGUCCCAAAACCACUAUUCCUACUAAUACCAAAAUCGGGAUGUUACAUACAAGAUAGAUAACACUUGGGAACCCGAAUUAGGAUAAAAGGAAUAUAUACCUAUUGGUGAGAAUAAUUUGCCUAGAAAACAACCCCACAUACUAUAAAUUAACCCCUUUAUGGUCUUCAAUGAAGUUCCACAGCUAAAAUGUCCCUUUCAUUAAAUCAUGCAGCAAUUAAUGACGCGUAUUUUAAAAUUUUGUGUGUAUAACUACCUAUCAAUAUGCUAUUCUGGUGUCAAUAAAGCAUAUGAUAUUUGAAAUAAUUAUUGACUUAUAUCAACUUGUAUUAUAGAAUUAAAUGCAUGCCUUAGUGUCAGUAUUUUUUGGAUCAAAGUCAUUAUGUAAGCACUGAUUACUCAACCACUCUCACCAAUUAUUUUGCAUACAUAAAGAAGUUUACGACAUACAUGCACUACACCUAUAUCUAUGUGAACUAAUUACAGGUAGACUGAAGUAGUUCCAAUUUAUAAAGAUUUAUCCUUACCAAAACAAAUAUAAUUUUCCUUUAAUAGAUGUAUAAUUUAUUAAAAACAAACUACAAGAUCCAUAUGCAGGACCUCUUUUGUCUCAUAACCAUCCAAUAUGUAAUAUGUCUAAUAUUCAACUUUAAAUUCGUUGAAAGCCUUAGUUUUUUCAUCACCACUAGAGUUCCUACCGUAUUAGGAAUCUUUUCUAGUAUCUCCUAAUCAAAAUUGGAAAUAUUGUUUAAAUUUGUUGCUAAAUAAGUAAUAGAAAUACAACAUUCAUCAGAUAUAAUUAGAAAUAAAUUUUCUAACUCAUAAUAAUUGACUUAUGUCAACUUCCAUCCUAGCAUUAAAUGCAUGCCCAUGUAAGGAUUACUUCGUCAUUCUUGCCUGAUCCUAAACACAUAAAUGAAAAUAUACAAUGUAUAUGCACGGUACAUUUACCUAAACAUAGAGUGAGCAAUGCCAACCUAUAAAGUUUUACCCAUCACCAAAAGAGAUUUUUUUCCAUAAACAGAUGUACCGUUCAUCAAAAUGAAAUAUAAGAUAUAUCUUCAUGAUCCUUUUUGUCUCAUAAAUUGUCCUAGAUAUAUUAUGCCUAUGAUAAGUUAUAAAAAUAACAUAUUUUACUCCCAUUCUUAAUGUUUUGGAUGAUUAAUUAUGCAAAUUAGUGAAUUUGAUGCUCCUUGUAACAACUCAUUUUUAGUCAAAUCAGAACAGUGGUUUCGGGACCACAAAUUUGAAGUUGAAAUAAUUAUUUUAUUAUUAUUUUAAUGUCUACAGUAUGAUAGCAUGAUUGUGAGAAAUUUUCGUUAAGAAAAUUUAUUGUUUGAAUGGUUAAUUUGAUAAAAAAGACUAAAUCGCGUAAAGUGCAAAGUGAUGUUUUAAUAGCUAAAAGUACUAUUUGGUUAUUAAAUUAAAUAGAUGAGGGGGUUAUGUGAUAAAUAGACCAUUGGUUAUUCAAAUGGACAUUUAUGGACAUUACUUAUAUAAGUUUUAAUAUAUUAGUAAAGGGUAAUUUAGUAACUAGUGUAAUAAACUAUAAUAAAUAAACAAAAAUCACUAUUUUAUGUCCAUCUUCUUCUUCUUCAACUGAUUCUAACCUAGGGAAAACCAUGGAUAUGUUCGUCCAAGCUUCCUAGCUCAAUUGGUGAGUAAAUUUUGUCCCGUUUUUAAUGAUUUCUAUGUUUUUUAGAUCGUUGCAGCUUAGUCUAGCUAGCCCAGGGCCUAUUUUGCAAAACUGUUAAAGGUUUAGGGUUUUUCAAUUGAUGAAUCUAUAUGUGUUUUAAUGUUUAAUGGUAGAAUAUGCAUGCUUAUUGUUAGAUAAACAACAUUUGUAAAGUGAUUUUUGACAAAAUUGUCAUUUAGGAUUAAUUUGUGAAAUGUGUACAUUUUGUGGUUAAAUCGUGAAAUAAAUGAAAAAUAUGGACUGUUAAGGGCCUAAUUGAAAUUCGGCUAACUUGGGUUUUGGUUGAAUUGCAUGAACUUGUGAUUUUAUGAAAUAAGGACAAAAUUGUAAAAAUGUUGAAAUUUAGGGAAAAAGUGUUAAUUUGCCUUAAUGUGUAUUUUGGACUAAAUUGAAUAAAGUGAUAAUUAAAUAAGUUAAUUUUGAUUACAUUUAGAUCAAGAAAGGCGAAAUACAGAUUUAGAUCAGGAAAAGAACAAGGUUUCGGAUUAAUCGACUUGUUACACCAUUUUUACAUUUGAAGUAAGUUUAUAUGCAAUAAGUUUUGUUUUAAUUGUAUUUUAAAUGCUUUGAUAUUACAUAAAUUGUGAGUACGACUCUACAGACAUGUUCAAUGACGGUUUGGCAAGUGAGAAAUCCCUGUUGAAGCUUAAAAAUAGAUUAGGAUACGAAUAACAUGUCAUAAAGGGUUGUGUGAUUUGGGUGCUGGUCCGUACAUCCUACCGGUGACUGAGUUAUCUGGCAUAUGUUGUGGAUACUCGUUAGCUUGUGUGAGCAACACUGUGUAGCUUCGUCAUGACGUCAGCUUGUGUGAGCAGACCCGUUGAUAGGUCUAGUGUGAGCAUUAUAUGUGAUAUGAGAUUGAGAUAGAUUUGAAUGGUUCAAUAGGUAUAUUAGAGGGGUGGUUAUGUAUAAGUUGAUACGAGGUGGUACAGGUAUGUACAUAAACCGUACAAGUAUUGAGGAAAUUAUGAAAGUUAUAUAUAUAAUUUUGUGAAUGAAUAUGUGGUAAGUUGAUGAUUAAAUAUGAAUUAUGUUAUGUUAUGUAUUAUUUGCUUAAGUUGUGCAUAUAUGGUAAGUUGAUUUUUAUGCUAUACGAACUUACUAAGCUUUAUAACUUACUUUGUUGAUUUUCCGUGUUUUAUAGUGAAAUCAAAGCUAGCUCGGAUUCGAGAUUCGUCGGCGACUUCAUCAUACUAUCUAACUAUCACUGGGUACUUUUGAACUUAAGUAUUUUGAGUAUAUGGCAUGUAUAGGAUUAUGGUCAUUUUUGAUAUAUAGUUUGGUCAAGAAUUUAACCAUUUGAAUUGGCUUGUAAAUGUCUAAAGUUUGGUUUUGUAUAUUGCCAUGAGAGUUGGCUUAUUUUGGUUGAUUUGGUUGUGAAUAUAAUUGUGCAAAUGGCUCUUGUUAUGUGAUUGAUUAUGGAUAUGUGAUGUUAGUUGGUAUUUGGUAAUUAGGGGUGCUAAAUGGUUGAGAAUUGGUAUGUUUGUGAGAUUAGGCUAAAUGAUGCAUAGUUGAAAGUGAUUGUAUUGUUGGUUUAAGAUUAUGAGUUUUGGUAUGAAUUGAAUGGCACAUUGUGGUAUUAAUAUGUUUGGUAUUGGUUGGUAUUGAAAUGGUAAAAAUUAUGCUUGUUCGAGGUUGGUUGAAUGCCUAAUUAUACCAUGAUUUUGCGCCAACUAGAUUGGUUUAGGUGUGUGCAAGUUUAGGUGGCAAAAUGGUUUGGUAAAUAGCUUAUUUUUGUCGACACGGGCAUGUGUCUCAGCCGUACAUGACACACGGUUAUGUUACAUAGCUGUGUGUCCCCUGGUGUUGAAUUAAAAAUCAAGUUAGUAUGCUCCACACGGAUUAGCACACGGGCGUGUGACUUGGCCGUAUGGCAUAAGUCAAUAUACCCUAUAGGUUUGGCAUGGCCUAGCACAUGGCCUGGCACACGGGCGUGUGUGGCCAUUUUUAGGGUACACGGGCUAGUCACAUGGGCAUGUGUGUUGGCAGUGUGACCCAAGUCAGAGAGUUACACGGGGUCAGACACGGGCUGGGACACAACCAUGUGUUCCCAUUUCGAAUGUCCACACGGGUGUAUGUCCCUUGUAGUUUGAAAAUUUUUCUAAGUCUCGUAAAAAUCUCUUGAGUUAUCAGUUUAAUCCCGAACCACCCCAAAUGCAUGUUUUAGGCCUCGUAGGCUCGUAAUAAGGACAAUAUGAUUGAUGUUGAAUGAUUAUUACAUGGUGUUGGAAUAUGUAUGUGAAAUGUAUGUUUAUUUGUGUUAUAAGUCCGGUAAUGAUUCGUAACCCUAUUCCGGCAUUAAAUACGGGUGAGGGGUGUUACACUUCUAAUCCUUUAAAUUCAUGUUUCUAUACUUAGGAAAGCAUUUGGGAGUGAAAGGAGAGAAGAACGAGCCAAAAUCAGACAAAUAGAGCUAUUUUCAGGAUCCACAUGGCCUGGGCAUUUCCACAUGGGCUAGCCACAUGCCCGUGUAAGCCACACUGGCUGGCCAAAUGUCCAUGUGCUGGCCCGUGUCGGUUUCGCACCCUACUUCCAAAAUACAUGGAAAACCUCAAUUUUUAGUCUUUUUGAGCAUUCUAAAGUCUAUAAAUACCAAUUAGAAGAAGACCUAGGGGGCAAUCAGAGAAGAUCAAAGAAAACACUCAAAAAAUGCCAUCAGAAUCAACUCAGAAGCGGAUCUCCGUAAAGAUCAAAGAUCUCCUUUUAAUUUCUUUCGAAAUAUUAUUGAGUUUCUUUAUGUCUAGUGGUUAUCCUAACUUUGAGAUGUUUCUAUUCAGGAUUAUGAAUUAAAUUCUCCAGAUACCUAGGGAAAAUGAAACCUAUGAUGAAUCUUAUUAUUUGAUUUCUGAUUUACACGAUAAAUAGUUGAUUCUUGUUCUUAAUUAUAUAUGCUUAUUUCUUAUUUUAAUAUUUCUGGGAUAUUAAUUCAUGUUUAAUGUGCUUAUUUCAAUGGAGUAAAAGGCCCUGUUUGAGAGUAGAUCUAGCAUAAUUGAGUGGAGUUGCAUGCAAUCCUAAAAAUAGGACGACAUAAAUCUACCGGAUUAGCGCCAAAUAUAAUAGGGGAAUCCAUAGAUCGAGUUAAUGCGACGAUAGGGUUUUAAUUAGAAACAGAUUUCAAUUAAUCAACCUAGAGUCAGUUGUUCUUACUCUCGAAAGAGAUAUUAACAUAAUUUUGGGAUUUCUAGGGAUCAAGACACAAGUGAAUAAAUCGUUUAAUUCAAAUUCAUAAUAAUAGGUGAAGUCUAGGUGGAUUCUUUCCUAGGUAUUGUCUAUCUCAUUGGUUAUCUUCGAUUAUUUUCCUCUUUCACUCUCUGUUGCAUUCUUAGUUAAAUUAGUUUGGUAAUUUUAGAUUAAAACACAAUCACUCCAAUUUGUUGGCUAAAUAAUAAGAAGACGGUAACUACUAGUAGUUUUAGUACUCGUGGAUACUGCAUUCCCUACUCACCGUAGCUACACUAUUGUUUGAUAGGUGUGUUUGCAUUUGUCGUAUUUAUAGUUAGUUUAGUGACUAUCAAGUUUCUGGUGCCGUUGUCAAAGACUAAAAUACUAGGAACACUCAAAUUUUUUUAUUAAUUUAGCCAUUUUUUAUUGUAUUUUAUUUUUGUUUUUAGUUUAACUUUUACAUUCUAAUUUUUCUUUAAUUUGCUUCUAGCAGGUUCUUGUAGUUUAUGACAAGAAGAAACCCGUCGGGACCAUUAUUAUUUGACAGUGAAAUUGAAAGUAUAACUCGCAGAAACUGUAGAGAAGCAAGGCAAAGUCGACAGAAUAUAGUAGACGAGCAAGAGGACAUUAUUAUUACUGAAGAGAUGAGUGAUAAUCAGAAUAAUUAGCUACCUCCUGCAGUUGCUGCAAAUCCAGAUUCUGUUCCUCGUACUAUGUAUGAUUAAUGCAAGCCCACUCUAAUUGAGGCUGAAUCGAGUAUUGUGCGACCCACUAUUGCUGCAAAUAAUUUCGAACUGAAGCCGAACACUAUUCAGAUGAUACAACAAUUUGUUCAAUUCGAUGGUUUGCAAGACGAAUACCAAAAAUACUCAUUUGGCUAAUUUUUUGGAAAUCUGCGAUACUUUCAAGAUUAAUAGAAUUUUUGAUGAUGUCAUUCACCUUUGGCUAUUCUCUUUCUCAUUGACGAACAAAGCUAAAUAGUGGUUGAUUUUUUUACCACAAGGUUCUAUCACUACAUAGGAUCAAAUGACAAAAAAAUUUCUACUGAAGUACUUCACACUGGCUAAGACAACCAAGUUGAGGAAUGAUAUCUCUUCCUUCAUUCAUAUCGACUUAAAGACCUUAUAUGAUGCAUAGGAGAUAUACAAGGAUUUAUUAAGAAGGUGCCCUCACCAUGGGUUACCUUUAUGGUUAUAGGUUCAAACCUUCUACAAAGGUUUGAAUCCCUCAACUAAGCAGUUGAUUGAUGUAGCAGCUAGUGGAACUCUGAAUAAUAAAAUAAUCAAAGCGGUUUAUGAAUUUAUUGAGGAGAUGUCACUGAAUAAUUAUUAGUGGCAAGUCAUGAGGAUGAAGUCAAUGAAAGCAGUCGGUGUUUUCAACUUAGAUGCAGUCACCAUGCUAUCAAAUCAGGUAGAAUAAUUAAAUAAGAAAAUUGAUGGUUUAUAUGUUUCUACGCAGGUACAUCUGAUGAUGCAAUUUGAUACAAAUAGAGUUGGAAUGACCAAUCCAAAAUGCUUACCCUUCGUUCCUAGAAUAGAGAACGAACAAAUUAAUUAUAUGGGUAAUAAUUAUAGGCCUCAAAAUAUCCUUUAUAGUAAUAACUAUAAUGCAGGUUAGAGGAAUCAUCCCAAUUUCUCUUGGGGUGGUCACAGAAAUCAAAGAGCACAACCCCCACCAGGCUUCCAACAAAAACUUUAAUAGCAAGAGAAGAAGCCAAACCUCGAGGAGGUGUUGACGAAGUUUAUCUCGGUGUCAGAAACUCGCUUUCAAAACAUUGAAGCAUCACUUAAAAAUCAACAAGCGUCGAUUUAAGGGCUUGAGAACCAAAUCGAUCAACUUAUUAAACUAAUCUUGGAAAGACCACAAGGUAGUUUGCCUUGUAAUACCAAAACUAACCUAAGAUAACAGCUUCAUGCAAUUACUGUACGAGAUGAAGAAGAGUUAGUUGAAUCUAAACCAGAACUAAGGCAAGAAAUUAUGGUAAAUAAUGAUAAGGUUUAGGUAGUCUAGAAAAAGCAAAAGCCAGUUUUUAAUGAAUAUAAACUUCGAGUGGCAUACCCUAAUGCGACAAAGAGAAACCAUAUGAACGAAAAAUUCUGUAAAUUUCUUAAACUUCUAAAAUAAUUACAUAUUAACUUACCCUUUUUUUGAAGCUCUUUCACAGAUGCCCAAUUACGUCAAAUUUUUAAAGGAGCUUUUGGUAAACAAAAGGAAGUUAGAUGAUUUGUCGACUGUGGAGCUAAAUGUAGUUUGCUCGGCCAUAUUACAAAAUAAACUACCUAACAAACAGAAAGAUCCAGGGAGCUUUACUAUUCCUUGUUUAAUUAGUAGUUUGAAUAUUGAUAAUGCUUUCGAAAGUUUAGGGGCUAGUAUUAAUGUCAUGCCCUAUAAAAUGUUUAAGCAAUUAGGUCUUGGGAAACCCAAACAAAUUAGGAUGAGUAUUCAAUUAGCAAAUAGAACCAUUAGAUAUCCCAGGGGUGUUAUUGAAGAUGUGCUUGUUAAAAUCGAUAAAUUUAUAUUUCCUGUUGACUUUGAUGUAUUAGACAUGGAUGAGGGUAGUGAGGUAUCUUUAAUUUUAGGGUGACCCUUUUUAGAAACUAUUAGAACCAUAAUUGAUGUUGGUACUGGUGAGUUAGUACUUCGUGUAGGUGACAAAUCAAUUACUCUUCAAGCUUGUGAUUCUGUUAGAACAUCUAGUGAUCGAGAUGAUUUUAGAUAUUCUAUUAAUGGUAGUGACCAUGUGGCUUAACCUUCUUUGCAAGAAACCCCUCGAAAAAAUGUAAUGGAGCCAUGUUCCAGUCAAUACGAUAGAAACAGAAUGAUUUACGAUGAACAAAUGUUACAAAUUAAUGAACUAGAUGAAUGACAGGCACAUGUCAAGAAGAAACCAAGAAAGCACAAUGACAAGCCAAAGCGACGCCCUGAUGAACACGUGAGGAACCAAUUUAAAGUUGGUGACAAGGUACUGCUAGACAAAACGAAUCCAAAAAUUGCCCUUUCGGAGCUUGAUGCAAACGAUCAAACCCAUUAACGGUACUGGAUGUCUUCCCAUACAGUAGAGUCGAGGUAACUCAUUCUGAAUUUGGCACAUUUAAGGUAAAUAGUACUCGACUUAAAUCUUAUUUUGGUAAUGAAUUGAUAAUGAGAAAGAGGAGCUUCGGCUCUGCAAACCACCAUGACCUUGCGAAUACGAGGUAAGUCGAGCUUAGACUCUAAAUAAGCGUUUCUCGGGAGGUAGCCUAAGUGUUAACAUUGCUAAUUCUUUUCAUUUUAUUUCAUGUUAUUUUUAAAAACUAUUUAAUUUAAAAAAAUGUUAUUUUACCCACAUGGCUUGGACACAGGGACAUGUCCCAAGCUGUGUACGCAAUAAUGGUUUUGACAGUGAGUUACACAGCCUGGCGACAUGGCCAUCUGACCCAUACGACCUAGACACACAGGUGUGUCUUUGGCCGUGUGGAUCCUGGGACUUAUUUUUUUCAAAAAUUCAACAGUUACACGGUUGUGCGACACGGCCGUAUGGCACAAACGACCUAGACACACAGGCAUGUCCUAUGCCGUGUGAACCCUGAAGCUAGUUUUUUUUAUUUUAUUCUAAGUUAGUGAGUUACACAGGUAAGAGACAAGCCCGUGUGUGAGACAUGGCCGAGCCACACGGGCGUGUGGAGUCUCACAUGGGCAUGGAAGAAGCGGAGAAACACAUACAUAGCUUGGCACACGGCCAUGUGAAAAUUGGGCUCACUUUUAAAAUCACACACGAGCUGAGAUGAACCAGACAGGCAUGUGGCACGAUCGUGUGGCCCAACAUGGGUUUUACACAACUGUGUCGCCCUUUUAACCCCAAACCCUAAUUCCUUUUUAAUUUAUUUUUUGUCUUCUUCCUUCUAAUCCUCCAAGCACCAAAAACCUAGCCGCUGCUCCCUACAGGCCUAUCUUCCCUUCCUGCCACUGUUGCUCUAUCUGUCAUUGUUUGUUCCCCUUUCUUCCUUAUCGCCCCAGUCAUUCCCUCGCCUAAGAACCAUGAACCACCUCCCAACACCGCAACCCACCUUCCUGCGCUAUGCAACUCUCCCUUGACCAAACCUUCACCCCCCAUCUUGUUGCAUCCUCCUCAACCUCAACCUCCAUUCCUUAUUUCCCCUCCUUUUCCUUUCCAUAUUCCCCCUACCUCACAAACUUCAUAGCCCACAAACCCCACCCCGCAACCAGCUCUGUUCCACCACCGUGUGUGAUAAACCGUAAUUUAUACAUAUUUUUACCCCAGGCUUAACGCAUUUUAUGGAUGAUUUUCCAUUAGAAUUGGUGAACUCGAUGCUCCUAAUGCUUUAAUUUCAUGUUUUAUACUUAGGAGAGCAUCGGAGAGUGAAAGGAAUGAGAAACAGGCCCAAAACAGAGAAAAAUGGGCCAAAGUACGAAUUCAACACGACCUAGACCUCCUCACACGGCCAGACCACAUGGCCGUGUCAAUUUGGCAGAUUCAAAGCACGACUCACAUGGGCGUGUCACAUAGGCGUGUCCUUGCCGAGCCCAAGUUGAGUCCAAUUCGGAAAAGGCCAAUUUUGAGGGCUUUUAGGCAAUCUAAAGCCUAUAAAUACACCCUAGAAGAGGAAAGUAAGGGGGCACACAGGGAGGAAGGAAGGAAUUACUCAAAGAAAGCCGAUUGAUCCAUCUUAGAAGUCGGAUUCAUCAUCAAGAUUGAAGAUCUCCCGUCAGUUUCCCUUCAGGAGUUUUGGGUUUUCUUUAUGUUUUGUUCUCAUUAUUCUUCUGAGAUGUUUUCCUUUUUAGUUAUGAACUAAAUCCCUUAAAUACCUAAGGGGGAUGAAACCUAAGACAAAUCUUUUUAUUAAUUUCUGAAUUGUAUGAUAAAUAUUUAACUUGUUCUUAAUUAUGUGUUCUUAAUUCUUGUUUUGAUAUCCCAGGAUACUGAUUCAAUAUAAGCUCUUAUUCAGAGGAGGAAUAGACCUUGUCUAAGAGUAUAUUUUUCAUAAUUAAGUGGAGUUGAUUGCGCGCCUAGAGAUAGGGUGACAAGAUUUUGCCGGAUUAGGGUGAAACCUAAUAAGGGGAUCCAUAGAUCGAAUUAAUGCAACCCUAGGGUCUUAAUUAGAGAAAAGUAUCAAUUAUUCAAUCUAGGGAUUAGACAUUAUUAGUCUUGAAUAGGGAUAAUAACAUAACUUAGGGAUCUCUACGGAAUAAGUUAAAUGUAUAAAUUGUCCGAUUCAGAGUCAGAAUAACAAGUGAAGUCUAGGUGGAUUUUUCCUUAGGUAUUGUCUUAAUUCAAUCGUUUUCCAAAAGUAAUCCCCCAAUUCUACUUUCUGUGAAUUCUUAGAUUAGAUAAUUAGUUAGUUAAAACAAAACCACCUUAUUCUUAGGCUAGAUAAUAAAAAGACAGUCAUUACUAGUACUUUUAGUUCCUUUGGGUUCGACAAUCCGAUUUUGCUAAAACUAUACUACUGUUCGAUAGGUACACUUGCCUACAUCGCGAUAAUAGUUAGUUUCAAGAAUGAGUAAUUAUAAAUAUUUUAAACUUACCUGUCACGAAAAUCGUGAUCAAGUUUUUGGUGCCGUUGUCGGGUAACUAAGAUAUUAGGAACGCUCAAUUUUUAUUACUUUAGCCGUUUAUUUUCCUUACAAUUUAAUUUAAUUUAAUUUAAUUAUUAUUAUUUAUUAAUUUUAUUUUUCUUUUUCUUUCUCUUGGCAGGUUUUUAUAGUUUAUGACUAGAAAAAACCCGUCAGGACCACUACUCUUUAACGAACAAAUCGAUCGCAUAGUUCGCAGAAACCAACGAGAAAUAAGACGAUCUUAAGAUACAUAGAGAACGAGCAAGAGGACGAUACUCAACCCCCAACCGAAGAGAUGGCUGAAAACCAAGACAAUUAGCUACCUCCUGUAAUUGCGGUUAAUCAAAAUCCUGCUCCAUGCAUUAUGUAUGAUUAUGCUAAACCUUCUUUAACAGGAACUGAAUUGAGCAUAGUUAGACCUGUUGUAGCUAUAAAUACUUUUGAACUAAAACCUAACACUAUUCAAAUGAUACAGCAAUUUUUUCAGUUUGAUGGUUUGCAAGAUGAGGAUCCCAACACUCACUUAGCAAACUUUUUGGAAUUAUGCGAUACAUUUAAAAUUAAUGGUGUUUCUGAUGAUGCCAUUCGUCUUCGAUUAUUCCAUUUUUCAUUGAGGAACAAAGCCAAACAGUGGUUGAACUUGUUACCACGAGGGUCAAUUACAACUUGGGAGCAAAUGACCGAAAAAUUUCUAUCAAAAUAUUUUCCGCCGACUAAAACGGCCAAAUUAUAUAAUGAUAUCUCUUCGUUUGUGCAGAUGGACUUAGAAACACUCUACGAUGCAUGGGAGAGAUACAAGGACCUUUUGAGAAGGUGCCCUCACCAUGGCUUACCGCUUUGGCUUUAGGUUCAAACAUUCCAUAAUGGCCUGAAUCCUUCGACUCGACAAAUGGUUGACGCAGCUGCUGGCGGAACCAUCAAUAGUAAAACACCUGAAGACACUUAUGAGUUUAUAGAGGAGAUGUCACUGAAUAACUAUUAGUGGCAAGUCAUGAGGACUAAGCCAACUAAAACAGCCAACUAAAGCAGCAGGCGUUUAUAACAUCAAUUCAGUUACUAUGCUGUCAAACUAGGUAGAACUUCUGAAUAAAAAGAUUGAUGGUUUUCUUAGUUCUUCACAGGUUCACCCAGUAAUGCAGUGCGAAGCAAGUGGGGGUGGAACAAGCCAUUCGGAAUACCAACCUUAUGGCCACAACAUAGAUAACGAGCAGUUAAAUUACAUGGGUAAUAAUCCUCGAUCUCAAAAUAAUCCAUAUAGAAACACUUACAAUGCAGGUUGGAGGAACCACCCAAAUUUCUCGUGGGGCGGUCAAGGAAAUCAAAGACCACAACAUCCUCCGGGUUUUCAACAGCCACCCUAUCAAUAAGAAAAGAAACCGAACCUUGAAGAGAUGCUCACAAAGUUUAUCUCGGUGUCAGAAACCCAUUUUCAGAACACCGAAACAACACUUAAAAAUCAACAAGCAUCAAUCCAAGGGCUUGAAACUCAAAUAGGCCAGCUUUCUAAACUAAUCUCUGAACGACCACAAGGUAGCUUGCCAAGUAAUACUGAACCCAACCCAAGGGAACAGCUCAACGCGAUAAAUGUUCAAGAUGAAGAAGGAUUCGUAGAGCUUGAGCCAGAACCGAGGCAAGAAACUGUGGUAAGCAGAGGUCAAGGUAAGGUGGGUCAUAAUAAAAUCAAAUCAGUGAAUGUCGAAUAUAAACCUCGUGUGCCAUACCCCAACGUGACAAGGAAAGACCGCUCAGAUGAAUAAUUUGGUAAAUUCCUUAAACUCUUAAAAAAAUUACAUAUUAACUUAUCGUUUAUUGAAGCUCUAUCGCAGAUGCCAAACACAAUGAAAUUUUUAAAGGAGCUUUUAGCAAAUAAGCGGAAGUUGGAUGAGGCGUCGCAUGUGGAGCUGAACAUAGUUUGCUCAGCUAUUCUCCAAAAUAAACUACCCAACAAACUAAAAGAUUCAGGGAGUUUUACGAUUCCUUGGUUAAUUGGUAGUUUAGAUGUUAAUAAUGUAUUGGCUAAUUUAGAGACUAGUAUUAAUGUCAUGCCCUACAAAAUGUUCAAACAAUUAGGUCUCGGGAAACCCAAACAGACUAGGAUGAGCAUUCAAUUAGCAGACAAAACUAUAAGAUUUCCUAGGGGUAUUAUUAAAGAUGUGCUAGUUAAAAUCGAUAAAUUUAUAUUCCCCAUUGACUUCAUUAUUUUAGACAUAGAGGAAGAUAGCAACACUCCUUUGAUUUUAAGAAGGCCCUUUUUAGCAACUGCUAAAACGAUUAUUGAUGUUGGCACAGGUGAACUCACACUCCAUGUGGGAGAUGAAACAAUCACCCUUCAAGCUCGCAAUUCUGGCAACACAUCAAAAAUUGAAGGUGAUCGUUUAACCCAUUCUACUAAAACUGACAAUAUUGUACAACCUACUUUGCAGGAAAUGAGUCUGAAGGAAGCACAUGAGUCAUUCUCAAGCAGUAGCAGAGGACCUGUUCAUGGAGAUCGAGGGCUACAAAUCGAGGAUCUAGAUGAGUGGCGGACGCAUAAACCGAGAAAACAUGAUAAAUCAAAACUACGCCAGAACGAGCUCAAUACCUUCCCAAAUCAACUUAAUGUUGGAGAUAAAGUAUUUUUAGAUGCCGCAGAUCCUCACAUUGUCACUACCAAACUGAAUGAAGAAAUCCCUCUUAUGGUACUUAGCAUUUUCCCAUUCGGUACAGUCGAGGUAAGUCAUCCCAAGUUUGGCACUUUUAAGGUAAACAACACCUAUCUAAAACCUUAUUUUGAUGAGAAUGAUAGCAGGAAUGAGGAGUAAAAACUCCUCGAAUCACCAUGACCAUUCAAUGGAGAGGUAAGUUGAGCUUAGACUAUAAAUAAGCGCUUCUCGGGAGGCAACCUGAGCACUAAUUGUAUUAACUUCUUUCAAUUUUAGUGUUUAGCACUUAACUUACUAAUGGAGCUCUUGAAUACAGGUUUACCACACAGACACGGCCAAGCACACGGGCGUGCUUAGGGCCAUGUGAAAACAGGGAAAAGAUUUCCCCAAAACGGGCUACGAUAAAUUGCCACGACCGUGCGACAUGGUCGUGGGGGAACCUGCCAAAACAACACGGGCGUGCGACACGCCUGUGCCUUGAAACCGUGGCCGAAACUGUCAAAUUAACACAGGCAUUUGACAUGCCUGUGUCUAGCACCCUUGGUCGAACUUGUUAAAUUACCAUGGGCGUGGGAGAAGCGAACAACGCCAGACAUGACCGUGUGAAAACAGGGAAAAAGUUAUCUUUCCCAACAAGGGAUGCGAACGCGACAAGUGGCCACGGGCACGCGACCUGGUCGUGGUCAAAUCUGCCAAAUGAAUACGGGCGUGCGACACGCCCGUGUCUAGCACCCGUGGACAACAUUGUCAAAAUAACACGGGCGUACGCAGAGCUACACGACCGUGGGAGAAGCGAACCACAUUACAAACGGUUGUGUAACAUGAUCAUGCAGCCACACGGCCUAGACACACGGGCAUGCCCAAAGGCCAUGUGACGACAUCUCACUUCGCGAUAAACACGAGCGGGACACGAUCCACACGGGCGUGUGAACCGGCCGUGCCACUUGAAAAAUUAGAUUAUCUAUCUUAUUUUAUUUUUCUUUUAUUAAUUUUUGAAGAUUCUUUUAUUUUUAAACACGACUUAUCUUUAUGAUUACUAUCAAAUUAGUCCCCCAAUUCCCCUUUUGUCCUUCAGAAUCAUGUUUGUCCUCCAGCUUUAUUUCCAACAACUCGCUCUCACUAAUCUAGGAAUUUUGUCCAUUUUUAACUCAAGAAGUUUCACUUUUCUCCCUAUCUUAUGAACUUACACUUACAUUUGUCAAAAUAUCUAUCUUUGUACAUUGAGAACAAUGUACAUCUUAAGUGUGGGGGUAUUCAUUUCACUAUCAGAAAAAUCCCUAAAUGACUGCCUUGUUCUCUUGAAAAGCUCUCAUAUCAUAUUUAGAAUUGAUCGCGUGGUUUCGUGAUAGGUUUUAAAUAUUUAUAAUUACUCAUCCUUGAACUAACUAUUAUCACGAUGUAGGCAAGUGUACCUAUCGAAUAGUAGUAUAGUUUUAGCAAGACCGGAUUGUCGAACCCAAAGGAACUAAAAGUACUAGUAAUGACUGUCUUUUUAUUAUCUAGCCUAAGAAUAAUGGGGUUUUGUUUUAAUUAACUACUUAUCUAAACUAAGAAUUCAAAGAGAAAAGAAUUGGGGAAUUGCUUUUGGGAAAAAUCGAUUGACUUAAGACAAUACCUAAGGAAAAAUCCACCUAGACUUUACUUGUUAUUCUGGCUCCGAAUCAGACGAUUUAUUCAUUUAACUUGUUCUGUAAAGAUCCCUAAGUUAUGUUAUUAUCCCUAUUCAAGACUAAUAACGUCUAAUCCCUAGAUUGAAUAACCGAGACUUUUCUCUAAUAAACACUCUAGGGUUACAUUAACUCGAUCUAUGGAUCCCCUUAUUAGGUUUCACCCUAAUCCGACAAAAUCUUGUCACCCUAUAUCUAGGCGCGCAAUCAACUCCACUUAAUUAUGAUAAAUGUACUCUUAGCCAGGGUCUAUUCCUCCUCUGAAUAAGAGCUUAUCUUGAAUCAGUAUCUUGGGAUAUCAAAACAAGAAUUAAGAACACAUAAUUAAGAACAAGUUAAAUAUUUAUCAUACGAUUCAGAAAAUAAUAACAAGAUUCGUCUUAGGUUUCACUCCCCUUAGGUAUUUAGGGUUUUUAGUUCAUAACUAAAUAAAAAAACAUCUCAGAAGAAUAAAGAAUACAAAACAUAAAGAAAACCCAAAACUCCUGAAGGGAAAUUGAGGAGAGAUCUUCAGUCUUGAUGAUGAAUCCGACUUCUGAGAUGGGUCAAUCGGCUUCCUUGGAGUAAUUCCUUACUCCCUAUUCUCCGUCACCCCUUUUCCUCCUCCUCUAGGGUGUAUUUAUAGGCUUUGGAAUGCCUAAAACCCUCAAAAUUGGCCUUUUCUGAAUUGGACUCAACAUGGGCUUGACAGAGACACGCCUGUGUGACACGUCCCUGUGGGAUUACUUCAGGCCGUGUUUGAGCCUGUUAGAAUGGCACGGGCAUGUGCUAUACCCAUGUGAGUCGUGGUUCGAUUCUGCCAAUUGACACAGCCGUGUGGUCUGCCUGUGUGAGGAAGUCCAGGCUGUUUUAAGUUCGUACUUUGGCCCAUUUCUUGUUCCUUUUGCUCCCCUAUGUUCUUUUAAGUAUAAAACAUGAAAUUAAAGCAUUAGAAGCAUCGAAUUCACCAAUUCUAAUGGAAAAUCAUCCAUAAAAUGCAUUAAACAUGGGUGAAAAUAUGUAUAAAUUACGGUUUAUCAAGAAUGAAUUUUGAUUGAUUUAUGAUUUUGAUUGAUAUAUCUUGAGUUAAAACAUAGGCAUUUUUGCAUUGAUUGUUUAAACUUUAAGACAUUAGAGAAUCAAUCAUGAUAAGUUGAUUUUUAAGAAUUUAAAAUUUUAGGUUGUUUCCCCAAAGUUUAGGUAUUACUUUGAGUUGGAAUUCACAAGUUUUAAACAUCAAAAAUCCAUAAUUUUUGUGAGAUUUUUGAGCCAUUUGAGCAUCUAUUAAUUCUUUUAUACUCACUUUUAUUAUUGCUUUGAGUGCGUUAGUAUUGAAUUGUUAUUCUAGAACUUGCUUGAUUAUGCAUGUCAAGACCACACUAUUUGAUUUGAUAUGUCAAAAUGAGAAAGACACUUAGGAUUAACACACUUAUGCCAUGAAAAGCCUACCUCCACGAUUAACCCUUAGUGAACCCCGUUGAGCUAACAAGCCAUUUCUUGUAUUACCCUUAAUAUUAACCCUUAACCCAUUAUUGUUGAAAUUCCCUAAAUUAAUUUGAUCCCAUUUUUUGUCGAGAUUGGAAUUGAAAUAGUUGCUUAGCUAAGUUUUUUUCUACUUUGUAUUUAACUUGCUCUAAAAAAAAUGUAUACAUCUUAAUAGUAGUAAUCUUCUAAGCUAAAGAAGUUAAAUUUCAUAUUCCAAGAAAAGCUCUGUUGUACACAAUUGAUGACUAGCUAUCUUUCUAGUUAGACAAUUUUUCAAGUCAAUCUUGAUUCUAACCUUUUCUUUCAUCUUGUGACCAUACCCCCUAACCAAGCCUCAUUACAACCUUUAAAGACCUUUUGAUUGAUGUAUCAUCUCAAAUUAUAGUGGUAGAGAUUUGAUUUUCGUGCAAGCCUAUGGUAAUAACUUUUCAUUAUUGACUAUUGAGUGCUUCAUUUAUUGUCCUUAAACACCUUGAGUGAUUUGAGUGAAUCUUUAGUGAGGAUGUAAAACUCUGUGACAUUUUGAAUACAAGGUAAUUACUUAGACGAGGGGAGACACCUAUGUUUUUAGAAUAAAAUGUUCAACUUGGAAUGAUUGAAACUUUGAUGUUCUUUUAGUUGAAUUCUCAAUGUAUGAUUACCUAUGGAUUAUUUUGAGAUAUUAUCGAUAGAAAUUAUAAGUUGAGAAGAAUUUAUUUUAAUUAUGAGUUGAGAAUUUUGCUUGAGGACAAGCAAAUGCUUAAGUGUAGGGGUAUUUGAUAAACCGUAAUUUAUACAUAUUUUUACCCCAUGCUUUACGCAUUUUAUUAAUGAUUUUCCAUUAGAAUUGGUGAAUUCGAUGCUCCUAAUGCUUUAAUUUCUUAUUUUAUACUUAGGAGAGCAUAAGAUAGCGAAAGGAACGAAAAACGGGCCAAAAACAGAGAAAAAUGGGCCAAAGUAAAAAUUCAACACGGCCUGGACCUCCUCACAUGGGCAGACCACAUGGUCGUGUCAAUUUGGCAGAUUCGAAGCACGACUCACACGGGCGUGUCACACGGGUGUAUCUCUGUCGAGCCCAAGUUGAUUCCAAUUCAGAAAAGGCCAAUUUUGCGGGCUUCUAGGCAUUCUAAAGCCUAUAAAUACACCCUAGAGGAGGAAAGUAAGGGGGCACAUAGGGAGGAGGGAAGGAAUUACUCGAAGGAAGCUGAUUGAUCCAUCUUAGAAGCCGGAUUCAUUAUCAGGACUGAAGAUCUCCCUUUAAUUUCCCUUCAGGAGUUUUGGGUUUUCUUUAUGUUUUGUACUCAUUAUUCUUCUGAGAUGUUUUCCUUUUUAGUUAUGAACUAAAUCCCUUAAAUACCUAAGGGGGAUGAAACCUAAGACAAAUCUUUUUAUUAAUUUCUGAAUUGUAUGAUAAAUAUUUAACUUGUUCUUAAUUAUGUGUUCUUAAUUCUUGUUUUGAUAUCCCAGGAUACUGAUUCAAUAUAAGCUCUUAUUCAGAGGAGGAAUAGACCCUGUCUAAGAGUACAUUUUUCAUAAUUAAGUGGAGUUGAUUGCGCGCCUAGAGAUAGGGUGACAAGAUUUUGCCGGAUUAGGGUGAAACCUAAUAAGGGGAUCCAUAGAUCGAAUUAAUGCAACCCUAGGGUCUUAAUUAGAGAAAAGUAUCAAUUAUUCAAUCUAGGGAUUAGAUGUUAUUAGUCUUGAAUAGGUAUAAUAACAUAACUUAGGGAUCUCUACGGAAUAAGUUAAAUGUAUAAAUUGACCGAUUCAGAGUCAGAAUAACAAGUGAAGUCUAGGUGGAUUUUUCCUUAGGUAUUGUCUUAAUUCAAUCGUUUUCCAAAAGUAAUCCCCCAAUUCUACUUUCUAUGAAUUCUUAGAUUAGUUAAUUAGUUAGUUAAAACAAAACCACCUUAUUCUUAGGCUAGUUAAUAAAAAGACAGUCAUUACUAGUACUUUUAGUUCCUUUGGGUUCGACAAUCCAGUCUUCCUAAAACUAUACUACUGUUCGAUAGGUACACUUGCCUACAUUGCGAUAAUAGUUAGUUUCAAGAAUGAGUAAUUAUAAAUAUUUUAAACUUACCUGUCACAAAAAUCGCGAUCAGUGUGCAGCCCCGCGUUGAUCGCACCAACCCCUCGACCUUCAACCAUCCUCAUUGCGCUCCACUGUCCCGCACCUCCGGCCACCGUCCAUCGCUACAUUCGUUUCCCCUUUUACCCUUGUCUUUAUUUUAUUUUAUUUUUAUUUCUUAUGUUCUAUUUUAUUUUAUUUAUUUUCAUUCUAUUCCUCUGUUUUAUCAUUAUUCUUAUUAUUUUUAUUUCUCUAUUUUAGUAUUAUUAUGCUUAACUUUUAUUUUUAUUUUCACUUAUUCAAUUUUUUUUAGUUAUAUUAUUCUUAUUAUUUUAAAUCUUAUUUUACUAUUAUGCUUCUUGUUGCAUUUACUUAUUUUGGGUUUUUUUAUUACCAUUCUUAUUAUUACCUUUAAUCUUAGUAAGUAAACUCUGUUUAAUUUAAUAUAUAUUUUAUCAUCAUUAUUAUUAUUCGUAUUAUUAUUUGUUACUAUUCUUAUUCGAAGUUUGUUUUUCUAAUUUAGUUAUUUUGUUUAUUAUUCCUUCCUUAUUGGUUUCAUUAAUUCUAGUUUGAUUCAUAAUAGCUUCAAUAUAUGGUUUUUGCAUGAUUAGGUAUUCGUACAUACUAUUUUAGUCAUAGAUUUCUAUUUUGACAACUUCGAUUCUACCUACUCAGCCCUUUGUUUGCAUAAUUGGUGAUGCUUUAUUUAUUUUUGAAUUUUUUUAUUUUUCAGGCACACCAUGAUGAACACUCAGCAAGUCUAAGGUUGCCGUUCUCGCUUCAAAAAAGCGGAAGAUUUUGGGCGCAACCUCUUCUUUGGGCGAAAGAUGUCGAGAACUUUCUACGCCUACAUGGGCACAUCCACUACUCGUCAUCUCUUUGUUGGAUAAACCUUAUAGCGAGUACGACACUUGAUAAACCAUAACAGUAACAUAUUUUAAUCUCAUACUUAACAUAUUUUUGGAUGAUUUAUAAUAUAAUCUAGUGAACUAGAUGUUCCUAAACCUUUAAUUUCAUGUUUUAUACUUAGGAAAGCAUAGGGGAACAAAAGGAGAAGUAAACUGGCCAAAAACGGACAAAAUGGGCUGAUUUAAAGUUCCACCGGGCAGAGCACACGCCCGUGUGAGCCACACAGGCUGGCCACACGCCCAUUGGUCAGCCCGUGUUGAUAUCGCUCCCUAUUUCCUAAAUACGUAGAAAAAGCCAAAUUUUAGGGUUUUUGAGCACUCUAAAGUCUAUAUAAACACACUAGAAGCACAUCUAAAUGAACACACAGCAGAAAGCAGAAAUUACUCGAAAGAAGCCAUUAGAAUCAUCUCAGAAGCAGAUCUUGAGAUUGAAGAUCUCUAUUCAAAUUUCUCUCGAAGUUUAUUUGGGUUUUUUUAUCUUGUUGUUUUUCUAAAUUUGAGAAGUUUUCCUUUCACAUUAUAAACUAAACUCCCUAAAUACCUGCCUGGGGGGAUGAAACCUAUGACGAAUCUUAUUAUUUAAUGUUCUGAAUUUAAUGAUAAAUACUUGUUUUUGUUCUUAAUUAUUUGUUCUUAAUUCUUGAUCUAAUAUUUUUCAGGAUAUUAAUUCAAGUUGAUGUGCUUAUUCAGAUGAGCAAAAGUCCCUGUUUAGGAGUAGAUCUACCAUAAUUAAGCGGAGUUACAUGCAACCCUAGAAAUAGGGCGACAUAAAUCUACCAGAUUAGAGUCAAAUCUAAUAAGGGAAUCCAUAGAUCGAGUUAAUGCGACAAUAGGGGUUUUAAUUAGAAAGAGAUUUCAAUUAAUCAACUUAGAGUCAAUUGUUUUUAGUCUCGAAAGAGAUAUUAACAUAAUUUAGGGAUUUAUCUGGAUCAAGACAAGUGAAUAAAUCGUUUGAUUCAGAGUAAGAAUAAUAAGUGAAGUCUAGGUGGAUUUUUCCUUGGGUAUUGUCUUUAUUAUUGGUUUAUUCAAUUGUUUUCUUCACUCUCUGUUGUGUUUAUUAGUUAAUUAGUUUAGUUAAAUUUUGAUUGAAACAAAAUCCCUUCUAUUUUAGGCUAAAUAAUAGAAAGAUAGUUAAUACAAGUACUUUUAGUCCUCGUGAAUACGAUAUUCUGGACUCACCAUAGCUAUACUACCAUUCGAUAGGUGCGCUUGCCUUUGUCGUGAUCGUAGUCUAGUUUAGUGAACCAUAAAAAUGAUCAUCAAGUUUUCGGCGCCGUUGCCGGGACUAAAAUAUUAGGAAUGCUUGAUUUUUAUUAAUUUAGCCAUUUUUUAUUGCAUUUUAUUUUUGUUUUAGUUUUAUUUUUAAUUACUAAUUCUUCUUUUGUUUACUUCUGGCAGGUUCUUGUAGUUUAUGACUAGAAGAAACCCGUCAGGACCAUUGCUUUUUUAUAGCGAAAUUGAAAGCACAGCUCGUAGAAAUCAUUGAGAAAUAAGGUGAAGUCUACAGUAUAUAGAAGAAGAGCAUAAGGACGAUACCAACAAUACCGAAGAGAUGGCUGAAAAUUAGAAUAAUCCACUACCUCCUGUGGUUGCUGCUAAUCUUGUGAAUCAGAAUCCUGCUCCUCGUACUAUGUACGAUUAUGCUAAGCCCACUCUUACUGGGGCCGAAUCGAGUACUGUUAACUUGCUAUUGCUGGCAAAUAAUUUUGAACUGAAACCUAACACUAUUCAAAUGAUUCAACAGUUUGUUUAGUUUGAUGGUUUACAAGACAAAGAUCCAAAUACUCAUUUGGGCAAUUUCUUAGAGUUUUGUGAUACUUUCAAAAAAAAUGGCAUUUCUGACGACUCCAUUUGCCUACGAUUAUUCCCCUUUUCGUUGAGAAAUAAGGCUACUACGAGCUUCCAUCACUACUUGGGAUCAAAUGAUCGAGAAGUUUUUAUUGAAAUACUUUUUACCGGCCAAGACAGACAAGUUGAGGAAUGAUACCUUUUCCUUUGUGCAGAUGGAUUUAGAAACCUUUUACGAUGCAUGGGAGAGGUAUAAGGAUCUAUUAAGAAGGUGCCCUCACUAUGGGUUACCUCUAUGGCUACAAGUUCAAACCUUCCACAAUGGUUUGAACCUCUUAACUAGGCAAAUGAUCGAUGCGGCUGCAGGUGGUACUAUAAAUAAUAAAACACCUGAAGAGGCUUAUGAGUUCAUAGAUGAGAUGUCACUGAAUAAUUAUUAGUGGCAAGUUAUGACGACAAAGCCAACAAAAGCAGCUGAUGUUUUUAACGUUGAUGCGGUUACCAUGUUGACAAAUCAGGUAGAACUUUUAAAUAGAAAGAUUGAUGGUUUAUAUGGUUCUUCGCAGGUACAUCCGGUGAUGCAGUGUGACAUGAGUGGAGGUGGAAUGAGCAAUUCAAAAAAUUUACCCUGCGGUCCUAUCAUGUAAAAUGCAAAAAAUGAAUUAUAUGGGUACUAAUCCUAGAUCUCAAAAUAAUCCUUACAGUAAUACCUACAAUAUAGGUUGGAGGAACCACCCAAAUUUUUCAUGGAAAGGUCAAGGAAAUCAAAUACCACCACCACCCCCUCCGGGUUUUCAGCAGCAACCUUAUCGACAAGAAAAGAAACCGAACCUUGAAGAGAUGUUUGAAAAUUUUAUUUCAGUGUUAGAGACUCGUUUCCAAAACACUGAGACGUCUUUGAAAUAUCAGCAAGCAUCGAUUCAAGGGCUCGAAAAUCAAAUUGUGCAGCUUACUAAACUAGGUUCGGAAAGGCAACAAGGUAGUUUGCCUAGUAGCACUAAACCCAACCCAAGAGAGCAUGUAAAAGCGGUUACAUUGAGGAAUAGGAAAGUGUUAACUGAACCUGAAAAGAAGUUGCCACAAGAAUCUAAUAAGAAAAAGGAUGAGGAGGUAAAACCUAAAGUAUGUGUAACACCGGUGCUGAAAGAAUAUAAACCACCGAUCCCAUAUCCAACAAAGUUGAAGAAAGACCGCAUGGAUGCACAAUUUUGUAAAUUUCUUGAACAUUUUAAAUAGCUACAUAUUAACUUACCUUUUGUUACAUACGCUAAAUUUCUGAAGGACCUUCUAACAAAUAAAAGGAAGUUUGAAGAGCUAUCUAUCGUGGAACUCAAGGAGGAAUGUUCAACUAUCCUUCAAAACAAGCUACCAACCAAAUUGAAAAUCCCAGGAAGUUUCACUAUUCCCUGUUUAUUUGGUAAUUUGAAUAUUGAAAAAGCAUUAGCUGAUUUAGGUGUUAGUCUUAAUUUGAUGCCUUACAAAAUGUUCAAGCAGCUUGGUCUUGGGGAACCAAAACCUACUAGGAUGAGUAUUCAAUUAGUUGAUAGAUCUGUUAAGUAUCCUAGGGGUAUUAUUGAAGAUGUCCUUGUGAAAGUAGAUAAAUUCAUAUUCCCUGUUGAUUUUUUUGUGCUUGACAUGGAUGAGUGAUGGUCGUGAAACUAACUAUAAAUUCGACUAAGGCAAGUGCACCUAUCGAAUAGUAGUAUAGUUCUGGUGAGACCGAAAAUAUCGUAUCCACGAGGACUAAAAGUACUAGUAAUUACUAUCUUUUUAUUCAUUAGCCUAAGAAUUAAAGUGUGUUUUUAAACUAAAACUAUUUAUUUAAUUAACUAAGAUUACGACAAAGAUGAAGUUUGGAAAAUACUUUCGGAAAAAACGAUGGAGAAGACAAUACCCAAGGAAGAAUCCACCUAGACUUCACUUAUUACUUCUGAAUUAGACAAUUUAUUCACUUAACUUAAUCUGUAGAAAUCCCUAAUUUAUGUUAAUAUCUCUCUCGAGACUAAGAACAACUGACUUUAGGUUGAUUAAUUGUAAUCUCUUUCUAAUUAAAACCCCUAUUGUCGCAUGAACUCGAUCUAUGGAUUACCUUAUUAGAUUUGACUCUAAUCUAGCAGAUUUAUGUCGUUCGAUCUCUAUGAUUGCAUUCAACUCCGCUUAAUUAUGGAUGAUCUACUCUUAAAUAGGGACUUUUACUCCACUGAAUAAGCACAUCAAAACCUGAAUUAAUACCCUGGAAUAUUAAAACAAGAAUUUAGAACCCACAAUUAAGAAUAAGAAUAAGUCUUUAUCAUAUAAUUCAAAUAGUAAUAAGAUUCAUCAUAGGUUUCAUCUCCCUUAGGUAUUUAGGGAGUUUAGUUCAUAAUAAUAAUCGAAAACAUCUCAAAGUUUGGAAAACAACAAAACAUAAAGAAACCCAAAGAACUUCUAGGAAAUUGGAUGAAAAUCUUUAGUCUUGAUGUAGAUCCUAGCUUCGAGGUGAUUCCGAUGGCUGUUCUUGAGUAUUUUUUUCCUUCAACUCCUUGUCCCCCUUAAUCCUCUUCUAGGGUGUUUAUAUAGGCUUUAGAAUGCUUCCAAACCCUUAAAAGUGGCCUUUUUUUUGGGUAGAACUAGACUUGGGCUCGACAGGGACACGACCGUGUGCCAUGCCCGUGUGCAAGUGCUCAAGCUAUGUGUAAUUCUGAGUUGGUUUGUAGUCGACACGGCCAUGACACACGGGCGUGUGGUUUACCCAUGUGGAACAUUGUUUUAAGCCCAAUUUGUCCGUUUUUGGCCCGUUUCUAGCUUUUUUUUUGCUAUCCUAGCUCUCUUGAGUAUAAAAACAUGAAAUUAAAGGAUUAGGAGCAUCAAAUUCACUAAAACCAAGGAAAAAUCAUUGAUAAAUAUGCCAAGCAUGGGAUAAAAAUAUGUAUAAAUUACGGUUUAUCAAAUAUCCCCACACUUAAGCGUUUGCUUAUCCUCAAGAAAAAUCUUAAACUCACAAUCAAAAUAAAUUCUUCUCAACUUAUAAUUCUCGUCAAUAAUGUUUUAAAUAAUUCACAAGUAAUCAUACAUUAAAAAUUUAACUAAAAGAACAUUAAAGCUUCAAAUAGUCAAAGUUGAUCAUUUUAAUCAAAAAAUUAUAGGCAUCCCCCUUUAUUUAAGUAAUUAUCUUUAAUUCCAAAUUGACAUUGAUUGACAUCCUCACUUAAGGUUCACUCAAAUCACUUAAUGUGUUUAGGGUUCAAUGAUUAAGCGCUCACUAGUCAAAUAUGAAAAGUUAUUACCAUAGGCUUACAUGAAAAUGAAAUCUCCACCACUAUAAAUGAGAUGAUACAUGAAUCAAAAGGUCUUUGAAGGGUUGUAACGGGGCUUUAGGUUAAAUGUGUGGAUGAAGGCUGAAAAAGAUGGUUAGAAUCGAGAUUAAAUUGAUAAAUUACCUAACUGAAAAAAUAACUAACAUCAACUGAAUAAACAUGAGCUUCUUCUCAAAAUAUGGAAUUAAAUACUUAAGCUCAAAAAAAAAGAAUUACUAUUAAUAUGUAUGUAUAUAUGUAUGUAUGUAUUUUUUUAAGAAUAAGAACAAAUACAAGUAUAAUCUUGACAAAAGGGGACUUAAUAAAUUAGGAAAAAUUAUCAACGAAUCAAAAAGUAUGAUAUAGGGGUUAAAAUUUAGGGUAAAUUAAAAAAAAUGGUUUGUUAAGCUCAAAGGGGUUAAUUAUGAAAGCAAUCUUUUUAUGGGGUAAAUGAGUUAAAACCUAAGUGCCUUUAUCAUUUUCGUAUAUCAAAUCAAAGGUCUGGUCUCGACAUGUAUAAUCAAUGCAAGUUCUAGAAUAACAAAUCAAUGUUGACACACUCAUAACCAAUAAAAUCAGUGAGCAAGAAAGAUAUAUGCUUUAAAAAACUCAAAAUCUCACGAAAAUUAUGGAUAUUUGAUGUCAAUUCUGUAAAUUCAAAACUUCAAGAUAAUACCUCAAUUCAGGGAAACAACCUAGCAAUUUUAAUUCUAAAAAAUUUCAACUUAUCAUACUCGAUUCUUUAAUGUCUUAAAGUUUAAACAAUCAAUGCACAGUUACUUAUGAUUUAAUUCAAAACAUAUCAAUAAAAAUCAUAGAUCAAUCAAAAUUUACUCCAAUAAUGAUAUGAGAAAAUUAUUUGAGAACAAGAUAAAAAUUCAGGGAUUUUUUGAUAAUCACAUAGAUAACCUCCCCACACUUAAGAUGUACAUUGUCCUCAAUGUACAAAGAUAGUUAAUAACAAUAUAAGCAUAAUAUCAGAAGAGAGGGAGAGAAGCAAAACUACCCUGAAUAUUUGGAUGAGAUCCUUGGAGUAGCGAGAGCAAGAAUUGUAGAGAAAGCCAAAUAAAAUGCAUGAUUCUGAGGUACUAAUAAGAAAAUAAACACCACUGUGGAAGAGAAUUAAGGUAGAAUUCGAUAAUAAUCAUAAAGAUAAGCAGAGUUUAAAACAUAAAACAUAAGCAUUCAAAAAAAAGGAAAAUAAAAAUAAAAAUAAAAAUAAAAAUAAAAAUAAAAAUAAAAAUAAUAAAAAGGACUCAAAGGUCCUCAUCAUCAGAGUUGUGAGCCGGUGGCGCUGGAGAGAAGAUAUGGAGGUGGUGGCAAAUUUGUUGGAGAGUGGCAUCGAUGUUGUCAAAUCACUCGAAACACUGUUGCUCAAAACGAGUGAAUAGCUCAGAUAAAUCUGUCAAAGUGGCAGCAGGAGCUCGAUGACUCAGUGGUGGUGGUGGGGGUGGGUCCUCGUGAGGGGAGGGACAUCGUUAGUAAUGUCCUCUAGCUCAUCCUGGUCAGCAGAGUGGAUGAGUCUGUACUGUGGAGGGUCGACUCCACGGCGUCGCUCUAUCAUCCGCAUAUGGAUCAUGCUGGAAAUUCCUUGCGGAGACAUCUGGCCGACUAAUGUGAGUGUCGAUGACAUCUCUAGAGUGUCGAAGAGGCCAAAGCGUCGAGCAAGGCGAGUCACGUAAGGGCCAAGGCAAAUGGAGCCCCUCCUAUGGCGAUCCGUCUAGUGGCGAAAGGUGAGGGCGAUAAAAUAUGCUAAGUCAAAUACAUGGCCAGUCACCAUGCUCCAUAGGAAGUUGAUAAACCGUAAAUUAUACAUAUUUUUACCCCAUGUUUAAUGUAUUUUAUGGAUGAUUUCUCAUUAGAAUUGGUGAAUUCGAUGCUCCUAAUGCUUUAAUUUCAUGUUUUAUACUUAGAAAAGCAUAGGAGAGAGAAAAAAACGAGGAACGGGCCAAAAAUAGAGAAAAUGGGCCAAAUUACAAAAUCAACACGGCCUGGACCUCCUCACACGGGCAGACCACACAGCCGUGUCAAUUUGGCAGGCUCGAGCACGGCCUGAAGUAAUCGAACAUGGGUGUGUUACACGUGCGUGUCCCUGCCGAGCCCAAGUUGAGUACAAUUCGGAAAAGGCUAAUUUUGAGGGCUUCUAGGCAUUCCAAAGCCUAUAAAUACACCCUAGAGGAGGAAGAAAAGGGAGACAGAGAAGAGGGAGUAAUGAAUUACUCCAAGGAAGCCAAUUGAUCCAUCUCAGAAGCUGGAUUCAUUAUCAAGACUGAAGAUCUCUCCUCAAUUUUCCUUCAGGAGUUUUGGGUUUUCUAUAUGUUUUGUAUUCUUUAUUCUUCUGAGAUGUUUUCUUAUUUAGUUAUGAACUAAAACCCCUAAAUACCUAAGGGGAAUGAAACCUAAGACGAAUCUUGUUAUUAUUUUCUGAAUCGUAUGAUAAAUAUUUAACUUGUUCUUAAUUAUGUGUUCUUAAUUCUUGUUUUAAUAUUCCAGGAUACUGAUUCAAGACAUGCUCUUAUUCAGAGGAGGAAUAGACCCUGUCUAAGAGUAUAUUUGUCAUAAUUAAGCGGAGUUGAUUGCGCGCCUAGACAUAGGGUGACAAGAUUUUACCGGAUUAGGGUGAAACCUAAUAAGGGGAUCCAUAGGUCGAGUUAAUGCAACCCUAGAGUGUUAAUUAGAGAAAAGUCUCGGUUAUUCAAUCUAGGGAUUAGACAUUAUUAGUCUUGAAUAGGGAUAAAAACAUAACUUAGGGAUCUCUACGGAAUAAGUUGAAUGAAUAAAUCGUCCGAUUCGGAGCCAGAAUAACAAGUAAAGUCUAGGUGAAUUUUUCCUUAGGUAUUGUCUUAAGUCAAUCGAUUUUUCCCAAAAGCAAUUCUCCAAUUCUUUUCUCUGUGUGUUCUUAGUUUAGAUAAUUAGUUAAUUAAAACAAAACCUCCGUAUUCUUAGGCUAGAUAAUAAAAAGACAGUCAUUACUAGUACUUUUAGUUCCUUUGAGUUCGACAAUUUAGUCUUGCUAAAACUAUACUACUGUUCGAUAGGUACACUUGCCUACAUCGCGAUAAUAGUUAGUUCAAGAACGAGUAAUUAUAAAUAUUUAAAACAUAUCAUGAAACCUCGCAAUCAAGUUUUUAGCGCCGCUACCGAGGAUCGAACCCUGGUCGUUCUCCGUGUAUCUUAAGCUGCGCCUUAUAUAUCUUUGGUUUCUACGAACUGUACGAUCGAUUUCUUCAUCAAAAAGUAAUGCUCCUGCCACUUUUCAAUGCUAUAUGAUGGCAAUAUUCGACGAACUCGUGAAAGAUAUCAUGAAAGUAUUUAUGGAUGAUUUUUUGGUAUUCGGUAACUCUUUCCAUCUCUGCCUUAAAAAUUUAAAACGAGUUUUAAUAAGAUGUAAGGAAACAAACCUUGUGCUUUACUAGGAGAAAUGUCACUUCAUGGUUCAAGAAGGUAUUGUAUUAGGGCAUAAAAUUUCUGGUAAAGGGAUUGAGGUGGAUAAAUCUAAAAUAGAAACAAUCGAAAAAUUACCACCUCCUAGAUCGGUUAAGGCUAUUAGAAGCUUUUUAGGAUAUGCUGGUUUUUAUAGAAGAUUUAUUAAAGAUUUUUCUAAAAUAGCUAAGCCUUUGACUAAAUUGCUAGAAAAAUAUAUACCUUUUAACUUCGAUAAGAAAUGUUUAGAAGCAUUUAAUACUUUAAAGGAUAAAUUGAUUAAUGCUUCAAUCAUAAUUGCACCUGAUUGGAACUUACCAUUUGAACUAAUGUGUGAUGCGAGUGACUUUGCAGUAGGUGCAGUAUUGGGAUAGCGAAGAGACAAGCAUUUUCAACCUAUCUAUUACGCCAGCAAAACCUUAACGACUGCACAAGAAAACUAUACUACUACGAAAAAAGAGUUGCUAGCCUUGGUUUUUGCAUUUGAUAAAUUUUGAUCAUAUCUCAUAUUGUCUAAAGUUGUUGUUUACACUAACCAUUCCACCCUUCGCUACCUUUUAACUAAAACUGAUGCAAAACCUCGACUCAUUCAAUGGAUUCUCCUAUUACAGGAAUUUGACGUUGAAAUAAAUGAUUUGUUCCCUGAAGAACAAUUUUUUGCUAUAUCUAACUCUGAGGUACCUUGGUUUGCAGACAUUGCAAAUUUUUUAGCUGCUAACAUUAUCCCAAAAGGGUUAACACACCACUAAAAGAAGCGAUUCUUUAAUGAUGUGAAAAACUACUUUUGGGACGACCCAUUUCUGUUUCGCAGAUGUACAGAUCAAGUCAUCAGAAGAUGCGUUACAGGAUCAGAAACAUAAAAAAUAUUGGAACAUUGCCACUCAGGGCCAACCAGAUGACACUAUAGUGGAACUAAGACCGCACACAAAAUACUUGAAUCAGGUUUUUAUUGGCCUUCGUUAUUCAAAGACGCUAUCAAGUAUGUUACUUCAUGUGACAAAUGCCAAUGGACAAGUAACAUAUCUAAACGUGAUAAAAUGCCUCAAAACUAUAUGUUUUCAUGUGAAAUAUUUGACGUUUGAGGUAUCGAUUUUAUGGGCCCAUUCCCCAGUUCAUUGGGGAAUAAAUACAUCUUUGUAGCAGUUGACUACAUGUCCAAAUGGGUAGAAGCCCGAGCUCUACCUACUAAUGAUGCUAGAGUGGUAGUCUGUUUCCUAAAAAAACUCUUCUCGAGAUUCGGAACACCUAGAGCAAUUAUCAGUGACAGGGGCACUCAUUUUUGUAAUACCCAAUUUGAAAAAACCAUUAAGAAAUACGGAGUUCAUCAUAGAACAGCCACCCCAUACCAUCCUCAAACUAAUGGACAAGUUGAAGUAGCAAACCGAGAAAUCAAACGGAUCCUUGAAAAAACAGUAGAAUCAAACAGAAAAGACUGGGCAACGAAAGUAGACGAUGCCUUAUGGGCUUACAGAACUGCUUUUAAGACUCCCAUAGGGACAUCACCUUACAAACUUGUUUAUGGAAAAAUUUGUCAUCUACCAUUCGAACUAGAGCAUAAAGCUUUUUGGGCUAUUAAAUUUCUAAACCUUGAUCCCGAACUUGCAGGAAAAAAUAGGUUCAUGCAGCUGAAUGAGCUUGAUGAAUAGCGAGCCAACGUAUACUAAAAUUCACGCCUAUACAAGGAAGCAACAAAGUGGCGCCAUGAUGUUCGUUUAAAGCAACAAAAACAAUUUGAAGUUGGAGAUCUCAUCUUACUAUACAACUCAAGACUCAAAUUGUUUCCCGAGAAACUAAAAUCACGAUGGUCAAGACCCUUCGUAAUUUAAUCUGUUCUUCCAUAUGGCACGAUAAAGGUAAGUUACCCAUCAUACGGUACUUUCAAAGUAAAUGGACACCGUCUUAAAAUUUAUAAUGGUGAGAAUUCUAAAGUCGAUAGAGAGGAGCUACGACUCCACAAACAGCCCUGAAUAAACCAACAAGGUAACAAUCGAGCUUAGACUAUAAACCAGCACUUCUCGGGAGGCAACUCGAAUACUAAUGGUUUUAAAUUAUUUAAAUUUCAAGUUUUAAACAUUUAGGUCACUAACAAAGUAUUUGAAGCACAGGUUCCUAACUCCACACGGCCUAGCACACGGCCGUGCUUAAGGCCGUAUGACCAACACGGAUGGAAACACGGCCAUGCGAUAUGGCCGUGCAGAAACAGGGUAGAAGAUUUCCCCAAACACGGGUUACAAUAAAAACACCACGGCCAUGGUCGAAUCUGCCAAAUAAACAUGGGCGUGCGACACGCCCGUGUCUAGAACCCGUGGACAACACUAUCGAAAUACCACGGACGUGUGUGGAGCUACAAGACCUUGGAAGAAGCGAACCACAUCACACACGGUCGUGUAACAUGAUUAUAUAGCCACACGGCCUAUGCACAUGGGCGUGCCAGAAGGCCGUGUGACGACAUCUUAAUUCGCGACAAACACGGUCUAGCCACGGAGCACAUGGGCGUGUGCCCCAGCCGUGCCAUUUGAAGAAUUAGAAUAAUCCUUUUAUUUUCCUCCUAUUAAGUUUUUAAGAUUCAUUUCUUUCCCUUUUAAACACGUCUUAUGUUUGUGACUAUUAUCAGAUUAUUCCCUUCACUCUUUUUUUAUCAUUCAGAAUCAUGCUUGACAUCCAAAUUUAUUUCCAAUACUUGAUCUCACCAAUCCAAGAAUAACGUCCAUUCUUAAUACAGGAAGUUCCACUUCUCUCCCUCUCUUAUUCUUAUACUUUAAUAUAUAUCUUUGUACAUUGAGGGCAAUGUACAUCUUAAGUGUUGGGGGGAGGGAGGCAUUCAUGUCAUUAUCAGAAAAAUCCCUGAAUGGUUACCUUGUUCUCUUGAAAAGCUCUCAUAUCAUAUUUAGGAUAAAUUUUAAUUGAUUUAUGAUUUUGAUUGAUAUAUCUUGACUUAAAACAUAGGCCUUUAUGCAUUGAUUGUUUAAACUUUAAGACAUUAGAGAAUCAAGCAUGAUGAGUUGAUUUUUAAGAAUUUAAAAUUAUAGGUUGUUUCCCCAAGUCUAGGUAUUACUUUGAAUUGGAAUUCACGAGUCUAAACAUCAAAAAGCCAUAAUUUUUGUGAGAUUUUUGAGCCUUUUGAGCAUCUAUUAAUCCUUUCAUGCUCACUUUUUCAUUGCUUUGAGUGCGUCAAUAUUGAACUGUUAUUCUAGAACUUGCUUGAUUAUGCAUGUCGAGACCACACCAUUUGAUUUGAUAUGUCAAAAUGAUUAAGGCACUUAGGAUUAACCCACUCAUUCCAUGAAAAGCCUACCUUCACGAUUGACCCCUAGUAAACCCCCUUGAUCCUAGCAAGCUAUUUCCUGUAUUACCCUUAAUAUUAACCUUUUACCCAUUAUUGUUGAAAUCCCCUAAAUUAAUCCCUAUAUUUUUUGUCGAGAUUUGAGUUGAAUGGAUUACUUAGCUAUGUUUUGUUCUUAAUAUCUAGUCUAUAUUAUUUAACUUGUUCUUUAAAAAAAAAGGGGACUAUGUAUACAUAUCUGUAAUUCCAUAUUUUGAGAAGAAGCUCUAUUGUACGGAAGUGAAGAUUAACUCUUUUUCUAGUUAGGCAAUUUUUUUUCAAUUAAAUCUCGAUUCUAACCCUUUCAUUCAGCUUGUGACCAAACCCCCUAACCAAGCCUCACUACAACCCUCUAAAGACCUUUUGAUUGAUGUAUCAUCUUAAAUUAUAGUAGUGGAGAUUUGAUUUUCAUGCAAGCCUAUGGUAAUGACUUUUCAUUAUUGACUAUUGAGUGCUUCAUUUAUUGUCCUUAAACACCUCGAGUUAUUUGAGUGAAUCUUUAGUGAGGAUGUGAAACUCUGUGAUAUUCUGAAUCAAAGGUAAUUACUUAGAUGUGGAGAGACACCUAUGUUUGCAAGAUUAAAUACUCAACUUGGAAUAUUUGAAACUUUUAUGUUCUUUUAGUUGAAUUCUCAAUGUAUGAUUACUUAUGGAUUAAUGUGAGAUAUUAUCGAUAGAAAUUAUAAGUUGAGAAGAAUUUAUUUUGAAUAUGAGUUGAGAAUUUUGCUUGAGGACAAGCAAAUGCUUAAUGUGGGGAUAUUUGAUAAACCGUAAAUUAUACAUAUUUUUACCCCAUGUUUAAUGCAUUUUAUGGAUGAUUUCUCAUUAGAAUUGGUGGAUUCGAUGCUCCUAAUGCUUUAAUUUCAUGUUUUAUACUUAGGAGAGCAUAGGAGAGCGAAAGGAACGAGAAACGGGUCAAAAACUGAGAAAAUAGGCCAAAGUACAAAAUCAACACGGCCUGGACCUCCUCACACGGGUAGACCACAUGGCCGUGUCAAUUUGGCAGGCUCGAGCAUGGCCUGAAGUAAUCAAACACGGGCGUGUUACACGAGCGUGUCCCUGCCGAGCCCAAGUUGAGUCCAAUUCAGAAAAGGCUAAUUUUGAGGGCUUCUAGGCAUUCCAAAGCCUAUAAAUACACGCUAGAGGAGGAAGAAAAGGGAGACAGAGAAGAGGGAGUAAUGAAUUACUCUAAGAAUCCGAUUAAUCCAUCUCAGAAGCCGAUUCAUUAUCAAGACUGAAGAUCUCUCCUCAAUUUCCCUUCAGGAGUUUUGGGUUUUCUUUAUGUUUUGUAUUCUUUAUUCUUCUGAGAUGUUUUCUUAUUUAGUUAUGAACUAAAACCCCUAAAUACCUAAGGGGAAUGAAACCUAAGACGAAUCUUGUUAUUAUUUUCUGAAUCGUAUGAUAAAUAUUUAACUUGUUCUUAAUUAUGUGUUCUUAAUUCUUAUUUUGAUAUCCCAGGAUUUUGGGACUUAGUUUUUUAAAUUUUAAAAAUCUGACAGUGAGCUACACGGCCUGACGACACGGUCAUGUGGACCACACGGGAGUGCGACACAGCCGUGUGGACCACACGGCUUGAACACACGGGCUGUUUUAUGCCGUGUGAAAAAUGAAGCUAAAUUUUCAAUUUUUAAACAAGUCAGAGAGCUCCACGGGCGAGGCACACGGCCGUGUGUUCGGACACACGGGCAUGUGGGAGAGCAAAUGGGCAUGGGAGAAACGAACAAUAUAGCACAUUGCCAUGCGAUACGGCCGUGUGAUCCACACGGCCUAUACACAUGGGCGUGUCCUAGGCUGUCUGAAAAUUGGAGCUAAAUUUUCAAAUUUUAAACAAGUCAGAGAGCUCCACGGGUGAGGCACACGGACGUGUGGGAGACCAUACGGGCGUGGGAGAAGUGAACAACGUAGUACACGGUCGUUUGAUACAGCCGUGUGAACCACACGGCCUGAAAACUCGGGCGUGUCCAAGGCUGUGUGACGAGUGGUCCAUUAUUUUCCUCGAUGAACACGGGUUGGAAUUCGUGCCACACCGGUGUGUGACACGACUGUGUGGCCCAACACGAACCGUUACACAAACGUGUCGCCCAUAAAAUCCCCAACCCUAAAAUCUUAUUUUUGUCUUCUUCUUCUCAAACCCUCCCAAGCGCUAGCUGUAGUAACUUUUUGCCUCCUACUCCAGCCACCUUUCCCCAUCGUCCGACUAUCAGCCUCUUCCCCAUCGUUUCCCACCCCCAACCCGACUUCCACCACUCGGUUCUCCUUCCUCUACCUCUCCUUUCUUUCCCUUUCUUUGCUUUUUUCCCACCCCUCAUCCCUCUUCCCUCACCGCUCCUACUCCCAACACACAGCCCUACUCACCACCGCGCACCCCCACCGACCACCCGCUGAACCCACCCCCUUUUUCCCUUCUUCUCUUUCUUUCCCAUUUACCCGCAGCACCCAACACCCACCUCCUAUUUUUCCUCUCCAUUCUUCCCCCACAACCCAACCCUGCACACAACUCCCCUCUCCUCGCCGUCCGACCCUUCGCCCAUCGACACUACCGUCCGUCCAAAGUCCGACCACCAAACAUCACCGUCGGGUCUCCUUUGUUACUCAUUACUCUUUUAUUAUUACUAUUAUUUAUUUAUUUAAUUAAUUUAUAGUCCUUUAUUUAUUCCAUAAAUAUUAUUAUUAGUUAUUUUAUCGAUUAUUAGCAUUCUUGAUUUGUCAGCUAGUGAUAUUGGGUACUGUUUUAGACUAGUAUACUAAAUACUCAUUGGUUGAGUUCAUUAUUCACUAUUUCUAUUACAAUUUGUUCCUACCAUUAGGUUUAUUCCUUCAUUUAGGUAUUGUUGCUUAUUUCUAUUAUAAUGAGCUUAUUUAGGUUCCUUGUUAUUAUCAUUACCUAUUAUCAUGUCAUGAAUUGUUUUUGUUCCUUAUUAUUUUAUCAUGUUAUCCCAUGCCAAUAUCACAAUAUUAUUUUUGCAUGUUUGGAUUUUCAUACACAUUGUUUAGGCAUAACUUAUUAUUUAGGAUUACUUAGAUUUUGCUUUAUCAGCUUUUAUUUACAGAAUUGGUGAUUAUUUACUUAUUUACUAUUGAACUCUUUUUCUUUUUAUAGGCACACUAUGACGAACAGGUGACAAGUCCAAAGUCGCCCUUCCCGCUUCGAAAAAGCGAAAGGGUCCCAGCUCAACCUCCGCUUUGAGCGCCUCUACCGAGGCUCCCCACCCUUAUUUUUGAUUUUGGCAGGUUCUUAGGAAGAACUGUACCAGCUUCAUCGAGUAUGACCCCUAGGUGCGGGUCGUUGUAUUGAUUAGGCCGCGCUAGAGCAGGUCCGUUUGGCUGAUGAUGUACACGUGAUUAUUAUCACAACCCCAUGGGAUAGGUUCUUCACCAUCAUCGAGCCCACCUACUCAAAGCUUACUCUAGAGUUCGAUGCCACAUUUUCGGUCCAGCAGGUCAUGUAAGUCCAUGAUGAGCCCGACAACAUCACCUUUCACCUUGGUGGGUUGGUACGACACAUGAGUGUUCCAAAGUUCGGUGCUGCUUUGGGACUUUACACAAAGGAGUUCAUGAGCACCGAGGACUUUCUUAAACUUCAUCGACAUAUUCAUUACUCGCCUUCUCGAUGUUGGACUGAGCUCACGGGCAGCCUGACUAACUAUGAUGCAAGUCACUCGAAGGUGACGCAUCUCUCUUUGCCCUACGAUAUAUUCAUGCCCUCCUAGCUCACACUUUGACGGGACGGAGAGAGAGCACUAGAGUGGUUAGUACCUAUGAUGCCUAUUUCCUGUGGAGCAUGACUAUUGGACAUGUUUUUGAUUUGGCGUAUUUCAUCGCACUCGCUUGCCGCAAUCAGACUGAACGCCAUAAGAAGGGUUCUAUCUGUCUAGGCCCUUAAGUGACUCGCCUCGCUCGACACUUCGGUCUUCUCAAUAGACCGGAGUAGUUCUCGACAUUUACACUCGUUGGCGAGAUGUCCCCUCAUGGCAUCUCUAGCAUGAUCCACAUGAGGAUGAUCGAGCGGCGACGUAGAGUGGACCCCCUCAGUACAAACUAGUCUAGUCUGACAUUCAGCAUGACCCAAGGACUUCAAUGAUGAUGUUCCUCCCUAUCACGAGGACCCACCACAGCCUCCACCAUCGAGUCACCGAUAUGCUCCCUCCUAUAAAGAGUUCAUGAGUUUUCGUCAGUACUGUACUGAGCGGUUUGACAGUCUUGAUGUGACUUUGUAACGGAUCUGUCAGCAUUUACAUGUUACUCUUCUCCAGCAUCGACGAUGCACGUAUCUGAUAAUGAGGACCAUUGAGUCAAUUUAUCUUUAUUUUUAUUUUUAUUUUUAUGUUUAUUCUGUUUUCCUAUUUUGAACUUUAUUUUAAUUAUUAUGGUUUUUUCUUAAUGAGUAACCCUUUAACUCUUUCAACAUUGUGUGUAUUUUCUUAUUAGUUGCUCAGAAUUUUGCACUACCCCUACAUUUAUCUACAAUUCCGCUUUUCACUAUUCUGGGAAAUUCAUCCACCAUUCAGGAUAGCUUCAAUUAUCUCCCUAUCUUAUGAUAUUUUGUCUUUAUUAUGAUUUAUAUUUGUUUGUAAAUUGAGAACAAUGUACAUAUUAAGUGUGGGGAGGUUAUUUAUAUGAUUAUAUGAAAAUCCCUGAAUUAUGCCUUGUGUUCAAGUAAUUUUCUCAUAUUACUUUUAGAAUAUUACUUUUAGAAUGAACUCUUAUUAAUUUGUGAUUUUCAUUGAGGUGUUUUAGAUUAAAUUCAUAGAUAUUUGUGCAUUGAUUGUUUAAACUUUAAGACAUUAGAGAAUCAAGCAUGAGAAGUCUAUUUUCAAAAAUAAAAUUUUUAAGAUGUUUCCCUAAAUUGAGGUAUUACCUUGAAGUUUGAAAUUUGUAAGAUUUACAUUAAAAUCCAUAAUUUUUGUGAGAUUUUGAGCCUUUAGAGCAUACAUUUUUCGAGCUCACUUUAUUAUUGGUUAUGAGUGUGUUAAUAUUGAAUUGUUAUUCUAGAACUUGCUUCGAUUAUACAUGUCGAGACGACACCUUUGAUUUGAUAUACUGAGAUGAUAAAGGCACCUAGGUUUUAACCCACUUACCCCACAAAAAAAAAGCCUACCUUUACAAUUAACCCUUAGUGAACCCCUUUGAGCCUAACAAAUCUUAAUUUAUCCUUAAUAUUAACCCAUACAUCAUACUUUUUGAUUCACUAAGAAUUUUUCCUAUUUUAUUGACUCCCUUUUUGUCGAGAUUUGAUUUGCUUAAUUGCCUAACUAUGUUAUUUUAUUUUAGUUGUAUAAUUUUCUCUUAUUAUUCAUUCAGUCAAAAAAAAAGAAAAAAAAGAAUUUUUUUUAAUAUUUACAGACAUGUUGAUUAUUAUUAGUUCUUUGUCUUGAGCUUAAGUAGUUAAUUUCAUAUUCUGAGAAGAAUCUCAUGUUUAUCUUUAAUAAAUUUGAUUAAUGUAAUUAUUUAAGUAUUAGUUUAUUUUUCUAGUUAGGUAAUUUAUCAAUUCGAUCUCGAUUCUAACCUUCUUUUUCAGCCUUUAUCCACACCUUUAACCCACGCUCCGUUACAACCCAUUAAAGACUUUUGAUUUGUGUAUCAUAUCAUUUUAUAGUGGUGGAGAUUUGAUUUUCAUGCAAGUUUAUGGUAAUAACUUUUCAUGUUUGACUCUUGAGUGCUUAAUUUUUGAACCUUAAACACUUUGAGUGAUUUGAAUGAAUCUUUAGUGAGGAUGUCAAUUCUUGUUAAUUUUUGAAUUAAAGGUAAUUAUUUAGAUAAAGGGAAAUACCUAUAUUUUCAUGCUUUAAAAGUUAGACUUGGAUUGCUUGUGCAUUUAGUGCUCUUUUAGUUGAAUUAUCAAUGUAUGAUUAUUUUUGAAAUUAUGAUAAAACAUUAUUGAUGAGAAUUAUGAAUUGAGAAAGUUAAUUUGAAUUGUGAAUUGAGGAUUUUGCUUGAGAAAAAGCAAACGCUUAAGUGUGGGGAUAUUUGAUAAACCAUAAAAGUAACAUAUUUUAAUCUCAUACUUAGAAUAUUUUUGGAUGAUUUAUCAUAUAAUUUAGUGAAUUAGAUGCUCCUAAACCUUUAAUUUCAUGUUUUAUACUCAUGAGAGCAUAAGGGGAACAAAAGGAGCAGAAAACAGGUCAAAAACAGACAAAACGGGAUGAUUUAAAGAUCCACACGGCCAAGCCUACUUCCAUAGGGGCAGAGCACACGCCCGUGUGAGACACACGGGCUGGCCAUAUGCCCAUGUGUUAGCCUAUGUUAAUAUCGUUCCCUGUUUCCCAAAUACGCGAAAAAAGCCAAAUUUUAGGGUUUCUGAGCACUCUAAAGUCUAUAUAAACACACUAGAAGUAGACCUAAAGGAACACAUAGAGCAGAAAGUAGAAAUUACUCGAAGGAAGCCGUUGGAAUCGUCUCAGAAGUAGAUCCACCUCAAGAUUGAAAAUCUCUAUUCAAAUUUCUCUCGAAGUUUAUUUGGGUUUUUUAUGUCUUGUUGAUUUUCUAAAUUUGAGAUGUUUUCCUUUCACAUUAUGAACUAAACUCCCUAAAUACCUAGGGAGGAUGAAACCUAUGACGAAUCUUAUUAUUUAAUGUUCUAACUUUAAUGAUAAAUACUUGUUCUUGUUCUUAGUUAUGUGUUCUUAAUUCUUGAUCUAAUAUUUUCAGGAUAUUAAUUCAAGUUGAUGUGCUUAUUCAGAGGAGCAAAAGUCCCUGUUUAAGAGUAGAUCUACCAUAAUUAAGUGGAGUUGCAUGCAACCCUAAAAAUAGGGCGACAUAAAUCUACCGAAUUAGAGUCAAACCUAAUAAAGGAAUCCAUAGAUCGAGUUAAUGCGACAAUAAGGGCUUUAAUUAGAAAGAGAUUUCAAUUAAUCAACCUAGAUUAAGUUGUUUUUAGUCUCGAAAGAGAUAUUAACAUAAUUUAGGGAUUUCUACGAAUCAAGACAAGUGAAUAAAUCGUUUGAUUCAAAGUCAGAAUAAUAAGUGAAGUCUAGGAGGAUUCUUCAUUGGGUAUUGUCUUUAUUAUUUGUUUAUUCGAUUAUUUUCUUCACUCUCUGUUGUGUUUAUUAGUUAUCUAGUUUAGUUAAAUUUAGAUUAAAAUAAAAUCCCUUCUAUUCUAGUCUAAAUAAUAGAAAUAUAGUUAAUACUAGUACUUUUAGUCCUUGUGGAUACGAUAUUCUGGACUCACCAUAGCUAAACUACCAUUCCAUAGGUGUGCUUUCCUUUGUCGUGAUCGUAGUCUAGUUUAGUGAACCAUAAAAACGAUCAUCAACACCUUAUGAUGCGAGUCGCUCAAAGGUGACUUCUCUCCCUUCAGCUUUAGGUAUAUUCAUGCUCUCUUAGCUCACACAUUGACCGGUAGGAAAGAGAGCACCGGAGUCAUUGGUACCACUGAUGCAUACUUUCUGUGGAGCAUGGCCACAUCGCAUAUUUUUUAUCUAGCCUACUUCAUCGCUCUUGCCUUUCGCCAUCAGACAAAGCGUAGUAGGAAGGGUCCUAUCUGUUUAGGCCCUUAUGUGGCUUGACUCGCUUGGUACUUUGGUCUCCUUGACACACAGAAGUAGUCCUCUUCAUUUACAUUCAUUGGCCAGAUGUCCUCACAGGGAAUAUCGAGCAUGACCCAUAUGAGGAUGAUCUAGCGGCUUUGUGGAGUGCAUCCUCAUCAGUACUGAUUAUCUCAUUCUGAACCUUAGCAUGAGCUCGAAGACUUCCCUAAUGAUGUCCCCUUCCAUUAUGAGAAUCCACCUCAUCCUCUACCUUUGAGUCACCGUCCUAUUUCUUCUGCUACUACCUUAGAGAACCUCUCCGAGUGGUUCACUCGUUUCGAGCAACAUUGCUUUCAGAGGUUUGACAGUAUUGACGCCACAUUGUAGCAGAUCUAUCAACACCUCCAUAUAUCCUUGUCAGUACUGGCGACUCACAACACCGACGCUUUUGAUGAUGAGGAUCAUUGAGCUUAUUUGUUUUCUUUUUCUUUUUAUGUUUAUAUUUAUGUUUAUUGUUAUUUUUAGUUGUUUUUAUUGUUAUUUUCUUAGACUUAUUUCAUUUUUUAUCUUUUGAACUAUAUUUUUUUUAUGGUUGUUUCUGAUCGAGUUAGUAGCCUUUUAAUCUUCUUCACCAUUUGUGUUUAUUUUCUUAUUAGUUUGCUCAGAAUCAUGCACUACAUAUAUAUUUAUCUAUAAUUCUGCUUUUCACCAUUUUGGCAAUUUCGUCCAAUAUCCAGGGCAAUUUCAGUUUUCUCCCUCUCUUAUGAUAACUGUGAUUAUAUCUGUUUGUAUAUUGAGGACAAUGUACAACUUAAUUGUGGGGUGGUUAUUUAUAUAAUUAUUAGAAAAUCCCUGAAUUAUGUCUUGUAUUUAAGUAAUUUUCUCAUACUUCCAUUAGAAUGAAUUUUUAUCGAUUUUGGAUUUUCGUUGAUGUGUUUGGGAUGAAUUUUUACAUAUUUGUGCAUUGAUUGAUUUAAACUUUAAGAUAGUAGAGAAUCAAGCAUGAUAAGUUAUUUUUUAGAAAUUAAAAAACCAUGAUUUUUUGUAAGAUAUCGAGCCUUUAGGGCAUAUAUUUUUCUUGCUCAUUUUACUAUUGGUUUUGAGUAUGUCAAUUUAAUUUGUUAUUCUAGAACUUGCUUCAAUUAUACAUGUCGGGAACACACCUUAAAAAGUCUGAGAUGAUAAAGGCACUUAGGUUUUAACCUACUUAUCCCAUAAAAAGCCUACCUACAUAAUUAUCCUUUAGUGAACCCUGUUGAGCCUAACACACCGUUUCUUAAUUUACCCAUUACUUUUAACCCAUAACUCAUUUUUUUUUCGUUGAAACUUUUUCCCAUUUUAUUGACGCCCUUUUUGUCGGGAUUUGAUUUGGUUAGUUGUCUAACUAUACUCUUUUAUUUGAUUUGAUGAAUUAUUUCUUAGUGUUCAAAAAAACAAAAUCGAAAAAAGAAAAAUAAAUAUUAUUAUUUAGUUCUAUGUUGGUUGAACUUGAGCAGUUAAAUUCAUAUUUUGAGAAAAAAGUUCGUUUUAUUCUUGAAUAGUUCUCGAUUGAUGUAAUUGUUUUUAAUUCAACACUUUUUUAUUUUUUCUAGAUUAGUAAUUUAUUAAUUUGAUGUAACACCCCUUACCCGUACCCGAGGCCGGGAUAAGGUACGAGGCGUUACCGGACAAACAUGCAAACAUUAAACUAAAAUACGGGCCAUAAAAUUUCAUUCAUAUUUCAAAAUGUUCAUUUACUUACACAUAGUCCCUUAUUUGAGUCUACGGAGCCCCAAACAUACUUUAGAAAGGGUUCGGGACUAAAUCGAGAACUUACGAAAAUCUUGAAAAUUUCAUACUUUAAGGCUCCACACACCCGUGUCCCAAAGUCGUAUUCCAUACAUGGCUGAGACACAUGGUCGUGUCUGUCUCUGCCUGUGUGGAAUAUACCUAGGCUAUUUUCCAAGCUUUGGUCAACCUUAAUCUCUUACACACUUAUACAAAAUCAAAAGCAUAUAACAUGGUAUUCAUUUAAUGAUUAAACAUUCUCAAUAAAAUCACAAACAUAGCAUUUGUAUGUCAUCAUACAUGUGUCUCUCAUACUCAUUUUACCUUGUCUAUUAUAGUACCACUUAUACAUUUAUACCAAGAUUAUCAUCUUACCAAGUAUCUUCAGCUUAAUCAUCAAGCAUUCAUAUUUAAAGCUAGAUCAUAUCUUUACAAAAUACCACAAUUUUGACGCGCAGAAUAACAUGUUUUCCUGAAUCAUUUCAAUUCAAAUCCAUACCCAACAAGCAUUACAUUGAGACUAGUCAUAUAUAUAUAUACAUGUUAUGAUACAUAUCAUUCUCUUUCUGUUUUCUUAUAAACACAUAUCAUUUAUUUCAUUAUAUCAAUAUUUCAUAUACCAUAGUUUUCAUGUAUUCCACAUAUAUUUAUUUUCCUCCUCGUCCUCUCCAUUCCACAUCCUUAAUGUAUAUAGCAUUCUUGUAAGUACGAUUUCACAAUUUACUAAUAAAUGCUCACAUCAAACUGUCCACACGAGUCAUAGUCACUUACUUAUUUAUAAUUCGAGCUACAGAGCUCCAAAUUAAGAUCCGUAAAUUUCCCCUGAAACUAGACUCACAUAUAUUUCAACAAUAAAAUUUUCAUAAUUCUUGGUUUAUCCAAUUAGUACAGUUUAUUCAUUAAAAUUUCCCAUGUUUCACUUUCUGACAGUUCUGACCUCUCUUCACUAAAAAAUAAUUAUCUCACAGUACAGAACUCGGAUAAUGUUCUUAUUGUUUAUCUUGAAAAUAGACUCAUUAGGAAUUUUAAAAAUAUAAUUUUGAGCUUCUAAUUAAUUUUCUCCAAAUUUUUGUGAUUUUCCAAAGUCAGAACAGGGGAUCAAGUAAUCAUUCUGAACCAGUCUCACAAAAACAUAAAUAUCUUAAAAUAUAGAACUCCUUUGCUUUCUUUGUUUCUUUUAUAUGAAAAUAGACUUAUUAAGGUUUAAUUUUAUAUCUCAUUCAGUUUCUGAUUCAAUUUCUACUAUUUUUGGUGAUUUUUCAAAAUCACAUCACUGCUACUGUCCAAAACAGUUUUAUUGUUAAUUCACUCUUUCACACAAAUCAUUUUAACAUACAUAACACAAAUCAUUUUCACCACAUUUCAUACAUCACAAGUAUAGGCCCAUGAUCACAAGAUCACCAUAAAAUCAUCCUUAUGUAUAACUUACUUGUUUAUAAUCUUACCACAUCCUGGUCACUUAAUGAACAUAUCAUUCACAUAACCAAGUUCCUGCACUUAUUCAUCACAACACUCACAAAGCAAUACAUAGAAAGUCUCCCACUUCGGAAUAUAAUUCGGAUACAUGGAAAGUUUGCACAUAAGUGCCACAUAUGUAGCCAAACUAUCUGGUAUGCAUAGUAGUCUGCACUUAGUAUUACACAUGCGACCAAUUAUUCGGUAUACGUAGUAGCCUGCACUUAGUACUACACACGUGACCUAACUAUCUGAUACACGUAGUAGCCUGCAUUUAGUACAACACACGUGAUCGAAGUUAUGGGGUACGCAUAGUAGCCUGCACUUAGUACUACACAUGCGACCUAGCUACAUAUAUCCCGUAGCUCUCUUGUCUACAUGGUGUACACAUAGUAUCACCCAUACGACCUAGCUACAUCAUAAUGUCUUGUAGCUCUCUUGUACACAUGAUGUGCACUUAGCACCAUACAUUUGACCUAGCUACAUACUCUCUGUAUCAUCCAAUCUUUCUGAAGGUUCAACCGAGAUUUCUCUCUUUUCCAACAAUUUCACCAAUCAAGUAAUUAUCCACAAACAUAUUUCCAAUAUUAUUAUAAAAUAUCAUAAUACAAGUAAUAUUGAUUUAUUACUUACAUAUAAACUUACAUCUUAUUUAAUAUCAAGGCAAUAACAUUAAAUUACACAUUGCCUUAUUAAAAAUCAUAUGAACUUACAAUUCCCCAUAAUAUCCAUAAUGUAACGCCCCAAUUUUCAGGAAUUCUGAUAUUGUUGGCAUAGGUUUAAUUAUGUUAGUGGGCCUCUAGAAGGCCCAAGCUUAAGAUAGAACCCGGCAAUUUUAGUUAAUUUUUGUUCCAUAAGAAAAAGGGGGUGAAAUUAUGAAAUAGAACCUAUGUGAAAAUGUUUGAAAAUGCUAUAGGCUAAAUUGAAGUGGCCAAAUAAAUAGGACUGCAAAAUAGGAGGAUUUGCAUGACAAACCUCCCAUUUUACAUGAAGUGGCCAGCCAUCAUGUUGUUGUAGACAAAAUGUGCACUUGAUAUCCAUAAUUUAUGGUACAAAUUGAUACAAAUUGAUAAUGGGUUAGGUAAAUGUUCCAUGAUAAUGGGUUAGGUAAAUGUUUCAUGAUAAUGGGUUAGGUAAAUGUUCCAUGAUGGGAAUUUCAUGUCUUUUGUAUUAAAGAAUUAAAUGGAUGAAAUAUGUAAUUUUAUUAAAAGAAAAAGGGGUGAAAAUAACAAAGUUUUGUCCAUCUUUGUUCAUCAUAGCUGAAAGUUAGAGAAGAGAAAGGAGAGGAGAAAGCUCUUGAGUAUUCGGUCACUAGGAGGGGGAAAUUGAAGGUAAGUUCUUGGUACCUUGCUUCUAUUUUGAGGUUCAUGAGUUCUUCUUGAUUCUACCUUAACUCUUGAAGCAUAUUUUGAUUUUUAGUUGUGUUGUGAGCAUUUAGUCAUGAAUUAAAAUGAAGGAAAUGGUUGUUGUUUCAUGUUCUUUUGAUGAAAAAUGGAAGAUAGGUGAAGUUGAGCCAAACAAAUGAGCAUGCAUGUGCCUUAGAUGCUAAGGGGAAAAAUCGGCUAACAUGUUGUGCUUUAAAAUGAUGAAAUGGAGAUUAUACUUAAGUAAAAUCAUAGAUAUGUGAUGAUUGAUUGGUGAUAUACAUGUUUAAAUAACAAGCAUGCAAGUUAGGUGUGAAAGAGUGAUUUGGUAAUAAAUCUACUUGGGACAGCAGCAGUAACGUGACUUUGGAAAAUCACCAUAAAUUGUGGGAGAUGAGUUAGAAGCUGCAUAAAUUAUGUAAUUAAAGCUUAAUGAGUCUAGUUUCAAAUGGAAUAAACGAAAACAUAUUUUGAAUUCUGUACAAUGAGAAAUUUUAUUCGUAAUGAAGAGUGGUCAGAUUAGUCAAACAGUGAAACAUGGGAAACUUUGAGAAAAAUCUGGUAUUGAUUGGCUAAACCAAAAAUUCUGAAAAUUUUAUGGAUAGAAUAUAUAUGAGUCUAUUUUCAAGGAAAAUUAACGGAACUUGAUUUGGAGUUUUUUAGCUCCAGUUAUAAAUGAUUUAGUGACUGUUGCUCAGGAAGAUAGCUUGCAGUGAAAUUAUGAUUAUGUGGUAAACAUUGACAAAAAUUUGUUAAUGAGUUGCUUAUUGUUUUCUUAUAAGCUUACUACGAUCUGUAGGUGUGGUUGGCCGAAUAUUGUAAGGGGUUAAUACGUAGUUUGUAUUUGAAUAGUUAGAUUAACGUAUUAGUAAUCCAAUUGUAGGCGGUUCGUGUGUGGAUCUCGUCAGCAUAUCGUCGCAAACAGGUGUGUAACGAACACCCUCUUUCUUAGUCUGGAUCGGCAAAAGUCGAAAAGCCGAAAUGCUGAAAACUGGUAUUUUGUAGAUUUACGAGUGUGCGAAUGCUCGUGAGGUAAAUCGAUUAAUGGUUUUGGUAAGCUGUAAAAUUUGGACUGCAAAGUGCAUGAUUUCUGUGCCCUCGAUAUUUUUGGGCUUAAUGGGCCAAAAUUGGAAUGAUGGGCCAAUGGGCCCAAUUCGAUAAGAACCCUCGGUACGUGAUUCUGUUAGUACGUGAAAAGUAGGAAUAUGCAUGAAAAACCCUAAAAAUAGCUAAAUUACUAUAUUACCCCUAUGUAUGGAAAUUACUAUUAUACCCCUAGGUGCAAAAUUACCGAAAUACCCCUAGGGUUAAAUUGACCUAAAUGCAUGUUUGACUGUUGUUAUUUACUGCAUGCCAUGUUGUUAUUAUCUGAUGCAUGGGAUUGGGAUAUUGACAGAGGAAGUACUGAAAGUGGCUUGUCCACGUACUGGAGGCUUUGCCUCAAUUUACUGUUAACUGAGCAGCAAGGCUGCAACUGUGGAGUGUUGGGCUGGGUGGGUUGAGCUAUUCCCCACAUGGAGUGUAUGGCUGGUACGGGUGGGCUUGCAUAUGUUUAUUGAUGUUGCAUGUAUUUUGAAAUGGGCUUAUGGGCCAUACUGUUAUCUGAAUAAGAGGCUAAGGCCCAGUUUAUUGUAAUCUGAAAAGGGCUCUGGUCCAGUACCACUGUUACCUGAAUGGGCUUAGGCCCAAUAGGCUUGAGCUGACAUGGGCUUUGAAUGGGUUUUCCUUACACACUGAGUUUCCCCAAACUCACCCCUUUUAUUUUCAUCCACGCAGGAAAUCCCCAACCAUAGUGGGCUUGGAGCUGUGAGGGAAUUCAGAGUGGCCACACGUUCUGAAAGUUUGAUUUUCUUCUGGUGAACUGGAUAUCCUUUUAUUUACGUUUGAAGUUUUGGGUUUUUAAAUGUAAUAAGGCGCUUAAUUAUUUUGAUGGUUUUAAUAUGUAUUAUUAAGAUAGGUAUUACUUAUUUUAACUGUUGAAAUUGGAUAGCUUUAGGGCGCGUUUUCAAAAACAACAGUUGAUUUCAAAAUAACACAACAACAAGCAAAGCUUCCGCAAUGAAAGUAUUUUCCAAAAUUAAUCACUUUUCCUAAAAAUAACUUAAUCAAAUCUGUUUCCUAGAAAUAUCCAUGACGUUAAGGUGUGGCAAUGGCAGUAUGCAUGUCUAGGAUUGGAUCCGAAGGGAGCUUGGUACUUAAGCAGUCCGAUGGACUCACCACCUCUUUUUCGGUUUCCUACCUGGUGCACAGCUUCCAUUCACUUUAACCUAUAAUGAAAUUAUCUUUUAAAACACUAAGUAAGUUUUUCUGGAUCAACAACAUAAAAUGUUUUUAACGCUUCGAUGUGGCAUGUCGAAUCCGGUCAUAACGUUUGGGCCGGGUUUGGGGUGCUACGCAUAAUCAUAGAAAUCAAAUUUAUGUAUGAUAACUCAAUGCACUUCAUGUACCAUAGAUAUAUUUUUAAAUCAAUUCAUAAACUUGGCACCAUAAUCAUUUAAUUUAACAUAAUUCAAUUAAUUCACUAAAUUUAACUUUCAACUAUAAAUUAUAGCAUUAUUGCUGUAUUAUUAUCAUACCAACUUACAUACUUUCAACACCUUGGAAAUCAUAGUAAAUAUAUCAAUUUUACAUUGAAACAUGCAUAAAUUAAUGCUUAUUAUACAUAUGAACUUACCUCGAUACUAAAACGGCCAUUUAACCAACUUUCCCAAUUUUUGAUUUUUCUCUCAUUCUAGGUUCAAAUAUCAUUUUCCGGGAUCUAAAACAUCAUAUUUUACUUAUUUAAUUAAUUUAAUAUUCAAAACAGUCCUUAAAUCAAACUUUGACAAAUUUACAAUUUUGCCCCUAAACUUUUGCUUAUUUACACUUUUGCCUCUAGGCUCGGGAAUUAAACUUCAUCCCUUAUUCUUAUGUUUUAUGACAUGCUGAUAACUUUUCUCUUCUAUGGAAACAUCAAAUUCUCACUCUAACAUAUACUUAUGACUAUUAGGUAUUUUUACUGAUUAAGCCCUUUUACUCGUUUUCACUCAAAACCGAGUAGCACAAGUUGUCUAACAUAAUUUUAAACCUUUUAUUCUAUCAUAAAACAUCAAAAUAAACACAUUUCACCUAUGGGUAUUUUUCCAAAUAUGAACCCUAGCUUAAAUUAUUGCUAGAAUAAGCUUAAUCAAAUUACCGGGAUUCCAAAAACGUAAAAAACUUGAAAAACGGGAUUAGAACGGACUUACUAUUGAGCUUGGAAAGCUUGAAAACCCUAGCCAUGGCUUCCCCCAUGCUAAUUUCAGCCUCCAUGGAAAAGAUGAGUCAAUUUUGGCUUUAUUUUCCCUUUUUAUUUCUUUUAAUUACCAAAUCACCAAAAUGCCCUUCCUUACUAAACUUUAAAAAAUUUCAUCCAUAUCCAAUUUUUUUCCAUCACUUAGAAAUUGGUCAAAUUGCUAUUUAAGACCUCCUAAUUAAUAUUUCAAAGCAAUUUCUUACUAGAAGCUUCUAGAAUGCAAGUUUUGCAACUUAUUCAAUUUAGUCCCUAACUUCAAAUUGAGCACUUUAUGCAUAGAAUUUCUUCACGAAAUUUUCACACAAUCAUGAAAUCAUAUCAUAGACCUCAAAAUAAUCAUAAAAUAAUUAUUUCUAUUUUGAAUUUUGUGGUCCUGAAACCUUUGUUCCAACUAGACCCAAUUUUGGGCUAUUACAUUCGAUCUCAAUUAUAACCAACUUUUUUGGCCUUUAUCCACACCCUUAACCUGAGUCCCAUUACAACCUUUUAAAGACCUUUUUAUUUGUGUAUCUUAUCAUUUUAUAGUGGUGGAGAUUUGAUUGUCAUGCAAGCCUAUGGUAAUGACUUUUCCUGUUUGACUGUUGAGUGCUUAUUCUUGAACCUUAAAAAUUUUAAGUGAUUUGAGUAAAUCUUUAGUGAGGAUGUCAAUUUUUUUCAAUUUUUAAUUAAAGGUAAUUACUGAUAUAAGGGGAGACACCUAUGUUUUCGUGUUUAAAAAUGUUAGCUUGGAUUGUUUGAGACUUUAGUAGUGCUCUUUUAGUUGAAUUGCCAAUGCAUGAUAAUUUGUGAAUUAUUUUGAGGCAUUAUUGAUGGGAAUUACAAGUUGGGAAAGAUUAAUUUUAAUGUGAGUUGAGGAUUUUUCUUGAGGACAAGUAAAUGCUUCAGUGUGGGGAUAUUUGAUAAGCUAUAAAAGUAACAUAUUUUAAUCUUAUUCUUAAUGUGUUUUUGGAUGAUUAAUUUUGCAAAUUAGUGAAUUUGAUACUCCUAAUCCUUUAAAUUCAUGAUUCUAUACUUAGGAGAGAAUCUGGGAGCGAAAGGAGCAAAAAAGAGCCAAAAUUGAACAAAUAGAGCUAUUUUCAGGAUCCACACGGGCUGGCCACACGCCCAUGUGUCAAACUGUGUCGAUUUCGCACCCUGCUUCCCAAAUACGCGGAAAAACUCAAUUUUUAGGUUUUCUGAGCAUUCUAAAGUCUAUAAAUACCAAUUAAAAGAAAACCUAGGAAGGCAAUUAGAUAAGAUCAAAGAAAACACUCAAAGAACGCCAUCAGAAUCAACUCUGAAGCGGAUCUCCAUCAAGAUCGAAAACCUUCUUUUAAUUUCUUUCGAAGUUUAUUGAGUUUCUUUAUAUCUUAUGGUUAUCCUAACUUUGAGAUGUUUCUAUUCAAGAUUAUACCUAGUUCAAGUUAUAAUUUGGUUUGCAUCCUUACUUGCUCAAGAGGAGACUUUAUUACAAAUAAACAAGAUAGAUAAUACUUGGGGGCCCGAAUUAGGAUAAAAGGAAUAGAUACCUAUUGGUGAGAACAAUUUGCCUAGAAAACAACCCCGCAUACUAUAAAUUAACACAUUUAUGGUCUUCAAUGAAGUUCCACGUCUAAAAUGUCCCAUUUAUUAAAUCAUGUAGCAAUUAAUGGCAUGCGUUUUAAAACUGUAUUUGUGUAACUACCUAUCAAUACGAUAUUUUGGUGUCAAUAAAGCAUGUGAUAUUUGAAAUAAUUAUUGACUUAUAUCCACUUGUAUUAUAGCAUUAAAUGCAUGUCUUAGUGUCAGUAUUUUUUUGGAUCAAACGAUUACACAGUCACUCUUACCAAUGAUUCUGCAUGCAUAAAAACGUUUACGAUGUACAUGUACGACACCUAUACCUACAUGAACUAAUUAUAAUAGACUGAAGCAGUUUCAAUUUAUAAAGAUUUAUCCUUACUAAAACAAAUAAAAAUUUCCUUAAAUAGACGUAUCAUUUAUUAAAAAAAAAACUACAAGAUCCAUAUGCAUGACCUCUUUUGUUUCAUAAUCGUCCAGUAUGUAAUAUGUCCAAUAUUUAGCUUUAAAUUCAUUAAAAGCUUUAAUUUUUUACAUCACCAAUAGUGUUCCUACAAUUUUAGGAAUCUUUUAUUUAAAGAGAGACUAAGAGAGAAGACAUAUAGAAGAACAUUAGGAGGAUUCUUCUCAAAAUUGCCAAGACAGUCACUUACACUUUCAUAAUACUAACUUACAAUUAACUUUAAAAAAAAGAAAAAUAAAAAUUCUGAAGUCUUAUAAACAAGCAAGUCGUGUGUUAAAACGCUUAUGCAAUUAACCACAACUUCACAUUUACUAAACCAAUUGGCUUGGUCUUCUUUUUUUCAUGGAAGAACCUGCAAAAGAGAGGGAUGAAACCAUCAUACACCCCCUCUCCCCAAAAAAAUGACAUAGAUAUAAUUACUAACCUUGAACGACAUUGUUGGGAGGGACAGUUACGACCUUAAACAUGGAUAGUAAAAUGAACAUGAAAAAUACCAAGUAUAUAUAAUCAUCGAUUUCUAAACAAUAUGGUAUGUUGGUGUUAUGAAUUUCGUCUAUUUCAAUAUAUAUAUUUUGUUAGAGAGAGAGUGAGGGAGGGAGAGAGAGAGCAUUAGGAGGAAUUUUCUCAAAAUUGCCCAGAGAGUCACUUACACUUUCAUAAUAUCGACUUACAAUUAACUUAAAAAGAAAAACAAGUAACAAUUUUAGAGUUUUAUAAACAAACAGGACAUGUCUUAAAACACUUACGUUAUUAACCACUACUUCACAUUUACUAAACCAAUGGACUUGGUCUUCUUCAUGGAGGAACUUGCAAAAAAUGAUGCAGCCUAUCCUAGAUGAUAGUGAUGAAACCAUCAUGCAACCCCUUCCCCUCCAGAAAAACAAAAACAAAAAUAAAAACAUUUCAAUCAACCUUAUAUCAUGGAUAAAAUUAUUUAGUUUAAACAACAUUAUUGAGAAGGGCAACUAUAAACUCAAAUAUAAAUAGUAAAAUGAAUAUGAAAAAUACCAAAUAUAUAUAAUUACCGAUAUUUAAAUAAUUUGAUAGGUUGGUAUUAUGAAUUUAGUGUAUUUCAGAAUCCCGUUUUAAAUAUAUAUUUUCUUAGAGAGAGAGGACAAGUGGAAGAGCAUUAGAGAGAUUAUAUUCUAAAAAGUCACUUACACUUUCAUAAUACUGACUUAAAAUUAAAAGAUAAGUAACAAUUUUAGAUUCUUAUAAACAAGUUAGACAUGUGUUAUAAUGCAUAUGAACUUAACCACUACUUCGCCCCUACUGUUUUAACAAUGAACACAAAUCCUAAAUAUUGAUGUCUGCUUACUGCAAUUGAAAGCUAUUCGAAAGUCGAUAACUUUGCAGCUACUUGAACCACUAAUCAGUCAAAAUGCCUACAUAUAUUACCAGAAGUAACUGCAGUUGAAGGAAUCUUUCAUCUGAAACAGUCAAGCUACACUUAUCGAAAUGUAAAACAUUAAUCCAACAAAACAAACACUGACUAGUAUUUUCUUUUUCCUACUUAAGAAGCUUAAAUAUUAGUAAAGCCACAGUCUUCCAUGACUAAACAUAUAAAUCAAGAGAAUCUACUGGAUGUUCCACAUCCAAACUUUCUGUAGAUAAAUUGAACAAUUUUCUUGUUUUGCCUCGACUCUAAAAUCUCUUAUAACCCUAAGCAAUGUCGUAGAUUGUGACCAUUAAUAUCUAAUGGGUUUUAUUCCCACUAACCUUGUUAAUGCUUUACAACACCAAUGAAUGCUAUGCAAUCUUAAAAUUGAGGAGCUCCACAAGUGCAAUCAUGAAAGCAAUAACAAUAUUUUUAUAGCAAUUUCUCAAAGAUUUUCAUCAACUUUCAGUUUAGUAUCUCUGCAAAUCUUUGAUGAUUCUCCAAUUAUACAGACUAGACUUCAAUAAAGCAUUCAUUAUUAUGAUACUCUUGAUUCAGGUUCAUUAAACAAAGGGUUUGAAGAACAAACACCUGCUAGCGAUUUUGCACCGAAAUAUAUAUGCUAAGAGAGAUGUUAGUCAGAGUCUUAAAUUAUUUACGGACCCAUGGUUUCAAUAAACCUUUCCAUACCUUCAAAGAAGUUUUCAAUGGUAAGGACUUGCAAUCGAACUAAAUAUGUAAAUCUAAUGCUUCUAAUCUUAAUGUCAUGACCUAAGGACAAAAUUUAGAGACAGAAAGAACAGAAUUUACACCAAGUAGAACCAGUUGGCUAUAUCUAAAUUUGAAUCAGGAUCGGAUCUAACUCAGAUGAACAGUACUAAGUAACCUUAGAAUGAAACUGUAGAAGAAAGGAUUGAAAUGAUCAGCUUUCGGAAAAUAAAUUAAGCAGAUAAUUCAACUUCAUAUUAUAAAAUACUUGAGUCUAAGACAACAUGUAUAAAAGUAAUUAAACAGCUGUUUGUAGUAUUGCAUUUGUACCUGAAGAUAACUCUCUAAGACUGUGACACACACACAAACAACAACAACAACAACAUUGAUAAACUAAAACAUAGAUAAUCCUUAAAGUCCAACAACAACAAGAAUCGGCAAUCUUCCAAGGCUUUUUGGUUUCAUGGUUUAAAUUCCCAUAGAUCACCACUCCAAACAGACUCCUGGCUGUGGUCUCUCAUGGGUGUCCAAAAAUCACCAUUCAUGGUCUCCCAACAGGAAUACCAUCCAGAGUCAUACCUAACUUUGGACCACGGCCAAUUCUCGUCAAACCUAAAUGUAAUUGGCCAGUCAUCCAAGGUCAACUCCUCCGCAUCAUCUCCAUUAUUCUCCACCACAGCCACGUCGUUGGCAGGCGGCUGUGGCUCCUGCUCCUGCUUCUGUUUCUGCUGCUGCUCCUGCUCCUCCACCAGCUCCAUAGGUUUGUUAUCAUCAUUCUUCUCCUCUUCCCUAAUCUCAAUAAUCUCAACCUCGUACAACGUUUCUUCAUCUUCCUGCUCCAUUGUUUUCAUUUCCAUCGACCUUGUUACAAUCGUUCGGUUAUUGGGAAUGGUUGAUAGAGCUUUGGUAGCCCUAACCCCGUUUGUUCUUCCCUUUUCAGUCAUGCUCGCACUCUUUGAUGAGUUCCCGCUCUCUUCUACUCUUUCUUUGCAGCUCUUUCUUCCUCCUCCUCCAUACAUGGAGUUAAUCUUAGCUUUCUUCAUUGAAAAAGAGAGGGGAAAUGAAAGGCUUUCUCAGCAAAGGAACACGGAACCCAGAGAGAGAGAGAGAGAGAACGAGUGUUUGGCGAGAAUGGAAGUACAAAUGUCGGUGAAUAUAUAUAGGACCUUGUAAGGGUUUGUCCAGCGAGAAAAUUUUUUUUCCAGGGUUUCCAUUUUCUCGAGAAAAUCAUCCUACUCAUACACUCAUAAUAAUCUUACCAUGUCAAGAAACUUGCCAAAAAGUUGAUAUUUCCUGAGAUAAUCAAUUAUGAAAAGGGGGAGCGUUUCUAAUUCUUAAAUUUACGUGGCCAUGCAGGAAGGCAACGUGGAAAUCUUAGCCAAUGCAAAUUAGGGGACCCAUCAACCGAUAAUUUUGUGAGUGCGGGUUUUGUAAAAUUUUUCUAUUCGAUUUAUAAAAAAUUUCUUUCCAAGGGAAAAUUUGGAAGUUUGUUUUGUUUCUUAAAAUCUUUUCUGGCAUUUCUUUGUAUUGACAAAUCUCAUUUAAUGAUUUUUAGUAGGAUUUUAAUGAUAGAGAUACCGUCAUAACGUAACGACAUGAGGAUGUUAUUUUUUCUUUAUCACUUUCUUAACUUUAUGCUUUUUCCCUCCUACAGCAGUUUAUUCAUUUCAUACCAAACCAAACCCUAAAAGAUUCCACCACUUUGAAUUGAGAGCCAAAAUGAGUUAAUAUAAGGAUGUAUGGUUUGGCCAAAUUAUUUGAUUUAUCAUUUUAAAUUGAAAUAUAAAAAAUGACAUAUGAUCCUUAAACAAUCAACGGUAUUUAAAAAAAAAAAAAGCAACCGUUUCUUAAUCCAGUACGAUAAAAUAUCCAACUCUGGAUGAGUUAGAAAUUUAUGACAAGUUACCAUAUUUGACAUUUUGAUACAUUCAAGUUUUUCAUUCAUCUCCUCUUUCACUUCCAAAGUACCAUGAUGAAAAUUGCUCUCCAUAAAUGGUAUCAAACCUUUCUAUACACAUAGAUUUGAAUUUUUAUUAAAGUGGGUAAAUAAAGUCCAAGAAAAUCCAAAUUAUGCAAAACAAAUCUUUACAACAUUAAAAUAGAGAUUUCUAACCAUAAAUCAUUGUAGGGCGCAGCGAGAAAAAAAUUUUAGGGAGUGAAAAUUAAAUUGUACGUCUAUAUUUUUUAAAUUCUUAAAGGAUUAAAUUAAAUUUUUAUCAUUUUUAGGGGGACCAAAGUAUAAUUUUACUUUUACUAAUUUAAAAUUUUUAAAAUUUUUAAAAUUUUAAAGGGCCAAAAUGAAAAAAGUUCCAUUUUAGGGAGGGCCGGGGGCUCUGCCAGGCCCCCUAAAUCCUCCUCUAAGUCUUUGGUUACUAGAUAUAACUAGUUGCAAUUGUGUGAAUUCCGAUAAAACUUCAAUACUUACAACAUUGAGAUUCUCAUUGUUAGAAAAAAUUAACAUAAUGUUUAAGAAAAUCUUGCAAGAUGGAAUGUAUUUUUUUAGUUCACCCACUUCCCAUUUCUUCUCUUGCAUUCUUCUACAUACAACGGCUUCAUUACGUACAAUCUUUUGCAUAGUUGUUGCAAAUGACUUAGUUUCUAUUCACGCGUCUAGUAAUUAAUGGGAUUCUAGUACAUUCAUGCAUCUAGAUUUUCUAAAUUCAUCUAUUCUAAACAUAUCAAUUAAAUGCAACAUUGAUGACAUCACAUUAUUCGACAUACUCCCCCUUAAUUUGAUGUUAUUUGAUUGUGUUGAGACCAGCAAUUAGAACAAAAAUCUCAUGAUAGUCAAUACCAAGUUCUUGCAUAACCUUUCACCACUAAUCUGGCUUUGUUUCUUUGGACCUAACUUUUUGGAUUGUGCUUCACCUUUGUACAACCAUUUCACGUUAAUAGUUUCUUUGUCAUUUGGCUUUUUAUCCAACUCCUAUGUCUUGUUCUUUUCAAUGACAUCAUUUUCUUUUUGCAUAACUUCCUUCCAAAUAUCCUCUUUGAUUGCUUCCUCAAAGCUUUUUGGUUCAAUUACACAAUAAUUGUAUAUAAUAUGAACAUCACUUAAACAUCUCAUUUUUCUUGGAGUGGAGCCAAGUAAUGAAGUGCUAAAGUUUGGUGAAGACGGAGAACUUGUCAUGAGUUGGAAGUUUUGUGUAGAAUGGGUUGGUUGCUCAUCGACAUUUAUUUGAUACAUAAUUGUAGUAGGAACAGUCUUCUCAUCUUUUUUUUUUCUUGCCAAUUACAUGUAGAAUUUUCAUCAAAUACCUUGUCUCCACUAAUAAAAACCCUCUUGGUCCUCAAGUAGUGAAGUCUAUAUUCGUUUGACAUAGAAGUAGAGCCAAUUAAAACACACUCAUCACUUGUUUCUUUAAGCUUUGUCCUCAUUUCUAAGGGGUUUUGAGGAUAGAAAACACACCCAAAAAUUUUAAGGUGAUUCACAGAUGGUUUUCUUCCACUCCAUGCUUCAAAUUGAGUCAUAUUUCAUACAACUUUAGUUGGACAUUUUCUCAACAAAUACACAGUUGUAUUAACAAUUUCAUGCCAAAAUUCUUAGGCAUCCCUUUUUUCGAAUAACAUAGAUUUGAUCAUCUCCAACACUGUUUGAUUCUUCCUUUUAGGCAUGCCAUUUUGUUGUGGUGAAUACCCAACAGUCAAUUGAAGAUCCAUGCCUUUAUCUUCACAAAACUUAUGAAAUUCAUUAAAGGUGUAUUCUUUUCCUUUAUCACUUCCCAAAAUUUUUAUGAAUCUGCCAGAUUGUUUCUUAACAAGUAAUUUAAACUUUUUAAAUAUUGAGAAUGCUUUAGAUUUUUGUUGUAAUAGGCCAAUUUAGCUCGAGCCCAAAAAUAUAAAAAAAUAAUAAAAAUAAAAAGUCCAAAAUAACAGUCCAUUUACAUCAGGCCCAAAUAUCCCAAAACAAAAAAAACCUAAUGAAACGGUAAGCCCAAAAACCUAAACAGUUUUUAGAAAAAACAAAAAAAAACCUAGCUUGGCGCCACACGCCACACCAACGUCAACACACUCGCGCCCUAAGGUCUGCCAUCGUCAAUUGCCUCCGUCCCGUCGAUUGACUCUAGAGACACUUGCAAAUACGAAAAAGCAAGAAUAGCAAACACGCAAUGGCAACAAGAAAAAUAGAAAAAAUAGAAAAAUAACAUUGCAAAUCGGCUAUAAAAAGCCUAAAAAUAGAUUGUAAGGCUUGGUUUUUGAAAUAGAAAUCGAACAAAAAAAGAUAUACAAAAAGCAAUAAAAAAAGAGUAUAAAUUUGGUGAUUUUUCUUGGUUUUAUUUUUAUUUUGAAAAUUAAUAAAUAGAAAAAUAGGAAUCUUUUUUACUUGGGACAUUUCGUCUCCCUCCGUCAUCGGAGGUUUUCUCCGGCGCCAAAAAAACCCAGAACCCAUUAGGGUUCGGUUUGGGUUCAACUGAACAGGGUGUGGUCGUUGGUUAUAUAAAAGAAUCGAAAGUUUUUUGUAACGACCUGAUAGUCACGGGUAAUCAAAAAGUGUAUUUUUGGGUCUCUAUUUUCAUAAAACGGACUCGUAAAUAUUUAUUAAAAUUUUUACGAAGUUAAUUGUGUGGUUAAUUAGGUCUUGGUUAGGUGAAUUACCUUGAAUUAAGAAUAAUUAGGAAAAAUGACUAAAUUGUAUAAAGGGUGAAAGUUGAAUUAUAGAUUAAAGAAAAAGUAAAGGGACUAAAUAAGCAAUUAAGCCUUAAUUAACAAGUGUAAGGUGAUUGUGUAUACAUGUGUAAAAAUAAAAUACCUAUGUAUAAAAUAAUAAUAUAUGAAAUACUUAAUAUUUAAGUAUAUUAUUUUAUAUUAUAUUAUUAUAAUAACUAAAAGAAAAAAUAAAUAAAAGAAAAGAAACAACAAAGUUAAAAACGAAACAGAGAAGAAAAAGAAAGAAAAGAAAAGGAGAAAAGCUAGGGAUUUUAAAGUUCAAAGCUUAAUUGGUAAGUCAAUUUAGUCUCUUUUCUUAUAUUUUUUAUGUUUUUAGAAUCCUAGAACUAAAUACUACCUAACCCAUGUCAAAAUUUUAUAAAUUAUUGAGUUUUUAAAUGUUUUCUAUGUUGAAUAAUUAGAGUAUUAGGGACUAAAUUGAUAGAUUUUUAAGUUAGAAAUGAAAAAAGGAUUGAAUUGUAGAAUAAAUAGUAAAUUUUGAGUAAAAGGGACUAAAUUGUGAAAAUUUCAAAAUUUAGGGAUUUAAGUGAAAUUAGAGAGUUGAAUUUAGUUUAAACUGGAAAUUGAAUGAAAUUAUAAGAUAAAUUGUAAAGAAAUAAAGUUAGUCUCGGUUCAGGGGCUAAAUAGGAAUUUAGGAAAAUGUUGGAUAAAAAUUGAAAUACUUAAUGUGAAAUUGAAUUGUAUUGUAUUGAUGAAUUUUAAUUGUUUUAAUUUCGUAGCUAACGUUUUGCCGGAAACCUCGUCUAGGAAAGGAAAAGAUAAAGUCGACGAGGAGUAGCUCAAAAGUUCUGGUUUGUAUUUCUAUAAUCCGAAUCUAAAUAUUAAUUGUUGUAUUUUUUAUUUAAUGUUUAUGGUAAGUGAAUAAGGUAAGUAAUUAGCAUUAUGAUAUUGAAUUGAAUGUAUGUGAAUUUAUGAUUAAUGUGAUAUUUGAAUCUUGGAUGAUUGUGAUAUUUGAAAAGUGAAUUGAAACCCUAUUAACUGUAUCGGGCUGAGUUGGAUAUAGAUGACAUGUCAUAAGAUUGGAAAGUUCAGGGAUUACUUCGACCUCGAGUCGAUGAGACACUAGGUGUCAAUCUAUUAUUUCAGAUUAAUUCAAUGAGGUACUGGGUACCAAUUUACUUCAGUUUAACUGAUGAGACACUGGGUGUCAAAUUAUUACUUCAAAUUAUCCGAUGAGGCACUGGGUGCCAAACUGGUGUGUUUUGCUUGGAUCUGUGUAUUCGUUCGAGUCCGAGUUGUGUUAAUAGGGGUAAUUAAAAGAAGUGAUAUUAUGAAAGGUAUUUGAUAAUAUCAAAUGUGAAAUGGAAAUGAGACAUAUCAAUUGUGUGACAUAUUGUGAAAAGCUAUUUAAGGUAGCAAAUGAUGAGAAUUGAAUGUAUUAUGAAUAAAUUGAAAAAUUGAAUGACUAAUGUUAAUUUAUGAUUUAAUGUGCAUGUUAUAUUAUUUUACUUAAAGUAUUCGGGUUAUAGAAAUACCACUGAGUUUAUACCCAGCGUACGGUUUUGUUUUCCGUGAGCGGGUUAGGUACUUAAAGGUUGAUCGUCGAUUCAACACCCAUCAACGAUCCCGAACUCAAAACAUGGUGAUGUAUAUUUCUUUUUGUGUCGGCAUGUACCUAGGAUGUCUAAAUGUUAACUAUUUUAUAGUUAAUUGUAAACAAGAUUUUAAGUUAAUAUUAGUUGAUGAUUUAUAUGACUAUAUGUUAUGAUAAGGUUAUAAAAUGGUAUGUUUUAGACUAGUGCAUAAUUGUUCAUGGGUUUGGUAUAAGUUGAUGGAAUUUGGUAGAUUUAUAAUAUGGACUAAAUUGAUGUUUUGAAGAUAUGUUUUGAUAAUAAAAUUGUGGUACCUAUGAGAGUACAUUGGUUAGGCACCUAGGAUGUCUAUUUUGACAUGUUUUGAACGUGUUUAAUUAUGUUUUGAAUUGGUUGAAUAAAUGGUUUUUGAGUUGCUUAGUGUUCAAGAUUGCAGGGAAUGGUAAACUUGUUGUUUAAGGUUCAUUUUAAGUCCACAUGGACAGACACAGGGGCGUGUGACUGGACCGUGUGAGACACACGACUAACACAUGGGCGUGUGGUUUGGCCGUGUGUCCCCUGUAACCUUAGAAUUUCAAAUUUUCACAUAGGUAGAGACACGAGUGUGUGUCCUUUAAUUCUAUGAAUUUUUUUUAUAUUUUCAGAAAAAUUCUUUGAGUACCAGAUUUAGUCCCGAUUUGUUUCUAACACAUAUUCUGGACCUCGAUAGCUCAUAAAAAGGGACAAUUUAAUUAAUUUGUUAUAUAUAUGUUAGCAGGAUAUGUAAUGUUGGUAUUUGAUCUGAAAAGUCUGGUAAUGCUCGUAACACUGUUCUAGCGACGGAUAAGGGUUAUGGGUGUUACAUUUUUUUUUUGAUUUCUUGCGAAUAGAGGGCUUUGUCUUCGAGAUUGGAGCCAAAGGGUGUUAAAAAAGGUUUUUUUUUUAAAAAAAGGGCUAAAAUGGGGAUUUUUCGACCACUGGUCGGCGGCUCCCUUGGCCAGACUUGAGGACUAUUUAAGAGAAAAAGGGAGAGAAAAGAAGAUUUUUUUUAAGGCAUGGAGGAAAUGAUUUUUUUUUUUUGAAAUUUUUGGUUUUUAUGAGCUUCCAAAAUGGUGUCGUUUUGGGAGUGACCUCAUACGCACAAAACGGUGUUGUUUUGGGUCCAACCCUACGACCCGAUCCUGAUCCCUUUAGGAUUUGCGUGUUUCUGAGAGAAGGGUCUAAUUGCCGCUCAAGUCCUUCUACUUUUUAAUUGUUUUUCAAUUUGGUCCUAAUUCCUUUAUUUUUUCUUUUAGAUUGCACCAUUUAAUUUUAUUUUAUUUUCAAUUUAGUCCCCCAAUUUGCCAAAGAAAUGGUGCACCUUAAUAGGGUUUAGGAUAUUUUCCCAUUUAGUCCUUAUUUCUUUUUGCACAUUUCAAUUUGGUCCUUUAUCCUGUUUUAUUAAUUUUUUCUUAUUUACAAUUUAUCCCCUUAAGUUUCAUUUAAAUUUUGAUUUAGUCUUUAUUUAUUUAUUCAUUUAUUUUAUUACAGUUUAGCCCCCUUAUUAUUUAUUUUAUCCCGAUUUACCCUUUUAAUUUCAUUGAAGUUACAAUUAAGUCCUUUUUAUUUUAAUUCUUUUAUUCAUUUAAUUACUCAUUUACCUAUUUAUUUAUAUAUUAUUCACUUUUUUUAUUUUAAUCCUUUUAUUCAUUUAUUUAUUAUUCCUUCAUUUUUUAUAUUUAAAAUUGUUUUUUAUUUUUAUAGAGUAUUUAUUUAUUUUUCUUUUUUUUCUUUAGUACCAUUAUUAUUAUUGUUACUAUUUUAUUAUUAUUUUAUUAUCUAUUUAUUUAUUACCUCUUUAUUUUUUAUACAUACUUAAGAAUUAGAUUGUUUACAUGCUUUUAUUGGUACUUUUCUUUGUUUAUUAUUGCCAUUAUAAUUUUAUUUUUAUUUAUUUUAGUGUGUUCUUGUUAUUUUAUUAUUUCUCUUAUUAUUUUUGGCAGUUUCAUGUCAUGUCCAUUUAUCUUUUUAAUCAUGCAUCUUCUAUUUUUUUUAUUUAUCUUAAGUUACUUCAUUUAUUUAUUAUUAUAAUAUGAUUAUUGAGAUUAAUAUUAAUAUAAUUAUGUUAUUGUUAUUAUAAUAUUCCUUUAUUUACUUAUUAUUUAUCAUUCUACCCACAUAUCCAUUUUAAAUUAUUUCAUUAUCACUAUAUAAUACAUUAGGUUUAAGCAUUUAUCUAUUUGUAUAUCAUGCCCAAAGAAGUUAAAUGCACAUCGUUUUAAGUGUUAUGUUCGUUUUUCGCACGAUGCAUAAAAAAGGAAAAUUUUUAAACCGUGCCAAUGUUCAUUAUUUUUAGAAUUAGAAUAGUCGUAUUCCUAACUUAUGGAAUAUGACUUUUUUCUAAAACCGAAAUAGUCGAAUAUCCAUUUAAAAAAUAUAAAAACAAGAUUUAAGUAACGAUUAAAACAACAAUUAUUUUGGUUUUCGAAAACUAAAGGCGUCGUGUCCUGACUCACAAGGCAUGAUCCUUCUUCUCGAGUAAUUCAGAAUAAAGCAUUUUCUAUUAAAAUAUCUUAAUACAAAGGGAUCGCAUUUUAAAUUCUCUUCAAAUUUUCAAUUUUCGACAUUAAGACAUCAAGCAAUCAAUUAGGUACCAAUUUUGGGCGUAAUGAGGGUGAUAAUCCUUCCUCGUGCGUAACCGAAUCCCGAACCUAUUUUUUGGAUUUUUGUAGACUGAAAAACUUUGUUUUAGUAAAUCAAACCUCUUAUUAAAACGAUCUAAAUAUAUGAGGGGACCCGAUCACACCACCUGAAAGUGAUUGGUGGCGACUCCCAUCUUCGUUCAUUUUUAAAUAAAAAGUCGAUUCCAAAAAAUGGUUUCUACAUUUGUCUCAUGAAACAAACCCAUAUCAUAUGGGUUAAAUCAUUAAUGAAUAAAACACUGUACCUAUAUUAAGCAAGAGACAGGGUUUUCAUAGGAUCACACACAUUGAUGUGAACUAACUCUAGCACUUCUUUAACCCUUUAUGAUCCUUCCUUUGGGAGUUGUUAUUACCCAAGCAUAUAACCUUCCCACACACUAGAUUUAUACCAUCAACUAAGGUGUUAAUAUCGUGACACUGAUGUUAUACCAUCAACUAAGGAGUUGGACUUUAACAAAAUGCACCAUCGAGUAAACUGCCUUCAAGGUCGCGACACCAAGGUGUUGGUGUGGCAACACCAACCCUUAAGGUUGCAACAUUGGCCUAGCAAUCUUGCAACAUUGGCCACAAUACCUAAAAAUGAAGAAAUCAAGUUGCCUAAGGACAAACGAAGCCUGUUGUCCCUACACUAAAGACCCAAAGAGCCAAAUGAGUAAUCUAUUGAGAGUGUCGUGACACCAAGGAGUUGAUGUCGCAACAUCAACUCUAAUGAGGCCAAAAUUCUAAAGGGUAUUUUGCGUUCCAACAAAACUUAAGUUAGAUUUUAAGUGAGUGCAUAAUUGUCUUUGUUAAGUUAAAUGUUAUUAAACUAUAAAUACUACUUUAUAAGAUUUUGUUAGAGAGUAUAGAAUAUUUUUUUAUUUUUCAUAUUUUUAGAUUAGAUUUCCAUUCUAUUUUCUUUUCUCUUUUGAAUAGAUUUUAGUUGUUGAUUUUUUUUCUUUUGUCGAGAAUACUACUAAUGGAAAUGAUCAAGUUUGUGGGCUUCGUCGGCUUUUAGUCUAUUAAUGAGCAUUUUCUCAAACACUUCUUUUUUAUAUUUUAUGCAUACCAUGUGUUUAUUAAAAUUCUUAUGUGGGAUUUAAGUUUGAUUAUGUGUUGAAUCGUUUUAUUGGUUGAUUGACAAGUAAGUUACUUAACUAAGUUAUUAUCUAUGAUUUGAUUAUUUGUUUGUUCAAUUGUAUUAGAUCACAUAUUCACUAGAAUUGACAUCUCUAGUGGAAAAUUUAGAUAGAUGAGAUCGAAAUGACACUCUAUCGUGUAGGACUUCAAUACAUUUGUACCGAAUAGUGAGAUCAAGAGAGAUCUAUAUGCCUAAGUGAGGUUGAAAGGAGAGCUUAGGUGGUAUCAUUGAGUUUAGGAUGAGACUGAAAGAAUAUUUCUAACUAAGAGUGGCAAAUGAUAUAAUCAACAUAUGUUUAUUAUCUUAGUUAGUUAUUAAUGAAUCGUUCGAUCAUCAUUGUAAUAAAAUUGCAUUGUUUCUAGUAAAGAGGAAGAAAGUUAGUUAGAUAUUUUUAUUUGUUAAUCUAGAAUUUAGCUUUAAUCCAUUUGCAUUGUUUCUAACUAGAUUAGUAGUUGCUUCUGUCAAAACAACACGGGUGUGCGAACGCCCGUGCCAAGCAACCGUGGUCGAACCUGUUAAACUAACACGGGCGUGAGCCUACAUACACGGGUGUGGGAGAAGCGAACAAAGCCAAGCACAGUCGUUGAUAAACCGUAAAUUAUACAUAUUUUUACCCCAUGUUUAAUACAUUUUAUGGAUGAUUUCUCAUUAGAAUUGGUGAAUUCGAUGCUCCUAAUGCUUUAAUUUCAUGUUUUAUACUUAGGAUAGCAUAGGAGAGAGAAAGGAACGAGAAACGGGCCAAAAAUGGAGAAAAUGGGCCAAAGUACGAAAUCAACACGGCCUGGACCUCCUCACACGGGUAGACCACACGGCCGUGUCAAUUUGGAAGGCUCAAACACGGCUUGAAGUAAUUGGGCAUGUGCCACGGGCGUGUCCCUGCCGAGCCCAAGUUGAAUCCAAUUCAAAAAAGGCCAAUUUUGAGGGUUUUUAGGCAUUCCAAAGCCUAUAAAUACACCCUAGAUGAGGAGGAAAAAGGAGGCGGAGAACAGGGGGUAAGGAAUUACACCAAGGAAGCCGAUUGAUCCAUCUCAGGAGCCGGAUUCAUCAUCAAGACUAAAGACCUCUCCUCAAUUUCCCUUCAGGAGUUUUGGGUUUUCUUUAUGUUUUGUAUUCUUUAUUCUUCUGAGAUGUUUCCUUAUUUAGUUAUGAACUAAAACCCCUAAAUACCUAAGGGGAAUGAAACCUAAGACGAAUCUUGUUAUUAUUUUCUGAAUCGUAUGAUAAAUAUUUAACUUGUUCUUAAUUAUGUGUUCUUAAUUCUUGUUUUAAUAUCCCAGGAUACUGAUUCAAGACAAGCUCUUAUUCAGAGGAGGAAUAGACCCUAUCUAAUAGUACAUUUGUCAUAAUUAAGCGGAGUUGAUUGUGCGCCUAGACAUAGGGUGACAAGAUUUUUUCAGAUUAGGGUGAAACCUAAUAAGGGGAUCCAUAGAUCGAGUUAAUGCAACCUUAGAGUGUUAAUUAGAGAAAAGUCUCGGUUAUUCAAUCUAGGGAUUAGACGUUAUUAGUCUUGAAUAGGGAUAAUAACAUAACUUAGGGAUCUCUACGAAACAAGUUGAAUGAAUAAAUCAUCCGAUUUGGAGCCAGAAUAACAAGUAAGGUCUAGGAGGACUUUUCCUUAGGUAUUGUCUUAAGUCAAUCGAUUUUUCCCAAAAGCAAUUCCCUACUUCUUUUCUUUGUGUGUUCUUAGUUUAGAUAAUUAGUCAAUUAAAACAAAAUCUCUUUAUUCUUAGGCUAGAUAAUAAAAAGACAGUCAUUACUAGUACUUUUAGUUCCUUUGGGUUCGACAAUCCGGUCUUGCUAAAACUAUACUACUGUUCGAUAGGUACACUUGCCUACAUCGCAAUAAUAGUUAGUUCAAGAAUGAGUAAUUACAAAUAUUUAAAACCUAUCACGAAAUCUCGCGAUCAAGUUUUUGGCGCUAUUGCCGGGGAACUGUAAUAUUAGGAAAGCUCAAUUUUUAUUACUUUAGCCAUUUAUUUUUCUUGCAAUUUAAAUUUAUAUUAUUAUUACUUACUUUUUUUCUGUCUCUUGGCAGGUUUUUAUAGUUUAUGACUAGAAGAAACCCGUCAGGGACACUACUUUUUGACGAGGAAAUCGAUCGCACAGUUUGUAGAAACCAAAGAGAAAUAAGACGAAGCUUAAGAUACACGGAGAACGAGCAAGAAGACGAUGCUCAACCCCCAACCGAAGAGAUGGCUGAAAACUAAGGCAAUCAGCUACCUCCUGCAAUUGUGGUUAAUUAAAAUCCUGCUCCACACACUAUGUAUGAUUAUGCUAAACCUUCAUUAACAGGAACUAUAUCUAGCAUAGUUAGACCUACUGUAGCUGCAAAUACAUUUGAAUUAAAACCUAACACUAUUCAGAUGAUACAGCAAUUUGUUCAGUUUGAUGGUUUGCAGGAUGAAGAUCCCAACGCUUACAUAACAAACUUUCUGGUAUUUUGCGAUACAUUUAAAAUCAAUGGUGUUUCUGAUGAUGCCAUUCAUCUUCAAUUAUUCCCUUUUUCAUUAAGAAACAAAGCUAAACAGUGGUUGAACUCGUUACCACGACGGUCAAUUACUACUUGGGAACAAAUGACCGAAAAAAUCUUACUAAAAUAUUUUCUACCGGCUAAAACGGCUAAAUUACGUAAUGACAUCUCUUCUUUUGUGCAGAUGAAUUUAGAAACCCUCUACGAUGCAUGGGAGAGAUACAAGGACUUACUGAGAAGGUGCCCUCACCAUGGGUUACCGCUUUGGCUCCGAGUUCAAACAUUCCACAAUGGUUUGAAUCCUUUGACUCGGUAAAUGGUUGACGUAGCUAUCGGCGGAACCAUCAAUAAUAAAACACCUGAAGAUGCCUAUGAGUUUAUUGAGGAGAUGUCAUUGAAUAACUAUCAGUGGCAAGUCAUAAGGACAAAGCCAAUGAAAACAGCCGGCGUUUAUAACGUCAAUUCGGUCACCAUGCUCUCUAAUCUAAUCAGGUAGAACUCUUAAAUAAAAAGAUUGAUGGUUUUCUUAGUUCUUCACAAGUUCACCCAGUAAUGUGGUGCGAAGCAAGUAUUGGUGGAACAAGCCAUUCAGAAUAUCAACCUUAUGGCCAUAACAUGGAUAACGAGCAACUAAAUUACAUGGGUAAUAAUCCCCGACCUCAAAACAAUCCAUUUAAUAACACUUACAAUGCAGGUUGGAGGAACCACCCCAAUUUCUCGUGGGGCGGUCAAGGAAAUCAAAGAGAACAACAUCCUUUGGGCUACCAACAACCACCCUACCAACAGGAAAAGAAGCCAAACCUUGAAGAGAUGCUCUCAAUGUUUAUAUCAAUGUCAGAAACCCAUUUUUAGAACACCGAGACAACACUUAAAAAUCAAACAAGCAUCGAUCCAAAGCCUCGAAACUCAGAUAGGUCAGCUUUCCAAACUAAUCUCUAAACGACCAGAAGGUAGUUUUCCAAGUAAUACCGAACCUAACCCAAGGGAACAACUCAACGUAAUUAAUAUUCAAGAUGAUGAAGGAGUCAUUGAGCUUGAACCAGAAUCGAGGCAAGAAACUGUGGUAAGCAAAGGUCAAGGUGAGGUAGAUCAAAAUACAAACAAACCAGUGACUGUCGAAUAUAAACCUCGUGUGCCAUACCCCAACGCGACAAGGAAAGACCGCUCAGAUGAACAAUUUGGUAAAUUCCUUAAACUCUUAAAAAAAUUACAUAUUAACUUACCGUUUAUUGAAGCUCUAUCGCAGAUGCCAAAUGCAAUGAAAUUUUUAAAGGAGCUUUUAGCAAAUAAGUGAAAGUUAGACGAGGCGUCGCAUGUGGAGCUGAAUGCAGUUUGCUCAACCAUUCUCCAAAAUAAACUACCCAACAAACUAAAAGACCCAGGGAGCUCUACUAUUCCUUACUUAAUUGGUAGUUUAGAUGUUAAUCAUGCAUUAGCUGAUCUAGGGGCUAGUAUCAACGUCAUGCCUUACAAAAUGUUUAAGCAACAGGUCUCGGGAAACCCAAACAGACUAGGAUGAGCAUUCAAUUAGCAGAUAAAACUAUAAGAUUCCCUAGAGGUAUUAUUGAAGAUGUGCUAGUUAAAAUCGAUAAAUUUAUAUUUCCCGUUGACUUUAUUGUUCUAGACAUAGAAGAGGAUAGCAACACUUCUUUAAUUAUAGGAAGGCCCUUUUUAGCAACUGCUAAAAAUAUCAUUAAUGUUGGCACAGGUGAACUCACACUCCGGAUGGGAGACGGAACAAUCACCCUUCAAGCUCGCAAUUCUAGCAACACAUCAAGAAUUGAAGGUGAUCAUUUAAACCAUUCUACUAAAACUAACAAUAUGGAGCAACCUAUUUUGCAGAAAAUGAGUCUGAAAGAAGCACACGAGUCGUUCUUAAGCACCAGUAGAGGACCUGUUCAUGAAGAUCGAAGAUCACAAAUUGAGGAACUCGAUGAAUAGCGGACACACAAACCAAGAACACCCGACAAACUGAAACUACGCCAAAACGAGCUCGAUACCUCUCCAAAUCAACUUAAGGUUGGUGAUAAGGUCUUACUAGAUGCUGCAGAUCCCCACAUUGUCACUACCACACCAAAUGAGGAAAUCUCUCUUACGGUACUCAGUAUUUUUCCAUUUGGUACGCUGAAGGUGAGUUAUCCCAAGUUCGACACUUUUAAGGUAAACAACACCCAAUUAAAACCUUAUUUUGAUGAGAUUGAUAGCAGGAAUAAAGAGUAUAAACUUUUCAAACCACCAUGACCAUUCACUGGAGAGGUAAGUCGAGCUUAGACUAUAAAUAAGCGCUUCUCGGGAGGCAACCCGAGCACUAACAAUAUUAAUUCCUUUAAAUUUUGGUAUUUAAUUCCUAACUUAUUAAUAGAAAUCUUGAAUACAGGUGUUUCCACAGAGACACGGCCAAGUACACGGGCGUGCUUAAGGCCGUGUGAAAACAGGGAAAAAGAUUUCCACGGGCUACGAUUAAACGCCACAGCCAUACGAUAUGGCCAUGGUCGAGCCUGCCAAAACAACACAGGCGUUCGACACGUCUGUGUGAAACAUCCGUGGUCGAACCUGUUAAAUUAACACUGGCGUGGGGCUUGCACACACGUGCGUGGGAGAAGCGAACGAAGCUAGACACGACCGUGCGACACGGCCGUGCGACACGGCCGUGUGAACCCACACGCCCAAGGAAUACGAGCGUGUACUAAAUGCCAGAUGCACCCAAAUUUGAAAUUCGCGAAUCACACGCGAUGAAAUUGGGGAACACAGGCAUGUGCCCUGGCCGUGUGUCCCAAAAUCUACUUUUUAUUUUUAUUAGAUUUUAAAAAUUUUAAUUUUAAUUAUUAAUUUCGGUUAAUUCUUUUUUGAGUAAUUAUUCUUCCUAAUAUCCCCUAAAAAGUUCUUGAUUUUAUCACUGUUCUAUAGAGCUCUUAAGCUCAUCAUCACAUAGGAACUAAACCUCCACCGGGAAAGGUUCUCCAUGACUGCCAUGUUUUGCUCACCCACGACCAUAGCUACCACUAAAGAUAAUAUCCUUUUGGUGCAGGACUUAUGGCCUAAUGAACCUCUACGACCGCCGGAGUAUCCUCCUCCACUCUCGAACCGAUUCCUCUCCAGAACUCCAGUUUGAGGAAUUCAUCAUACAGGAAGUUUCACUUCUCUCCCUAUCUUAUUUUUACACUCUAAUAUCUAUCUUUGUACAUUGAGGGCAAUGUACAUCUUAAGUGUGGGGGGUAUUUAUUUCAUUAUCAGAAAAAUCCCUGAAUGAUUGCCAUGUUCUCUUGAAAAGAUUUCAUAUCAUAUUUAGGAUAAAUUUUAAUUGAUUUAUGAUUUUGAUUGAUAUAUCUUGAAUUAAAACAUAGGCCUUUAUGCAUUGAUUGUUUAAACUUUAAGAUAUUAGAGAAUCAAUCAUGCUGAGUUGAUUUUUAAGAAUUUAAAAUUAUAGGUUGUUUCCCCAAGUCUAGGUAUUACUUUGAAUUAGAAUUAACGAGUCUAAACAUCAAAAAGCCAUAAUUUUUGUGAGAUUUUUGAGCCUUUUAAGCAUCUAUUAAUCCUUUCAUGCUCAUUUUUAUUAUUGCUUUAAGUGCGUCAGUAUUGAACUGUUAUUCUAGAACUUGAUUGAUUAUGCAUAUCAAGACCACAUCAUUUGAUUUGAUAUAUCAAAAUGAUUAAGGCACUUAGGAUUAAUCCACUCAUGCCAUGAAAAGCCUACCUCCACGAUUAACCCCUAGUAAACCCCCUUGAGCCUAACAAGCCAUUCCUUGUAUUAACCUCAAUAUUAACCCUUAACCCAUUAUUGUUGAAAUCCUCUAAAUUAAUCCCUAUUUUUGUUGAGAUUUGAGUUGAAUGGAUUGCUUAGCUAUGUUUUGUUCUUAAUAGUUAGUCUAUAUUAUUUAACUUGUUCUUAAAAAAAAUAGUGUAUACACAUUAGUAGAAAUCUUUUGUUUUUUAGCUUAAGUAUUUAAAUUCCAUAUUCUGAGAGAAAGCUCUGUCGUACGCUAGUGAUAUUAAAUCCUUUUCUAGUUAAGUGAUUUUUCAAUUCAAUCUCGAUUCUAACUUUUUCUUUCAGCUUGUGACCACACCCCCUAACCAAACCUCAAUACAACCCUCUAAAGACCUUUUGAUUGAUGCAUCAUCUCAAUUUAUAGUGGUGGAGAUUUGAUUUUCAUGCAAGCCUAUGGUAAUGACUUUUCAUUAUAGACUAUUGAGUGUUUUAUUUAUUGUCCUUAAACACCUCGAGUGAUUUGAGUGAAUCUUUAGUGAGGAUGUGAAACUCUAUGACAUUUUGAAUCCAAGGUUAUUACUUAGACGAAGGGAGACACCUAUAAUUUCAUGAUAAAGUGCUCAACUUGGAAUUUUUGGAACUUUGGCGUUCUUUCAGUUGAAUUUUCAAUGUAUGAUUACCUAUGGAUUAUUUUGAGAUAUUAUCGAUGGAAAUUAUAAGUUGAGAAGAAUUUAUUUUGAUUAUGAGUUGAGAAUUUUGCUUGAGGACAAGCAAAUACUUAAGCGUGGGGGUAUUUGAUCAAUCGUAAUUUAUACAUAUUUUUACCCCAUGGUUAACACGUUUUAUGGAUGAUUUUUCCUUAGAAUUGGUGAAUUCGAUGCUUCUAAUGUCUUAAUUUCAUGUUUUAUACUUAGGAGAGCAUAGUAGAGCGAAAGGAACGAGAAACGAGCCAAAGUAUGAAUUCAACACGGCCUGGACCUCCUCACACGGGCAGACCACACGGCCAUUUCAAUUUGGUAGAAUCGAAGCAGUACUCACAUUAGUGAACCACACGGCCAUGCCUAUUUAAUAGGCUCGAGCACGACCUGAAGUAAUCACACACGGGCGUAUCCCUGUCGAGCCCAAGUUGAGUCCAAUUGGGAAAAGGCCAAUUUUGAGGGCUCCUAGGCAUUCUAAAGCCUAUACAUACACCCUAGAGGAGGAAGGAAUAGGGGAGGCACAGAGAGGGAGGAAGGAAUUACUCGAAGAAAGUCGAUUGUUCCAUCUCAGAAGUUGGAUUCAUCAUCAAAACUGAAGAUCUCUCCUCAGUUUCCCUUCAGGAGUUUUGGGUUUUCUUUAUGUUUUGUAUUCGUUAUUCUUUUGAGAUGUUUUCCUUUUUAGUUAUGAACUAAAUCCCCUAAAUACCUAAGGGGACUGAAACCUAAGACGAAUCUUGUUAUUUUUUUCUAAAUUGUAUGAUAAAAAAUAUUUAACUUGUUCUUAAUUAUGUGUUCUUAAUUCUUGUUUUGAUAUCCAAGGAUACUAAUUCAAGAUAAGCUCUUAUUCAGAGGAGGAAUAGACCCUAUCUAAGAGUACAUUUGUUAUAAUUAAGCAGAGUUGAUUGCGUGCCUAGAGAUAGGGUGACAAGAUUUUGCCGAAUUAGGGUGAAACCUAAUAAGGGGAUCCAUAGAUCGAGUUAAUGCAACCCUAGGGUGUUAAUUAGAGAAAAGUCUCAAUUAUUCAAUCUAGGGAUUAAAUGUUAUUAGUCUUGAAUAGGGAUAAUAACGUAACUUAGGGAUCUCUACAAAACAAGUUAAAUGAAUAAAUCGUCCAAUUCGGAGCCAGAAUAGCAAGUAAAGUCUAGGUGGAUUUUUCCUUAGGUAUUGUCUUAAUUCAAUCAUUUUCCAAAAGUAAUUCCACAAUUCUAUUUUCUGUGAAUUAUUAGUUUAGAUAAUUAGUUAGUUAAAACAAAACCCCUUUAUUUUUAGGCUAGAUAAUAAAAAGACAGUCAUUACUAGUACUUUUAGUUCCUUUGGGUUCGACAAUCUGGUCUUGCUAAAAUUAUACUACUGUUCGAUAGGUACACUUACCUACAUCGUGAUAAUAGUUAGUUUCAAGAAUGAUUCAUUAUAAGUAUUUAAAACCUGUCACACAAAAUCGCGAUCAAUACAUCUUAGUAGCUAUUUAUUAUAUGUCCAAAUGGGUUGAAGCCGAAGUUUACCUACUAAUGAUGCUAGAGUAGUAGUACGAUUCCUUAAGAAACUCUUCUCUCGAUUUGGUAUACCUAGAGCAAUUAUCAAUAAUAAAGGUACUCAUUUUUGUAACGCCCAAUUUGACAAGACCCUCAAGAAAUAUGGAGUUCAUCACAGAACAACUACCUCUUAUCACCCUCAAACUAGUGGCCAAGUCGAAGUAGCGAAUCGAGAGCUUAAACGUAUCCUAGAAAAGAUAGUAGAAUUACACAGGAAGGAUUGGGUGAUGAAAGUAGAUGAUAUUUUAUGGGCUUAUAGAACUGCUUUUAAGAUCCCCAUAGGAACAUCAUCUUACAGACUUGUUUAUGGGAAAAGUUGUCACCUACCAGUUGAGUUGGAACACAAGGCAUUCUAGGCUGUAAAAUUUCUAAACCUUGACCCCAAACUUGAAGGUGAAAACAGGUUGAUGCAGUUGAACGAGUUAGAUGAGUGGCGAGCCAAUGCAUAAGAAAAUUCGCGCCUAUAUAAGGAAGCGACGAAACGCCGCCACGAUGCCUGUUUAAAGCAAUGAAGGCAAUUUGAAGUUGGAGAUCUUAUCUUGUUAUAUAACUCGCGGCUCAAAUUGUUUCCUGGAAAGCUUAAAUCACGAUGGUCAGGUCCUUUUGUAGUUCAAACUGUGUUUCCAUAUGAUACAGUAGAGCUAAGUCAUCAAUCACAAGGCACUUUUAAGGUAAAUGGAGAUCAUCUCAAAAUGUAUAAUGGUGAGAAUUACGAAGACGAUAAAGAGGAGUUACGGCUCCAUGAAGUUACCUAAAUACACCCACAAUGUGGAGUCUAGCUUAGACUAUAAACAAGCGCUUCUCGAAAGGCACCCCGAGCACUAACGGUGCUAACUUUUUUAAAUUUUAGUCUUUAACAUUUAAUUAACUAACUGAGUCACGGAACACAGGAUGGUCAAAACCACACGGCCAGGCACAUGAGCGUGCCGUAGGUGAUAAACCGUAAUUUAUACAUAUUUUACCCCAUGUUUAACGUAUUUUAUGGAUGAUUUUCCAUUAGAAUUGGUGAAUUUGAUGCUCCUAAUGCUUUAAUUUCAUGUUUUACACUUAGGAGAGCAUAAGAGAGCAAAAGGAACGAGAAACGGGCCAAAAAUGGAGAAAAUGGGCCAAAGUACAAAAUCAACACGGCCUGAACCUCCUCAAACGGGCAGACCACAUGGCUGUGUCAAUUUGGCAGGCUCGAGCACAGCCUGAAGUAAUCGAACACGGGCAUUUCCCUACCGAGCCUAAGUUGAGUCCAAUUCAGGAAAGACUAAUUUUGAGGGCUUUUAGGCAUUCCAAAGCCUAUAAAUACACCCUAGAGAAGGAAGAAAAGGGAGGACAGAGUAAAGGGUAAGGAAUUACUCCAAGAAAGCCGAUUAAUUCAACUCAGAAGUAGGAUUUAUCAUUAAGACUGAAGAUCUCUUCUCAAUUCCCCUUCAAGAGUUUUGGGUUUUCUUUAUGUUUUGUAUUCUUUAUUAUUUUGAGAUGUUUUCUUAUUUAGUUAUGAACUAAAUCCCCUAAAUACCUAAGGGGAAUGAAACCUAAGACGAAUCUUGUUAUUAUUUUUUGAAUUGUAUGAUAAAUAUUUGACUUGUUCUUAAUUAUGUGUUCUUAAUUCUUGUUUUGAUAUCCCAGGUUACUAAUUCAAGAUAAGCUCUUAUUCAGAGGAGGAAUAGACCCUAUCUAAGAGUACAUUUGUUAUAAUUAAGCAGAGUUGAUUGCACCCCUAGACAGGGUGACAAGAUUUUGCCGGAUUAGGGUGAAAUCUAAUAAGGGGAUCCAUAGAUCGAGUUAAUGCAAUCCUAGAGCGUUAAUUAGAGGAAAGUCUCGGUUAUUCAAUCUAGGGAUUAGACGUUAUUAGUCUUGAAUAGGGAUAAUAACAUAACUUAGGGAUCUCUACAGAACAAGUAAAAUGAAUAAAUCAUCCGAUUCGGAGCCAGAAUAACAAGUAUAGUUUAGGUGGAUUUUUCCUUAGGUAUUGUCUUCAUUCAAUCGAUUUUUCCAAAAGAAAUUCCCUAAUUCCAUUCUCUGUUCGUUCUUAGUUUAGAUAAUUAGUUAGUUAAAACAAAAACCCCUUUAUUCUUAGGCUAGAUAAUAAAAAGACAGUCAUUACUAGUACUUUUAGUUCCUUUGGGUUUGACAAUCCGGUCUUGCUAAAACCAUACUACUGUUUGAUAGGUACAUUUGCCUAUAUCGCUAUAAUAGUUAGUUCAAGAACGAGUAAUUAUAAAUAUUUAAAACCUUUCACGAAAUCACGCGAUCAAGUUUUUGGCGCCGUUGCCGGGGAAUUGAAAUAUUAGGAACACUCAAUUUUUAUUACUUUAGCCAUUUAUUUUUUGUGCACUUUAGUUUAUUAUUAUUAUUUAUUAAUUUACUUUUUCCUUCUCUUGGUAGGUUUUUAUAGUUUAUGACUAGAAAAAAUUCAUCAGAACCAUUACUUUUUGACGAAGAAAUCGAUCAUAUAGUUCGUAGAAAUCAAAGAGAAAUAAGGCGAAGCUUAAGAUACACAGAGAACGAGCAAGAAGACGAUACUCAACUCCCAACUGAAGAGAUGGCUAAAAACCAAGGAAAUUAGCUACCUCUUGCAAUUGCGGUUAAUCAAAAUCCUGCUCCACGCACUAUGUAUGAUUAUGCCAAACCUUCUUUAAAAGGAACUGAAUCGAGCAUAGUUAGACCUGCUGUAGCUGCAAAUACUUUUGAAUUAAAACCUAACACUAUUCAAAUGAUACAACAAUUUGUUCAGUUUGAUGGUGUUUCUGAUGAUGCCAUUCGUAUUCGGUUAUUCCCUUUUUCAUUGAGGAACAAAGCUAAACAGUGGUUGAUCUCGUUACCACGAGGGUCAAUUACUACUUGGGAACAAAUUACCGAAAAAUUUUUACUAAAAUAUUUUCCGCUGGCUAGAACAGCUAAAUUACGUAAUGAUAUCUCUUAUUUUGUUCAGAUGGAUUUAGAAACACUCUACGAUGCAUGGGAGAGAUAAAAGGACCUUUUGAGAAGGUGCCCUCACCAUGGGUUACCGCUUUGGCUCCGAGUUCAAACAUUCCAUAAUGGCCUGAAUCCUUCGACUCGACAAAUGGUUGACGCAGCUGCUGGUGGAACCAUCAAUAAUAAAACACCUGAAGAUGCCUAUGAGUUUAUAGAGAAGAUGUCACUGAAUAACUUUUAGUGGUAAGUCAUGAGGACAAAGCCAAAGAAAACAACUGGCGUUUAUAACGUCGAUUCAGUCAACAUGCUCUCUAAUCAGGUGGAACUCUUAAAUAAAAAUAUUGAUGGUUUUCUUAGUUCUUCACAGGUUCACCCAGUAAUAUAGUGCGAAGCAAGUGGAGGUGGAACAAACCAUUCGGAAUACCAGCCUUAUGGCCACAACAUGGAUAACGAGCAAUUAAACUACAUGGGUAAUAAUCCUCGACCUCAAAACAAUUCAUAUAGUAAAACUUAUAAUGCAGGUUGGAGGAACCACCCCAAUUUCUCGUGGAACGAUCAAGGAAAUCAAAGACCACAACCACAUCUAGGCUACCAACAACCACUCAACCAACAGGAAAAGAAGCCGAACCUUGAAGAGAUGCUCUCAAAGUUUAUUUUGGUGUCAGAAACUCGUUUCCAGAACACCGAGACAACACUUAAAAAUCAACAAGUGUCGAUCCAAGGGCUCGAAACUCAGAUAAGCCAACUUUCCAAACUAAUUUUCAAACGACCACAAGGUAGCUUGCCAAGUAAUACUGAACCCAACCCAAGGGAACAGCUCAACAUAAUUAAUAUUCAAGAUGAAGAAUGAGUUGUUGAGCCUAAAACAGAACCGAGGCAAGAAACUGUGGUAAGCAAAGGUUAAGGUGAGGUAGAUAACAAUAAAAACAAAACGGUGAAUGUCGAAUAUAAACCUCAUGUGCCAUACCCCAACGCGACAAGGAAAGACCACUCAGAUGAACAAUUUGGUAAAUUCCUUAAACUUUUAAAAAAAUUACAUAUUAACUUACCGUUUAUUGAAGCCCUAUCGCGGAUGCCAAAUGCAAUGAAAUUUUUAAAGGAAGUUUUAGCAAAUAAGCGGAAGUUGGACGAGGCGUCGCACGUGGAGCUAAACGCAGUUUGCUCAACUAUUCUCCAAAAUAGACUACCGAACAAACUAAAAGAUCCAGGGAGUUUUAAAAUUCCUUACUUAAUUGGUAGUUUAGAUGUUAAUAAUGCAUUAGUUGAUUUAGGGGCUAGUAUUAACGUCAUGCCUUACAAAAUGUUUAAGGAAUUAGGUCUCGGGUAACCCAAACAAACUAGGAUGAGCAUUCAAUUAGCAGAUAAAACUAUAAGGUUCCCUAGGGGUAUUAUUGAAGAUGUACUAGUUAAAAUCGAUAAAUUCUGGGAAGGCCCUUUUUAGCAACUGCUAAAACGAUUAUUGAUGUUGGCCCAGGUGAACUCACACUCCGUGUGGGAGACGAAACAAUCACCCUUCAAGCUCACAAUUUUGGCAACAUAUCGGGAAUUGAAGAUGAUCGUUUAACCCAUUCUCCUAGAACUGACAAUAUGGUACAACCUACUUUACAGGAAAUGAGUUUGAAGGAAGCACACGAGUCAUUCUCAAGCAAUAGUAAAGGACCUGUUCAUGAAGAUCGAAGAUUACAAAUAGAGGAACUCGAUGAAUGGCGGACGCAUAAAUCAAAAACACCCGACAAACCGAAUUUAUGACAGAACGAGCUCAAUACCUUUCCAAAUCAACUUAAGAUUGAAGAUAGAGUCUUAUUAGAUGCCGCAGAUCCCCACAUUGUCGCUACCACACGGAAUGAAGAAAUCCCUCUUACGGUACUUAGUAUCUUUCCAUUCGGUACAGUCGAGGUAAGGCACCCCAAGUUCGACACUUUUAAGGUAAACAACACUCGUUUAAAGCUUUAUUUUAAUGAGAUUGAUGACAGGAAUGGGGAGUAUAAACUCCUCAAACCACCAUGAUUAUUCAACGGAGAGGUAAGUCAAGCUUAAACUAUAAAUAAGCACUUCUCGGGAGGCAACCCGAGCACUAACUGUAUUAACUUCUUUAAAAAUUUAGUCUUCAACAUCUAACUUACUAAUGGAGCUCUGGAAUACAAGUUUUCCACAGAGACACGACCAAGCACACAGGCGUGCUUAUGGCCGUGUGAAAACAGGGCAACGAUUUCCCCAAACAGGGGCUAUGAUAAAAUGCCACAGCCGUGCGACAUGACCGUGGUCGAGCCUGCCAAAACAACACCGGUGUUUGACACGCCUGUGUGGAAGACUCGUGGUUGAAACUAAAAAACUAGCACGGGCGUGCGACACGCCUGUGUCUGACACCCGUGGAUGAACCUGUUAGAUUGACACAGGUGGAGGGAUUUCCCACACGAGCGUGGGAGAAGCGAAUAGCGCCAGACACGGCCGUGUGUACCCACACGCCCAAGGAACACGGGCGUGUACUAAAUGUCAGACACGCCUAAAUUUGAAAUUCACGAAUCACACGGGCUAAAAUUGGGGAACACGAAUGUGUGCCUUGGCCGUGUGGCCCAAAAUCUGUAAAUACCCUGCACUAUUCACUUUCUUCCCCAUUCAAAAACCCUAACCCUAGCCACUGCAACUCCACACGGCUUCCCUGCCACGCCCGUGCGCUGCUUCCCACUUCUUUUUUGACGCUCAAUCUCUUUCCCUGAGCGUUUGUUUACUCAUUUCACUUCUAUUUUACUUAUCUCUAAUGCUUAUUAUCAACAUAAUCUUCAUAUCUUUUGAACUAUUUUUCAUUUUUCUAUCAUUUAAUUUGCAUUCUUAGGUUAGUUAUCAUACAUUUCAUGUUAAAUCAAGUUAUUAGGAACACCUCAUACCCAUGACAUUACUAUGCUUAUUCUCAUGCUAUUAUCAUGCCAAUGUCUAUCAUUUAAUUUACAUUCCUCGGUCAGUUAUCGUACAUCCUAUGUUAAAUUGAGAUUAGGAAAACCUCAUACCCAUUACAUUUCUAUUCUCAUUCUCAUUGUUAUUGUGGUUGAGUUUGCUUCAUAUUAGUAGUCUUGGCUGAAAUAGUGAGCUCAAAUUCAUGCCUUUUACUUCUUCGAAUUUGUUUACCUAUUAUUAUUAUUCUUUAUAUUAUAGGCUUUUAAUUUCGUCUUCACAAGGAAAGAAAACCAUCGUACCUACCUCGAAGAAGAGGAAGGGAGUGUCAUCUUUCGCAGGUCCAACCACUAAAAUUCAUCACCCUCUCUUGCAGUUCCUCGAGGGCCCCAAGAAGAGCUUUUCCAAAUACUGCGGGCCCGACCCUUAAUUACAGGCCGUUGCAUCGACUGGGCUACCGUAGAACAAGUUCAGAUGGCUGAUGCAAUUCGGGCCCUCCUAACCACCGACCCUUGAGAGCUGUUCUUUGGGAUCAUCGAACCAACAUACCUCGAGCUCACAAUGGAACUAUGCUCAACGUUCCAUCUUUAGACCGUAAUGACAAAUUAUGAUGAUCCCGACACGGUCCAUUUCGCCUAGGCAGAUUAGUCCGCCAGCUAAGCGUUCUAGAGUUCGGUGUUGCAAUAGGCUUAUAUACGAAGGAAUUCAAGGAGGAAAAUGAACUACAUGCUCUCACUCGCCACAUACAUUUCUCUCUCUCAAAGUGCUGGCACACUUUGGUUCCUAGCGCAGCCUCCUACAAUCCUAGCUACUCCAAGGUAUCAGUUCUCCCACCAUCCCUGAGGUACCUACAUGCCAUUUUAGCUCACACGAUUACAGGGAGGUGAGAGAGUACUGGCGUCAUCAACACUCACGACGCCUACUUCUUGUGGUGUAUGUCACAUGGGCACGUCAUCGACCUUGCCUAUUUCAUCGCCCUCGCGAUUCAGCACUAGACGGAGCGGCAUAGGAAGGGGGUCAUCUCUAUUGGCCCCUAUGUAACACGAUUGGCUCAACACUUCAGGCUCCUCGACACCGAGGCCCAAGAAUCAUCCUUGACCUUCAUUGGUCAGAUGUCUCCACAAGGCAUCUCAAGCAUGCUUAGCAUGAGGAUGAUUGAGAGGCGCCGAGGAACCUACCCUCCUCAAUAUCGUCUCGGCCAAUCCACUAAGGAGAAGGCUUACGAGGACAUUCCUGAUGAUGUCCCUUCAUAGCACGAGGACCCACCGACUCAGCCACCACUACCCUCUCAUCCAGUUCAUGCGGCGGCUUCAUAUGCUGACAUCUCUGAGCGUCUCACUCGAUUCGAGCAGCAGUGUUUUCAAUGAUUUGACAACAUUAAUGCUACUCUACAGCAAAUUUGUCAACACCUCCACAUCUCAUCGCCAGUCCCACCUCGCGAACCAUCCAGCUAUGAAGAUGUUUAAAAACAUUUAUUUAUUAUUUUAUGUUUUUUUAUUUUUAUUAAAACUAUUUUUUAUUUUUAUUAGAUUUUAGAAAUUUUAUUUUUAAUUAUUAAUUUUGGUUAUUUCUUUUUGAGUAAUUAUUCUUCCUAAUAUCCCCUAAAAAGUUCAUGAUUUUAUCACAGUUAUAUAGAGUUCUUAAGCUCAUCAUCACAUAGGAACUAAAACUCUACCGGGAAAGGUUCUCCACGACUGCCAUGUCCUACUCGCCACGACCAUAGCUACCACUAGAGAUAAUAUCCUUUUGGCGCAGGUUUUAUGGCCUAAUGAACCUCUAUGACCUCUGGAGUAUCCUCCUCCACUCUCGAACCGAUUACUCUUUAGAACUCCAGUUUAAGGAAUUCAUCGUACAGGAAGUUUCACUUCUCUCCCUAUCUUAUUUUUAUACUCUAAUAUCUAUCUUUGUACAUUGAGGGCAAUGUACAUCUUAAGUGUGGGGGGUAUUUAUUUCAUUAUCAGAAAAUCCCUGAAUGGCUGCCUUGUUCUCUUGAAUAGCUCUCAUAUCAUAUUUAGGAUAAAUUUUGAUUGAUUUAUGAUUUUGAUUGAUAUAUCUUGAAUUAAAACAUAGACAUUUAUGCAUUGAUUGUUUAAACUUUAAGACAUUAGAGAAUCAAGCAUGAUAAGUUGAUUUUUAAGAAUUUAAAGGGAUGUAGCAGUGGCUUGUUGGAAACCCAGAGCUUUUACUUGAUCCAGGAUGUGUGAUGUAUAUGCCAUUCCGAAGUGAUCUAUGACAGAAAAAUAUUGUGGUCAGUUUGAUAAUGAUCGAGUGACAUUGCUUCUUCAGUCUUUCCCCAAAGUUUAGGUAUUACUUUGAGUUGGGAUUCAAAAGUUUUAAACAUUAAAAAGCCAUAAUUUUUGUGAGAUUUUUGAGCCUUUUAAGCAUCUAUUAAUUCUUUCAUGCUCACCUUUAUUAUUGCUUUGAGUGCAUCAAUAGUGAACUGUUAUUCUAGAAUUUGUUUGAUUAUUCAUGUUGAGACCAUACCAUUUGAUUUGAUAUGUCAAAAUGAUUAAGGCACUUAGGAUUAACCCACUCAUGCCAUGAAAAGCCUACCUCCACAAUGAACCACUAGUGAACCCCCUUGAGCCUAACAAGUCAUUUCUUGUAUUACCCUUAAUAUUAACCUUUAACUCAUUAUUGUUGAAAUCCCCUAAAUUAAUUUAAGCCCCAUUUUUGUCGAGAUUUGAAUUGAAAAAGUUGCUUAGCUAUGUUUUAUUCUACUCUGUAAUUUAAUUUGUUCUUAAAAAAAAACAUGAUUACAUAUUAGUAGUGAUCUUCUUUUUGUAAGCUUCAGAAGUUAAAUUCCUUAGUCUGAGAAGAAGCUCUGUUGUAUGCAAGUGAUGAUUAACUCUUUUUCUAGUUAGGUAAUUUUUCAAUUCAAUCUUUAUUCUAACCCUUUCUUUCAUCUUGUGACCGCAACCCCUAACCAAACCUCAUUACAACCCUCUAAAGACCUUUUGACUGAUAUAUCAUCUUAAAUUAUAGUGGUGGAGAUUUGAUUUUCAUGCAAGCCUAUGGUAAUGACUUUUCAUUAUUGACUAUUGAGUGCUUCAUUAUUUGUCCUUAAACACCUCGAGUGAUUUGAGUGAAUCGAUAGUGAGGAUGUGAAACUCUGUGAUAUUCUGAAUCAAAGGUAAUUACUUAAAUGAGGAGAGAAACAUAUGUUUGCAUGAUUAAAUACUCAACUUGGAAUGUUUGAAACUUUUAUGUUCUUUUAGUUGAAUUCUCAAUGCAUGAUUACCUAUGGAUUAUUCUGAGAUAUUAUCGAUAGAAGUUAUAAGUUGAGAAGAAUUUAUUUUGAUUAUGAGUUGAAAAUUUUGCUUGAGGACAAGCAAAUGCUUAAGUGUGGGGGUAUUUGAUAAACCGUAAUUUAUACAUAUUUUUACACCAUGUUUAAUGCAUUUUAUGGAUUAUUUUCCAUUAGAAUUGGUGAAUUUGAUGCUCCUAAUUCUUUAAUUUCAUGUUUAAACUUAGGAGAGCAUAGGAGAGUGAAAGGAACGAGAAACGGGCCAAAAACGGAGAAAAUGGGCCAAAGUACGAAAUCAACAUGGCCUGGACCUCCUCACACGGGCAGACCACACAGCCGUGUCAAUUUGGCAGGCUCGAGCACGGCCUAAAGUAAUCGCACACGGGCGUUUCCCUACCGAGCCCAAGUUGAGUCCAAUUUAGAAAAGGCUAAUUUUUAGGGCUUUUAGGCAUUCCAAAGCCUAUAAAUACACCCUAGAGAAGGAAGAAAAGAGAGGCUAGAGUAGGGGGUAAGGAAUUACUCCAAGAAAGCCAAUUGAUUCAUCUCAGAAGUCAGAUUCAUCAUCAAGACUGAAGAUCUCUCCUCAAUUCCCCUUCAGGAGUUUUGGGUUUUCUUUAUGUUUUGUAUUCUUUAUUAUUCUGAGAUGUUUUCUUAUUUAGUUAUGAAUUAAAUCCCCUAAAUACCUAAAGGGAAAGAAACCUAAGACGAAUCUUGUUAUUAUUUUCUAAAUUGUAUGAUAAAUAUUGAACUUGUUCUUAAUUAUGUGUUCUUACUUCUUAUUUUGAUAUCCCAGGAUACCGAUUCAAGAUAAGCUCUUAUUUAGAGGAGGAAUAGACCCUGUUUAAGAGUACAUUUGACAUAAUUAAGCAGAGUUGAUUGCGCGCCUAGACAUAGGGUGACAAGAUUUUUCCGGAUUAGGGUGAAGCCUAAUAAGGGGAUCCAUAGAUCGAGUUAAUGCAACCCUAGAGUGUUAAUUAGAGAAAAGUUCAGUUAUUCAAUCUAGGGAUUAGACGUUAUUAGUCUUGAAUAGGGAUAAUAACAUAACUUAGGGAUCUCUACGGAACAAGUUAAAUGAAUAAAUCAUCCAAUUCGGAGCCAGAAUAACAAGUACAGUGUAGGUGGAUUUUUCCUUAGGUAUUGUCUUCAUUCAAUCGAUUUUUCCAAAAGCAAUUCCUCAAUUCCAUUCUCUGUGCGUUCUUAGUUUAGAUAAUUAGUUAGUUAAAACAAAAACCUCUUUAUUCUUAGGCUAGAUAUAAAAAGACAAUCAUUACUAGUACUUUUAGUUCCUUUGGGUUUGACAAUCCGGUCUUGCUAAAACUAUACUACUGUUCGAUAGGCACACUUGCCUACAUCGCCAUAAUAGUUAGUUCAAGGAUGAGUAAUUAUAAAUAUUUAAAACCUAUCAUGAAAUCAUGCGAUCAGUAGGCCGUGCACAUACCAUGGGAUGAAACACAGCCGUGUGAUACGACCGUGUGAAAAUAGGGCAAAAAUUUCUUCCCCAACACGGGAUGCGAUAAGUUGCCACGGCCCUGUGACAAGGCCGUGGGCGAAACUGCCAAAAUAGCACGAGUGUGCGACACGCCCAUGUUUUGAAACCGUGGGCAAACCUGUUAAUUUAUCACCGGCAUGUGCUUGUAUACACGGGCGUGGGAGAAGCGAAUGAAGAUUGACACGGUGGUGCAACAUGGCCAAGAGCAUCGAUGCGCCCAAUUUCGAAAACCACAAAAUGUACGGGCUAAAACAAAUGUACACGGGCGUGCCCCACGGCCGUGUGCCCUAAUUUCCCUAUAAACACCUAUUAUCUAUCUUAGCUUUAUCUUUAUAUUUUGAAAUUACUUUUUAUUUCUUGUUUAUACUAUUUUAUUUUGAGUUUUGACAAUUUUCAAUUUUAGCUAUUUCAUUACGAGUAAUUAUGCUUCCUUAUAGUCUUAACUCUGUCGCAGUUAUAAAGAGCUCCAAAGCUCAUCGUCGCAUAUGAACUAAAAACUCCACUGGGAAAGGACUUAUGGACUAAUGAACCUCUACCACCACCAGAGUAUCCUUCUCCACUCUCACGCUGAUUUUUCUCCAUAACCCCAAUUUAAGGAGUUCAUUCAUUAUUUAGGAAGAUUCACUUCUCUGCCUAUCUUAUGAUUAUCAAUAUAUCUUUGUACAUUGAGGGAAAUGGACAUCUUAAGUGUGGGGGUCUUUUAUAUCGUCAUUAGAAAUCCCUGAAUUCUCAUGUGAUCUUCUCAUGCCAUGAUUAGAAUGAAUUUUGAUUAAUUUAUGAUUUUUAUUGAUAUGUCUUGAAUUAAAACUUAGGCAUUCAUGCAUUGAUUGUUUAAACUUUAAGAUAUUAAAGAAUCAAGCAUGAUAAGUUGACUUUUGAAUUUAAAAUUUUAUAGGUUGCUUCUCCCAAAUUUAGGUAUUAUCUUGAGUUGAAAUUCACAGGUUUAAAUAGCAAAAACCCAUAAUUUUUUGUGAGAUUUUGAGCCUUUAGAGCAUCUAUCAUUUCUUUCAUGCUCACUUUUAUUGUUGCUUUGAGUGCGUCAGUAUUGAAUUGUUAUUCUAGAACUUUCUUGACUAUGCAUGUCCAGACCACACCAUUUGAUUUGAUAUUUCAAAAUGAUAAAGACACUUAGGUUUAAGCCACUCACUCCACAAAAGCCUACCUUCAUAAUUAACCCUUAGUAAACCCCUUUGAGCCUUACAAGCCAUUAAUUGAUUUACCCUCAAUAUUAACCCAUAAACAAUUAUUGUUGAAAUCCCUUAAUUUGAUCCCUAUUUUUGUCGAGAUUUGAUUUGAACUAAUUUCUUAGCUAUGUUUUGAUCUUCUAUGUAUUUAAUUAUGUGUUCUAAAAUAAAAAAAUAAAAAAGCAUUCAUACUUACAUUGUAGUAGUAAUUCAGUAGUGUUGAGUCGUAGUAUCUAAAUUCUAUCUUCUGAGAAGAAGCUCAAUUGUUCUCAAUUGAUGUUUAAUUACUUUUUCUAGUUAGGUAAAUUUUCAAUUCAAUCUCGAUUCUAACCUUUUCUUUCAGCUUGUGACCACACCCCCUAAUCAAGCCUCGUUACAACCCUCUAAAGACCUUUUGGUUGAUGUAUCAUCUCAAUUUAUAGUAGUGGAUAUUUGAUUUUCAUGCAAGCCUAUGGUAAUAACUUUUCGUAUUGACUGAUGAGUGCUAAUUUCAUUGUCCUUAAACACUUCGAGUAAUUUGAGUGAAUCUUUAGUGAGGAUGUUAAACUCUGUGAGAUUUUGAAUCGAGGGUAACCACCUAGAUAAGGGGAGAUGCCUAAGUUUUUCAUGAUUAAAUACUCAACUUGGAAUGUUUGAAGCACUAAUAUUCUUUCAGUUGAAUUUUCAAUGUAUGAUUACCUAUGGAUUAGUUUGAGAUAUUAUUGAGAAGAAUUUAUUUUGAUUAUGAGUUGAGGAUUUUGCUUGAGGAUAAGCAAAUGCUUAAGUGUGGGGGUAUUUGAUAAACCGUAAUUUAUACAUAUUCCUAUCCCAUGCUUAGCACAUUUUAUGAAUGAUUUUUCCUUAGAUUUGGUGAAUUCGAUGCUCCUAAUGCAUUAAUUUCAUAUUUUAUACUUAGGUGAGCAUAGAAGAGUGAAAGGAAUGAGAAACGGGCCAAAAAUGGAGAAAAUGGGCCAACAUACAAUAUCAACACGGCCUGGACUUCCUCACACGGGCAGACCACACGACCGUGUCAAUUUGGCAGAAUAGAAGCAUGACUCGCACGGGUGGACCACACGGCCGUGCCUAUUUAACAGGCUUGACCACGGCUUGAAGUAAUCGCACACGGGCGUGUCACAUGGGCGUGUCCUUAUCGAGCCCAAGUUGAAUCCAAUUCGAAAAAGGACAAUUUUGAUGGUUCUUAAGCAUUUUAAAGCCUCUAAAUACACCCUAGAGGAGGAGGAAAAGGGACAUACAGAGGAGGAAGCAGGGAACUGCUCAAGGAAAGCCAAUUGAUCCAUCUCAGAAGUCGGAUUCAUCAUCAAGACUGAAGAUCUCCCAUCAAUUUCCCUUCAGGAGUUUUGGGUUUUUCUUUAUGUUUUGUAUUCAUUAUUCUUCUGAGAUGUUUAUCUUUUUAGUUAUGAACUAAAACCUCUAAAUACCUAAUGGGAAUGAAACCUAAGACAGAUCUUAUUAUUAUCUGAAUUGUAGGAUAAAUAUUUGACUUGUUCUUAAUUAUGUGUUCUUAAUUCUUGUUUUGAUAUUCCAGGAUAUUGAUUCAAGUUAAGCUCUUAUUUAGAGGAGGAAUAGACCCUGUCUAAGAGUACAUUUUUCAUAAUUAAGUGGAGUUGAUUGCGUGCCUAGAGAUAGGGUGACAAGAUUUUAUUAGAUUAGGGUGAAACCUAAUAAGGGGAUCCAUAGAUCGAGUUAAUGCAACCCUAGGGAGUUAAUUAGAAAGAGAUUUCAAUUAUUAAACCUAGGGUUAGACGUUGUUAGUCUCGAGAGAGAUAAUAAUAUAACUUAGGGAUUUCUACGGAUCAAGUCAAAUGAAUAAAUCGUCCGAUUCAGAGUCAAAUAACAAGUGAAGUCUAGGUGGAUUUUUCCUUAGGUAUUGUCUUAAUUCAAUCGUUUUUCCAAAAGUAAUUCCCCAAUUCUAUUUUCUGUAAAUUCUUAGUUUAAUUAAUUAGUUAGUUAAAACAAACCCCAUUAUUCUUAGGCUAGAUAAUAAAAAGGAAGUAAAUUCUAGUACUCGUAGUUCCUUUGGGUCCGGCAAUCCGAUCUUGCUGAACUAUACUACUGUUUGAUAGGUACACUUGCCUUAAUCGUGAUAAUAAGUUAGUCUCAAGAACGUUUCAUUUAUAAAUUUUUAAAACCUGUUACGAAUAUCACGCAUUACUUAAUGAUAACCUAAGAGGCUACUAAAUCAGCUAAGUACAUGACUAACCUUAGCAAAACAAAAAUUACAAACAAACUAAACAUAAGUCACAUGUUACAAAAAGUUUUAACAACCAAAUUACACAUUGGACAUUUGCUUGCUGCUGCAUUGUUGCCAACUUUCAACAGAUAGCUAGUGGACGGCAUUACAUAUUUGACCAAAUUACUCCCAUUGUGCUAGUUUAAGGAUUAGAUUACACCAAAUAAAAAUUGUGGAACUGCAUUAAACAUGUGCAAUGGUUUUGAUGUCCCUAUACCUCUAUUCAACUUCGCUAUUAAGGCUCCAAAGACCAAUAUAUUUGUAUGUGUUUGUCUGUAUAUUUGUUUUUAUAUGACAGCAGAAGGUAUAGUCUUUUAAAUCUGCAUGGCAAUGUCAAACAAAAUAUUUCUAGGUUGCUCUAAUUUCAGUUUAACCAUGAUAAUUGUGCUAUGAUGAUUUCUUCUAUCUAGUUUGGAAAUAAUUUUUACUAUCAAAUUGUCAUAUCCAAUCCAUGCAGCUCUUCUCUUAUUCCAUCUACAUGGAUAAUUCAUGGAACAGUCUUGCGAUAUCUGUUCUAUCUCAGGUAACUCUCAGUUCAGCUGAAAUAAAUUCAAGUUCUUGCUUUAAAUUUGAUCUCACGAUGGCCUUUUAUUACUAUUGUUGGAGAAAAGCAUUCACCAAACUCAAAUUACCUGUGAUCAAUUUUUGCAAGUGAUCAACUACAUGACUGAGGAUGUGUUUCCUUCCUAAAUUUCCAUCUCUUUACCAUCAUGCUUUCUCUUUGAGAUAUUUUGCUAUCCCUGUAAAUCUGCAUUUUGUUACACAUGCAUUACUGAAUUCUUCCCUUUAAUUCUACUUCCCUUCUAUUAUUAGGUUAUGAAGUUUUGAUUUCUUUUAGCAAAACCAACAGGAGAUGUUUGUUUCCCCAAAAUUAGUUGUAUAAGUUUAAAAUGAUGAAUUAUUAUAGAGUUGAUGCUGAUAGUUCUGUUUUCUGUCUGCUUCAAUAGAUUGUGCACAACUGCCCUGAAGAUUUCCUUGAAGCAGAAAAUUUUGCUUGCCUAGUGGUGGAACUUUGUUUGGGUUGCCUUUUUAGAGUUUUUCACUGGUAUAAAAUUUACCAUGAUAUUUAAGUAAUUUUUGUAGAUUGCUAGUGAAACUCAUCGACAAUUCUAACCUUGGGCAAUAAUGAUCUUGUUUUCUGCAUUCAAUGCUAGUGCAUUCUCACCUGUUCAAGCCUGCUGGGAAGAUUUAUUGUUUCCACUAUUUGUUGCUACGAAGACAAUAAUGAGGCGUUUUCAACCAAAAGUGUGUUUGGUGUAUUUUUUUAGAUUUCUAUUAUGCCAUAUGAUUUUGUCUUGUGAUUCUUUACCAAGAUUUAUCUUUGGCUUAUUGCAAUCUUAUUGGUUAUUUUGUUUUUAAUUACUAACUCAUUGCCUACUGAACCACAUGUGCCAAAAGAUGCAGAAACACCUGCAUUCAGUAGCAUUGGCAUUUCUUUUGAUUGGCUACAAAUUCAUCAGACAAGUUUCAACUGAGUUGUCCCUAUCAAAAGUUACUGAUAUUGUGAAGUGUGUGAAUUCCUUGUUGAAGAAACUCAUUGAUGGUGAGCAUUUUUCCUGUUUUUUCUGUUUACAUUUAUAAGAAUACACCUACAUUUUAAACAUGUAAUUUCUGUUUCUUCGUAGGUCAUUAAGAUGAUUUAGUUAAGGAUCUGAAAAUAAUAUCUAAUAUUCAUUAGAUUUGUUAGUGAGUAUUUUUGUUAUUUCAUUGAAAUUUAACAUUAUUUUUCAGCUAGAUUUAUGCAUCAAACCAUGUUAUAUGGAAAAUCAACUUUUUGUGCUUCAAUAUUUGAAUUUUUAUUGUAUCAAAAUCAGUGUUCCAGGAAAUGUUUAUGCCUUUUUAUUGCCGCAAAUAAAGUUCUCAAAUGGACUUCUACAAUGUCUCGAAAUUAAUAUGGGAAAAUUAUACUGCUACAAAGUAGUAGAUAAAUCACAUUAACAAAAAAGAUUUCUUAGCUAAGCAAUGUUUGUAAAUUUGUAGGUAAAAAGCAAAAUUGUUUAGAAGUAAGAGGAAUGAUCAGUGACAUUCAAAGAAAAAAUCAUGUUGAAUACGUAAGCCCAUGAAAUUAACAAUAAUUAAAGAAAAAAAGCUUUUUCUGCACUUAUGCUGCCGACAUUAACCAUCUGAUUUCUGAAUACCACAUUUUAUUUGAUGAUUCAUUUUUCUACAAAUGUUCUUGAAAAGGAGCACAUACUCUUUUUUUGGGUGAAUGACGAGGGGAAAACACAUCAUUUAAGAGUGAGGAUUUGGUUAGAUUUAUUGCAUCGUCAUGUGUAUCAAAUAUGAUCAUAUUGUGGCUGUUUACUCAUUUAUGGUUGCUUGGAGGCUAAUUGAAAUUUAUGUUGCAGAUGCUCCUAAUCUUGGUGAUGAUGCCAUUGUCCACCUGAGAAAUAUUUUAUGCACUUCUCUAGAUGAACUUGCUGAUUUGACCAAGGAUUGCAUUGAAGGCAUUCAUCUCCUGCAUAAUAAGAGAUCUGACUUACGCAAACUACUGCUAUUGAAGCUUGCAUUCUCUAUUGAACAGAUAGUUAUGUUGCCCAAGAUAAUGCAUGAAAUUCAAUGUCUAGAAGGCAACAAAGAUAGUGAUCCUAUCUACUUUUCGGUGUUCAAAUUUUGCACUAAUUGUAUGCUUACUAUACUAACUGACUCAAAUUUACAGGUAACUUAAACCUUUCAUGUCUUUAAUGUCCAGGUCUACCUGCCUGUUUUAUGUACAAAACAGUGUAUGACUGAUAAUCAAACACUUUUGGGGCACAGGUACAGGCUAUCGGUUUGCAGGUGCUGUAAAGCGUGGUACUGAAAAGUAACAAUAUGGAAGACAACAGUUCCAUCGUAUUCUUUAUUGGAGAGCUGGUUGGGGGCAUUCUCACCAUAAUAAAAAAACAUGUUAAUGGUGCACCUUCGAUUCAUUUCCACAAAUUUAAACCAUGUUGCUCCUUGCAAGUAAUUUUCUGAGGAUUUGUGUUAUUCUUGGUGACAGAAAUCCAUGACUAAAGAAUUAGUUGUUAUUGUGGGGGAGUGCUUACAAGUCCUAAUGCUCCUGCAAACAGUUUCAAAAGAGAGUGAUUGCCAGAGAGGGUUUAUGAGUCUCUUUUUGGAAGCUAUUGUUAUGAUCUUCUCGGCAUCAGAGGAUAAUUUUUCUCAGGUAAUUUGUUCAAGAGCCUUCAACAUUUGAAAUUGGAACAAGUAUUUCUAUGGUUGUUUUAAACAAUCUUUUGUUUAUGAUCAUGUUGGUAGGAAGUCAAUGACAUAAGAAACACCGCCAUUAGGCUUGUUUCUCAUCUUGCACAAAUUCCUUCUUCGGCUGGUCAUCUCAAGGAUGUGUUGUUAUUGAUGUCUGAGACACAUAGACAUCAACUUCAGGUGUUUUUGCUUUCUAUUUCUUUCUAUAUAAAUGACAAGUUUUUCUAUUGUGAUUGAAAGAAACAUAAAAUGGGAAAUUUCAAGUUUGGUAAACUUGUUAACUGUAUUGUUAGAUCGAACCUGAUGGCUUUAUUUUUUCCUUUCAAGAAACAUAGAUCUAGUUUACUAAUAGCUUUUCUCCACAUGUUUCUGUUAGAGCAAUGGAUUCACUUUUUUUUAUAGAAAUAGGCAAUUGAAGACUUUGUUGCCUAAAGUUUUGUUCGAUUUGCAAUUUUCAUUUUUCCCAUGGCCACAUUGUCCAGAAAUAAUAAUCACCAUUCUUUUUUCAGGGGGAUAUUCGUGCUUCAGUAACACUGGACCAUAGUGUUGGAGAAACAAAAUCUCUGGCACUGCCAUUAGAGAUUAAACUACCAGUUCCACUUGAAAUGAGAACAGAGGACAAUGCUUUACCAUCAGCUACUCAAGUGAAGCUUAAACAGCAAAGUGAAGAAAGAUAUUCAUCUUUAUAAGCCACCCCUAUAGGUAACAAUAAUGAUGACAUGGAAGAAAAUGAAGAGGAUGAAGAUGAUUGGGAUGCCUUCCAGUCUUUUCCAGCCACAAAGAAUGUAGCUGAAACUGGUUCUGUAGUUGAGAGUACAGUAAAAGAACCAGACCAUGAUGAGUCCAUCUCUUCUGCUUUGGAAAUCAGUACUGAUAAUAGUCAGCAAUAUUCAUCUUCAGAAAAUCACAAUAGUAUAAAUAACGUUAAUGCGGAGCAUUCAGAGGUUGCAAUAGAAAUAUUAACUGAUUGCUCAGGUGACGGAGGUAACAGGGAGAAGAUUUUGUCUGAUCUUGUAGUUGAAGAAGUGAAAGAAUUAUCCGCGAAGAUAGAGGAGCAUGCGUAAAAAAGGGUAUCAACUGAAACUGGAAAUAGUAAAGAUGCUGAAGGAUCAAUCGAUGUGGCAGGGGAUGAAGAGCAGCAAAAGGAGAGUAUAGUUGAACAUAAUAUGUGUUAAGAGUAUAGUUGACUCUGUUAUUGAGCUAGCUUGUUAGUUGUUAGUCUGUUACUCAAGUAGUUAAGUUGUUAGCAAUAGUAGUUACUCUUGUAUUUAAAAAAUACUAUCACUAUAAUGUACAAUUCAACAUAUACCAAUCCAGAUACAAAGAUUUCUUUCAAAUACUCUACAUAUUUCUAGUCUAUCUUUUCAAUACGUAGUAGUGCUUUCAUUCAUUCAAUUCUCAAUGUAUUAGUUACUCGCAAUAGAUGUUAACAUGGUAUCAGUCGCCUAAGGUGCUGGAGACCUGUUCUUAGUUUGUUUCCAUGAUCACCACUGUCUCUGCUGAUUCUACCUCAGUCGACCCUAGCUAUCCGACGUUCAUUAGUGCUAGGCUCGUCUAGUCGUUUCCUCGACGUAAGACUGUCAAGUUGGAUGAAGGUACAUUUGUUUAGUGGCAGCAGCAUGUUCAUUUGAUCGUUGAAGUAUACGAGUUGACCGACUUUUUGGAUGGAACAAUACCAACUCUAUCGUGAUUUGUGUAGUCUUCGGAGGGCUUCCUCAUUCUGAAUCCGGAUGCAUCAGCCUUUUUUCAACAAGACAAGUUACUUGCUUCAUGGUUACUCUUCACAAUUAAUUCCUCACUUCAUGGUUACUACCACUGAAUGGCGUGCCGCAGCUCAAGUAGAAUUUGAUGCUCUUAUUCAUAAUUCCAUCUGGGAUCUUGUUCCGUUACCACCUAAUCACAAGGUAAUCGGGUGUAAAUGGCUUUUCAAGGUCAAGAAAAAUCCUGAUGGCACUAUCGUUUGUCGCAAGGCUUGGUUGGUUGUUAAAGGAUGUUCUCAGACCCCUAGAUCUAAUUUCAAGCAAAUGUUCAGUUCGGUCUGCCGCUAUUCGAGUCAUUCUGUCAGUUGUUGUCUCCAACAGAUGGCAGCUCCAUCAAGUUUAUGUGAAUAAUACUUUUUUGAAUGGCGAUCUUACUGACGAAGUGUUCAUGCAAAACCUUUGGGGUAUGUUCAGUAUGGUUCGAAUGGCAAAACGUUAGUCUAUCAUUUGAAGGAAGCUUUAUAUGGGUUUCGUCAGGCUCCACGUGCCUGGUUUGAUAAAUUGAAGACUUUCCUCAUUUUUGUUGGCUUUGUUAUAUCCAAAUCUGCUGCAUCUCUAUUUGUUCGAAUUACAACUAACUCCACUAUUUAUGUGCUUGUGUAUAUGGAUGACAUUAUCAUUACCAAAAGCAUGCCUACUUGUAUAACUAGCUUUGUUCAGCAGUUGAACGACAAGUUCUAACUUAAUGAUAUGGGUGAUCUCCAUUAUUUUCUCAGGAUUGAGGUUACUCGUUCCUUCACAGGGUGUUUACAUCUUUGCCAAAGAAAUUACAUCUGUGAUCUACUCAACAGGAGUUCUAUGGCUCAUGCAAAGAGUGUCCAUAGUCCAAUGAUUAGCUCACCUACUCUGUCCAAGGAUGAAGGGGAUCAUCUCAGUGAUCCUACCGAGUACAGAAGUCUUGCAGGUGCUUUAUAGUAUGCGGUUCUGACUCAUCCUGAUAUUGCUUAUGCGAUAAAUCGUAUAUGCCAGUUCAUGUAUGCACCCACUACUGUUCAUUUUGCCGUUAUAAAGAGAAUCAUGUGAUAUUUAUAUGGUACAAGGGAUUGUUUUUCGUCCAUCCGCCUGACUUUUUUUAGUUGGUUAUGCAGACGCUAACUAAGGGCUCGAUUUUGACGAUCGUCACUUUAUGACAGGCUAUAGUGUAUAUUUUGGUCACAUAUUGGUCUCUUGGUGUUCCAAUAACCAGCAAGUGGUUUUGCGGUUUACGACUGAUGCUGAAUAUCAAAGUCUUGCUGUAGCUACUAGUGAUAUUACUUAGCUAGUCUCGUUACUAAAGGAGUUGCAACUUAAAAGUGUUGAUCCACCUACUAUUUGGUGUGACAACUCUAGUGCAGUUGCCGUAGCUGCCAAUCCUAUUUUACAUUCCAAAUUCAAACAUGUCAAGCUUGAUCUAUUUUUUGAACGUGAAAAGGUCGCUGAUGGCUCCAUUGUUGUUGGUGAGGUUCCUGCGUGUGAUCAAGUUACCGACAUUCUCACCAAGCCACUCUCUAUAUCGUCUUUUGCUAGAUUUCGGAAUCUUCUUCGGGUCUUACCUCUCGAGAAGAUGGGUGAAUGUUAAGAGUACAGUUGAUUCUGUUAUUGAGCUAGCCUAUUAGCUGUUAGUCUGUUACGCAAGUAGUUAAGUUGUUAGCAAUAGUAGUUACUCUUGUAUUCUAUAAAUACUAUCACUAUAAUGUACAAUUCAAAAUAUACUAGUCCAGAUACAAAGAUUUCUUUCAAAUACUCAACAUAUUUCUAGUCUAUCAUUUCAAUAAGUAGUAGUGCUUUCAUUCAUUCAACUCUCAAUGUAUUAGUUACUCACCAUAGAUGUUAACAUGGUAUUAGUCGCCUAAGGUGCUCGAGACCUAUUCUUAGUUUGCUUCCAUGACCACCACCACCUCUGCUGAUUCUGCCUUGAUCGACCCUGGCUGUUCGGCGUUCACUAGUGCUAGGCUCGUCUAGUUGUUUCCUCGACAUGAGACUAUCAAGUUGGAUGAAGGCAUAUUUGUUCAAUGGCAGGAGCAUGUUCGUUUGUUCUUCGAAGGAUACGAGUUGACUGAAGCUUUGGAUGGAACAAUACCGACUCUACCGCGAUUUGUGCAGUCUUCGGAGGGCUUGCUUGUUCUGAAUCUGGAUGCAUCAGCCUUUGUUCAACAAGACAGGUUACUUGCUUCAUGGUUACUCUCCAUAAUUAAUUCAUCACUUUUAUCUUUUUUUACAGAGGCACGAACGGCUUGUGAUGUGUGGAACACCACCACUCAUCUCUUCGUUGCUCUUACAGGUGCGAAGCUCUCUCAUCUUCGUCACAAUUUGCAUUCACUCAAGAAAGGUAGCCUCUUGGUCAAAGAAUAUAUGGCUAAGAUCCAAAAUACGAGUGCCUUGCUAGAGGCCUCCGAAUAUUGGAUCUCUGAGGCAAAAAAAAGUAAAGAUAGUGCUUGCGGCCUUACCUCCAGAGUUUGACGCCGUUAUUACUUUGGCUUCGUUCUCGUCGGACCCUCUGCCAUUUCAACGCCUCAUCGAUGUCUUGCUUGAGUAUAAGAACCGUCAGGUGCGUACGGUCCAGGAUGUACCUCUUUAUGCCAACCUUUUAGUGACCAUUCCAUUGCCGGCUAUUAUUAGCUAUGUCCAUGGUGGUUGUCCCCUAUUUAGAGCCUGCGGGAGAGGAUUCCAAUACUGCAUACAAUGUCAGAUAUGCAGACAAUUCGGGCAUCUAGCCCAAAGGUGCUUUUACCUCUACAACCGUGAGUAUGAUGGCCCGUCAUCGGGUGUUUAGGCGCCAAAUCUGACAGAUCAUCAUGCUUCGUCAAUGGUCUAUGGUGGGCUUCAUAGUUCUUCUUCGACGGAGCAACGGAGUAAUUAUUCAGGAGGUAAUUUUUGGCCUUAUGCACCUAUGUCUUGAAAUAAUGGGGGUUCUAACCCUUUUGUUCAAAAUGGUGAUGCUGGCAUAUACCGUAGGCCCAUGAUGGGUCAAACUUUCAUUUUAGACUUGAACGUGCAUAGUACUAUGCGUCUAAAUUUGUUAAUGAUGGGGGUUCUAUGCCAUUUAGGCUUGGUCAUUCUAAUAGGCCGGCUAACGAUGGAGGUUCUAGGCCGAUUGGGCUUGCUGGCUUUAAUGGGCAUAUGCAAUCUGACCCAGGCCAAGAAUUUGAGGGUGCUUUAUCUUUUUUUAGGUCGCAUGCUCCUACUCUUCCAAAUAGGCCAGUGUCGAAUUAUGUAGAAUUUGCUACCUGAUCGUGGCCAAAACCUUAGGGUUCCAGGUGAUGCUGCUUGUAAUGAGUCUGGGUCGUCUGUUCCUUAGCGAACCAAACUACGGGCUCGUGUUUACACUGGGUCCUAUCCAUGCAUUAGGCUCUCCCAUCUACCCGACUUGCAUACCUCCAAUGUAUCUGACUCCACUAGGUCUCAUAUUAAUACCACUCAAUAUGGCUCCAACUGUGACGACACUGAUUCCUAUAUUCCUAUACAUAUCAAAACUGCAUCUUGGUAUCCAAACUCAGGGGCUACACACCAUGUAUUUCGCGAUAACUCUACUUUACAUGACUCUACCCCUUAUUUAGGGACAUCCUCUCUCUUAAUAGGUGACGGGACUCCCACCAUGAUCUCGUAUGUUGGUAAUUUGGUUUUACCUAUGCACUCUAAAUUGUUUCGUUUAUCUAAUGUUUUGUGCGUUCCAACUAUAAGGAAAUAUCUCCUAUCUGUAUCUUAGUUUUUCACUUACAAUGGUGUGUUUUUUGAAUUUCACCUAACGUAUUAUGUUAUUAAGGACAUCAUGACUCGAAAAAUUGCUGAAUGGCCACAUCUGUGAUGGGCUCUAUCAUUUUUCUCUGCCGGUUGCAUCUGCUCAGUUUGCUGUAGCUUCUUCUACUACCCACAUUGGACUCCAGAAUCAGUCUGAUGACUAUGCUAUAUUUUCUUUAUUGCAUAGGCGCCUUGGUCAUCCCUUUGUUUCUAUUGUUAAAUCUGUUUUAAAUAAAUAUAAUAUUGUUUCAAAUAAAGCUUCUCUUGAUAGUGUUUUUACUGCUUGUCAAAAAGGGAAAUCUCAUAAAUUGCCCUUUCUUGAUUCGACUACUGAAUACAAUGAUCUAUUUACCUUUAUUGUCUCUGAUCUCUGGGGUCCUACAUCAGUUGCCUGUGGUAAUAAUUGGUAUUAUGUAUCUUUUAUUGACAUUUUCACUCAUUUUACUUGGAUUUAUCUUCUUCGACGAAAGUCUAAGGCCAUGGAUUGCUUCGUUCAGUUUCAACAAUUAGUCAAAACUUAAUUUCAAAAAACUAUCAAAUAAUUUCAAUGUGAUUGGGGCAGUGAACAUCGAGCCUUUAUUUUUGUUCUUACAACACAAGGGUUAAUUCAUCGGUUGUCUUGUCACAUACCUCCGAACAGAAUGGAGUGGCUGAACACAAACAUCGGCAUAUUGUUGACAUGGACGUCGCACUUUUGGCUCAAGCAAAUCUCUCUAUGGAAUUUGGGCCUAUGUAUUUUGUUGUGUUGUUCAUCUCAUCAACCAUCUUCCUACCUUGGUUUUGAAAGGACAGACUCCGUAUCGCACUCUUCAUGGACAAGAUCCCACAUAUGAUCAUCUAUGCGUAUUUAGGUGUUGUUGUUUUCCAUAUUUACGAAUGUUUCAGCGUCAUAAAUUGGAUUUUUGAUCUCCACCCUAUACGUUAUUGGGAUAUAGUUUUGAACACAAAGGAUAUCAGUGUCUUUUGCUGGAUGGUAAGAUUAUCAUUUCUCGUCAUGUUGUGUUCGAUGAACAAUGAUUUUUGUCUUUUUGUCUGCUACGUAGGGUUUCGUGUCUUCAUCUGGUUCCAUAACGAUGUUUGUUCCUAUUGUAAAGACUAUCCCUUCUCGGCCCGUGGAAUUCUCAUCCUAUUUACCGUCAGCUUUUCCUCCUAUUUGCCGCCUCUCACCCACUGUUUUUGAGGUUCCUCGGGCUGAGGUGGGCUCUGGCCGUGAGACUCAUAGUUCUACCUCAUUACCCAAUAGUGAUGCGGAUCCUAGCUCUACCGUGUCUCCUACUACUGUUCAGUCCUCUCUUUCGGUUCAAAAAUCUUCUUGGCCUCCGACAAAUACUCAUUCGAUGGUUACUCGGUCUAAGGCUGGCAUUUUUAAGCCCAAGGCUUUGUCGUUGGGCUAUUGAGCCACAAACCAUUAAGGAGGCUUUUUCUACCACCGAAUGGCAUGCUGCAGCUCAAGCAGAAUUUGAUGCUCUUAUUCAUAAUUCCACCUGGGAUUAUGUCCCGUUACCACCUAAUCGCAAGGUAAUCGGGUGUAAAUGGCUUUUCAAGGUCAAGAAAAACCCUAAUUGCACUAUCGCCCAUCGUAAGGCUCAGUUGAUUACUAAAGGAUGUUCUCAAGCCCUUAGAUCUGAUUUCAAGGAAACGUUCAGUCCGGUGAUCAAACCUACCACUAUUCGAGUGGUUCUAUCAGUUGCUGUCUCCAACGAAUGGCAGCUCUGUCAAGUUGAUGUGAAUAACGCUUUUUUGAAUGGCGAUCUUACUGGCGAAUUGUUCAUGCAACAACCUCUGGGGUAUGUUCAGUAUGGUUCGCAAUGGCAAACCGUUCAUCUAUCAUCUGAAGAAAGCUUUAUAUAGACUUCGUCAGGCCCCACGUGCCUAGUUUGAUAAAUUGAAGACUUUUCUCGUUUUUGUUGGCUGUGUUAUAUCCAAAUCUGAUGCAUCUCUGUUUGUUCGAAUUACAACUAACUCCAUUCUUUAUGUGCUUGUGUAUGUGGAUGGCAUUAUCAUUACCGGAAGCAUACCUACUUGUAUAACUAGAUUUGUUCAGCAGUUGAACGACAAGUUCUCACUUAAAAAUAUCGGUGAUCUCCACUAUUUUCUCGGGAUUGAGGUUACUCGUUCCUUUACAGGGUGUUUUCAUCUUUACCAAAGAAAGUACAUCUGUGAUCUACUCGACAGGAGUUCUAUGACUCAUGCAAAGAGUGUCUAUACUCCAAUGAUUAGCUCAUCUACUCUGUCCAAGGAUGAAGGGAAACGUCUCAGUGAUCCUACCAAGUACAGAAGUCUUGCAGGUGCUUUACAGUAUGUGGUUCUAACUCAUCCGGAUAUUGCUAAUGCAGUAAAUCGUAUAUGCCAGUUCAUGCAUGCACCCACAACUGUUCAUCUUGUCGCCUUAAAGAGAAUCAUGCGAUAUUUAUGUGGUACACUUGAUUAUGGGAUUGUUUUUCGUCCGUCUGCCCGACUUUCUUUAGUUGGUUAUGCAGAUGCUAACUGGAGGCUGAGUUUUGACGAUCGUCGCUCUAUGACUUUGUGUAUAUUUUGGUUACACACCUGUCUCUUGGUGUUCCAAUAAGCAACAAGUGGUUUUACGGUUUACGGCUGAGGCUGAAUAUCGAAGUCUUGCUGUAGCUACUAGUGAUAUUACUUGGCUAGUCUCUUUACUAAAGGAGUUGUAACUUUAUAGUGUUGAUCCACUUACUAUUUGGUGUGACAACUCUAGUGCAGUUGCAGUAGCUGUCAAUCCUGUUUUACAUUCCAAAUUCAAACCUAUCAAGCUUGAUCUAUUUUUUGUACGCGAAAAGGUCGCCGAUGGCUCCAUUGUUGUUGGUGAGGUUCCUGCGUAUGAUCAAGUCGUCGACAUUCUCACCAAGCCACUCUCUGUAUCAUCCUUUGCUAGAUUUUGGAAUCUUCUUCGAGUCUUACCUCUCGAGAAGAUGAAUGAAUGUUGAGAGUAUAGUUGACUCUGUUAUUGAGCUAGCCUCUUAGCUGUUAGUCUAUUACUCAAGUAGUUAAGUUGUUAGCAAUAGUAGUUAUUCUUGUAUUCUAUAAAUACUAUCACUAUAAUAUACAAUUCAACAUAUACUAGUCUAGAUACAAAGAUUUCUUUCAAAUACCCAACAUAUUUCUAGUCUAUCUUUUCAAUACGUAGUAGUGCUUUCAUUCAUUCAAUUCUCAAUGUAUUAGUUACUCACCAUAAAUGUUAACAAUAUGGAUCAGGAACAGCAUUGAAAGCCAGGGAGGGACAUUGAUGAUUGAAAGAUAAGUUUUUUUUUUCCUUAUGAAGUUUUGUAUGUUUUGGCUGCCAACUGAUAAGAGAGAGUGAGAGUGAGAGAGAGUUGAUAAUAGCCAUAGAAAGGUUUGAAAUCACAUUGAAUGUCUUAUUGCAAGAUGUUGGCCCGUGACUUUUUAAAGUUGUUUAUUAUAAAAACAUGACUUUUUUUUUGAUUGGUGGUUUAUAAUGAAACCAAUAAGUAGUCGGGCAAUUAAUCUUAUUGCAAAAUAGAGAAAGGAAAAGAAUAAAUUACUUUAAAAUUUAGCCCCUGAGAAAACAAUUUCUAUUUGUAUUUUUUGAAAAUUGAAAAUGAAAAUCUAUUUCUCAAAAUAAAUAUAUGUACUAUUUUUUUCAUAAUUGAAACAUGAGAUAUAAUUACUAAAUAGUAAUUAAUUUAGUGUAGGUUUUAAUUAAAUGUGUUAUUAAUAUAAAAUAAAAUUGAUUUAAAUAAAAAGUGGUUCUAGACUUCUAGUAUUCGUGGCCAUCUCUUCGAGGUUGAUGGUUUAUAUUCAUUCUCUUACUAAAAUAUUUCAAAUAUAGUGGAGGUGUCUGCGAAUUUGUUCCACAAUAUUUGCAAUUGGUCAAUUUGAUAAAUGGAUUAACCAGACUCUUCUUUUCUUAAUCUAGAAGAUUGAGUUUCUUAAGACAAUUCAAUAGUUUUGUACGGUCUUGUAAAAAAUUGUUACCAAAAGGAAAAAAAAUUAAGACCAUUCAUACCAACCUGGGCAAUUCUUAAGCAAUCAAGCUUCGAUCCUCCUGUUGGAAGAUGCGACGUUGAUAAUAUUAUUAUUGUAUAAAAAUGAUUCUUAUAAUACGUAAGAGGUGAGGCAAGUAAGAGUGGAUGGUGACUAAAAUAAAUCUCGAGAAAACUUAUGAUAUAUUGGAUUGGAAUUUUAUAGAGGAUAUUCUUGUUGAUAUUGAGCAACAUAGUCAGUUAUGUAAUUUUGUAUUGUUUCAUUAAAUUGCUUUCUGUGUAGAUUGUCUGGAAUUAUAAUGUAGCACCCCAAACCCAGCCCAGAAGUUAUGGCCGGAUCCGACAUGCCACAUCAAAAAUGUUAAAAAAAAAUUUCCAUUCUAAGUCCAGAAAAUCGUACUUGAUUUUCAAAAGAUUAAUUCAUUAAGGGUUAAAGUUAAUGGAAGCUGUGCACCAGGUAGAAAACCGGGAAAGAGGAGGUGAGUCCAUCGGACUGCUUAAGUACCAAACUCCCUUCGGAUCCAAUCCUAGACAUGCAAACCGCCAUUGCCAUACCUUAAUGUCAUGUAUAUUUCUAGGAAACCGAUUUGAUUAAGUCCUUUUUAGGAAAAGUGAUUAAUUUUGGAAAAUAUCUUCAUUGCGGAAGCUUUGCCUGUUUUCGUGUUAUUUUGAAAUCAAUUACUGUUUUUGAAAAUGCACCCUAAAGCUAUCUAAUUUCAACAUUUAAAAUAUAAAUAUUACCUAUCUUAAUAAAACAUAUAAAAACCAUCAAAAAUAAAUAAGCGGCCUUAUUACAUUUAAAAGCCCAAAACCUCAAACGUAAUUAAAAGGAUGUCCAGUUCACCAAAAGAAAAUCAAACUUUCAGAACGGGUGGCCACUCUGAAUUCCCUCACAGCUCCAAGCCCACUAUGGUUGGGGAUUUCCUGCGUGGAUGAAAAUAAAAGGGGUGAGUUUGGGGAAACUCAGUGUGUAAGGAAAACCCAUUCAAAGCCCAAGUCAGCUCAAGCCUAUUGGGCCUAAGCCCAUUCAGGUAACAGUGGUACUGGGCCAGAGCCCUUUUCAGAUUAUAAUAAACUGGGCCUUAGCCCCUUAUUCAGAUAACAGUAUGGCCUAUAGGCCCAUUUCAAAAUACAUGCAACAUCAAUAACAUAUGCAAGCCCAUUUGGGGAGACUACUCAACCCACCAACCACUACACUCCACCCGUACAAGCCAUACACUCCAUGUGGGGGAUAGCUCAACCCACCCAGCCCAACACUCCACAGUUGCAGCGUUGCUGCUCAGUUAACAGUAAAUUGAGGCAAAGCCUCCAGUACGUGGACAAGCCACUUUCAGUACUUCCUCCGUCAAUAUCCCAGUCCCAUGCAUCAGAUAAUAACAACAUGGCAUGCAGUAAAUAACAACAGUCAAACAUGCAUUUAGGUCAAUUUAACCCUAGGGGUAUUUCGGUAAUUUAUCUUCUAGGGGUAAAACUAUAAAUUUUCCACUUUUAAAGAUAUUUUAGUAAUUUAUCUAUUUUAAGGUUUUUCAUGCAUAUUCCUACCUUUCACGUACUAACAGAAUCACUACCGAGGGUUCUUACCGAAUUGGGCCCGUUGGCCCAUCAUUCCAAUUUUGGCCCAUUAAGCCCAAAAAUAUCGAGGGCACAGAAAUCAUGCACUUUGCAAUCCAAAUUUUGCAGUUUACCAAAAACAUUAAUCGAUUUACCUCACGAGCAUUCGCACACUCGCAAAUCUACAAAAUACCGGUUUUUGGCAUUUCGGCUUUUCGACUUUUGCCGAUCCAGACUAAGAAAGAGGGUGUCAGUUACACACCUGUUUGCGACGAUAUGCUGACGAGAUCCACACACGAACCGCCUACAAUUGGAUUACUAACACGUUAAUCUAACUAUUCAAAUACAAACUACGUAUUAACCCCUUACAAUAUUCGGCCAACCACACCUACAGAUCAUAGUAAGCUUAUAAGAAAUCAAUAAGCAACUCAUUAACAAAUUUUUGUCAAUGUUUACCACAUAAUCAUAAUUUCACUGCAAGCUGUCUUCCUGAGCAAUAGUCACUAAAUUAUUUAUAACUGGAGCUACGAAACUCCAAAUCAAGUUCCGUUAAUUUUAACUGAAAAUAGACUCAUAUAUCUUCUAUCCAUAAAAUUUUCAGAAUUUUUGGUUUAGCCAAUCAAUACCAGAUUUUUCUCAAAGUUUCCCAUGUUUCACUGUUUGACUAAUCUGACCACUCUUCAUUACGAAUAAAAUUUCUCAUUGUACAGAAUUCAAAAUAUGUUCUUGUUUAUUUCAUCAGAAACUAGACUCAAUAAGAUUUAAUUACAUAAUUUAUUCAGCUUCUAAUUCAUCUCCUACAAUUUAUGGUGAUUUUCCAAAGUCACGUUACUGCUGCUGUCCCAAGCAGAUUUAUUACCAAGUCACUCUUUCACACAAACCUUGCAUGCAUGUUAUUUAAACAUGUAUAUCACCAAUCAAUCAUCACAUAUCUAUGAUUUUACUUAAGAAUAAUCUCCAUUUCAUCAUUUUAAAGCACAACAUGUUAGCUGAUUUUUUUCCCUUUAACAUCUAAGGCACAUGCAUGCUCAUUUGUUUGGCUCAACUUCACCUAUCUUCUAUUUUUUUCAUCAAAAGCACAUGAAACAACAACCAUUUCCUUCAUUUUAAUUCAUGACUAAAUGCUUACAACACAACUAAAAACCAAAAUAUGCUUCAAGAGUUAAGGUAGAAUCAAGAAGAACUCAUGAACCUCAAAAUAGAAGCAAGGUACCAAGAACUUACCUUCAAUUUUCCUCCUCCUAAUGACCGAAUACUCAAGAGCUUUCUCCUCUCCUUUCUCUUCUCUAACUUUCAGCUAUGAUGAACAAAGGCGGAAAAAAAUUUGUUCUUUUCACCCCUUUUUCUUUUAAUAAAACUUCAUAUUUCAUCCAUUUAAUUCUUUAAUACAAAAGACAUGAAAUUCUUAUCAUGAAACAUUUACCUAACCCAUUAUCAUGAAACAUUUACCUAACCCAUUAUCAUGGAACAUUUACCUAACCUAUUAUCAAUUUGUAUCAAUUUGUACCAUAAAUUAUGGAUAUCAAGUGUACAGUUUGUCUACAACAACAUGAUGGCUGGCCACUUCAUGUAAAAUGGGAGAUUUGUCAUGCAAAUCCUCCUAUUUUGCACUCCUAUUUAUUUGGCCACUUCAAUUUAGCCUAUAGCAUUUUCAAACAUUUUCACAUAGGUUCUAUUUCAUAAUUUCACCCCCUUUUUGUUAUGGAACAAAAAUUAACUAAAAUUGUCGGGUUCUAUCUUAAGUUUGGGCUUUCUAGAGGCCCACUAACAUAAUUAAACCUAUGCCAACGUUCACAGGAUUCCCGAAAAUUGGGGCGUUACAACUCUACCCUCCUUAAAGAAAUUUUGUCCUUGAAUUUACCUAAUCCAAACAGAUGAGGGUAUUGCUGUUGCAUCGUCUCUUCUGGCUCCCAAACUCAGAAGUUUCCCCUUCCUUAACUUGUUGAAAACGAGUGACCAAAGACUCAUCGUUCAACUGUUUUUCCUUAAUCUGAUCCACCCAGGUUGGCCUCACUUGCAACUCAGCCAACAGACUUCCAUCAUCAUACAGGCUCAGACGAGCAAACAUUGCUCUCAGAUGAGAUACAGCUCUACGACUUAGAGCAUCGGCUACCACAUUAGCCUUGCUUGGGUGAUACUCGAUAGAACAGUCAUAAUCCUUAAGCAACUCAAUCCAUCUCCUUUGCCUAAGGUUCAUCUCCUUCUGAGUCAACAAAUACUUAAGACUCUUAUGGUCAGUGUAUAUAAUACACCUUUCUCCGUACAAGUAAUGUCUCCAAAUCUUUAGUGCAAAUAUCACUGCUGCCAACUCUAAAUCAUGAGUCAAAUAGUUUCCCUCAUGAGGCUUAAGCUAUCGUGAUGCAUAUGCAACCACCUUACCCUCUUGCAUUAACACGCAGCCCAAACCCACGUGUGAUGCGUCACUGUACACAGUAAAAUCAUUCCCAGACUCCAGCUAAAUUAACACAAGUGCUUCAGUCAGAACUUUCUUCAACUUCUCAAAAUCUUCCUGCUGCUUCUCAGUCCAUACAAACGGUACUCCUUUCCUUAUGAGUUUUGUCAGAGGUGCUGCCAUCGCAGAAAAACCUUCCACAAACCUUCUGUAGUAUCCUGCCAACCCUAGGAAACUUUAAAUUUCUGACACCGUCCUAGGUGGCUUCCACUCCAAAAUUGCUUCAAUCUUUCGAAGGUCCACCUUACUCCCUUCGGCAGAGACCACAUGUCCUAAGAAGGUUACCUCUCUCAACCAAAAUUCACACUUGCUGAACUUCGCAAAGAGUUCCUUCUCCCUUAACACUCGUAGCACUAUACGGAGAUGCUCAUCAUGUUUCGCUUCAGUUUCAGAAUAUACCAGGAUAUCGUUAAUAAAGACGACUACGAACUGAUCAAAAAUGGUUGGAACACACGAUUCAUUAGAUCCAUAAACGCUGCAGGAGCGUUCGUUAGUCCAAAUGGCAUAACCAGAAACUCGUAAUGACCAUACCGAGUCCUGAAUGUCAUCUUUUGGAUAUCUGCCUCCUUGACCCUUAACUGAUGAUAUCCAGAUCGAAGGUCGAUCUUAGAAAAUACAGAAGCUCCUCUAAGCUGGUCGAAUAGAUUUUCAAUCCUUGGCAGUGGAUACUUAUUCUUAAUCGUCAGUUUGUUCAACUGGCGAUAAUCAAUGCACAUCCGCAUCGUACCAUCCUUCUUUUUCACGAAUAGCACUGGUACUCCCCAUGAAGACACGCUUGGCCUAACGAAGCCCCUAUCCAACAACUCUUGAAUUUGAGCCUUUAACUCCACUAACUCCUUCGGUGCCAUCCUAUAUGGUGCGAUGGACAUAGGCGCCGUUGUAGGCAACAAAUCUAUUCCAAACUCAACUUCUCAAUUCGGAGGCAAUCCUGGAAGCUCCUCCAGAAAAACAUCUUGGAACUCCUUUACGGUCCUAACCUUAUCCAUUGUCAGUCCCUCCUCUUCUGACUGACUUACAAAUGCCAAAUAGGCCUCACAACCUUUCCGAAUCCACUUCUCGACUCUUAAUGCCGACACCACAUUGGACAAAUAAUCCCUUCGCUCACCUAUCACCAUAAUCUCCUCAUCCUUUGUGGUCCUUAACACCAUUCAUUUAACAGCACAAUCCAGAGUCGCUUUAUGCUUAACAAGCCAGUCCAUUCCCAAAAUAAGAUCAAACUCUCCGAACGGUAACUCCAUCAGAUCUCCAGGGAAAAUUUUACCUUGAUUUUCUAAGGGUACAUCCCUAUACAGUUUGCCUACCCUAACCGAGUGACUCAAAUGACUUAGUACAGAUACCCCACUCACAAUCUCCUCACAGCAGUCCAAGUUGUCCAUAAUCCGUUCUAUGGCCUCCAACCAAUAUUCCACCACAUUCGGGGCUAUACCAAACACGCCCCUAAAGAUCUCCGCUCCGUUAGCCCGAAGUCGUUCAGAAAUAGAACCUCGAAUUUUGUUGCCCGAACUUGUCCCGGCAACCCUUUCCAGAACACGAAGCAUUGCCUGCGACAGAGCGUCAUCCCCGGCACCACGAUCAUGAGACUCUACUUCCGUUGCCGAUGGUACGGUGCAUCUGCCGCCGGUAUAUGUCCCGAAGACGAAGAUACCGCUCGAGCACUUCCUCGGCUCUGUCCACGGCCUCUUGUACUCAUAUCGUAUUAUCUUGAUUACGAAUUUUUAUGCAUCAAUUAAUAUUCCAGUGUUUAUUACAGAUGUUUUAUGAAUCAGACAGUAGUUCAGAGUUUGUUUUCACAGAAUCGAAGUCUAGCUACAGUUUCAGUCUCUUAUUAGAUUUUCCUAUGGUUUCAGUAUCAUCCUAUCUAGAGUAUCCUAGCAGGAUUUCAGUACAGACAGAUAAGAUAGAAAAAUAUUCAGAAGAGUUCAAAGUAAUACUUACAUGCUUGGGCCGGAGAUUCGGAACGCCACCUUCUAAAGAUCUAAAUUUUGAAAAUCGCGUUCUUCGCAAUCUUUAUAAAUUUUUUUUUUAUUUUUGAAAAUCUUUGUUUUUUUUGUAAACCCAUUCCACAGCCGAGUUGUUGCAACUUAGGCUCUGAUACCACUAAAUGUAGCACCCCAAACCCAGUUCAGAAGUUAUGGCCGGAUCCGACAUGCCACAUCAAAAAUGUUAAAAAAAAUUUUCCAUUCUAAGUUCAGAAAAUCGUACUUGAUGUUCAAAAGAUUAAUUCAUUAAGGGUUAAAGUAAAUGGAAGCUGUGCACCAGGUAGGAAACCGGGAAAGAGGAGCUGAGUCCAUCAGACUGCUUAAGUACCAAACUCCCUUCGGAUCCAAUCCUAGACAUGCAAACCGCCAUUGCCAUACCUUAAUGUCAUGUAUAUUUCAAGGAAACCGAUUUGAUUAAGUCCUUUUUAGGAAAAGUGAUUAAUUUUGGAAAAUAUCUUCAUUGCGGAAGCUUUGCCCGUUUUUGUGUUAUUUUGAAAUCAAUUACUAUUUUUGAAAACGCACCCUAAAGCUAUCUAAUUUCAACAUUUAAAAUAUAAAUAUUACCUAUCUUAAUAAAACAUAUAAAAACCAUCAAAAAUAAAUAAGCGGCCUUAUUACAUUUAAAAGCCCAAAACCUCAAACGUAAUUAAAAGGAUGUCCAGUUCACUAGAAGAAAAUCAAACUUUCAGAACGGGUGGCCACUCCGAAUUCCCUCACAGCUCCAAGCCCACUAUGGUUGGGGAUUUCCUGCGUGGAUGAAAAUAAAAGGGGUGAGUUUGGGGAAACUCAGUGUGUAAGGAAAACCCAUUCAAAGCCCAAGUCAGCUCAAGCCUAUUGGGUCUAAGCCCGUUCAGGUAACAGUGGUACUGGGCCAGAGCCCUUUUCAGAUUACAAUAAACUGGGCCUUAGCCCAUUAUUCAGAUAACAGUAUGGCCCAUAGGCCCAUUUCAAAAUACAUGCAACAUCAAUAAAAUAUGCAAACCCAUUUGGGGAGACUACUCAACCCACCAACCACUACACUCCACCCGUACUAGCCAUACACUCCAUGUGGGGAAUAGCUCAACCCACCCAACCCAACACUCCACAGUUGCAGCCUUGCUGCUCAGUUAACAGUAAAUUAAGGCAAAGCCUCCAGUACGUGGACAAGCCACUUUCAGUACUUCCUCCGUCAAUAUCCCAGUCUCAUGCAUCAGAUAAUAACAACAUGGCAUGCAGUAAAUAACAACAGUCAAACAUGCAUUUAGGUCAAUUUAACCCUAGGGGUAUUUCGGUAAUUUAUCUCCUAAGGGUAAAACUGUAAAUUUUCCACUUUUAAAGAUAUUUCAGUAAUUUAUCUAUUUUAGGGUUUUUCAUACAUAUUCCUAUCUUUCACGUACUAGCAGAAUCACUACCGAGGGUUCUUACCGAAUUGGGCCCGUUGGCCCAUCAUUCCAAUUUUGGCCCAUUAAGCCCAAAAAUAUCGAGGGCACAGAAAUCAUGCACUUUGCAAUCCAAAUUUUACAGUUUAUCAAAAACAUUAAUCGAUUUACCUCACGAGCAUCGCACACUCGCAAAUCUACAAAAUACCAGUUUUCGGCAUUUCGGCUUUUCGACUUUUGCCGAUCCAGACUAAGAAAGAGGGUGUUAGUUACACACCUGUUUACGACGAUAUGCUGACGAGAUCCACACACGAACCACCUACAAUUGGAUUACUAACACGUUAAUCUAACUAUUCAAAUACAAACUACGUAUUAACCCCUUACAAUAUUCGGCCAACCAUACCUAAAGAUCAUAGCAAGCUUAUAAGAAAUCAAUAAGCAACUCAUUAACAAAUUUUUGUCAAUGUUUACCACAUAAUCAUAAUUUCACUGCAAGCUGUCUUCCUGAGCAACAGUCACUAAAUUAUUUAUAACUGGAGCUACGAAACUCCAAAUCAAGUUCCGUUAAUUUUCCCUGAAAAUAAACUCAUAUAUAUUACAUCCAUAAAAUUUUUAGUAUUUUUAGUUUAUCCAAUCAAUACCAGAUUUUUCUCAAAGUUUCCCAUGUUUCACUGUUUGACUAAUCUGACCACUCUUCAUUACGAAUAAAAUUUCCCAUUGUACAGAAUUCAAAAUAUGUUCUUGUUUAUUUCAUUAGAAACUAGACUCAAUAAACUUUAAUUACAUAAUUUAUUCAGCUUCUAAUUCAUCUUCCACAAUUUAUGAUGAUUUUCCAAAGUCACGUUACUGCUGCUGUCCCAAGCAGAUUUAUUACCAAAUCACUCUUUCACACAUACCUUGCAAGCAUGUUAUUUAAACAUGUAUAUCACCAAUCAAUCAUCACAUAUCUAUGAUUUUACUUAAGAAUAAUCUCCAUUUCAUCAUUUUAAAGCACAACAUGUUAGCUGAUUUUUUUCCCUUUAACAUCUAAGGCACAUGCAUGCUCAUUUGUUUGGCUCAACUUCACCUAUCUUCUAUUUUUUUCAUCAAAAGAACAUGAAACAACAACCAUUUCCUUCAUUUUAAUUCAUGACUAAAUGCUCACAACACAACUAAAAACCAAAAUAUGCUUCAAGAGUUAAGGUAGAAUUAAGAAGAACUCAUGAACCUCAAAAUAGAAGCAAGGUACCAAGAACUUACCUUCAAUUUUCCUCCUCCUAAUGACCGAAUACUCAAGAGCUUUCUCCUCUCCUUUCUCUUCUCUAACUUUCAGCUAUGAUGAACAAAGAUGGACAAAACUUUGUUAUUUUCACCCCUUUUUCUUUUAAUAAAACUUCAUAUUUCAUCCAUUUAAUUCUUUAAUACAAAAGAAAUGAAAUUCUUAUCAUGAAACAUUUACCUAACCCAUUAUCAUGGAACAUUUACCUAACCUAUUAUCAAUUUGUAUCAAUUUGUACCAUAAAUUAUGGAUAUCAAGUGUACAGUUUGUCUACAACAACAUGAUGGCUGGCCACUUCAUGUAAAAUGGGAGGUUUGUCAUGCAAAUCCUCCUAUUUUGCACUCCUAUUUAUUUGGCCACUUCAAUUUAGCCUAUAGCAUUUUCAAACAUUUUCACAUAGGUUCUAUUUCAUAAUUUCACCCCCUUUUUGUUAUGGAACAAAAAUUAACUAAAAUUAUCGGGUUCUAUCUUAAGUUUGGGCUUUCUAGAGGCCCACUAACAUAAUUAAACCUAUGCCAACAUUCACAGGAUUCCCGAAAAUUGGGGCGUUACAUAUAAUUUAUUUGAACAUUAUUUAUUUGUAGCCGAAUCAAUUACUCAAGUAGUAAGUAUGGGUAGAUGGGAACUAAUUAAGCUAACAAUGGGUGAUUCGAGUUUUCAGAUGGCUUAAUUUUGUUUGCAGAAGCUUCAAUUGAGCAAAUGAAACUUGUUAAGGGAUAAAUUGGAUGCCUUUUAUUAUUGCUUCAUAAGCGAGUAACUAAAUCUACGUAUCAAUAUUACUAAUAUAUAUGAGAUAAAAAAGUCUUUAAGUACAAGCUAAAACUCUCUUGCUAUCGGAAGAAUAACUCUCACUAAGGCAUGUUGGUCGUCGUUCUUAUAUAUGCAAUACAAUGGACUUUUCUACAAAAAGGAAUAUGCUCGAUAAUGGAAAAAAUCAUACGAAACUUGUUUGGCGCACACAGAAGACAAAAGAUUUUUUUUUUUACAAGAAGACCUAAAUAGAUCAACCUUCAAUUAAUAGCAUCAUCAAUUACAAUGUUAUGGAUCACCGUAGAGUAAUCCAUACCAAAAACCAAAUGACCCUCGUGAGUAAUGGCAUAAUUGCACAAAAGAUCUGCCACCUUAUUACAGUUACAAUUGACCACUUAACAGCCGCAUUAUCAAACAUAUCCAUAGUUUUAAAGCAUUCACUAAUGCGGUAACCCAUGAUAGUAAUAUCCUCCCUACGCUUCUUAAUUCUGUUCUCGAGGCUGGCAAGAAGACAAAAGAUUUGAUUUAGUGAAAAGGGGUGAUAUUUGUCAACCAACGUCUCAAGGUGGCCUUGGAAUUAAAGGGUUGGGUUGACAGAAUGCUGCCUUGGGUUUUAUCUGGUGCUUUAAGAUUGAUCAACUUCGGUUCAACUGCUACGAACUAAGUAUAAGUGAGGAGUUAGGCGUGGAAUCAUAUGGAAUAUUGGGGAUGGUGUGAGGUGGAUUUUGGGCGCGACUCUUGGGUAAAAAACUGUGAGCCUUUGAUGAACAGUAGUAUAGGCGUGGAAUCAUUUGGAAUAUUGGGGAUGGUGUGAGGUGGAUUUUGGGUGCGACUCUUGGGUAAAAAACUGUGAGCCUUUGAUGAACAGUAGUAUCCAACCGGCCCUUGCGCCUUCUAAUAAUGUGCCUCUAUGUAAUAUGAUGGAUCAUAUUGGGGAUUGGAAUUGGACACAAUUCAAACACUUACUGACUGAAUCGAUAGCUUUAAAAAUUAGCGCCUUGCGGCCUCCUUUGCAAUCGAAUAUCCCUGACUUCCCUGGGUGGCGCUGGGAGAGAAGACAUGUUUUUAUCACUAAGUCAGCUUAUUAUUAUGCAAUGGAUAACCAAAAUAGCUUGGAGCCUGAUAAACAAUGGCGAUGUUUUUGGAGUUACGAGGGCAAUCAUAGAGUCAAUUUUCUUGUGUCUGGCGACCAGCAAAAGCUUUUGAUUAAUGAAAAUAGAUUCCGGGGGCACCUUACUGGCAAUCCGUUGUGCAGCUAUUGUGGAGACGACAGAUCAUAUAUUGAGAAGAUGUUUCCCAACCAUGUCAGGCUUGUUAAACGAGAGAGGUUUCAAGAAUUUUAAAGCUUACGUAUUCAUGAUCGAUUGUAUGCAAAUCUUUUCAAUCCCUCAUGUUUUGCAGUGGAUGGGAUAUGGUGUUUGGAAUUCUUAGUUGGAGCUUGAGGAAUGAGAUGAAUAGUAGGAUACUGAAUGAGGCAUUCUUUGCAUGGGAGAACAUCCUUGAAAGAGGAAGUCGAUUAUGUGUAAUACCCUGAAAAUUUUUACAGUUAUUGAAAAAGUGUAUUUUUGGGUCUCCGUUUCUGAAAAAUAGAUUCGUAAAUAUUUAUUAUUAUAUUUACGAAGUUAAGAGAGUGAUUAAUUAAAGUUUAAUGAAGCAAAUUAGCUUAAAUAAAGGAUAAUUAGAUAAAAGGAUUGAAUUGAAUGAAGUGUGAAAGUUUAAUUAUAGGAUAAAGAAAUUGAAAGGACUAAAUAAAUAAAUAAGCCAAAGGAGUGCCAAGUGUAUGGCAAAAAUAAAAUACAUGUGUAAUAAGUAUUAUACAUACAUUUGUAAUACAUGUAUGUAUUUACUUAUUGUUUAAGUAAAUAAUUAAUAUAUUUAUUAUUAUUAAAUUGAUAUUAUAUGAUGAAUAGAUUAAAUAAAGACAAGUGUAUGGUAAUGAUUUGGUACAAAUGUAUUAAUAAAAAAAUACAUACAUUUGUAAUAUAUGUAUUUGAUAUUAAAUGGAUAUUUAUUAUUUAGUGAAAGAUAUUUAUUAAAUAAAUAAUUAUAUUAUAAUAUAUUUAUAUGAUAAAUAAAUGUAAAAUGACAAGUGUAUGGUGAGGAUGAAAUACAAAUGUAAUAAUAUAUGUGUGCCCAAGUGUAAAAUAAAUAUUUGAUAUUAAGUAGAUAUUUAAUAAAGUCAUUAUUAUUAUUAUUGUUAUUAUAUAUAUAUUAUAUAUAUAUAAAGUAAAACAAAAGAAAAAGAAACAGAGAAUGAGAAUGAGACGAAACAAGGGAAAGAAAGGAAGGAAAGAAAAAUAAAAGGAAAAUUGGGGUUUUUGAAGCCUUAAACUUUACUAGGUAAGUCAAUUUGAUCCAUUUUCUUGCAAUUUUGAUGUUUAUGGAAUUCUAGAGAAGAGUACUACAUGAAUUAUAUCAAAAGUUAGGAAGUUAAUGAAUUUUUAUGUGUUGACUAAGUUGAACACAAAGAUGAAUUAAGGGCUAAAUUGAUAGAAAUUCAAGUUAGAAAUGAAAUAAGGAUUGAAUUGUAAAGUGAUUCAUAAGUUUUAUGCUUUAAGGACUGAAUUGAAAGAAUUUUGAAAUUAUGGUUUUAUGAUGAAAAAUAGAUAAUUAUGUCUAAUUUUGGUUAAAAAUUGAGUAGAAAUAAAGUAUGAAUUAAGAUAGAAAAGUAAGUGAAUUUAGUUAGGAUUAAAUUGAAAUUAAAAGUAGAAAAUCAACAUUUUGCACUAAGACUAUUUUGGACAGCAACAGUAGUCUAAGUUUGAAAAAUCACCAAACAUUUUAUAAAUUUAAUUAGAGAAUGAAUAAAAUAUGUAAUUAAAGCUUAUUGAGUCUAGUUUUUAAUAAAAGAAACGGUGUAAGCAAAUGAAUUGUAAAUUAUGAGAUAUAAUAAAUUUUGUGAGACAAGGUCAGAAUGAAUUCGGGUUCCUCUAUUCUGAAUUUGGAAAAUCACCAAAAAUUCGAUAAAAAUAAUUAUAGGCUUAAAGUUAUAUUUUUAGAAUCCCUAAUGAGUUAGGAGAAAUCAACGGGAAUAUUAUCCGAGUCCUGUACUUUUAGAUAAUUAAUUUUUAGUGAAGAAGGGUCGGAACUGUCAGACAACAGAAUAGGGGUGAAUUUAAAUAAUAAACUGUACUUAUUGGAUAAACAAAAAAUUCUGAAAAUUUUAUGGUAAUAAUAUAUAUGAGUCUAGUUUCAGUGAAAAUUAUAGGAUCUUAAUUUGGAGUUCUAUAGCUCCAGAUAUAAACCAUUUAGUGACUAUGACGCAGAUAGACAGCUUGAAUAUUCAUAAAAGUAAAUAAUAAAAAUUAUGGAUAAUGUUACUUACAAGUGUGUUAUCUACAUUAAGGAUGUGGAAUGGAGAGGAGGAGGAGGAAAAAUAUGUAUGAAUAUUCAUCUAUCAUGGCUAAUUUGUAUAUUUUAGGCUCAGAGACUAAAUUGAAUAAAAGUAAAACUUUAUGGGCAAUUUUGUGAAAAUGUCAGAAAUAACCAAAUUGCAUGAAAUGGAUUAUUUUAUUAUUUAAAUUAUAAAAUUUAAAUGAAAUUAUUAAUUUAGUUCAAGAUCGGGGGAAAACAUGUUUUAGGGAUUAAAUUGAAAAGUGUUGAAAUUAUGGAAAAUUCUGAUAUUUUAUAGAAUUCAUGGACUGUUAUCAAUAUAUAUUAGAAUAAUAGCUGGAAAUAAGGAUUAAAUUGCAAGAAUUUUAUUUUCCUGGCCCUAAGGAUGAAAUCGUCAUUAAUUAAAAGUUUAGGGGCAAAAUGGUAGUUUUUCCUAGAGCAUUAAUUAAAUGCAUUAGAAUAUGAAAUGAAUGAAAAUGAUGAUCAAAUUUAUUUAUAAAGAUCCGGACGACUCAAAUAUGAGACUUGAUCGUGGAAAAGAAAAGAUAUCGGAUUAAUGAAAUUAUAAACACAAACAAGCAAUGAGGUAAGUUCGUGUAACUUGAAUUAUAUUCUUAAAUGCUUGAGAUUGCAUGUUAUUGAUGUGAAUAUGAUUUGAAUGUUCAUUGUAUGAAAAUUAAUGAAGCAUUGAUAUAUUUGAUAAAAAGGGGAAGAAAUCCCAGUUGAAUGAAAGGAAAUUUCGAUUGAUCUCUGAAAAGGAAUUGACGGUAAAAAACAGAAUCUAGCCCGGACAGGUGAUCCUAUUCUGAUAUAGCCCUCCCGAAGAAUACGCGUAAAAUGGAUUUAGCUCGGACGGGUGAUCCGAAUUAGGGUCUGAAUUUAGCCUGGACUGGUAAUUCAGAUCCAAGCUCAUUAGAGUAAUUGUCGUUACAGGGGAUUUAGCCUGGACUGGUAAUCCCGACAAUACUCUAUGAGUUUAUAUUACAGGGGAUUUAGCCUGGACUGGUAAUCCCACUCUAAGGAUGAGGUUCGCGGGAGUGUGUUCUCUGAUAUGAAAUGUGUAAGACCAUGGUUGAAAGAUACCAUAGCAACCUGAUAUGAAAUGUGUAAGACCAUGGUUUAAAGAUACCAUGGCAACCUGAUAUGAAAUGUGUAAGACCAUGGUUGAAAGAUACCAUGGCAACAUGAUGGAAAAUGAGUAAGACCAUAGUUGAAAGACACUAUGGCAUCAUGUCAAAGAUAAAUAAGGCCGUGGAUGGGAGACGCUAUGACAUAUGUUGAACAAUUGAUAUUCAGGUAAUAUGUAUCAGAUGAUGAAUGAUUAUAUGAAAUGGUUGUAUGAAAUGUUUACAAGAACUGGUCAUAUGGAAAUAUAUGUACAAAAUAGUUUAUGAAAUAAUUGUGAAGAUAGAUAAACGAAAUAAGUAUAAGUACAUGGAAUAUAAUUUAUGUUAAGAUAUAAGCUAUUACCGGAAUAAAUAUACGUAAAAUAUAUGGAAAUGAUGGAGCAUAAAAUAUUGAUAUAAUGAAAUGAAUGAUAUAUGCUUAUGAAGAAACGAUAAGAGCAUGAUAUGUUUCAUGACAUGUACAUAUAUGAUUAUCUUUGAUAUGCUGAUACAAGGAAAUCAUGUAAGUUGAGACUAUUAUUAAACUCAAGUGUGAUAUGUCGAGAAAAUAGAUAUAUAAUGUUGAAUUUAUAUGAGAUAUGUGCAAGUAUACUAACAAUGUUGCUGUUUGAUGCUUAUACAAGUGCCAAACUGUUGAUUGAAUGGUAAUAUAUUUAUUUAUAUGAUGCAUUGGAUCGGUAAGUAUUUAAUUUUUUUUUAGUGAUCUGCAAAUGGUAGUAAUGCUCUAAAACCCUAUUCUGGCAGCGGAUACGGGUUAGGGGUGUUACAUUAUGGAAUGAGGUGACCAAAGCAAGGUCAGAUUUGCAAGCAAAACUUGGCAGGGUCGUACUAGGGAAUGAGAG
Molecule: long non-coding RNA, 237667 nt
Filed under: Gossypium barbadense (sea-island cotton)
Lineage: Eukaryota; Viridiplantae; Streptophyta; Magnoliopsida; Malvales; Malvaceae
Description: long non-coding RNA (GBAR_LNC005987)
Rfam family: Plant small nucleolar RNA R71 (bases 90109-90215)
Source: RNAcentral